This 309559-nucleotide long non-coding RNA is filed under the name Citrus maxima (pomelo). Its description in RNAcentral is "long non-coding RNA (CMAX_LNC003822)". The record is from RNAcentral. Lineage: Eukaryota; Viridiplantae; Streptophyta; Magnoliopsida; Sapindales; Rutaceae.
UAUAAUAUAAAACAAAACUAGUAAAGAACAAAAAGGGCCAACAUGAAGAAAACCCAAAAUUGAAACCUGUCCUUUCUGUAUUUUCUCGAGAAAUUUCUCUCUCCGACUUACAGCUCAACGGCUUUAAUUUGAAAUUCUUCACACUCUUUCAAUUGUCUUUCAACGCGCACACUUCGUAUCCUUCGUUAUUAAUUGUUCACACACGCUCCCCCAACACCGAGCAGACUCUCUCUCUCUCUCUCUCUCUUCUGUCCGAAUUAGGGUUCUGUUGGGCUGUGAAACAUUAUAAUGCGCUUCUGAUUUCAAAUACUUUUCCAGGUAAUUUAAUCUUUUUUUCCUUUCUUGCUUUCUGGAAUAUUCUAAGAUCUUAAUCUAGAUUUGUUUCCUCAUUUCGGCAUUUUAAAAAAUUUGUUUUUUUUUUCUCUUACGGUUUAGGGUUCUCAAAAUCAUAUACGAUGCUGUUUUACUGCCACAUUUGUAAUUCGGCCAUUUUUCUUUUUCCUUUUUUUUUGUGAGUGUUGAAAAGGAAAAAAGUGAUAUUUUCCUUUCUGGGUAUUGCUGGAUUUUGGCCCCAGAAAAAAAACUGUAAUUCCGUCUCUUUGCGUGUAUAUAUGUAUAGGUAUCUUCUACAUUACCAUCUUAUUGGCUUUCCGGGUGACGAAAAUGGGUAGCUUAACUUUCUUAUAAUUGAGUUAUGCUAUGUGGGUUUGUUGUGGUGAUUAAAUACUGAUGGCAGUGUCUAAUGAGAUGAUGAGGGAACUCUAUCUAUGCGAAAAUGCAUGGUGUAUUUUGUGUUUAAAGAUUUUUAUGCAAGUUUUAUUGUAUUACGUUGUUUUAUUAAUAUUACUGUCUCCCAAUAUUUGAGUUCUUGUGUUUAUCAAAUGGUAGAAAAGAGUUUACCCUGAUUUAUGGUUUUGAUUGAGAUGUAAUGGAUAUUUUUAUUUGAUUAUAGGUUGGCAAGUCAAAACUUGACCUUGGUGCCUGCAAGGAAGAAGUCAAGAAGAUUGACUAGGAAACAAGAUCUGUUGGUAAGAAUUCCUUCCCAACGAAAACUUUAAUACUGAUUAAUGUCAUAAACUUGUUGGUUCAUUUUUUUUUUUUUUAAAUUUUCAUUUGCCUGGGCAUGUUUGCUGUACUAUUAUUCAUGAAUUGGGAAUUGAUCUUUGAAUGAGUAUUGGAAUCAAAUAAUGACGAAAGUAUAUAAUGAACAGUUGAAUGUUCUUUGGCCAAAAUAAAUUCACUUUGGCAUGACUUAAGGCUGAAAGAAAAGAUUAUGUAAUGAAAAGAAGACAAUUUUUAUGAUGAUUAUGUAUACAUGUCAAACAAUGUCGUAAAAAGGAAAUAUGUCAUAGAAUGCAGAAAAUGUAGGAAACUACAUUGCCCCUCUUAUGAGUUUAUCUAUAUAUAUAGUUUCCUUAUAUAUAUAUAUAUAUAUAUAUACCCUAAGGACCGGAAAGAGUUAAAGCUUAGGGAGACUGGUAGAAUUUGGAAAGAACAGUGAUGGAUGGAAGUGCUUUUUGUCUUGCAGCUUCGUGCAAUCAUGUUUUGCCGUCAUAGCUGGUAGUUGAGUUUUAUCUUGUUGGUGGGUAGUCCAGUGAGUCCUCUGGUUCAUGUAUUUUUUUGUUAUGUAGAAAGCAAAUUCUCUUUGCAUGUCCUUGCACUGAAUGCAUGAGUGGGGAAGACGUGUCGUGACUCUUUAUGCCUACAAUUGUAAUAUCUAUCUAAAUAUAUUUCAAUGUAUUGCAUUGCUGCAGUGCCAUUAGUUUUCUCUUUGCCUAUGAUGCAUAUGAACGAAGUCAACAGGAAGUAAAGCUUUGUGUCAUUAGUUUAACCAUGAAGCACUUGAAAGAGUUUUGUGGAAAGUUUUUCAAGAAACAAAUUUUCUUAUUAUCAAUUUGCAAUUGAAUAAAAAAAUGACACAUUAAAUUCUCUCUUUUUAAUUAAAAAUUUUUUUAGCGAAAUAAUUUUUAAAAAUUACUUAAUUAAUUCUUUCUUUUUUUUUCUUCUCAAUUUCAUAAAUUCUCAUAAAUUCAUUCAGAUAUCCUUUUUUAGCUACAAAUAAAAAUUACUUAAUUAAUUCUUUCUUUUUUUUUUCUUCUCAAUUUCAUAAAUUCUCAUAAAUUCAUUCAGAUAUCCUUUUUUAGCUACAAAUAAUCGAUAUCACUAAGUAUUUCAUGUUUGCUUUAUAUGAAAAAAAGGAAUUAUGAAUAAAGUAUUUUAGAUAUAUUAUUAUUAUUAUUAUUCAUGAUAUAUUAAAAAAGGACAAAAUUAAACUAAAAAUAAAGUGAAAUUGAGUGUUUAAUUUGUAAAGAAUAGAGAAAAUAUGCAAUUGUAAGAUAAAGAGAGAGUGAUUAGUGAAGAGUAAUUUUGAGAAUUUUAAAUUUUUAAUAAUAAAUUUAUUUUUUAAAAUAGGUACAGAGAUAAAUUUAAUUCAAAUAGGAGAGGAAUUUAAUGAGUUCAAAUAGCCCCACCAUUGUAAUAAUAUUAUACAGAAUUUAGUGUUAUACUAUAUUAUAUUUAUUUUUUAUUGAUAUUAUUUAAAUUUAUUAUUAAUUAUAUUAAAUUAUUAACUAAAUAAUUAUUUUAUGUUAAUUAUUUUAAUGUUAAUCAUUAAUAUAUAAAUAUAAUAUAAAAUAGCAUUUUUAAAUAAAACUGCAUGAUACCAUAAUUUAUUUUUAAAUUUUAUUUAUUAUAAUAAUAAAAUUAAUUAAAAUAUAUUUAAUGCCUCAAUUAAGGCAAAAGCUGGUAAUGUUCCACAAUGCAGUUUCCAAAACUUUCAAAUAUAGGUAACCAAUAAAUUAAUGUAAUCCGUAUUUAUAAUAUUAUGCAAUGUUAUGUUCCAAACACACCCUUAAUUUAGUUUUUGCUGCGUUAUCAAACCUCGUGCCCUCCUCUGUAAAUUGUAUUGGUAACUUUUACAACAUAAAAUUAUUUUAGUCAAUUAGAAUAUAUUUAAUUAUUACUAUUUUAUAAAAUAAUAAAUUUAAAUGGUAAAAAUAUUGACUACUGCCAACCAUCACAAUCCACCGCUUGCGAUGUCAUUUCGAUAUCCUUUGACAUCAAUUUAGGAAUUAAUAUAAUCCUUAUUAUUGGAGCUAUACAAUGAUAUAUGUAAAACCAAAAAUAGAGCUUCAUUCAUUGUAGAUCUAUGGUCAAAGUUUUGUAUCUCUAAACUUUGACCGUAUAUUUAUUAUAAUGAUAGGAAACUCUGUUGCUGAUGAGAUAUGCACCAUUGUGUAUAUCGAAUUAUGAAAAUUAUAAUGGUACCGAAAUUGACAUCAAAAGAUACUGGAAUAUGAACAUCGACGAUAGCUCAUGGUGGCCCAUGGGCGACAGUGGUGAGUAAUCUUCUGUCGUUUAUAAAUUUUAAAUAAUAAAUUUAAUAAUUAUAAAUAAUAAAACUUUUAAGACAUUUAUAAUUAUAAAAAAUAAUUUAAUAUAAGUAAUAAUAUUUAUAUUGUUACAUAUAAUGCUAUACAAUAUAACACCAAAUAUUGUACAAUAUUAAUAUAAUAAAAUGAUAAUGCAAUAAUGCAAUACGCCUACACUAUAAUACAAUAUAGUGUGCCAAACACUCUCUACGACUUUACUUAAUGUUGCUCAAUGCCUUUUAUUUCAAUUCCCAAUCAUGAGUUUAUCUCAAUUAAUGCCGGACCCAAAUGUAGUGUUGUGCAAUGCUGCAAGUCAAACAUACCCUUCGUGUAAUACAUACACACACGCACUCUCUUUUUUUAAGUAAGAGCAUCCCCACAUUGUUAAAGUAAAAAUGUCACUAAAAUACAAAAGAAUAAAAAUUUCAAUAUAUAUAUUUUUUAUUUGUUAGUAUAAUGAAAAUUGUGUUUUUUGUUUGUUAGUAGCUUCCUCAUUUUAACAAAGUUAGGAUGACCUCAUUAAAAAAUGAUUAUAUAUAUCGGAGUGAGUUUUCAAUUAAAGAUCCAUUAUUAUAUUAAAGUCAAUGAUAAAUUAAAAAUAAAAAACACUGGUUAAUAAUAUAUAUGCAUCGGAGUCUGUAUUUUUAUUUUUUAACUUAUUGUUGAUUUUCAUAUAGUUAAGAUUCAUGUAUAUAUAUUUAAAAAGUGGAAGAAGAAAUUAAUUUAAAGGGCCGUUGAGAUCCGGAUCCAAAAGUCCAGAAAACUUCAAAUUGGACUAUGACCCAAACAUUAGAAAACAUUCACCAAAACAAAACCCAAACAGAACCCCAGAAUCAGCUUACACUCGACCUCUCCCGGAAGCGGUAUCGAGUUGAUUUUGCAGGUGAAAAUCCGUUGAUUUUAAUUUCUUUUUCUCCAAAAUUUUCAUUUCAUUUCUUAUUAUUAUUAUUAUUUCUUUUCAAUAAGUUCAUUGAAUUUGUUCUCUGUUUCUUAACUGAGAAAAUGAUUAAAUAAAGUCUUCUUGUUGAUUCAGGUUUAUACUCGUAAAUAAUAUAUCAUGCCGGACACUCAGGCACUUGUGAAUGACUUUCUUAACAAGCUUAAAAAACAGUUACGUUUCGGACAAUAUAUUUUAAUUAUUCUUUUUUUUUAUACUGAUUUUAGGAGCUGAUUUUGUUUGUUUGUUUUGUGAGUGGCAGUAAGAUCGAGGGCUCGCAAGCAACGGCAAGGCAGACCGCGGAGCUGCUUCGCUCUGUGAUUUCACAGCAGCGCGUGCCGUACACAAAUCAGGCUGGAGCUUUAAUUGAUGCUGUCAAAGCUGUUGGCGAGCAGCUCAUUGCUGCCAAUCCUGUUGGUUCGUUUUUUUUUUUUCCGUUUUCUUUUCGACUAUUAGUUUGCUCUUGAAUAAAUACAAAUAUGGUACUUAGUCAUGUUAGUUAUUUUUAAUAUCAUUGUGAUGAUAUCACCUUUUUUCAGCUGAAUUGAUUUUUAUCAAAAUGUUAUUAACUUGAAGUAUGUUAAUUGUUUUCAUCGCUCUUAAUUUAGUUUUGUUGUAAUCUAGCAUCCUCCAAUUAGUACAGCUAAUAUAGUGUAUGUGCUGUAGGUAAUUUGGCAUAGUUACCUCUGAGGUUGGGGUCUUGUACAAUUAUUGAUGUUAGGCACCAGAACUUGCAUUUGUUUGGGGCAUGCAUUAGAUAAUCUGGUAUCUACAAAUUUAUUGUACUUCCAUAGCAAACAUUCUUCUUUUCUUUUUGAAUCACAUGGAUGAAACUAUGCAUUCUGCUGUUGAAAAUUAGUAUUGUUGCUAUAUUCACUAUCAAAUGGAUUCGGCAUCGCUAAGAAACCUUUUCUACAAAGUUAUACUUGGUUUUUUAUUUAUGAUUUGUUUCUUUUAUUUCUUUCCCUUUUGUGGCUUUUCAAUUCUCCCUAGCACUUAUUUCCAGAUCCUCUUUCCAAAAUUAAAAAUGAUUAAUUUUCUUCUUUGUUUGUGAUUUAUGUUUUCUUCACUUUUCUGAUUGAUUAAAUGAUAUAUCAAUGCAGAGCUUGCCGUGGGUAAUAUUGUGAGGCGUGUUUUACACAUCAUUAGAGAGGAAGAUCUGUCUUUGACUACGGCUGCUAUUGGUGAGCUGAACUUAUCUGCUGUAAGUGAUGAUGAAAAUGAUGAUGAUCGAGAUGGCGACACAACUCUAUCGGCAGCUGCUGUUGCUGCUGCUGCUAGAAGUACUUUGCGUCCACCUUCUUUGCAAACUCUGCUCGAGGACACACCUGUCUCUGCAGCUGUUCCUCAGACUUCCUCAUCUGGGGGUGAUUCUGAAGGAAAAAGCUAAUGUGUGUUACUUUUUUUUUUUUUUUUUUUUUAUAAAGUGUUUUUGAUAAUUCUUCAAUCAUAGCAUCUUCUGUUAUUUUCCCUAAAUAAGCUUGUCUUAUGUAACACAUGUUUUAAAUAUGCAAUCGGAUGCAUCUUGGUGAUAAACUGGUGUUCCUGAAUGUUUUAGCAUUGAUGAUUUAGUUAAUUCAGCCUUAUGAUGGUAGAUAGUUAACAUACUAGUUUCCUUCACAGCUGCUGAUAAAAGUUCAAGAAGUCGGAAGCUGAAGCAUGAUGUUAUUGAAGCGGUUAAUGAACUUAUUCAAGAUAUUGUCACUUGCCAUGAACAGAUUGCUGAACAAGCAGUGGAGCAUAUACAUCAGAAGUAAUUAUUCCUUUUCCUGAUUUCAACUAGACAAUAUGUUUUUUCUCUCUCAUACCUUUUCUCCAUACUUGGACUUUAUUUUCAGGAGAAUUGAAUGUCUACAUAAUUCCUUUUUACCUGUUAUUUUAGGAUAUAUGUAUUCAGUUUGUUGUUUAUGCAUGUACUACACUUAGCAUGUACUACACUUAAAAAUGCAUGCAAUAUCUCAUUUAGAAGCAUAUAUAUAUGCUCUUUUCAUUCUUGUUAGGUUUUUUCUAUGUCACUUUCUUAAGUCUAAAAGAAUAAUGUUGUUUGUCUAUUCUCAUGUUGUCUUCCUAAGGAAUUGUAGGAUGAUAAUUUCAUGUAUCGAUGAUGAACUGUAAGCAGUUUUCAUAUCUGGCUUGCAAGCAUUCCCUUUUAGUAUGAUGUGGAGGUUAGGUUGCCGGAAUUGUUGGUGAUUUACAAAUAAUCGAAGGUUACUUCUAUUAAGAGGAAUGAGAGAUUUACAAAUACAAUAUUGCACUACAAGACUCGAUGUCUAGAUACAAAUCAUGGACUCCCUUUUAUAGGCUCAAGGGAUCCACUAUUACACACUAUUUGCAUUAUUGAUCCUUAUCACUAAGGAAUUUACUUUACAACUCAUUACCUACUUUAAAUCACAUCACACUUAUUACACUCUUAUCCUUAUCUCUAAGGAGAAUACGAAUACAAUACAUAUAUUAUUAUCACCACUGCUUCAACUGCAGGGUUCACUAAGUUUCCGCUACAAUCCCGAGUUGCCACUUGUUGGCGUGCUCAUCCCUGACCUAUGGUUCCACCUUUCUUCGGAUGCUGCUUCCAUAUCAUCUGCUAGUUGCUGCCAAUCUGGUUCGACUACAUUGUCUGGUUGGGGCCAUUCUUGAAGGUCUAGCCAUUCGGCCAUUUCUUCAAGCUCGUUCCUCCAUCUGUCAAUAUCUGGAGUAUCCAAAUAAUUGACCUCUCUUGGCCUACCAUGCCUGAUAAGGUAGUCGUUAUACCUCUGCUGCAUAUCUGCUGCUUGCUCCUCGUCUUCAUGCAGCUUGAGGUUUCUGAUCUCUUCCCGGUAGUAGAGAUCUGGAGUACUACAGACCUGUGGAGAAAUGGGACUGUGAGUAAUAUACAUAGGAAUGGUCAUGUUGUACUACCUGUACCAUAGGCUGCUUGUAUCUUCCCCAGAUAUCCGUUAGCUUCACAAUCACUAUUGUAGUAUGAGUGAUGUGAUAUCCAUUGAUCAAUUUGAGUGUUGAGUGUUAGGAUAUCUUCAAAGAUUGAGGCGAACAUUUGAUCGAACCAUCUUCCCUUUCUGUAUCUCCGACUGGUGUGAAUAAGAUUUGGCUCGAACAGUAUUGCCACCGGGUAGAUGUUCAGCCAAUACCAGGUUAUGUAAUAGGCCUGAGGGGUUAUGUCACAAAUAACAUAAUGUCCCCAGUUGGAGUUCUCAUCUAUUACAUGAUGGAAUGUACAACCAAUUUUGAAGAUUGUUUCGUGCAUUUGGUUAGGAUUAGGAUGUGGGUCAAAAGCUCUUUGACAUUUCUUGUUGUGGGCAGGUCUAUGUUCUUGCAUGGCCAUAAGCUGCCAUACCCCCCAUGUUAGAGCUUGGUCUUUUGGAUCGCUCUUAUGAUUGAUGACCCUCUCAAAUUUUUCUCGUUGUACUUCGGAAGUACACGCAAUGAAAGUGUUGAGAUCUUUGAGAAAGUGUGCUCUAGUCUCAUGAACACUAGAGCUGCCUUCUUCCCACCUCUUUGGAAGGCUUCUUCUUUUGAUCAUGGUGAUUGGUCUAGAAAGAAAAUCCGCUGCAGUAUUGGAUUCUCCUUUGAUGUGUCUUACUUCGAAUUUGAAUCUCGAGAGAGACUCAGACCACCUUGCAAGCUGUAGAUCUGGGAUUUCUCCUUCUUUUCUUCUUAGUAAUCCCUGGAGGUACUUGUAAUCUGUUUCAAUCACAAAGGGGGUUAAUGAAAGAAAGAAUUGGAACUUCUUAAUCCCUUUGGCCAGAUUUAUAGCCACAUACUUUCUUGUUUCCCUUGGAUUCUUCUAUUAACAGUGCUCCCCAAUAAUGGAUUCUUUUUUCCUGUGAUGAAAAGCGAAAAGAGAUUGCCUUAACAGUUUUUUUCUUUUUUCCCCCCGAUAAAGUAUGUUUUGUGCUAACGUUGACCAGUUGCACUUGUCAAAUAAGAUAAUCAAUCAAGUUGUUCUAUUGAUUUUGGGUGGAUACCUGGUUCACUACUAAAGUGCAUUCUGUCCAUUGUUUAGUACUGCAGAUACUCAUAGUUUCGUAUUAAAAAAAUAUAAAAAAAGAUUAUCAAAGGAAUUGUGAAUCUAAUUUUUUCAUUGAUAGUCUUAUUUGACAUGUGUAAUAGGUCAAUGUUAAGACAGAACAUACCUUAUCAAAAUAAUAUUUCAAAGAAAAACAUGUUGUAGCAGCCUCCUGCUGCCAGUCAAAGUUGGCCUCUGACCACCGUCUAAACUUUUUCUCUUUGAGCUUGAACAACUGUGUAUGUAGUUAGUUGUAUUAAGACUUAAAAAUUUGACUUCCCUUUGAUAUCAUUUCCUUUUUACAUAGGAAUGUUUCCUCCGAGUAGUGUCUGUGAUUUUCAAUCAUAGUUGGGAAAAUCUAUCAUUCUUCAUAUUUGAUUAAUACAAGCAUUGACACUAAUCUAGAAGUAUUUAUUACAUGUCCUCUGUUUCUAGAUAUUCACAUGUUGCCAUUUUAAGGACUGUCUACUGAAUUUUUUUUGGAAAGGAUAUCCUCUACGCCCUUGUGUUUUGUCUUAAAAUCAGUGAAGUCCAUUUUGAGAAAUAGUGAAAUGCCUGUAUCAUUAAUUUGUUUUUCUGUUGCCAUUAAGCAAAACAAAUAUUCAAUGGGAUGCAUUUGACUCUUUCUGAAAAUUGACUCCUUGACAAAGUAGCAGUGAAUGUUAUAUGCCGUAAUUUUGCUUACAUGGUGAUAGCGCUUAGUCUCAUUUGAUUUUUUUUUUUUUUUUUAAUUACAAAAGAGAGCAAUAUGUGCAACUUUUGCUCACAGUUCAAAUGUUUUGGUCCUAGUUGACUUGCGAAUGACUAAAGUGGUAAUAUUCUGAACUUUUAAUGGUGGGAUAUUUGCGUAACUUGCUGGACGUCAGGGUUAAAUUGUGGUCGGGAAAACUUAUACAUAUCAGCGGUGUACAAAAGUUUGGCUCAUUAUUAGCAGGGGAAAUAUUGUGAUUCAUGGCCUUUAUCUAGUUUGGGUCAGCUAUGGCAUAUUAUAUAUGUUCUCUUGUGUCUUAUCUCCUAUAUUGUCCAAUACAUGUAUUUGCUUAUUUUUAAAUUCUUCAUCUAUGUUUCUUCCUACCAUUUGCUACUUCCAUUAAUUUUAGCUAUUAAAUGUAUUUUCAGUGAGGUAAUAUUAACUUUAGGCAGUUCAAGGAUGGUGUUGGAAUUUCUUUUUGCUGCAAAGGAGAAAAAAAGAUCAUUCCGGGUAUUUGUCGCAGAGGGUGCUCCAAGGUUUGUGCAAUGGCUUGCUAUUUGUUGAUUGCAAAGAAAUAUUUCACUGGCUACUUUGGCUCUGAUGUUCUCUCUCUCUCUCUCUCUCUCUCUCUCUCUCUAUCACAUUCUCUGUUUGGUUGCUGUUCUGCUACUUCUUGUUUUAUAGGUAUCAGGGGCAUCUGCUUGCAAAAGAAUUGGUAGCAAGAGGUUUACAGACCACACUGAUUACUGAUUCUGCAGUUUUUGCCAUGAUUUCCCGAGUAAACAUGGUAUGUUUGGGCCACUUUUCUCGUUUGGUUUUGGAUUUCCUGAAAUGUUUUUAGCUUGAUCUAAAAAUUUGAAAUGUAAGGUUAUAGUUGGAGCUCAUGCUGUCAUGGCCAAUGGUGGGGUUAUAGCACCUGUUGGGAUGAAUUUGGUUGCACUUGCAGCUCAGAAGCAUGCUGUCCCUUUUGUUGUACUUGCCGGAAGUCACAAGGUAGUUUGGUGCAACAAACUGCUUAACUAGAAAAUUAAGUAAAAUUUAGAAAGCCCAUUUUCCUUAACUGCCAUUCCUAAAUUCGUUGGUCUUGUGUAUGAACUGGUGUGGAGUUUAAGAUGGUGCUCAGUUAUUCAUGUGAAGCGAACUUCCCUUUCAGAUAAAACUGAUCACUAAUGUAAGGAGUAGUAUGUGCAAGAUGCAAAUGUGUUUAUGAAUAGUAUGUGGGUGUAAAAGCUCAUAUUCUUUGUACCAAAUAUUAUUGAAUGUUGGUUGAAUUAAUCUCUGUAGCUGCUGUCCUUUUUAAUGCAUCAACAUUUUUGCUGGGUAUUGAAUUGCAUCUGGUUGUAAUAACAUUGUAGUUGGAGAUAAAUCAUUGAACUCUGGUACUUCAGUUCUGGGUAUGAUCUUUUUGACAAAUGUGGUUGGUCUAUAUGACAGUUAUGCCCCCUCUAUCCGCACAAUCCUGAAGUUUUACUGAAUGAGUUGAGAUCCCCAUCAGAGCUGCUGGACUUUGGAGAAUUCUCAGACUGCAUGGAUUUUGGGAGUGGCAGUGGUUCCCCUCUUCUUCAUGUGGUCAAUCCAGCAUUUGACUAUGUUCCACCGAAACUUGUUAGUCUUUUUAUUACUGACGCGUAAGUUCAACUGCCCUUUUAGCAUGAGACAGAGACAAUCUACACCUUACGUGCAAUUUUUAUGCAAUAUAAAUUGCAGAAAUCCUUCGAUCCUAUUUCCUUCUGAUAGAGCCAUAGCAGAAAUCUUGAUUGCCGGCUUUACUGGUCAACUAAAGGGAUGGUGGGAUCACCUUCUCACUAAAUUGCAGCAAUUAGACAUUCUAAAUGCCAUCCAAACCGAUGAAACUGGUGUACACCUUUCCAUUUGUUAUCAGUGCCCUUGGCUCUGAUACCAGAAGGAAAUAUCUUGAUAAGCUUUUGGAGGCCGAGAAGGAAAUAGGAUCGAAGGAUGGAUGUGUUUUCAAAAUACUUUAUUAUUUAAAAACUCAAAUUAAACAAUUAAUGGAAUCGGCUUCUUCAGAUUUUAAAAGGAUUUACCGUUUCUUUAUUAAAUCAAUUUGCUUUGGAACGCGGUUGAUCAAAAUUUUAGAUCUAAACUGGUACGUGGCGUUGUUUUACCGAAUCGAUGCAGAACUUAAUCUGCCUUUGAACCCAGAUCUGACUUAGAACAGAUCAAUAGUCCGCACGUUCUGGUUUCCAGCCGAUAUACCGGAUUAGUGUGCUUUACCAAAUAUUAAUUAGAUUCUUUGGUAGAUCUGGAGAUCUACUUUGCUUUGAAACGCGAUUUGUAAAUUUUUAGAAGUGUCUUUACCAGAUCUGAGUUAGGUUGAUUUUAGCAAAUCUAGCAACAGGGCUUUACAGAAAUAAACAUGCAUUAAGGUUGGCUUCUAAAACAUACACAGUACCAGAUCCGGUUCCCGGAAAUGGUGCUCUGAAGGAAUGGAGGGAGAAGAGAAGUGUACGACUGAGGAUCGAGAUCCGGUCUCUUUGCCUCAGAAGAAUGUAUAUUUUAUAAAGCAGAUCUGAUACAGAUCAGUCUGCAAGCAUGCUUUGUAAAAGAAAAUGCUUUAAAAUUAAAUUGCAGAAAUUUAAAUGCUUUGAAUUUAAAUUACAUGAAUUGAAAUUGCUUUAUAAAUAAAACUAGAUCAAAGAUCUAGACAUACACUUUGCUUUUGUUGCUGCUUUAGAAUUUUCAAAUCUUUCCAGAAGGGAAGAUUGAAAGACGGGAAGAUUCUUUUGAAGGUAAAGAACUAGUCUGAUUAAUCAAAGCUCUAAGGUAGAACUAUUGCGUAAACAGAAAAUUUCUUCAAACACUUCUUGCUUUGGAGAGAGUUUUAGAGAGAAGGAGGAGGAGAGAGAGAAAUGAAAACUCAAAAUAAAAACCUGUGAGGAGUCUCAGUCUUCCUCUUGGAUUAUAUACAAAAGUCAUAAAAUGUACAGUUACAUUUGUACUAUUCACUGUAGCGGGUUUGUAAGUGCACAGUAACAAAUGGAAAGGUGUACAGUUGAGCAGGAGUCUUUGGAGGCCGAGCAGGAAUGCUGAGCAGGAGUCUUUGGAGGCCGAGCAGGAAUGCUGAGCAGAAGCUUUGUAGAAGCCGAGCAGAAAUGCUGAGCAGGAAUGCUGAGCAGAGAAACUUUGUAAAGCGGGUGAAGAGACAUGUGCGCUCUCACUUGUGUCCAGAGGACCACCCGAGGAGAAAAAUAAGCAAUAAAAUAUUUUUUUUUUCAAUAGUUACAUGAACUAUUUACAAUGCUUUAUCGGAGAGAAAAUCCCGAAACAAUCGUCUUCGUUUUCAUCUCCAAGAGAGACGGUUGGCUCGUUAUCUUCUUCGUCUUCAUCUUCAGAAGAAUCUGCAACUGAAGAUUUGGACCGAGAAGCGAGGAGCUGUUCCAUUGCUUUGAAGUACUCUUCUUCUGUUUUGGCACUUGCGAGGAGGGCUUGGGCUUUGGAUUUCUGUGUGAGGAAAGUGCUUUGGGCUUUAAUGUCUUUAAUAGCUGGUUGAAGGUGGCCUUGAGCAGAAAGCCAGUUUUGGACAAGGUUUGGUAGUUAAUUUGGUCUGCUCGUCAAAUUUUGACCACCAUUUGACUCUAAAGGUUCUUUGGAGGACAAAAUGAGAAUCUUGUGUGUGAUGUCGAACACUCCACAUCCAGACCCAUGGGAGGAAGAAAUUGGUACAAAAGCAGAGAAAAUGAGGAAAUCUUUUCUCAGACUCAGUAGGUUUGUAGUUGGCUUUGAAAAGGUUUAGGCAUUGUAGGGCAUUUUGGGUAAGGAUUUCAGAGGUCGGACCAAAAUAAUUCCACCAAUGGUGAAACCAAUUGGGAAGGCUCUGGACGGUUAUUUUUGAAUUAAAGAAAAAUAACCAGGAAUGAGAUUUUUUAGGGUUUUGUAUGAAGAAAGUGUUAUACCAAGCCUGUUGGUAAUCCCAGUAGGAGAAAGACCGACAGUGUGGUAAACGGGUCUCAAAAUCAAGAGGGAAAGUUUUAAAAUUGUGGAGCAGAUCACCCCACUGAUUAGGGCUCAAAACUUUUAAAAUUGUGGCCGUAGAAUAGGCCGGCUCAGAAUGGGUUUUGCUUAAAAAGAAAUGUUUGAAUUUUACUGAAUCAGUAAUUUCCAAAAUGCUUUGAUAGUAAGACUGGGGUUUCGUCAAAUCCCAUGGUUUGAAAAACCAGCCUUGGGGAAAAAACUUUGAAAUACUUUGAAAAGGAUCAGAGUGGUAAAAUCCAUCUUCCAUUGAAACAACGUUUUGAAAAUUGGCUUUAUCAAACCAAUCGGAGGUUUUCUUUGAAGGUGUUGGCUGAGAGAGCACAAUUUGGGAGGAUGAGCUCUCACCAGAAACUACAAUGUUUUGAGAGGAAGGUUUUGAGAUAGCUUUAGAAGUGGGUUUUUCUUCCUCUUUAGGUUGGACCUGGGAAAGGCUUUGUAGAGCUAUCAUAAGCUCAUGUGAUUUUGUAAUGGAACUCAUCCAUUGCUUUACUUGGUCUUCAGAGGAAAUGGAUUUGUAUUUGGCCUCAUGUUCUUCAACCAAUUCAAUCCAAGAUUUAAUUGGCAUGGCUGAGGAAAGAAGUUUUUCUUUAGAAGGGGUUGCUUGAGGUUCUUUGGACGGUUCUUGGGAAGCAGGAGCUUUCCCUUUGUCUCUUUUCUUUGGAGCCAUUACCUGUUUUGAAGAAAUUCCCGAGUUAGAAAAUCAGGAACAGAAUUUUUAUCACCUUUAAUGAAUUCUAUAUCAAAAUCAAAAACACUGAGAAUAGCUUGCCAACGUGCAAAAAUCUGUUUUGAUGCAAUGUUUUGAACAUCCUUUUCUAAAACAUGUUUUGCAGCUUUGCAAUCAAUUCUAAGUAAAAAUUUUUGAUUUAAUAAAUUACUUUGGAAUUUAGUAAUGCAUAAAACAAUGGAAAGAAUUUCUUUUUUGAUAGUAGAAUAGUUUUUCUGACAAUCGUUCCAAUGGGCAUAGACAUAUUGUACUAUCUGUUCUUUAUCAUUUUCUUUUUGCUUUAAAAUACCUCCAUAUCCUAAAUCUGAUGCAUCAGUUUCAACAAUUUUAGGAAAUGCAGGAUUUGCAAGAUGUAAACAUGGAAUGCUUUUAACAGACUGCUUUAUUAGUCUAACAACUUUGGUAUGCUCUUCUGACCAUGCAACAGGAUUCUUUUUUAACCUAUCAUGCAAAGGUUUUGACAUCCUAUUAAUAUUAGGGCAGAAAUCAAGAACAUAAUUUAAACUAUCAAGAAAUCUUUGGAGUUGGGUUUUAUCUAAAAUUUUGUCUGGGAAUUUGUCCGCAAACAAAAGAGAUCUUUCAAUAGGAGUAAUGGUUCCUUUGGAAAUAUGAUGACCAAGAAACCUGACUUUUGUUUGAAACAAUGAAAUUUUGGAACUGGAAAGAGCUAAUCCAGCCUUUUUUGUAGCAAGAUAAAAAGUCUUUAGAUGUUUGAAAUGUUGAUCAAUGCUUUGAGAAAAAAUCAAAACAUCAUCGAUAUAGACAAUGCAAAACUCAGAGUAGGGAUUGUAAAUAUCAUUCAUAAUUCUUUGAAAUUCUGAGGGUGCAUUUUUCAAACCAAAAGGCAUUACUGUCCACUCAUAUUGACCAAAAAGAACAGUAAAUGCUGUUUUGUAACGGUCUUUAGGAUGAAUUUGAAUUUGCCAAAAACCUGACUUCAUAUCAAAUUUGGAAAAAAUGAAGGCCGAGCAGAGUUUUUGAAGCAAGUCUUUCUUAUUAGGUAUCGGGUACCUAAUCCAUUUCAAAGCUUUAUUUAAAGGUUUGUAAUUUAUCACAAGUCUAGGUACACCUCUUUCAAUCUCGAAAUUUUUAUUGACAUAAAAAGCAGCACAAGACCAAGGUGACCUGGAUUUUACAAUAAGACCUUUGGAAACAAGAUCAUUAAUUUCUCCUUUACAAUGUUGUUCCAAAUCCGAAUUCAUUUGGAUUGGACGGGCUUUAGUAGGUAUUUGCUUUUCAUAAAAAGAACUUUUAUAGGGCAAAUCUACCAAAUGUUGUUUUUUAUUCCAAAAAGCAGUUGGUAAAUCAGCACAAAUUUCUUUUUUAAUAAGACUUUUGAAAUCAGAAAUCUUUCUUUGUAUAAUAUCAUUUUGUAAUUGACUCUCAACUCUUUGAAAACUUAAAUCUUUUUGUAAGUAAAACAAAUCAUCUUGUUUAGACUUUACAAUGGCAUUGAUUUUGUUUUGGUAAACCGAGCAGGCUUUGACAAUAUUAAGGUUUCGGGUCUUUGGUUUUUCAAUAAAUGGAAAAGCAAGUUCUUUGGAUUUUGCUUUGAAAUAUAUACCAUCAUAGUUGACAGCAUAUGGGGUUAUCAAAUUUAUAAAAGGUGUUCCUAAAAUGAUAGCAUGGUGUAUAUCAUUUGUAAGAACAAAAGAGGUUUUAAACUCAAUUUUGUCAUUAUAAAUAGCUGCUUCAACUUCGGGUCUUUGGAAUUUUGUCAUUAUAAAUAGUAGGGAGUGCCAAUUCCCAAUGAAUUUUGUUGGCUUUAGGAAUAGGUUCUUCAGUAAAGGCUUCUAAGUCAGAAGAGGCAAUAGAAGCCUGGUUUUGGUCGAGUACUCUAAUUCUACUCAACUGAGGAGUAUCAAUCCUGCUGGAUUGAGGAGUAUCGGGAGCUAUUUGAACUUUACUAGAUGAGGAAGAAGCAGCUUCUAUCCUAUCUAAUUGUUCUCUAAUGGCUUUGGCAAAAUCAGACUUUGAUUCUUGGACAAGCUUCUGACUAGUUUUCGAAACCUGAAAAGGUUUGAAAAUAGGUUCUUUAAGCUUUUUAUCAGAAUCUGAUUUUAAAAUCAGAUUUCGAAACCUGAUUUUGCCAAAAUUCCAAAACAAAAUUGAGUUGAAGCAGCUAUUUAUAAUGACAAAAUUGAGUUUAAAACAUCUUUUGUUCUUACAAAUGAUAUACACCAUGCUAUCAUUUUAGGAACACCUUUUAUAAAUUUGAUAACCCCAUAUGCUGUCAACUAUGAUGGUAUAUAUUUCAAAGCAAAAUCCAAAGAACUUGCUUUUCCAUUUAUUGAAAAACCAAAGACCCGAAACCUUAAUAUUGUCAAAGCCUGCUCGGUUUACCAAAACAAAAUCAAUGCUAUUGUAAAGUCUAAACAAGAUGAUUUGUUUUACUUACAAAAAGAUUUAAGUUUUCAAAGAGUUGAGAGUCAAUUACAAAAUGAUAUUAUACAAAGAAAGAUUUCUGAUUUCAAAAGUCUUAUUGAAAAAGAAAUUUGUGCUGAUUUACCAACUGCUUUUUGGAAUAGAAAACAACAUUUGGUAGAUUUGCCCUAUGAAAGUUCUUUUGAUGAAAAGCAAAUACCUACUAAAGCCCGUCCAAUCCAAAUGAAUUCGGAUUUGGAACAACAUUGUAAAGGAGAAAUUAAUGAUCUUGUAUCCAAAGGUCUUAUUGUAAAAUCCAGGUCACCUUGGUCUUGUGCUGCUUUUUAUGUCAAUAAAAAUUCCGAGAUUGAAAGAGGUGUACCUAGACUUGUGAUAAAUUACAAACCUUUAAAUAAAGCUUUGAAAUGGAUUAGGUACCCGAUACCUAAUAAGAAAGACUUGCUUCAAAAACUCUGCUCGGCCUUCAUUUUUUCCAAAUUUGAUAUGAAGUCGGGUUUUUGGCAAAUUCAAAUUUAUCCUAAAGACCGUUACAAAACAGCAUUUACUGUUCCUUUUGGUCAAUAUGAGUGGACAGUAAUGCCUUUUGGUUUGAAAAAUGCACCCUUAGAAUUGCAAAGAAUUAUGAAUGAUAUUUACAAUCCCUACUCUGAGUUUUGCAUUGUCUAUAUCGAUGAUGUUUUGAUUUUUUCUCAAAACAUUGAUCAACAUUUCAAACAUCUAAAGACUUUUUAUCUUGCUACAAAAAAGGCUGGAUUAGCUCUUUCCAGUUCCAAAAUUUCAUUGUUUCAAACAAAAGUCAGGUUUCUUGGUCAUCAUAUUUCCAAAGGAACCAUUACUCCUAUUGAAAGAUCUCUUUUGUUUGCGGACAAAUUCCCAGACAAAAUUUUAGAUAAAACCUAACUCCAAAGAUUUCUUGUUAGUUUAAAUUAUGUUCUUGAUUUCUGCCCUAAUAUUAAUAGGAUGUCAAAACCUUUGCAUGAUAGGUUAAAAAAGAAUCAUGUUGCAUGGUCAGAAGAGCAUACCAAAGUUGUUAGACUAAUAAAGCAGUCUGUUAAAAGCAUUCCAUGUUUACAUCUUGCAAAUCCUGCAUUUCCUAAAAUUGUUGAAACUGAUGCAUCAGAUUUAGGAUAUGGAGGUAUUUUAAAGCAAAAAGAAAAUGAUAAAGAACAGAUAGUACAAUAUGUCUCUGCCCAUUGGAACGAUUGUCAGAAAAACUAUUCUACUAUCAAAAAAGAAAUUCUUUCCAUUGUUUUAUGCAUUACCAAAUUCCAAAGUGAUUUAUUAAAUCAAAAAUUUUUACUUAGAAUUGAUUGCAAAGCUGCAAAACAGAUUUUUGCACGUUGGCAAGCUAUUCUCAGUGUUUUUGAUUUUGAUAUAGAAUUCAUUAAAGGUGAUAAAAAUUCUGUUCCUGAUUUUCUAACUCGGGAAUUUCUUCAAAACAGGUAAUGGCUCCAAAGAAAAGAGACAAAGGGAAAGCUCCUGCUUCCCAAGAACCAUCCAAAGAACCUCAAGCAACCCCUUCUAAAGAAAAACUCCUUUCCUCAGCCAUGCCAAUUAAAUCUUGGAUUGAAUUGGUUGAAGAACAUGAGGCCAAAUACAAAUCCAUUUCCUCUGAAGACCAAGUAAAGCAAUGGAUGAGUUCCAUUACAAAAUCACCUGAGCUUAUGAUAGCUCUACAAAGCCUUUCCCAGGUCCAACCUAAAGAGGAAGAAAAACCCACUUCUAAAGCUAUCUCAAAACCUUCCUCUCAAAACAUUGUAGUUUCUGGUGAGAGCUCAUCCUCCCAAAUUGUGCUCUCUCAGCCAACACCUUCAAAGAAAACCUCCGAUUGGUUUGAUAAAGCCCAUUUUCAAAACAUUGUUUCAAUGGAAGAUGGAUUUUACCACUCUGAUCCUUUUCAAAGUUUUUUCCCCAAGGCUGGUUUUUCAAACCAUGGGAUUUGACGAAACCCCAGUCUUACUAUCAAAGCAUUUUGGAAAUUACUGAUUCAGUAAAAUUCAAACAUUUCUUUUUAAGCAAAACCCAUUCUGGGCCGGCCUAUUCUACGGCCACAAUUUUAAAAGUUUUGAGCCCUAAUCAGUGGGGUGAUUUGCUCCACAAUUUUAAAACUUUCCCUCUUGAUUUUGAGACCCGUUUACCACACUGUCGGUCUUUCUCCUACUGGGAUUACCAACAGGCUUGGUAUAACACUUUCUUCAUACAAAACCCUAAAAAAUCUCAUUCCUGGUUAUUUUUCUUUAAUUCAAAAAUAACCGUCCAGAGCCUUCCCAAUUGGUUUCACCAUUGGUGGAAUUAUUUUGGUCCGACCUCUGAAAUCCUUACCCAAAAUGCCCUACAAUGCCUAAACCUUUUCAAAGCCAACUACAAACCUACUGAGUCUGAGAAAAGAUUUCCUCAUUUUCUCUGCUUUUGUACCAAUUUCUUCCUCCCAUGGGUCUGGAUGUGGAGUCUUCGACAUCACACACAAGAUUCCCAUUUUGUCCUCCAAAGAACCUUUAGAGUCAAAUGGUGGUCAAAAUUUGACGAGCAGACCAAAUUAACUACCAACCUUGUCCAAAACUGGCUUUCUGCUCAAGGCCACCUUCAACCAGCUAUUAAAGACAUUAAAGCCCAAGGCACUUUCCUCACACAGAAAUCCAAAGCCCAAGCCCUCCUCGCAAGUGCCAAAACAGAAGAAGAGUACUUCAAAGCAAUGGAACAACUCCUCGCUUCUCGGUCCAAAUCUUCAGUUGCAGAUUCUUCUGAAGAUGAAGACGAAGACGAUAACGAGCCAACCGUCUCUCUUGGAGAUGAAAACGAAGACGAUUGUUUCGGGAUUUUUUCUCCGAUAAAGCAUUGUAAAUAGUUCAUGUAACUAUUCAAAAAAAAAAAAAAGAAAAGAAAGUAUUUUAUUGCUUAUUUUUCUCCUCGGGUGUUCCUCUGGACACAAGUGAGAGCGCACAUGUCUCUUCACCCGCUUUACAAAGUUUCUCUGCUCAGCAUUUCUGCUCGGCUUCUACAAAGCUUCUGCUCAGCAUUCCUGCUCGGCCUCCAAAGACUCCUGCUCAACUGUACACCUUUCCAUUUGUUACUGUGCACUUACAAACCCGCUACAGUGAAUAGUACAAAUGUAACUGUACAUUUUAUGACUUUUGUAUAUAAUCCAAGAGGAAGACUGAGACUCCUCACGGGUUUUUAUUUUGAGUUUUCAUUUCUCUCUCUCCUCCUCCUUCUCUCUAAAACUCUCUCCAAAGUAAGAAGUGUUUGAAGAAAUUUUCUGUUUACGCAAUAGUUCUACCUUAGAGCUUUGAGUAAUCAGACUAGUUCUUUACCUUCAAAAGAAUCUUCCCGUCUUUCAAUCUUCCAUUCUGGAAAGAUUUGAAAAUUGUAAAGCAGCAACAAAAGCAAAGUGUAUGUCUAGAUCUUUGAUCUAGUUUUAUUUAUAAAGCAAUUUCAAUUCAUGUAAUUUAAAUUCAAAGCAUUUAAAUUUCUGCAAUUUAAUUUUAAAGCAUUUUCUUUUACAAAGCAUGCUUGCAGACUGAUCUGUAUCAGAUCUGCUUUAUAAAAUAUACAUUCUUCUGAGGCAAAGAGACCGGAUCUCGAUCCUCAGUCGUACACUUCUCUUCUCCCUCCAUUCCUUCAGAGCACCAUUUCCGGGAACCGGAUCUGGUACUGUGUAUGUUUUAGAAGCCAACCUUAAUGCAUGUUUAUUUCUGUAAAGCCCUGUUGCUAGGUUUGCUAAAAUCAACCUAACUCAGAUCUGGUAAAGACACUUCUAAAAAUUUACAAAUCGCGUUUCAAAGCAAAGUAGAUCUCCAGAUCUACCAAAGAAUCUAAUUAAUAUUUGGUAAAGCAUACUAAUCCGGUAUAUCGGCUGGAAACCAGAACGUGCGGACUAUUGAUCUGUUCUAAGUCAGAUCUGGGUCCAAAGGCAGAUUAAGUUCUGCAUCGAUUCGGUAAAACAACGCCACGUACCAGUUUAGAUCUAAAAUUUUGAUCAACCGCGUUCCAAAGCAAAUUGAUUUAAUAAAGAAACGGUAAAUCCUUUUAAAAUCUGAAGAAGCCGAUUCCAUUAAUUGUUUAAUUUGAGUUUUUAAAUAAUAAAGUAUUUUGAAAACACAUCCAUCAUUCGAUCCUAAUUCACCAUAAGUGAGUUCGUCAUAGGGAAUACGAUUAUCAAAGAGGGCUUUGAUAGUAUUUCUUACCUUUUCUCCCAAAAGAGUAGGUAAACCUGCAAGGAAUUUUUCCUUCCAAGUUACAUGAUUUGCAUCAUCUCUUAGGAAGAGUCUGGUAAAGAAAGUGGUUUUGUAGUCAUUAAAAUCACUAAGUUUCCUACACCUCAAGUUGUGUAGUAACUCAGCAUUUUUGUCUCUAAGGUGAGAAGGAUCACCUAUGAAGUGUAGAGAAAUGGUCAAUAUCAGGGUAGCAACAGCAUCCUGAAUUGGGUUAUUGAGCUCAUCAAGAAUGGGGGCACCAGUUUCAUCGGUUUGGAUGGCAUUUAGAAUGUCUAAUUGCUGCAAUUUAGUGAGAAGGUGAUCCCACCGUCCCUUUAGUUGACCAGUAAAGCCGGCAAUCAGGAUUUCUGCUAUGGCUCUAUCAGAAGUUCCUGAUUGGGUUUUAUAAGCAUUGGCUACCAUGGUCAUUUGCUGCAAUACACCUAAAAUGUUGUAUUCAGACAUGCCAUCUAAAUUCCACUCAUAGACAGAGGAUGCAUUAUAUCGGGCUUGAUUUAAUGCACUGGGCCUGUUAUCUAUGGUCAAAUCUGGUGGAGAUUUGGAAGUAGGGAGUGCCAAUUCCCAAUGAAUUUUGUUGGCUUUAGGAAUAGGUUCUUCAGUAAAGGCUUCUAAGUCAGAAGAGGCAAUAGAAGCCUGGUCUUGGUCGAGUACUCCAAUUCUACUCAACUGAGGAGUAUCAAUCCUGCUGGAUUGAGGAGUAUCGGGAGCUAUUUGAACUUUACUAGAUGAGGAAGAAGCAGCUUCUAUCCUAUCUAAUUGUUCUCUAAUGGCUUUGGCAAAAUCAGACUUUGAUUCUUGGACAAGCUUCUGACUAGUUUUCGAAACCUGAAAAGGUUUGAAAAUAGGUUCUUUAAGCUUUUUAUCAGAAUCUGAUUUUAAAGUAACAGGUUUUGGACUAGGAGAAACAGAUAUGGUUGACUGUUGAAAUUGAUUUUCCAAUCUAGUCAACUGUUUUCCUAUGGUAUUUAAGUUAGUAUUACAGAAAUUGUUCUGUUGGAUAAUACUACUUAAAUUGGCUUCAGAAUCAUUUGGCUUAGGAAUUUUGUAGGGUGAAGCUCUGAUUUCAACAGGAGGUUCACCAUGAUUUAUGGUUACACUCCUAAGAGGGGGAUGCUCGGAAUCGACUGUUCUAUUACUAUCGAAGAGUUUCCACUCAGUGGUUUUCUUCCUGGUAGUAAUAGGGUUUGACUCUUUGAAAGGAUAGGAAAUGUUGUUUUGAGAAGAGUAUAUUUCGAACCAAUCAAAAAACAAUAUAUGAACUUGAUGAAAAUUAACAAAUUCAUAGUAAGUUUGUUGGAUUUCCUUCCUUUGAUUUAAAAAAUGUUUAAAAAACCAAAAUUUUUUUUCUUUAUUAUCUUCUGAAUAAAAAUCAUUAUGCAGGAUGGUUUUAUCUAAUUCAAAAUGCUUUUCAAUGACAUUUACAACAUUUUCUGUGACUGCAGAGAAUGUAGGAGAAGUUGGAAGAGAAGGCUCUUUCUCUUCCUGUCUUUGUUCAUGUUGACUGCUAAUGUAUAUGGGAUGUGGCACCUUUGUAGUGUAGUCAAUAGAACUAAUGGAAGAACUAGGUAAAUCCGAAGUGGAAAACCUAGGUUGACUCUGAAAUGGAAGAUUUAUAACAGAGGGUACUUUAGUAAAUUUCAUUUCUAGUGAAGGAAUGCUUGAGCAUGAUGCUUUAUCGGAGAAUCUGGAAGAAUUUGAUCUCCUGAAUGAUAAUUUAACUUUACCAUCAGAAUACUGAGUUACAUCUUGCAACUCUGUAUUGGGCUCAAGUUGUUUUGGAAUCGCUGGUGGAGCGGCUCCUUCAAGAAUCCAUUCCUCAGGAAGAUUUACAUCUUUCCAUUGGAUUGGUUUUGGAAUGACAGUGUUUGCUCUAGACAGGUUAGUCUGUAAGAGAAGAGUUUCAUCUCUUUUCGACUGGAAUUUAUGUUGAGUACUGAAGGCAGUAAUCAUUGCUUUGUACGAGAUUUUAAAAAUCAAUGCAACAGGGAUAGAUCCCUCAAUCAUAUGAUAAUUAUGCGUUUUGAUUUGUAAAAUCAUGCUUUUCAAAAUGUUUUUGUCUUUAAGAGACAAUGUUAUGUUUGGAUAACAAUCGAAUGAAAUGGGACCUUUACAUAGGCUAGAUUCAAUGCUACUUAGCAGAGAAUCAUCAAAAGAGAUGAAUCGACCAUCUCUAAGAACAGCAAGGAUAGAAGUAUCCAAGCCUUCCUUGGUAAGGGGCUUUAUACCUAUUUGGAUAAGACCGAUAUGAAUGUAAUUGAAAUUCUUUUCUUUUAAUUUAUUUAAAGAUUUUUCUGAAAACAAAUUAAUUGUUUCAAAAGGCUUUGAAAGAGUUAUAUCACGCUCCUCAGUUUUUAUAACAUAAUCAUUUUUCCAAAAAUCGAGCUUUUUUGUUCUGUAAAUCUUUUCUUUCGAAAUCUUUGGAAGUUCCCAACAAUCAAUUGCUUUAUCAAAGUUCUCAAUAACAAAUUCUUCUGAACUCACAACAUGCUUUGAAUCACUAGUCUUCCCAGAAGAAGAGCUAGAAAAGGACGAUGCUCUACAGUGAAGAGGAUCCAUGGUUAGAAUCCUGGGUUCUAUCUUUGGUUUGGUCAGAAUGGCUACAGGUAUGGUUUUACAGCCCUAAACGGAAAACUUAUCCUUGGACGGGACUUACUACCAGUAAAAAUUCACCACAAAAACAAAACUUCAAAAUAAAACACAAGAUUUUAAAACACGAAAUUCUAAACUGCUUUACACAAUCCUCCCCUUGGCUCUGAUACCAGAAGGAAAUAGGAUCGAAGGAUGGAUGUGUUUUCAAAACACUUUAUUAUUUAAAAACUCAAAUUAAACAAUUAAUGGAAUCGGCUUCUUCAGAUUUUAAAAGGAUUUACCGUUUCUUUAUUAAAUCAAUUUGCUUUGGAACGCGGUUGAUCAAAAUUUUAGAUCUAAACUGGUACGUGGCGUUGUUUUACCGAAUCGAUGCAGAAGUUAAUCUGCCUUUGGACCCAGAUCUGACUUAGAACAGAUCAAUAGUCCGCACGUUCUGGUUUCCAGCCGAUAUACCGGAUUAGUGUGCUUUACCAAAUAUUAAUUAGAUUCUUUGGUAGAUCUGGAGAUCUACUUUGCUUUGAAACGCGAUUUGUAAAUUUUUAGAAGUGUCUUUACCAGAUCUGAGUUAGGUUGAUUUUAGCAAACCUAGCAACAGGGCUUUACAGAAAUAAACAUGCAUUAAGGUUGGCUUCUAAAACAUACACAGUACCAGAUCCGAUUCCCGGAAAUGGUGCUCUGAAGGAAUGGAGGGAGAAGAGAAGUGUACGACUGAGGAUCGAGAUCCGGUCUCUUUGCCUCAGAAGAAUGUAUAUUUUAUAAAGCAGAUCUGAUACAGAUCAGUCUGCAAGCAUGCUUUGUAAAAGAAAAUGCUUUAAAAUUAAAUUGCAGAAAUUUAAAUGCUUUGAAUUUAAAUUACAUGAAUUGAAAUUGCUUUAUAAAUAAAACUAGAUCAAAGAUCUAGACAUACACUUUGCUUUUGUUGCUGCUUUACAAUUUUCAAAUCUUUCCAGAAGGGAAGAUUGAAAGACGGGAAGAUUCUUUUGAAGGUAAAGAACUAGUCUGAUUACUCAAAGCUCUAAGGUAGAACUAUUGCGUAAACAGAAAAUUUCUUCAAACACUUCUUGCUUUGUAGAGAGUUUUAGAGAGAAAGAGGAGGAGAGAGAGAAAUGAAAACUCAAAAUAAAAACCCGUGAGGAGUCUCAGUCUUCCUCUUGGAUUAUAUACAAAAGUCAUAAAAUGUACAGUUACAUUUGUACUAUUCACUGUAGCGGGUUUGUAAGUGCACAGUAACAAAUGGAAAUGUGUACAGUUGAGCAGGAGUCUUUGGAGGCCGAGCAGGAAUGCUGAGCAGAAGCUUUGUAGAAGCCGAGCAGAAAUGCUGAGCAGAGAAACUUUGUAAAGCGGGUGAAGAGACAUGUGCGCUCUCACUUGUGUCCAGAGGACCACCCGAGGAGAAAAAUAAGCAAUAAAAUACUUUUUUUUUUUUUUGAAUAGUUACAUGAACUAUUUACAAUGCUUUAUUGGAGAGAAAAUCCCGAAACAAUCGUCUUCGUUUUCAUCUCCAAGAGAGACGGUUGGCUCGUUAUCGUCUUCGUCUUCAUCUUCAGAAGAAUCUGCAACUGAAGAUUUGGACCGAGAAGCGAGGAGCUGUUCCAUUGCUUUGAAGUACUCUUCUUUUUUUUUGGCACUUGCGAGGAGGGCUUGGGCUUUGGAUUUCUGUGUGAGGAAAGUGCCUUGGGCUUUAAUGUCUUUAAUAGCUGGUUGAAGGUGGCCUUGAGCAGAAAGCCAGUUUUGGACAAGGUUGGUAGUUAAUUUGGUCUGCUCGUCAAAUUUUGACCACCAUUUGACUCUAAAGGUUCUUUGAAGGACAAAAUGGGAAUCUUGUGUGUGAUGUCGAAGACUCCACAUCCAGACCCAUGGGAGGAAGAAAUUGGUACAAAAGCAGAGAAAAGGAGGAAAUCUUUUCUCAGACUCAGUAGGUUUGUAGUUGGCUUUGAAAAGGUUUAGGCAUUGUAGGGCAUUUUGGGUAAGGAUUUCAGAGGUCGGACCAAAAUAAUUCCACCAAUGGUGAAACCAAUUGGGAAGGCUCUGGACGGUUAUUUUUGAAUUAAAGAAAAAUAAUCAGGAAUGGGAUUUUUUAGGGUUUUGUAUGAAGAAAGUGUUAUACCAAGCCUGUUGGUAAUCCCAGUAGGAGAAAGACCGACAGUGUGGUAAACGGGUCUCAAAAUCAAGAGGGAAAGUUUUAAAAUUGUGGAGCAGAUCACCCCACUGAUUAGGGCUCAAAACUUUUAAAAUUGUGGCCGUAGAAUAGGCCGGCUCAGAAUGGGUUUUGCUUAAAAAGAAAUGUUUGAAUUUUACUGAAUCAGUAAUUUCCAAAAUGCUUUGAUAGUAAGACUGGGGUUUCGUCAAAUCCCAUGGUUUGAAAAACCAGCCUUGGGGAAAAAACUUUGAAAUACUUUGAAAAGGAUCAGAGUGGUAAAAUUCAUCUUCCAUUGAAACAAUGUUUUGAAAAUGGGCUUUAUCAAACCAAUCGGAGGUUUUCUUUGAAGGUGUUGGCUGAGAGAGCACAAUUUGGGAGGAUGAGCUCUCACCAGAAACUACAAUGUUUUGAGAGGAAGGUUUUGAGAUAGCUUUAGAAGUGGGUUUUUCUUCCUCUUUAGGUUGGACCUGGGAAAGGCUUUGUAGAGCUAUCAUAAGCUCAGGUGAUUUUGUAAUGGAACUCAUCCAUUGCUUUACUUGGUCUUCAGAGGAAAUGGAUUUGUAUUUGGCCUCAUGUUCUUCAACCAAUUCAAUCCAAGAUUUAAUUGGCAUGGCUGAGGAAAUGAGUUUUUCUUUAGAAGGGGUUGCUUGAGGUUCUUUGGACGGUUCUUGGGAAGCAGGAGCUUUCCCUUUGUCUCUUUUCUUUGGAGCCAUUACCUGUUUUGAAGAAAUUCCCGAGUUAGAAAAUCAGGAACAGAAUUUUUAUCACCUUUAAUGAAUUCUAUAUCAAAAUCAAAAACACUGAGAAUAGCUUGCCAACGUGCAAAAAUCUGUUUUGAUGCAAUGUUUUGAACAUCCUUUUCUAAAACAUGUUUUGCAGCUUUGCAAUCAAUUCUAAGUAAAAAUUUUUUAUUUAAUAAAUCACUUUGGAAUUUAGUAAUGCAUAAAACAAUGGAAAGAAUUUCUUUUUUGAUAGUAGAAUAGUUUUUCUGACAAUCGUUCCAAUGGGCAGAGACAUAUUGUACUAUCUGUUCUUUAUCAUUUUCUUUUUGCUUUAAAAUACCUCCAUAUCCUAAAUCUGAUGCAUCAGUUUCAACAAUUUUAGGAAAUGCAGGAUUUGCAAGAUGUAAACAUGGAAUGCUUUUAACAGACUGCUUUAUUAGUCUAACAACUUUGGUAUGCUCUUCUGACCAUGCAACAGGAUUCUUUUUUAACCUAUCAUGCAAAGGUUUUGACAUCCUAUUAAUAUUAGGGCAGAAAUCAAGAACAUAAUUUAAACUACCAAGAAAUCUUUGGAGUUGGGUUUUAUCUAAAAUUUUAUCUGGGAAUUUGUCCGCAAACAAAAGAGAUCUUUCAAUAGGAGUAAUGGUUCCUUUGGAAAUAUGAUGACCAAGAAACCUGACUUUUGUUUGAAACAAUGAAAUUUUGGAACUGGAAAGAGCUAAUCUAGCCUUUUUGUAGCAAGAUAAAAAGUCUUUAGAUGUUUGAAAUGUUGAUCAAUGCUUUGAGAAAAAAUCAAAACAUCAUCGAUAUAGACAAUGCAAAACUCAGAGUAGGGAUUGUAAAUAUCAUUCAUAAUUCUUUGAAAUUCUGAGGGUGCAUUUUUCAAACCAAAAAGCAUUACUGUCCACUCAUAUUGACCAAAAGGAACAGUAAAUGCUGUUUUGUAACGGUCUUUAGGAUGAAUUUGAAUUUGCCAAAAACCCGACUUCAUAUCAAAUUUGGAAAAAAUGAAGGCCGAGCAGAGUUUUUGAAGCAAGUCUUUCUUAUUAGGUAUCGGGUACCUAAUCCAUUUCAAAGCUUUAUUUAAAGGUUUGUAAUUUAUCACAAGUCUAGGUACAUCUCUUUCAAUCUCAGAAUUUUUAUUGACAUAAAAAGCAGCACAAGACCAAGGUGACCUGGAUUUUACAAUAAGACCUUUGGAAACAAGAUCAUUAAUUUCUCCUUUACAAUGUUGUUCCAAAUCCGAAUUCAUUUGGAUUGGACGGGCUUUAGUAGGUAUUUGCUUUUCAUCAAAAGAACUUUCAUAGGGCAAAUCUACCAAAUGUUGUUUUCUAUUCCAAAAAGCAGUUGGUAAAUCAGCACAAAUUUCUUUUUCAAUAAGACUUUUGAAAUCAGAAAUCUUUCUUUGUAUAAUAUCAUUUUGUAAUUGACUCUCAACUCUUUGAAAACUUAAUUCUUUUUGUAAGUAAAACAAAUCAUCUUGUUUAGACUUUACAAUGGCAUUGAUUUUGUUUUGGUAAACCGAGCAGGCUUUGACAAUAUUAAGGUUUCGGGUCUUUGGUUUUUCAAUAAAUGGAAAAGCAAGUUCUUUGGAUUUUGCUUUGAAAUAUAUACCAUCAUAGUUGACAGCAUAUGGGGUUAUCAAAUUUAUAAAAGGUGUUCCUAAAAUGAUAGCAUGGUGUAUAUCAUUUGUAAGAACAAAAGAGGUUUUAAACUCAAUUUUGUCAUUAUAAAUAGCUGCUUCAACUUUGGAAUUUACCCUUAGCUUUGAAUUGUUUGCAGCAGAAAGUCUUUCAUUUGUUUUCUCAUGAAAUCUCUUUGGGACAAUGUCCUCUCGAAUACAAUUUAAAUCAGCACCAGUAUCAAAAAGAGCAAUGGCAUCCAUCGCAAAAUUAUCUAAAAAAAUUAAAGUAAUUUUAAUCAAAUAUUUUCUGGUGGUGAUUUGCUUUAAGACAAACAAAAAAUCAUUUGGAAUAGACGCAAUAUUAUCAAUCUUUUGCUCAAGAUCAUCAUUUUCUGAUUUAACCUCCUUAUCGGAAGUAUCUUGCAACUGUUUUUGUAAAAGGAGUUGAAUAGUUGCAGAAUCAGUUUUUUGUUUUUCUUUUAAAUUCUUUAUUUCAAGUUUAAUAUCCUUAAUCUCCUUUUGAAGAUCUUGGAUAUUAGGAGUAGACUUCUUUGUUUUCUUCUUAUCCAAAAUCUCAGUUAAAUCAUAAGAAUUCUUUUUGACAAUAGGGAUUUUAGAAGAAGAAGCUUCUGUGUUGCUUGAAUCCAUGGUUUUUAAAAGCUUAUCAAGAUAAUCCUUUUGAAGAUUUGGAUCAGAAAUGUGCUUUACAAGUUCAAGGAAAAUCUCUUGGUCUUUUGUCAAAACAUUGAUUUUCUUUAAAUAGGAAUUAUCCGAAUCAGAAUCACUAUUGCUAGAUGCAGAGCUAUCUGAAUCGAAUAGUUCAUCGACUUGGAGGGGGUCAUUAUCACCCGACCAGGAAGACUCAGAAUCAGAAGACCCGACCAGAAGAGGGGCUGUUUUAGAAAGGAUUUCCUCCUCGAGGCCGAGCUCAUGGAGUCUCCUGUUCAUUUUACAAAAACGUGCAGUAUGACCUUUCAUACCACAUUUGAAGCAGGUAGCAUCUUUAAAAUUGAAUGGGGUUUUAGGUUUGGCUUUAAACUCUUUCUUUUUAGAGAAACUAUGUUUCUUAUAAGGCCUCGAAGGUUUCUUAUAAGGAAGUUUUCUAAAAUCAUGAAAGGGUUUUCUAUGGCUUUUGGACUUGUAAUGUUUUUUGUAAGGUUUCGAAGAGCACUUACCAUUACAGUCUCUGGAAGUGGAAGUUUUAAAGGGGUCAUAAUUGAAUUGCUUGCAGAAUCCGCCUAAUUCUUGCUUAGAUUGCCUAAGCUCUUGUUUUAGACGUUUCUGAAGUUUCAAGUCUUGACAAAUCUUUAAACCUUCUUUGUUGACAAAGCUGACUAAUUCACCAUAAGUGAGUUCGUCAUAGGGAAUACGAUUAUCAAAGAGGGCUUUGAUAGUAUUUCUUACCUUUUCUCCCAAAAGAGUAGGUAAACCUGCAAGGAAUUUUUCCUUCCAAGUUACAUGAUUUGCAUCAUCUCUUAGGAAGAGUCUGGUAAAGAAAGUGGUUUUGUAGUCAUUAAAAUCACUAAGUUUCCUACACCUCAAGUUGUGUAGUAACUCAGCAUUUUUGUCUCUAAGGUGAGAAGGAUCACCUAUGAAGUGUAGAGAAAUGGUCAAUAUCAGGGUAGCAACAGCAUCCUGAAUUGGGUUAUUGAGCUCAUCAAGAAUGGGGGCACCAGUUUCAUCGGUUUGGAUGGCAUUUAGAAUGUCUAAUUGCUGCAAUUUAGUGAGAAGGUGAUCCCACCAUCCCUUUAGUUGACCAGUAAAGCCGGCAAUCAGGAUUUCUGCUAUGGCUCUAUCAGAAGUUCCUGAUUGGGUUUUAUAAGCAUUGGCUGCCAUGGUCAUUUGCUGCAAUACACCUAAAAUGUUGUAUUCAGACAUGCCAUCUAAAUUCCACUCAUAGACAGAGGAUGCAUUAUAUCGGGCUUGAUUUAAUGCACUGGGCCUGUUAUCUAUGGUCAAAUCUGGUGGAGAUUUGGAAGUAGGGAGUGUCAAUUCCCAAUGAAUUUUGUUGGCUUUAGGAAUAGGUUCUUCAGUAAAGGCUUCUAAGUCAGAAGAGGCAAUAGAAGCCUGGUCUUGGUCGAGUACUCCAAUUCUACUCAACUGAGGAGUAUCAAUCCUGCUGGAUUGAGGAGUAUCGGGAGCUAUUUGAACUUUACUAGAUGAGGAAGAAGCAGCUUCUAUCCUAUCUAAUUGUUCUCUAAUGGCUUUGGCAAAAUCAGACUUUGAUUCUUGGACAAGCUUCUGACUAGUUUUCGAAACCUGAAAAGGUUUGAAAAUAGGUUCUUUAAGCUUUUUAUCAGAAUCUGAUUUUAAAGUAACAGGUUUUGGACUAGGAGAAACAGAUAUGGUUGACUGUUGAAAUUGAUUUUCCAAUCUAGUCAACUGUUUUCCUAUGGUAUUUAAGUUAGUAUUACAGAAAUUGUUCUGUUGGAUAAUACUACUUAAAUUGGCUUCAGAAUCAUUUGGCUUAGGAAUUUUGUAGGGUGAAGCUCUGAUUUCAACAGGAGGUUCACCAUGAUUUAUGGUUACACUCCUAAGGAUAUAUAUAUAUAUAUAUAUAUAUUAAGAUUACUUAUUUGAUUUCAUUGUAGAGUACCAGUUUUCUGGCCCCUUUAUUUUCCAUUGGUGUUCCAGUUCUAUCUCUCAAUAUAUUUCAUUUUUUUUCCUCUGCUGUUGCUGUGUUGUUCUGCUAAUUUCUUUUCUUCUUCACAGGGGAGGGCACAAUCCUUCAUACAUGUAUCGGUUGAUUGCUGAUUAUUACUCGGCUGAUGACUUGGUUGUGCAGCGAAGAGCUACUGCUGGGAAUUGAUUUUGGUUUGUAUCAUCUAUUGUGUAAGCAGUCUUUUUGUGCCAAUGCUCUGGUGGAAAAUUGUUGAUUUUAACAAAAAGGAUAAUCUUUUUAAAUUGACAUAACAAUUGGUACUCUUUCUGAUUGUUAUGAUUCCAAUAAACUUAAUUGAUAUUGCGAACUGCUUCAUCUCGGGAUAUAAAAUAAUUAAAAGAUGACAAUGAGUGAAUGCUGUAACUUGGUAUAUCAUUUUGAGCUUUGACUUUAUCUAAUCUUUGCCCUAUUUUAAGGUCAGGAAUUUAUUACGGCAAGAGCAUUAGCUUUGGGUUUGAGAAAUUUCAAAUCACUGAAUUUGGAGCUGAGCUGAUGCUGUAAAAGAACUCAGGGACAUAGCGAUUGCGAGGCAAUGGUGUGAACUUGUGCAAAUUUUAGGGACGCAAACAAUGAUAGGAUAAUUUUUGUUGGCAGAAAUAUUAAAAUGUAAAAUAGAGGCUAAGAGUUGUACUGAGAUAAAAAGGUGGAUACGGUUAGAUAAUAUUUUUUGAUUGUAUCAAGGUUGGUGGUCAAGUGCUGUAUUCUUCUUCAUCAGUGAUUUUCAGACGGACGGUAUAACAUUGUUGUAUUGCUUGUUGCUUAAAAUUUUCAUAGCAGAACGUAGCUGUUGAGAUGUUUCCUAGAAUGAUUUUCUUGUCUUUGCAUGAAUAACAUUGGAGCAUAAUUAUCUGUUUAACUGUGUGUUUUCUUUCGUUCCUCGACGGUUGAGACAUGUUACUUUUGAGUAAUGAUAUGAGCCCAAAGGUCGACAUAAAUGAGUGCCAUGUGGAUGCCUCCAAGAAAGAAACAGGGCGUCCAAACGGCAUCAUGAGAGUGACAUAACGUUUCUGUCGGGCUCAAUAUAUCAUUAGAUGUUACGUUUUGGAACAUAAACCAAGGAUUUGAAAUGCAUUAUUUUACAUUAAUCCCCCGACAUAAUAGGCCGAACCCUUUAAGCCAUUUUUCAAAUGUCGCAUUUGAGAAGGGUCGAGUGUUAAAAAGGGAGUAACAAGAGCUACGAGACUAGUCUCUUGAUUCGCAUUACAAGAGGUUACAUAAAACUUCGAAUAUUAAAAUUAAGUCGCACAUAAUGCAACUUAGAUAAUGAGAAAUCAGCAGUAACUUUGCAAACAAUGGAAAAUGUUACAUAAAAAUGAGAAUACAGUUUUCAUUGAUGGUCUACAUCGAACCAGAAAUACAGAUAAGUCCUGGCAUAUAUAACUCGAACUCGCUGCAGCACUAGAUCUCCACUAGUCAAAACAGCCUUGGCACCUCCUUCAAUUCGAGUAUGCAAAACAGUAACACUAUCACCAUUACUCUUCAUUGGAGUAUCACCAUUACUCUUCAUUGGAGUAGAUGUAAUACAGCUACGAGCUGUACUCACGAUUGGGCAUGAGAGGAAGUCCAGUGGAUUCGUCUCACACUGAAGUACACACCCAUCUAUAGUUAACCUUCCACUCCGAUGGAGCAAGCAGCAGCCAAGCUCUGCUUUCACUGUUAAAUUCGCCAGCUUGCAUGUGGAUAGAAACUCCAAGGCACUGCCCAAACAAAACAAAUAUUGCAUAGCAAAUUUUGUUGCUUGAGAUAUUAUGCCGGUCAUUUUCGAGGAUCCUACUUCAUAUUUUUGGAUAACUAAAUCUAAAGGAAGAGGCUUGGUAUAAAACAGCUCAACCUUAAAACAUAUAACAAGAUCUUGAAAAAGAGCAACCAGCAGCACAUCACAAUUAUUCAUCUUAUGUGAUGAUUUAUUAUAUCUACCUGUGAACCAUGCAUAAAGUCUGUUGAAUUAAAGUGUCACAUCUAUUAAAGGUAUCUUCUGUAAAAUCCAACAAUAUGAAAGGGUCCUCAUGUAAUUGUAAUUAAUCUCCACAAAACAGUAUAACUUAAUCUGAAAUAAAAACCAGAAAAUUUACAAACCUGUCCGAACCUCGAGAACAGAUGAGGGUUGUUUCAUCAGGAAGCUCACCUCCACCGACCUGGAAAGUAAGUUCAGAGAAAAGGAAAAAGUGGAAAACAUUUAGAUGACAGAGAUCUUAUUUCUCUCUCUUCUGCUUUCCAACCAAGAAUAGAAAGUGAGAAGCCAUGUUUUUAUCUUCAGUAGGCAAUUACUUUGCGAUCAUAAUACAAAAAGGAAACCAAGGAAAUAAGUGACAAUAGCCAGCUUUCAUGAGUUGCGCUGAAGGCAGAUUUGUCACUCAGACGAAGCUGGUUUACUCAAUCAUAUCGUUUCUCAUAUUGGAUUGAUUCCUUGAACCCGCAUGAUAAUGGGAUAAAUCUGAUGUUGACUUGUGCAAUAAAGUUCCCUAAGGUUAACCAAACUAUGAAUUUCAAAUUCACCAGUCCUCGUAUGACUGCAAAACUUAAUUAGACAUUAUGAGCCCUAUAUGAGAAUAGGGUUUAAAUUUUGGGAUUUAUGGUUUAGGUAUCUGCAUUAAUCUGUGUCUCUAGUAUAGAUAAUUUUUAUUUACUUUCUAUAUGAGCAUGCCAUUCACUCUUUUUUCAUUUUGGGAGAAGAAACAGUCAACCUACAAAGAUAAUAAAAUUCAAGCAAAUAUAAUAACAACUAAUGUCAACAAUAGCCCCAAGAGGUGAAGAAAUUUUACCCAUCACCUCACACAGUUCUACCACAAGUCAGAGUUAAUCCAAAUUCAUUAGUUGGGGGCAACGCCUCAGGUCAACUUUGAAUCAACUUCAGAAGAAUAACCUUCCAUCAAUAACUUAUACAAUUCAUUUUUAUAUUAAUUUUAACAAUAAGUCUGUAUCAAACAUAUCUUGCAGCUCAUUAUGUAGAAUAUAAAUUAAAGAAUAAGAAUUAUGUUGGACUAAAUGACUGUAAUGAAAUAUGUACAGUAAAAGGACAAAUAGUGUGCCCCUCUUUUUUCUUUUUGCCUUUUUAAAUUUUCAUGAUAUUAACAGUCCAAGAGACUUUCCUAACCAAGUUUCUAUAGUGUAAAUUACAUCGCGGAAUGGGAAUAAUCCUUUAAUUGUUCACAUGGGUGUAUUAUUGAGAACAAGGAACGAUUGAAUAACGACCAAAUUAAGUCAGGCACAAUGGUUUGUAUUCGCACACAAAUAUGAAAUAAUGUUUGAUAAAACAAACAACAUACCAGGCACAGUUGUUUUUUUAUCUGAAUAUUAGAGACAGGAUGACUACCGCCUGCUGCAAUUAAAAUGGUGUCGCCCGGUCUAUGAGGAACAAUGUGAAGAUCAGGUUUAAUAGUCCUAGCGUAUCCCAAAAAUCACAUACAGGCAGUCACAACAUUACAGAUACGGCUGUCUUAAGGUCGGGGAAAACUCCAGGCUCUGAGAGAUCCUUAACAGACUGAUCUACCCGCAGCCACAAGCGAGGAUGACAUGCCAAAUAAUUCCAUCUGUGGCAAACGAGUGCGGUGUUAUACCGAUCUGCAAGCUCCAUAACAAUUGUGAAAGAGAUCGCACAAAAUUAUAUCAUACAUGCAUUUGGCAGACAUCUAAAACAUCCAUCUCAAUGCCAAACAAUCAUCAUAAAGACAAUUACAUAUAAAAUAUGUCAAAUCAUCAUAAAGACAAUUAUGCAUAAAAUAUGUCAAGCUUACUCAACAAUAUCUAUUAAACCCCAGAAAUCUUGAUGUAAUUAUCAUGUUCUUUGACAAUAAUUUCUAUCCGAUCCUUCUAGAUUUCUUUUAAGGCAUGUAAAGAAUGAGGAUAUACAGCCCUUCUAAGGGACACAAUAUACUAUUUUACGCACAAAAGAGUAUCAAUAACAUAAAUUUAGCACAGAGAGUUUUUGAAACAGGAAUUUAAAAUUAAUAGACAAUUGUUCACAACAGAAAUGCCCAUAUUCUGAAAUUCCGCAUAAAUAUAAAAUUUUUGUUUUUAAAAAAAAAUAAAUAAUCCUCUCAAUGUACAAAAUAAAUUUCAGGAAAAGUGAUGAAUUGGGCAAAACCCAAUAGAGAAAAUAAAUAAGACUCCCAACACAAAAGUCAAAAACCUGAAGCAAACUUCUAAAAAGGCCAGCAACAUUCAGCUCACAAAUACUACAUAACUUAAUGACACUAAACAUUUAUAAGAAAGAGAAGAUUUUUUUUUAAUUAAAUACAAAUAAUUCCCCAAAAAAAGAUAGUCACCUGGAAUUGGGGAUAAGAAGCUGAAUACGUGCAUAAGGCAGCCAUCAUCAAGAUUGUUUAUUGGAGCAAUAAAAGAAUUAUUUUUCAUAGUUUUGCUUUUGAAUCGUUUAAUACUUCGUUCACUGUUUAUCUUCUCUUCAUCUUCCAUUUGUUCAACAAACUCCAAGUCGACUGUUCACUGAAUCAAAAUCUUUCUUUUAACGUUUGCUAUGUUUGACUAUCAUCAGGUAUUUGACUAACAGACAACACUAACAGCACCCAAUUUUUUCAUUCACCACCCACAAGAAACCGACAUGACCCACGCCACGCACGAAAUUACUUCUGAGUUAGGCCCAAUGUUGGCCACCAGAAUUGCUUUUAAGUUUUCGCCCAAAACGAGCCAGCUGGGCUUUGAUGUCUGGCCCAACUUUUUCUAAAAAAAAGUAUAGUUAGUAUUAUUGAAUAAAAAUGUUAUAAAUAUCAAAUUCUUUGAUAAAUUUUCAUAAUUAUUUUUAUAAAUAUCAUGAAAUUUUAUUGUAUGGCAAGUGAUUUAUCAAACAUUCAGCAAGAAUUGUGGUUUUUUUUUUUUUUACACAAAAUAUGUAGGUUAAAUAUUUGUUUAAUAUUGAGGUGCUUUAACUCGAAAAUUACGAUUGCUGUAACAAAAUUCAUAUAAUUGUGAAAUAAAAAUUGAUAAUGUAUAGUAAAUAUGAUUUUUAAUAAUUUUAAUAAAAUAGUAAAGACAUUAUAAAUUUUUAUCAUAAAAUUAUGGAAUAAAAUUAACUUAACUUCUAAACUAUAACAAUAGAAGUAUACUAAACACUUUAGGCCCUAUUUGGAGUGUUGUCAAGUAGCUUGAUUACCAUAAUGGAGUACUUACUCAUUUAUUGCUACAACUUUUAAGGUACAGUGUCCAGCACAAUACUAAACAGAAUUAAAUAAUCCAAAACAAAUUGUAAAUGUUAACAAUGCUUAAAUAUAGCUAAGAACAUCAAUAUAUAUAGAGUUUGUAAAUAACACAUACCCAAAAAAGUAUAGAAAGACAAAGAUAGCCUCGAGUUUUGUACUAAAUUGGAGAAAAAAAUAAAAUUAUUUUUUCCAAAAAUAACCACAAAGUUGUUAGUAAUAAGUAGAGAUCGUAAAAUGAGUUGUUAUCAUGACACAAUAACACGACAUGGAUGUGGCACGAAUUUUGUAUAUUCAUGUUGAUAAAUAUUGAUGCAAUUAAUUAAAUAGUUGAUACUAUACGACACAAUAAAUAACCGUAUGAUUUUCAUGUUGGAUCACCUCAGCAUGAUUACAUGUUUAUGGCAUGAAUAUCAAUUAAUAUAAGUAAUAUUAUUAAAAAAAGGGAAAUUAUCAUUCAUAUACCCUAUAUUUGUUCUGUUAUCAAAAAUACUACAACACUUUGAGGGUGUAUCAAUAAUCCACCCUUAGUUGACAAAAUGUAUCAGCCGAUCACUAAACUAUUAGUUGUCGUUUGAAAGUUAACGGAGUUACAAUGAAUUAACAAUUUUACCCUUAAAAAUUAUCACUUGUAUAUCCUUAUAUUCUCUUUUUAUCACUUGUAUACCCUUAAAUUAUCACUUGCAUCAUACGAAAAGACCAAAUUACCCUUCUGACGUCAUCAUACUUAAACGGCAACUAACGGUUUGGUGGUCAGCUGAUACAUUUUGUCAACUUAGGGUGGACGAUUGAUAUACCCUCAAAGUAUUGUAGUAUUUUUGAUAAUGGAGUAAACUAAGGGUAUACAAAUGAUAAUUUCCCUUAAAAAAAAUUCACACACACACACACACAUAUAUUUGUGUUGAUAAAUAUUGAAAUGAUUAAUAAAAUGGUUGAUACGAUACGAGACGAUAAAUAACCAUAUUGUUUCAUGUUAGACCACCCUAACAUGAUUACAUGUUUAUGACAUGAAUAUCAAUUAAUAUAUGGUAAUAUUAUUAAAAAAAUUAACAUAUAUGUAAACGAUCAAUAAAUGAGUCAUACCUAUAUUUUGGUAUUUUAAUAUUGAUGUUUUGAUAUUUCGAUACAAUUAAAAAAAAAAAGAUCAUGUCAGUGUUUUCUUAACUUGAUACGACAUAGUUUAACUCAAUUAAGUAACUCACAUGUUAAAAAUUCUCUAGUAUUCUCACAAACUCUAUAGCUCCGCUAGUGGCUAGUAGUGUGGGAGUCAUUGUGUGAGCCUUUGUUAUUGUCUUUGACACUAUUUGUUUUUUAAUUGUUAUUUAUUCCUUUCUAAGUUUCUAACUAUUUUUAUAAGUUCGCGAUGAAGAUUUCAAACUAGUUAAAUUGUGUGGCUCACUUUUGUUAAAAGAAAAAGUUGCUAUGAUUGUGGUUUCAGACAAGACGUAUCAUUAUGGAAAUGUGUUGGCCGCCACUAGUUUAGUGGGAAACGUUUUGACGUAAUCGGUGAAUAAGGAUGUCUUUAUUUGUAGCGUUGCUCUGAUUUGAAAGUUCAUCAAGGGUGUUGGGAGUAGAGCAUUUAGAACAAAAUACAUUCUUGUUUCCUUUUCCUAAUGAGAAUGAUCACUGUCAUAGUUUGUCAGUGAGACCUUGGCUUUUUUUUUUUGAAUUACAUGAGACUAAUGUUCAAAUUACAACUCAUAUUUUAUGAGAUUUACAACUGAUAUUUACAAUCAGACAAUUACUGGGCCUAAUUUACAUUAAUUCUUAUAUAGCACUGUCCAGAUUUUACCCUCUCUAAUAUUCGAGUGGUGUCUACUCCACUCACAUUUCGAAAGGGAGAAGAUUGUCUUCACUUAAUAAUUAAGGAAGAAAAUAAACCCCUACAUGCGUCGCGGGGGCUCGAACCGCUGCGCUCACAGUUGUGAGUGCAGGGUCCUGGCCACUGGGCCAAGGCCCAGUUGGUUAGACCUUGGCAUUUUAAUCGUUCUUUAUUGGCUCUCUUUCCUUUAGCUAGCAAUAGAGAAUAGUGUAGUCAACAAUUUAUGAUAGUUUUUUUUGGGUUCAUAUUUACAAUAUGUCGUUAUGUUACAUGUCGAAGGAAAUGGUUGAUUUCCUCGGAGGAAUGCUUGGAGGAGUGAAGAAUUUGGAUGCUGGUCUUAGCUGUGUUUUGUAUGAAAGUUCUUUUGCAUUCAAGUUUUAAUUGAUGUCUCUAGGCCACUUAAACUUGGUUUGCUAAUUCGGUUUCACACUAAUGAUGAUGUUCCUGUGCUCCUAGUGGUUUAUAAAAGGUUAUCAUAUUUUUGUUAAUAUUGCGAUUGUAUAGAUAAUUUAUUUCUAUAUUGUUCCGUAUUUGACUUAGCUAAAGUGGAGCAGGGUGUGGUCAUGGAGUAUGGAUGCGGGCUGAUGCUGGCAGUAUUUUUCGGAAGUCAGAGGGUCGUAGACAAGUAAAUCAUAGUGGUAGAGAAUUGGAUUUGGGAUAUCAUGAGGUGGUUUUUAACGCGACAAUAAAUGCUCCAAGUGUUACGAAUAAUCAUGAGAGUAAUGAUAUAAGAAAAGAGGAUAGUGGGAGAAAUGAGCAUGUCUGUGUGAAUAAUGCUUAUAUUUACGAGAUAGUGAACGAGAGAAAUCAAGUUAAGUGAUUAAUAAAAAGACAAAUCGUGGAUGCACUUAUAAGAAUUUCAAAUUCUGAUUGUAUAUGUGUUUUACAACCUUUUAUUACUAAUAGUCACUUGCCUAAGGAAACAAAGAAGGCAUCAUGCACAUAAUUUGUUAAAGAUUUUGUGAAAGAUUGAAUGGAGUUGAUGGUAGUGACGUGGUUGGCCAUGGGCCUUAUGUGCCCCAAACUGGAGUUAUGGCUUCUUGUCUUGGUGAUGAUUCGAGUGACAAAAAUGAAUCUAGUAAUGUUGCAAGAUUGAAAAAUUAGAGAGAGUAAAGAGAAAAAAUUUACCACAAUGUGAAGGGGCUACGAAAAGGAAAAAAUGAAAGCGACUGGCACGAAAAAUUCUAAAAGAAAAGUCUCAUAUUUCUCUAACUUUGGGAUCUAAGUAUAGUAAUGAGAAGGAUAUUAGAGAUUGGUCUAAUCAAUGGAAAUGAGGCAAGAUGGUUGCUGUUGAAUCGGAGGACGGUGAUGAUGGCGUUUGUGCAGACAAUAAUUUGGUUGCGUAGUCUAUGGCUUUGUCAAAUUUAUCAAUAAGAGUUAACGUUGAUCAGCCCCACCGGUUGCCAUGAUAUCCUAACCUAAAAUGUCCAAGGUUUGGGGAAUCCUUUGAAUCCCACACUCUUUAUAAAAUGCUCCGUGAGGUUAGACCUUCUGUUGUCUUUUUAUGCGAAACUAGAUUAAUGGCGGCAAAGAUGAAUUGUAUUAGUAUGACAUUGGGUUUGGACAAUUGUUUAGAUAUUGAUUUGGUUAGUUUUUGGAGUGGCUUAGCAUUACUUUGGAAAAAGAAAGCUCGGGUUGUUGUGAUUUCCUAUAGUACCCAUCAUGUUGACGUAAUUGCUAAAAUCGAGAAAGGGUUAUGGCGGCGGUUCAUAGGUAUAUAUGGGCAUCUAGACACUACCAUGAAAACACAUGCUUGGGAGCUUGUUCGAUGCUUAUAUUCUUUAUCUUCAUUGCCAUGGAUAAUUGAAUGAAUGAGAUUUUAAAACCAAAUAAGAAACUUGGGGGUUUGUAAAGAAAUAUAAAGAUGAUAAAAAAAUUUCAGAAUGUUCUACAUAUUAUAAGCUACUGGAUAAGAGUUUUUCGAGUUCAAGAGCAGUUGGAUCGUGCUCUUUGUAGUUCCAAUGGGGAGAAUUUGAGCUUUUUCUCUUCUAUUUCCCAUUUAACUAGUGUUCUAACAAUUAUCUUAUAUUGUUAACAUGUAAAACUUCAAUAACGCAUAAGCAGCACUCUAUUUUUAACAUAUGUUUUCGUUAUGAAGUCUUCUUAAAAGAAUAUGUUGAAUAUAGAGAUAUUAUUACAGAUUGUUGGAAGAAUUUGUUGAUGGUGUGACAAUUGAAUUAGCCUUUUUCAAUAGAACAUUAGCUGAAUUGCAUUAACGUUAUCUUAAUAGAGUACAAGGGAGUUCAGAGGGUGGCGGAAAAAUGUGAACGAUAAGAUUGUUGAGCUACAGGAUGUGCAGAAUCAGGGGUUAUUAUUUAUAUAGAGGUAGUUUACAGAGAUUGGAAAUUGUGAUUAAUGGCUUAUUGCAUGAAGCUGAACAAUAUUGAUAGUAGUGAGCUUGAGUUACGUGGCUUAAAGAGGGGGACACAAACACAUAUUUCUUCCAUACAUAUGCAUCUACUCAUCAGAGAAAAAUAAACACAAAUUUCUUCCAUAUAUUUGCAUCUACUCAUCGUAGAAAGAAUAAAAUUGGGGGUUGUUAGGCUACUGCUUUGAGAUAGCAGUUUAGAAACGACGAAUUGAUGAGAAGAGUAAUGAGAAGAAGUGGCCAGAGGGGAAACGAGAGUUUUAGAAGCAAUUCUUAUUAUUUAUUAAAGUAGCAACAAUUCCUUAUAUAAGCCAAGAGAUCCUACGAAAAUAAUAAUUCCUAAUAACGUGAUAACUUAAUAACUAAUCCUUAACGGAAAAGGAAAUAAUGGAGGUCUAAGACUAGGACUCUAACAUCCCCUCCCCCUAAGAAGGCAGCUUGUCCGCAAGCUGGAAAGAAGGAAAACGGGCCGCGAACUUAGAACAUUCCUCCCAAGUAGCCUCUUCUUUAGACUGGCCUUGCCACUGAACAAGGAGCUUAGUAACAGGGCAAUUGUUGCGUUUGAAAAUUCCACGAUCCAAAAUGGCCAAGGGCUGCCAUUCCCAAGCAACAACAUAAGGAGAAGCAUGAAGCUGUUGUGAUGGUGUAUGAACCCCAAGUUUCCUCUUUAAGCAUGAAACAUGAAAAACAUGAUGAACCUUGCUUGUAGCUGGAAGAUCCAAUUUGUAAGCCACAGUGCUAAUGCGAGAAAGAAUCUGGAAAGGACCAUAAUAACACGGAGAUAACUCAUGAGUACUAUUAGGAUGCAAAGUGGACUGCCGAUAAGGUUGAAGACGAAGAUACACCUAAUCCCCUACAUCAAAUACUCGUUCUGUACGUUUUUUGUCAGUAAAAAACUUCAUUCGUGACUGGGCAGCUUCCAAAUUAUCUUUAAGAAGACGUAAAAUCAAAUCCCUAUCGCGGAGAGCCAAGUCAACAGCAUGAACAUUAGUUGUGCCAGGCAAAUAAGAUUCGAUUCGAGGGGGGGCCGACCAUAGACUGCUUCAAAGGGAGUCAGUUGGAUAGCAGAAUGGAAUGUAGUAUUAUACCACCAUUCAGCCCAAGGUAACCAAUUAGUCCAUGUAGAAGGCUGGUGACCAGCAAAACACCUCAAAUAGCCUUCCAAGGAGCAAUUAACGACUUCGGUUUGGCCAUCCGUUUGAGGAUGAUAAGCAGAGCUGCGGCAUAAAGAACUGCCCUGUAAUUGAAAGAAUUCCUCCCAAAAUUGACUAAGAAAGAUAGGAUCACGGUCGCUGACAAUGGUGCGAGGCAUUCCGUGCAAUUUAGCAACAUCCCACACAAAAAUUUUAGCGACAAAAGCGGCUAUAUAAGGAUGGGAUAAGACACUAAAAUGAGCGUACUUGGACAAACGAUCUACCACAACAAAAAUAGAUGUUUUGCCCUUAGAAGGUGGAAGACCAUCAAUAAAAUCCAUGGAGAUAUCUUCCGAAAUUUUAUCAGGGAUGGGCAAAGGUUGAAGCAACCCGGAAGGAUGCACAAUUUCAGCCUUGUUUCGUUGACAGACAUCACAUUCAGCAACAAAUAAUUUAGUAGCCCUUUUUAAUCAUUUCCAGUAGAAACUAACUUUGAGUCUUUUGUAAGUGCGUAAGAAUCCCGAAUGACCGCCAGUUGGAGACACGUGAAAUUUGUGUAAAAUGUGCUGGCACUUAACGGAAGAAGAAGGAAGAACAAUCCGACCCUUGUAUCGUAAAAUGGAGCCAUCAUAGCAAUAAUUAAGAACAGAUUGGGAUGAUUGAAGACGGUCGAUAAGAAGUGACAGGGCUGGGUCGGCUUUGUACUCUUGCUCGAUGUUGGUAAGAUGAGAAAAUAUUAGGGAAGAAAUGGCAUGGAAAUGGGAGUCGUCGAAGCGACGGGACAAAGCAUCCACAACUGAAUUUUCAGCUCCCUUCCUAUAAAUAAUUUCAUAGUCAAAGCCCUUGAGUUUAGACAACCACAGUUGCUGUUCCGGAGAGGAAAUGCGCCGAUAAUGGAAAUACUUAAGGCUGUGAUGGUCCGUAAGAAUUUUGAAAUGUUGUCCCAUAAGAUACGGACGCCAUUUUUGUACGGCAAAGACAAUAGCAAGCAUUUGUUUGUCGUAUGUGGACAUGGCUAAGUUUUUUCUAGAUAAACCUUUGCUAAUAUAAGCGAGUGGACGGCCCUCUUGCAUGAGGACUGCUCCGAUUCCUCGGCCGGAAGCAUCGCAUUCUAUAGAAAAUGGUUUGGUGAAAUUCGGCAAGGCUAAAACUGGAGUGGAAGCCAUGGCUUGGCGGAGCUCAUCAAAUGCUGCUUCAGCAGUAGGACUCCAAGUAAAAGAAUCUUGUUUAAGCAUGUCAGUUAAGGGAGCAGCAAUUUUUCCAUACCCAGCAAUAAAUUUACUGUAGUAUCCCAUCAAGCCAAGGAAGCCUCGUAAAGUUUUGAUAGUGGUAGGUUUAGGCCAUUCAAGCAUGCACUGAACCUUUUCAGGAUUGACAGCUACGCCAGUAGCGGAAACAAUAUGACCUAAAUAUUCAACAGAUGACUGAGCAAAAGAACAUUUUGUAAGCUUGACAUAAAGUUGAUUUUGUUGCAAACAUUGAAGGACAGCAGAGAGGUGUCGAGCAUGCUCCUGUAGAGAAGUGCUGUAGACAAGGAUAUCAUCAAAGAAAACUAAAACAAAUUUGCGAAGGAAGGGCCAAAAAAUCUCAUUCAUCAGGUUCUAAAAUGUGGCUGGCGCAUUUGAAAGGCCAAAAGGCAUCACAAGAAAUUCGUAGUGGCCAUCAUGAGUACGGAAGGCUGUUUUUGCUAUAUCGAAGGGAUGAACUCGAAUCUGGUGAUAGCCCGAGCGAAGGUCCAGCUUACUGAAAACUGAUGCACCAUGUAAUUCAUCUAAUAGUUCGUCAACAACUGGAAUCAGAUAACGGUCUUUGAUGGUUACCUUGUUGAGAGCACGAUAAUCGAUACACAUACGCCAAGAACUAUUUUUCUUUUUAACUAAUAAAACCGGAGAGGAAUAAGGACUAACACUAUGCUGAAUGAGCCCGGCAUCCAAAAGCUCAUGAAUCAAGCGGUCAAUUUCUUGUUUCUGAAAAUGAGGAUAAUGAUAAGGUCGUACAUUGACAGGAGAGCUUCCAGGAAGUAAUAGAAUAUGGUGAUCAAUUAAGCGUUGAGGAGGAAGUUCGGUGGGUUUCGGAAAGAUGCCAGAAUAUGUCUCUAGGACCUUAGUAAUAAUUGAAGGUGCUGAUAUAUCAGCUACUGAAGUGGUUAUUGCUAUAAUCUGGAAAAAAAAAUGCCUUGCUUUUCUUGAAGCAAUAACCUAUUAAUUUCACCAUGAUUUGCCAAAGCCGGUGGCAGAGAAUUAUAUCCAGUGAGUUGAACCGAUUAGCCUUUCCAAGUGAACUGCAUAGUUAGCUUUGAGAAGUCCCACAAUAUAGCACCUAAUGAUCGUAACCACUCAGCACCCAACACAAUGUCACAGCCACUUACUGGAAGUAAGAAGAAAUCCAAGUGAAAUUGGAAGCCUUGAAUAUUCACUGGGACGUGAGAACAUUUUCCCGAGCUGCUGAUCACUCCACCAUCAGCUACAGUAACUUGAAACUGAGUUGUAGUAGUGAUAGGGCACCCACAUUGCUUAGCCAAUGAUGGAUUCAAAAAAUUGUGAGUAGAACUAAAGUCUAUUAAUAUAGUGACACCAUGUUUUUUUAAAUUCCCUUUCAGUCGCAUGGUGUUUUGUGGGGUUGCUCCAGUGAGAGCCUUUAAAGAGACUUCUACUAUUUCUGGGAAUUCCUCAAAAGCCUCAGUUUGUUCAUAUUUAUCGUCGAUAUCUGCAUCCAGCAAUAAAAGUUGAGGAGCUUUACAACGAUGCCCAGGUUUAAAUUGUUCAUCACAAUUUAAACACAAUCAUUUGGCUCGUCUUUCAGUUUGUUCGGCAACUAAUAGAUGUCGAAAUGGUGGGAAUCCCGGAGGGGGUGGGCCUAAUAAAUAGGGCUGUGAUGACCCCCCAGUUUUGGUUAUUGUGGGAGAUGAAUUAAGGAGUGGUGAUGGCCUGCUUAUACUAGGCCGAGGUGGAAUCCUUCGAUUAGAAACAACCGUAUAUUCUUCUUGGAAUCUUGCAAGCUCAAAAGUUCGUAGGAGACUUGCAGGUUUCAACAUCUGCACUCCAAUUUUAAUAUCCUCUCGUAAUCCCGAAAGGAAGCAACUAAUGAAGAAUGAUUCAGGUAGAUUCUGAGUUCUAUCAGCCAAUCGUUCAAAUUGUCAUUGAUAUUCAAUAACAGUCCCAGUCUGUCGUAGUUUGGUAAUGGACCCGACUGCAUCACCGUCUUCGAAUGUUCCAAAUCGAGUAACUAGAGCUCGUUUAAAUUGGGCCCAAGUCAUAUUACCCAUAGUUUGCUCUAACCAGUGAUACCAAGGUACCGCAUCUCCAUCGAGGUGUCCGAUAGCAAGUGACAACACAUCUAUCUCAGGCAAGGCAGCUAAUCGCUGAUACUGUUCACAGCGAAAGAUCUAGCUUGUCGGAUUUUCCCCGCUGAAAACCGAAAAAUCCAGCCGUAUAUGGCGGGGUUGCACAAGGGCUCCUCCAAUACGUCCUGCAGGUUCAGGUUGUUGAUUAUUGAUUUGUAACGGUUGGUUGUUGUUUCUAUUUUCUUGAAACUAGAUGAAUUGAUCGCGGAGACUUAAGAUUAAUUCUUGGAGAUUGUUGGACUGUUGGGAUAAGACCUCAACUUUCUCAUUGAAUUGAUGAGAUAAUUGUUCCACCCUUUCCUCCAGUUCCUUAACAGUCAUUAUGCCCAAGAAAAAAACUGCUCUGAUACGAGAUGUUAGGCUACUGCUUUGAGAUCGUAGUUUAGAAGCGACGAAUUGAUGAGAAGAGUAAUGAGAAGAAGUGGCCAGAGGGGAAACGAGAGUUUUAGAAGCAAUUCUUAUUAUUUAUUAAAGUAGCAACAGUUCCUUAUAUAAGCCAAGAGAUCCUACGAAAAUAAUAAUUUCUAAUAACAUAAUAACUUAAUAACUAAUCCUUAACGGAAAAGGAAAUAAUGGAGGUCUAAGACUAGGACUCUAACAGGGGUUUGUUAGAUAAUGAAGGAAAUCGGGUUACUUCUAUGGUUGGUAUUAAGGAAAUUAUUGAGGAUUAUUUUUAUUCUUUUUUUUUUCCUUCAAUGUGAAUGCUGAGGAGAAAGAAUCAGUCUUGUCUUUUUUGCAAGCUAAAGCAACGAAUGAAAUGAAUUGGGAGUUGGAUAUUGAAUUUACUAGUGACAAAUUAAAGAAUGCAGUUAUGCAAAUUGAUCCUGCAAAUGCACCUAGGUCGGAUAGUUUUUCACCAAUUUUUUUCUAAGAUCUUUAAUCAGUACAACUUGUUUAGCUAUCUUAAAUAGGGAGGCUGCACUUCCUGUACAAUAAUUGUUUUAUUCCUAAGGUAGACAUACUUAUGUGACAUAUUGGGUUAUAGUUGAAGUUUUUGCUAAUCAUAUAAAAUGAUGUUACAUGAUGUUAGCUCUAGUAAUCAAAGUGCUUUUAUCCUAAAUCGUCUAAUUACUGAUAAUGUCAUAGUGGGCUAUGAAUGCUUGCAUAAAUUGCGAUGCUGUCAAAAGAGUUAGAGUGGUUUGGUAGCAUUAAAGCUUGAUGUCAUUAAGACAUAUGAUUGAAUGGAAUGAGAUUUUUUGGAACAACUAAUGGUGUGGCUUGGUUUUUCCACAAGAAGGACUCGGCUUAUAAUGAGUUGUGUGUCAACAUCGACGUUAUCCUUCCUGAUUAAUGGUGAGGCUCAAGAGCAGGUCUGUCCAAGUCAAGGUAUUAGGUAAGGCUGUCCACUCUCUCCCUAUAUAUAUAUAUAUAUAUAUAUAUAUAUAUAUAUAUAUAUAUAUAUAUAUAUAUUUUUUUUUUUGUUCUCUGCGCUGAAGCUUUCUUUGCUAUGCUAAUUGCUUUUGAAAAAUCUAAUUUAAUCCGGGGGGUUAGAUUGCAUCAAAUUUAUUUGUAUCCCAUUUUCUAUUUGUAGAUGACAGCAUGAUACUUUGUAGGGCUGUGUUGGCAAAUUAUCAUUAUUUAAGAGAUAUUUUUUAUUUGUACUCUUAGGGCUCAAGUCAAAUUUUUAACUUUAAUAAAUCCAAUAUUUUAUUUAGCCCAAAUGCACGUAAGAGUUUUACAGAGGUCUUUGGAUUUUUUGAAGUUUCAGCGUACGAAAAAUAUAUAGGAUUUCCAGUGAUGAUUAGAAAGAAAAAGAAAGAGUUUUUAUAUGUGUUGAAAUUUAGGGUGUUGAAAAACUUGAGUAAUUGGUAGGAAAAAGUUUUUCUGUUCUGGUGGAAAAGGAGAUUCUAAUUAAGGCAAUGGCACAGGCAGCCCCUUCAUAAGCUAUGAGUGUGUUCCUAUUACCAGUGAGUGUGUGAAGAUCAUCAAUGGAGGUUUAUAGCUUUCCGAUGGAUUUCUACAAAGAAUAAGCGGAGGAUACACUGGAUGGAAUGAAAUAGUAUGAGUUAGGAAAAAAAAAAAAAAGAGGAAUGCAUAGUUUUUUGAGAUCUAGUUUACUUUAAUAAGACAAUGUUGGCAAAGCAGGGAUGACAGUUGCUUAUUUAUUAUCAUAUACUUGUUUUGGGAGUAUUAAAGGCAAGAUAUUAUGAUGAAGCUCUUUUCUUGAUAUGACUAUUGGUAGUAAUCUUUUAUUUAUUUGGCGAAGCAUUAUUGGGGUGUGAGUUGUUACAAUAGAGGAUUUAAUAGUGUGGGAUCAGGAAAACAUGUUCGUAUUUAUUGUGAUAAUUGGGUGCCUAGACUGAUAACGUUCUGACUUAUCCCAACAGUAACUUUAAGCGAAGAUGCAAGGACUACUGUUUUGUUAGAAAAUGAGAAUUCUUGGAAUAUGGCCUUGUUAUUGCCUUAGGAUGUACAUUCUAUUGUGAAAAUUAAGCUGCCUUCACAAACCUGUCAUGAUCGAGUAAUGUGGCACUAUGAUCGUUGUAGGGAUUACACUGUGAAGUCUGUGUGCCAUAUUGUAAGGAAGUGGAAGAACUUGACUGGUGUUACAUCAUCUAGUGGUUCAACUAGGCAGUUAGAAGACUAUUUAGAAGCUAAUUGUUCCUUCCGAGCUUAAAAUGUUUUGAUGGUGUGCACUUUCAGGUUUCCUUCCGUCUAUGGAAAACUUGGAGCUUAAAAGUGUGGUAGCUGAUUCGCUGUGUAGGCUCUAUGUAUAAUGUGGCGAGUCUAUUAUGCGUGCUUUAUCUAAUUGCCCAAGAUGUAAGGGAAUUUACUUCAUUUGUUGAUUUUGAUUCUGUUGGCCAUGUUGUAUGUUUGCGGGAUGUGUGGGAUAGUGUAAAUUCGAAAAUUACUUGUACUGAGAUUCAGCUCUUUGUUUUAAUAAUAUGAGGGAUAUGAUGGGAGAGAAAUAAGAUUUUAUAUGAUGGAGCAGUGGCAUCUCCUAAUUGUGUGGUGGCUUCUGCUCAAGGGAUUUGGAUGGUUGUGAAAGAAAAAAUUGUAUGGAUACAAUUGAUGUGUACAGGUUUGAAUCCUAUGAUUUGGGAGCCACCACAGAUAUGGUGGUUUAGAUUAAAUAUUGAUGUGGCUGUGGAUGUUCAUAGUGGUAAGGUUAGCUAUAAGGCUAUUAUUAGAAAUCAUAAGGGGUUGGUUUAUGUUGGUUGGAGAUAAUCUUGGGGUUUAUACUAAUAACGUGGCUGCUGCUGAGGCAAAGACCCUACCUUGGUAUUCGACAUACUAAGGAGAUUUGUUUGUCUCCUUUAAUGGUUUAAUCGGACUCGUUAUAUCUUAUCCAAUUGAUCUAGGGAAAGUAGUAUACUCGUACAUAGCUUUUAUAGACAGUUUCUGAGGUGCAACAACUAAUGUCACUACAAGUAUGACUUCAAGAUUCGACAUAUCUUAAGGAGAUGUAAUCAAACUGCGGAUGUUCUAACUAAGUUCACUAUUUGUAAAUGUUUAUCUUUUGUUUUACUAGAAGAUUUUUCACAGUCAUUAAAUUGAUAUCUUUGAGCUUUUUCCUAAUUUAAUAAGAAUUACUUAUUUAAGAAAAACAUUGAUACUACAUAAGACACAACAUGAUUACAUAAAUUGACACCCAUACUAAUAAGUGAUAUCUUGCCAAAAAAAAGAGUGGGUUAUUUGAAUGCAUUAAACUUUUCCUUGAACCCAUUUACUAAAUAAACUUACCUCUAAUUUUUAAAAUUUAAAAUUUUACUCAAUAAACCCUCUUAAGUACCCAAUACACCCUUACUUAACUCAGUUUUUAUAAUAAUAGUGUUUUUACUGAUUAAACCCAUUAAAUUAAUUUAUAAACCUUUAAUAAAUGUUUGUUUUCUUUUUUUUUUCCCAUUAAAUUCAAAAUUUUCUUUAUGAAUGUGAUUAAAAAAUAUGUAUAAUUACAACAGCACACAUUCAUACCUCUUCCCAUUUCACACCAUCUCAACCUUUGAUUCAAGAUGUAGAUUAUUCAAGUUGUUCAUGAAGGCAACAAACAAACAAUAUCUAUUCCUAUCAUUGCUUCUGUAGUAAUCACCAACAUAAAAUAAGCCCCAGCCACUGGAAGUAACUUUUACAGAUAGGGAUGGCAAAAUCCUCCACGGGUUUGGGGCCCCAUGGAGCCCCACCUCAAAUGGGGAAAAUUUUGAAUAAUUUUUGGGGAAUGGGGUGGGGAGUGGGGAGAAAAUAAUCCCCAAAUUCUUAAUGGGGUGGGGUUUGGUUUUGUACUCCUCACCCCACCCCCACCCCAAUCCCCAUUAUAUAUAAAUAUGUUUUUAAUUUUUAUUUAAUAAUUUUUAUUUUAUCAAUUAUAAUGUCAAUUAAUAAUUUUUUUUAAUUUUUAUAUAAUAUAAACAAGAUAUGAAUGAAAGAAAAUCCUAUAAUAUUUUUCAACUCUGAAACAUUGUUAUAUUUUCUUUUCUCUUUUAAGGUGCUACGCUCUUUAAAUAUUUUACACUUUUAAUAUCAUUUUAAGAUAUUGUUUCAAACUUUUAGAUAUUUUUUAAAAAGAAUUUAAAUACUUUAUAAUAUGAUGAUGAUUUUGUUUUAAAUUUCUAAUUUUUAACUUACUAAAAUAAUAUAUUUAUACAUAUUAUAAAACAAAUAAAUGAGGAAUGUGGUGGGGAUGAGGAAAUCAUUCCCCACAUGGGGAUUCUCUAUCCCCACCCCACUAAAAUUAUUGGGGAAUGAGGUGGGGAAUGGAGGCAAAAAUUUCUAAUGGGGUGGGGAAUAGAGUAGGCCUCCCCACCCCCACCCCACCCCAUUGUCAUCCCUAUUUACAGAUUGAAUGCGAGGGAAAAUAUGCAACAGAGCUGAUAGAUGCAGCUGCUUCAACGAACAUCAAGCUCCUCCUCCCGUUCCCAUUGCUGGCCUCAACAUUCAAUCUAACUUUUUCUCCUUCAACUUCACCAUUUUUUCCCUUUUGCUGCACUUGCAACAACUACAAGUCUCUGGCCAGCGUUGACCCAAGCCUUGCUGGUGCUACAUAGGAAAGAGGCUAUCAUGAUCAUUGAUGCCAUUUCCACAAUAUUCAUGUGCUUUCCUUCAAUGUUUCAUUAAAUUUCUCAUGUAGUUAUUCAAAAUCCAGAACAUCUAUUUCAAUUUUUCAAGCUGAUGGAACAAUACGAUGAGAAAGGAACAUUUAAAUAAUUGCAAAAAUGAAUUGCUUUACUUCUCCGGUUCUCCUAAAAAAAAAGAAAAAAGCAAAAGAAUCGCUUUGUGGCAAAGAUAAGAAUCGGUUUAUGGCCGUCAACAACACUUGUUUUUCUAAUCAGAAUCUUUACUGUGCAUGCAAGGGAAAAAAAAUCCUUAACAUUCUGGUGUUCCUGAUUUGUAGUAAAAUAAUAGAAAAGAUCAAUAGACAGCAGCACAGAAGCUAUUACAACCAAAAUGAUGAAGAAGAAAGAACUUCAACACUGAAACAUUUUAAAGUAAACACGACUUGAAAUUUCAUAAAGAUCCCAACAAAAUUCUUAGCCUCUUUCUGCCGCUUCUUCUCUUCUUUGCGUAUUGUUGCCCACUGUCAAAUGCAAACAAAGAUAUAAUCGCCAAUUUUAUUACCUCAAUCCAAUCUAAUUAACAAAAUUAUGUGGUCUGGGAAAAGAAUUGAGCCUCUAAUUGAUUAGGGUUUAAUAAAAAUAUGAUUAUAAUUUAAUAAAAUUAUAUUGAAUGUAAAAAUAAAUUUAAAUAUUAAAAUUUUUGUUUUUUUAUUAUAUUUUAACAUCCACGAUUAUAAUUUAAUUUAGGGAAAAAGCUUUUCUCAUCCCUAGAGUUUCAUGCAAUAACUCAUUUAAUCCUUACUUUUUUUUUUUUUGGAAAAAAAAAAAAAUCCUUACUUUUUAAACAAUAGUUCAAAACAUCAUUUCGUUAACUCACCGUUAAUUGAAUGUCGUUUGUUAGUAAUUCAUUAAGGGUAAAAAAAAAUUUUCCAUCAAAGAAAAAAUUAGAAAAAUAAAUAAAAAUUGACAUAUAACUAAAAAUAAUUUUAUUUAAUUUCACUAAAUCAGAAAUACAAAAAAAGAUGAAAAACUUCUAUUUCAAGCAUUUUUUUCACUUCUUUCUAUUUUGGCGGUAUGAAAGCCCUAUAAACUCUAUAUCUAAUUGAAUUUCGUUUGUUAGUAAUUUAUUAAGGGUAAAAAAAGAUUUUCUAUCAAAGAAAAAAUUAGAAAAAUAAAUAAAAGUUGACAUAUAAUUAAAAAUAAUUUUAUCUAAUCCCACUAAAUCGGAAAUACCGAAAAAGAUGAAAAUUUUCUAUUUCAAGUAUUUUUUUUUUUCACUUCUUUCUAUUUUGGCGGUAUGAAAGCCCUAUAAACCCUAUAUCUAAAUAUAAAAAAUAUCACAAUUUUCUUAUUCAUAUAAGUAUACUCUCUAAUUGCAUUGUAAAUGACUUGAAUUGAGUUGAAGAUAAAGAAAAUAUUCAACGCAUGCAAGCACAUAAAAAUUAGUGGUAUUUUUGAGUUUUUCUUCCAAUGAUUUAAAGAUAUUGUGUUAAUUACAGUUUGUUCCUUAUGGCAAUUAUUCAAUGGCUAUAUUAAUUUAUAUCAUCGUUGAUUUCAUUUAAGAAAAAGUUAAUGAAUUUUACAUAUUUUGUAGUGUUAUUUAAUUGUGUAAAAAAAUUAUUUUAAUAUAGUUUGUAUUACUUAAAUGAAAAAUCUUAUUUUGCCCUCAAUGAAUUAUUAGUUAACGGCUUUACACUAGUAGUGAGUUAGCAUAAUGAUAUUUUAAGUUAUUAUUUGAAAAGUAGGAAUAAAAUGAGUUAUUACAUUAAAUCUUAGAGAUGAAAAAGAUUUUUUUCCUUUAAUUUAAGAGUAUAUUAAUCAUAAAAAAUUAUUUUUAAAAAUAGAUUUAAUAAAUAAUUUAAUGAAUUCACAGAGCCAAAAAAAAAAAAUUUACUCUUUUAAAUAUUUGUAACUCCACUUGUCCUUUUCCCUUAACGUAGCAUUGUUGCUUCUACAGAAACAGUGACAGGGCCGUACGUAGAAGCGCAAGAAGCGACCAAAAGGAGCAAGAAAGCGAAACGAAUUCCGGAAAUGGGCGGCAGCGGCGGCGGCGGCGAGUGCAUAACGAGGAGCAGCCACGUGAUGGAGGGAGGCGGUAGCUUGGAGAGUUACAGAUAUUACCUCUCUCGACGCACCGUUCUGCAAAUGCUCAAUGAUAGAGGCUACGCGGUUCCCAACUCGGAACUCACUCGUUCACUCACUGAGUUCCGUUUUACUUUUGGCGACAAAUGUGACCUUGAAAGUCUCCGUCUUUGCCUCCCUCUCCGCUCCAAUCCCUCCAAAAAGGUAACAUUUUUAUUUCCAUUUCAUCAUCAUCAUUAUUAUUAUUAUUAAUUUAAUUUUUAAUAAUAAUAAUGCGAUUCUUAUUUUAUUUUAUUUAUUGGUAAGAUGCUGGUUGUGUACUUGGGAACUGAAGAAAUCAGGACGCAAGCCAUUCGGGGCCUUUACGGUCAGAUUCUUAACAAGGAAGCUUUACAUGGACUCAUACUGAUUUUGCAAAGCAAUAUGAACACUUUUGCUCGGAAAGAAGUGCUAAAGUUUCCAUUUAAAGUUGAGAUUUUCCAUGUAGGUUACCCUGGAACUCCCAUGGCUAUGUAGAAAAAUGGCUCAGCUCUUAUAGACUUAUGGGUGUUGUUAUGAACUGGAACUAGUAUUGAUAAUUAGUAUGUUUUAAAUGUAUUAUAGAAGAUAUCUCAUGCUAUUGUUUGAGUUGUCGUUGGUUUUGUUGUUACAGGUGACUAAGUGAGUCACAAAUUUUCAUCGCUUUUGUGGAAAUUUGCAGAACAUGUUUGGGGGUUGAGAUUGGGAUUGUAAACUUUUCAGUUAUGAACUAUCUAAAUUCUAAAGAUCUUCUCAAAAAAAAAAAAAAAAUUCUAAAGAUGAAGAAACCUUCUAGAGUGGUACAAGAGGUGUGGGGUUAUUUAUAUUAAAAAAAGAGUACUAAGGAUUAAGAAAUUUGCUUUAGGAAGUUUUUUAGGUUUUCCUUGAGGCUGCUCCAAACACUUUGUGGUGCUUUGUCAUGGAUCCAUAUUCAAUUUAUUCUAUUUACUGCUGGUUUUCCAUCCAAGGUAUCAGUUGAUAUUGCACUUUAAAUGUUUGAAGAGUGCUGCUUAACCCUGCUAAGAUGUAAGAUCUGGCAAGUGGGUCUUCUAUUGUCUAUGGUACCAGUAGCUUUAGUAGCUAUAUAUUGUUGGGGUUUGAUGUCUGUUAAAUGUUUUUGCCUGUGAUGAUAGCUAAUGAUUAAUGCAAUUUUUUUUUAAUCAUUUUAAUACUUUGAGACUGCACAAAUGCUAUGGAUAAUUGAGGUUUUGGUUCUGUUUAUUUGAAUUUGACAACAACUUACGUUUGGCUUUCCCUUUUAGAUCACUGACUUGUUGGUCAAUGUUACGAAGCACAUUUUGCAACCAAAGCAUGAGGUGCUAUCUGCUGGGGAGAGAGACAAAUUAAUGAAGAAGUACAAGAUAGAAGGCAAGCAGGUAACAAUUUUAGUUAAACAAUAAAUGCAUCCUUUGACGUUCAUAAAUUUAAUGACUCUACAUUCAUAUGCAUACUAUUGAUGGAAAAAGUUCUUGGGGUAUGGGAUCAUUAACAAAUGGAAGCCAGUACUUAAGUUGACGUGUGGAAGUUUUUCUCUGUCUUGGAGUAACUCCCUUUUAAAUUUCUUACCAUCCAUCCCAUUGUUGAUAUUCAAAGCCCAUUUGUUGAUGGUUAACUUGUUCAAUUAGAAUGCCGGUUGCAGAAAAGGAAAAAGGAAGCAAAGAUGUGAUCAAUUUGUUGGAUUUUUUGCGUACUCAAAUUGGCCAUAAGUUGUAGUUCGCUGGUUUAAACUUAAGGGUUCUGUUUUUAAUAAUCAAAUGCUGCAAUUUACGACAGUGCCAUUGACCGAUGCAUCUUGUCAUGAACGUCCUUUUGCUGACCUUUUGUUCAUGAAUGGAGUUCCCAUCUGCUCAGUCUCUUGCUAAUUCCAUCUGGCUGGAUAUUUGGAUUUCUUCAUGUCUAGAACUCAGCAGUUGAGAGUCAGUGUGCGGUAGUACUGGUGGUUUAUGGACAUAAAACUAAUGAGAAAAAGAUGUCUCAAAGUUGUGAGCUCAGUUUUAUUGGGCACAACUUAAGAUCAAAGUUGAACUUGCGAUAUCUAAUUAAUUAAUAUAUUAAGCCAGGUAGAAUUUUGUUAGGACGCUUUGGAGCUAAGUAAUCUGCUCAACCAUAUAAUGCAAGCUUAGGCUGCAUAAAUGAACUUCAGCUACGUGGAAAUUUUUUCUGGGCAUGAAAUUAUAAAUGAAAUAUGGCCUAUACGCCUGAUAGUUCUCAAUUGAAUUCAUCGACUUUGAACGUCUGGGGCCUACCUCUUAUGUCUUGAUUGGCUUAUCUCUUUAGUCUGAGCAAUAUGUUAAAAAUGGGUUGUGACUUAGAAAGAGGCGUCAAUGAGCCUGUGUCAUGAAUCAGGAAAAGACGUAUGCCAUGUAAAGAAUAUGGUGGAUUCUUUUUGAUAACAGUGUUCGUUUGUCUAUGUAACUGCUCAUAAGUUUUGUUGCAUGAUUGAUCAAAGUAGAACACCAACCUACCUCUAUUUUUAUCUUGUCUUUCAGCUCCCUCGAAUGCUGGAAACUGAUGCGUUUGCGCGAUACUAUGGACUGCAGAAGGGCCAGGUGGUGAAAUUUACUUACUGUUCUGGAAUUGCUGAAUUUCUUGAAACCUACCGCUGCGUUCUCUGAUGCUUCCCUGUGUAUUAUAUGCUCAUUAAAACAGUGUUGACAAGCUAGCUAGAUACAUAUUAUAUACAUGGGAUGAAAACAUAUAUCAGGAUACAUGCUGACCAUGUGUACAUGUACAAGCAAAAUGAGCUGUAUAUUUUGACUAGUUUAUUUCAGAAACUCAAUGGCUCGAUAGAAUUUCAUUUGCUGAAUUGAAAAAAUUGCCAUUUCUUUUAUUUAACACAUUGCAUACCUCGUAGCUGCUUCUAAGCCGAUAGUUUCUAAACAAAUGUUGUGAAUAGUUUCUACACCAAUCUGCUUCACAACACUGCAAUCAGUGGGAUCAAUCCGUGAAAGAUCAACAAUGCUACUUUGAUAUAAAAUAGAUUGAAAAUUUUUACACGAAAAUAAAAAUGGCACCGUUUAAUUUUGUUUUUAAAAAAUAAGAAAAAAUUGAAUUAAAAAGUAAAUUAAAAAGAAAAGAAAAGCAAAAGUCACUGUAACAAAUAUAAAAAGGCCACCUUGCUUCUUUAUUAUUAUUAUUAUUUUUUUAACUUAAUUACCCAUCAAAUAUGAGAAGCUUCUCUUUUUGUUUUUUCAAUUAAAAGGUUGUGUCAAAUAUAGCAAACGCAAACCAGCACUCCAGCAGAUUAACAGAAAAUUUUUUAUUUAUUAACUUCGUUGAUCAGCAAUAAUGUCUAUGAAUAACUCAAUUUUCAUAAUAUAAAUAGAAAAUAAAUUCACAAAAUUUCGCUACAUAAAAUGACCAUUGUACAUUAAUAAUAAAAAAAAUAUCAUGAUACCCAAUUGGCACAGAAAAAAAGACAGUAGCGUUUUUAAUUUUAAAUGAAUAGCAGAAAAAUUAUCAGUCGUUAACAUAAAUUUAUCCUGUUAUAAAAUAUUAUAAAAGUUAGAAUUUAUUCAAUUUUUCACCAUAUGUUUACAAAUUGUGUCAACCAUCCACCAAAAAGGUAACAUUACACUUGUAAAAUAAUUACUAUUAUAAUUUAUUUUUCCUUUUGUUUGGUCAUUUAUAAGGGUAAUUAUAUCUUUUUUGUGGACAGUUACAAAUUACAAACUUAGGUGGAAAAUUAAAUAAUUCAAAUUUUUGUAAUAAUUUUUAGAAUGGGUAAACUUUUUGAAAGAAACCAUAAAAAAGGUGGGGGUUUAAGCCGGACCCCUACCUAUAAAAUAAAUCAGUAAAUAAGUAAAUACAUAAGGAGGGGGACAUAAAUCAAAUCUCCUAAAGCAAAUAUAAGUCAAUAAAAAUAGAAAGAGAAGUAUAAAACGAUCAAUAAAUAAGCAAAUACAUAAGUAGGGGGACGUAAACCAAACAUCCUAAAGUAAAUGUAAGUUCAUAAGAAUAGAAAGAAAAGUAUAAAAUGAUUAAAUGGAAUAAGAAAGUCAUCAAUCCUAACUUCUGACAUGAGGACCAGUCUCUGCAUCCAAAUACAGAAUACCAGAUAAGCCUACAGGAAGAUCCCUAGAACACAAGAAAUGUCGAUUAACCCGAUGAGUACAAGCCCAUUUGGCCAAAAAAUCUGCAGCAGAAGUGGCCUCUCGAAAGACAUGCCUCACCGAAAUUAGAAAAGAAGAAAUCAAAGCACACACUCGACGCAGCGAAUAAACAUAAUCCCAACGAACAUGACCGUAGGAAUGAAUCCACGAAACCGCCGUGGCCAAGUCUGACUCUACCUCAAGCACAGAGUAAUCAAGCUAAACAGCAAGCUCCUACCCCUCACGAACUAUCAUAAGCUUAGUGUAAAGGAUCAGCUAGUAGCCAAGAAAAGACCGAAAAGUAGCCAAAAACCACACCGCGAUGAUCACAGAGAAUAUCACCCGAAGCAGCCAUCCUAGGAUUGCCCCUAGAGCAACCAUCCACAAUCAGCUUUGCAACCCCAGGAGGCGCCCUCAUCCAAGAAACUAUUCAAAACGGUCUCUUGGGUGGAGUUAUGAUCGCAAACCCUCCACAAUCUGAGUACACAAAACUUCCCUCAACUGAGCAGACUUAAAACCAAAGAAGUUAGCAAACCAAAGGAAUUAGCAAGCCUGAGAUCCGAAACCACCCUAUAAAUAAUCGUAUCAAUAGAGAAAGGCUAGGAACCAAACCUGAAAGUAUUGUGAGCCUUCCAAAGGUUGUUGCUUCCAUGAAUAGGGUAAAGUUAAAGUGGAGGACUAAUAAUUCCCGUUAAUAAUAAAACAUAAUUCUAAUGUAAUUUAGAUUACAUUAUAAAAGUCUAUUUUAUUAAAAAAAUGGUAAUUAUUCACCAACUACUUAUUUUUUUGAGUUUUUUUAAAAAUACACAAUUCUUUUUUUUACUAAAUUCCACUUGAAGUUAUAUUUUUUUGCACAUGUACACUCCGUUUGAGGACUGUUAUAACAUUAUUGACGUCAUAGGGGCAAAUUGGUCAUUUCACUAGUGCAGCCCCAAAACGAUGUCGUUUUGCAACUUUGAUUAGAGAGAAAGGAAAAGAAAAAGGCAAACUAGUCAAGAGUAGGGCAAAUAAUGAGAAUAGUAAUUUUUCGUUCACACAUUAGGUGACCCACCACCAUGCAUGAAGAACCAGCAAAGAAUUAUAAUUUUUCAUUUAUGGGGCAAAACAAUCAUUUGCUCAAAAUUCCAUUAGUUUUCUUAACAUUCUCCAGACGGAAGUGGACAUGUGCAAAGAAAUGUAACUUCAGAAGGAAUUUCGUAAAAAAAAAUUGUGUUUUUAAAAAAAAAUUUGAAAAAAUAAGUGAUCGAUGAAUAAUUAUCUUAAAAAAAAGGUAAAAGGAGUUUACCAAAAACACUGAUGGCUCCUUUGGCGGCUGUGGCGAUGAUAAUUUCAAAUUAAAAUUUUCAACAUAAAGUGCUCUGCAGCUUUCUACUUGUCAAAGUGGGAGUAGGUGGAAGCUAGAGUGUUGGAGUAGCUAAGGGCAAAUAAGUGAAAAAAAAUGAAGUAGUGAGAGUAAUUGAAUGUAAUUUUAUUUUGAAAAUGGUGGUAAAAAUGUAACUAAAUACUUUAUUGUUAAUAAAACAAAAAUUACUUUAUACGAUCUGGGGAAAAAAAAGGAAGAGUAAUGGACACAUGUCCAACACACAAACGGUGAGUGAGUCAGUGACUGGCACCCAAAACGAACGAUUGACCACAACACUGCUCUGUAUGUUUUAAAUUAUCACUACUUCACCAAUUAAUGAAUGUGGUUAAAUUGGUCAUACCAACUUAGAAUAUCAAGUUAUUUUAAAUUAUCACUACUUCACCAAUUAAUGAAUGUGGUUAAAUUGGUCAUACCAACUUAGAAUAUCAAGUUAUAUAAAUUAGGGAAAAUUGUGGUGCAACUGUAGUACCGUAUUACAGUUACAUUCAACUGUUGGAUCUCAAUAUACUCCACCUAUUCAAGUGGAUCCAACGGCUGGAUGCAACUGUGGCACGAUACCACAAAUACACCGUAGUCAGACCCAAAUAUAAACUUAUAGGCUUUUUACUAUUUCAUAAUUAAAAAAAAAUCAAAGAUUUAUUUAUGGGCGAAACCUUAUUGGGUUUCAAUACACUACUUCUUGCUUACAAGGUGUUUUAUUUCUUCUUAUUUUAUUUUUCCUUUCCAGUAAUGAUCAUGUUCAAUUAAUCAUAUUCAACAGAACCAAGAGUAAAAAAUACCUAUGAGAAAAAAAUUAUAGAAAUUAGUGCUUGAAAUGAAAAAAGAUUUAGUUACAAGAGUUAAUUUUACCCAAACUCUAGUUUAAAUCGUUAUAUUUUAGUCCCUGUAUAUUACUACCAAUUAUAGGCGCAUGUAUAUUCAAAAUUGAAACAUUUUACUUCACUCACAGAUAGAUAAUAGGCAUAGAACAUGAGUGUUGUUACAUAUUCUAAAAUUAAUCUCAAAAGAUUCAUUUCAAUUUCAUUCAGCAUUUGAAAUGAAAAAAGAUAAAAUAGGGUCAUUCUAGUAAAAAAAAAAACUACAUUAUCAGUAGUGGGAAAAAAUUGAAUUGUUGAAUAAGAUCCAAUGGUUCAUAAUAAUUAAUUAAGAUUAACUUAAAUUUUUAAAAUUGACUGCCUUUUUAAGUGAGAGUAAUUAAGACAAAGAGCCGAAAAAUAAUGUCCGCAUUUUUUUUCACAUGGUAGUAAUCUACCAAAACACAAUUCUUUUAAUUGAGAUUCAACAACAAAAGCAGUACAAAUAUGACCUUUGUAAGAAUAAAUCUAACUAGUUAUACUUUGUAUCACAACAUCAUACGUCAAUUAAAGAAGACAUAUAUUCAUUCUUAUAUAUCAUUACAUUUUUGCAUGAUUGGAUUAAUAUUUUAUUUUAUAAAAAUUAGAGAUUGGGAGCUGGCCAUUUAUGUUUAUGCACCAUGAGAGUAAAACCUUUCCACUCAUAAAGUUAUAAGAAAUAGUCUCUUGAGGAUAAUAAAUUAUUACUACCUUUUUAUAUGAGUAUGACAUUCAUGGGAGCUUAAUCUUUAAUAUUAGAUUAUGAUGGUUAGACUCCGAAGUUAAGCUUAUCAUUGUGAUCACCGAGAGGUAAGUAAACUAGAGCUUAGACUGGGAUCACAAUAAACAUAUGUAUUUGUGUGGAUUUUGGAAAGAUUAUUUUGAUAUUUGCAUUAUAAAUGUUUUUUACUAGUAUAUUUAACAUUGUGUUUAUAUAUGCUUUAGCAUAAGCAUGGGUAUGCAAAUUUUUCUUUCAAGUCUUCAUAUGAAAAGAAUUAUGUCACUACUAGAAAAAUGAGCUUUACUGACGCUUUGCAAAAAGUGUCAGUAAUUAUGUACAUAUACACCAUUUUCCACUUUUGACAAAUAGGAAUCACAAAUUAAUGAUAAUAGGGUGUCAGUAAAUUAAACAUCAAAGAUCACUGACAUCAAAGUAUCAAAGAUAAAAAAAAAAAUUCAUAAAAAUUUGUUUUAGCUCCAACUCGAACUUGAGAGCUCUAAGAUUUAAAGCUUUAAUGUUUGGAGCACAGACCAUCAAAUCUCGAUGAAUCAAAGUCAUAAUAAUAUUUAAAUUAUUAAAAAAUAAAAAUAUAAAUAACAACAACAUAAAACUCACACUUAAUGACUUUUCCCUAUCUACCCAGACUGUACAUCGACUAUCUCUAUCUUGCUUUUAUCGUUCUCUUUCUCUUUCGUUUUUCUCUUCUCGAUCUCUUAUGUUUUGCACUAUCCAUUUACAAAUGAAAUUCAAUUAAUUUAGAUAGAUAAUGAAAAGCUAAAACUCCGUUUCGUUUUUCCAUUUUCCCGAAAUUGAAAAACAAACCAAAACCCUAAUCGCUUGUUAUUGAAGGGGUUUUUUCUCCAACUAAACCAUCCAGUGCCUAUAUUAGGCAAGCAAGUAAAAGCCAUCGACAAGGGGUGAAGUGGCACCAUCGGUUGCGUAUUCAAGUAAUCUCAUUCUCCCUCACAAGUUAAGUUCAGAGAAAGAACUGUAGAGGAGGUUAUCAGCUGGUAAUGGCUGAAUAUUUUAUUUUUUUGGGCAAUUUAAUUAAUGGCUUUGUUUUAAUUUGGCUUAUGAAUAAUAUUUUUUAAUUUUAAUUUUUGGGUUGUUUCAGAUGUUCAGAAAUUGAACAGUGGUGCGACCCUGGUGGGUUUUGUUUUCCAAAUUUUUUUUUAUUUAAUUUUAACUUGAAAUUUUUGUUCUUAUUUUUCUAUAUCUUCACUCACAUACAGUCCAAAAAUAUAGGCAUUUUAAGUGGUGCAUUACUUAAACUUAAAACACUUGUUGCUGCGACUCUAUUUUUUUUGCCACAUUUGAGGUCAGUUUAAAACUUUUGUGCAUGUGAUUUACUGUCAUUGUUAUUUAAAACUAAGAAAGUGCAUUUUUUUUAGUUUCUAAAAUAAACUGUUAGUUCCGUUUCUUAACUUUGAUUAAUAAGUUAGUUCAUUUUGAAUGCACUAAAAUAUGAAAUUUCAUUUUAGCUUUUGCCUUUCUGAUUAGGAGAUGAUUGUUUGGGUAUUAUAUUGGUUGAAUGACUGUGUAUUUAGUGGUUAUGAACUAUUUACAUCUCUGUUUCAUGUAAAGAGAGGCAAAUUUUGUUAUAUAAUUUUACUUGUUUAUUUAUUUUGUUUUGGUUGGAAGAUUUGUAAUAGAGACAAUGACUAUGAUAUGAAUUAAUUAAGUUCGUGGUUGUGAGUAUUUUGAGAUUGUGUAAAGUUGAUGAUUUGUGUUUGAUUCAAGAAAGAAAUAUUUGUUUUAAGGUAGUUUUGCAUGUUGUAUUUGAAGUUAAAAAGUGUUUUAUAGAAUCUUAAAAAAUGGUUUGCAAAGUGUUAUGAAGACAUUAUUUAUUUGAACUCUUAACUUUUGUUAGUUACCUGACUUAUGAAUUAGUUCGACUCCUUAAAAAGCCAUUAGCGCUCAUCUUACCUAUUAAUCUCCUAUUUAAGUUUCAAAGCUUCUUUUGUUUCAAUUUCAAGAUUUUGUCUAAAUUAUUAUUAUAAUUAAUGAUUUAUAGGGGCUAUUAGUGAUUUUUCAGAAUUAUGAGUUUAUUAUUGCAACUAUAAUCAUAAUAACAUUGAACAUUAAAUUAAUCAUGCAAUUUAAUUAAACUUAAACUGGCAUUACAUAUGUGAACAAGUAAAAUAUUUGAAAUGGACAGAACUUGGAUAACUUGUGAUAGAUUGUCUGUAGAGUAUGGUUCUGAAGUUGCUGAUUUCUUAGAUUUUGCCAUUUUGAAUGCUGAAAACCGAAUGUCAAUUAGAUGUCCUUGCACCUUUUGUUGUAAUAUGGAGUUUCAUACUCCCUAACAGGUGAAGGAUCAUUUAUUUGAAAAAGGUUUUCUCCCAAGAUAUAUUGUUUGGACUUGGCAUGGUGAGACUGACUCUAAAUCUACAUUUACAAAGUGUGAAGACCAUUCACAUAGUCAAAGAUUUAGAUGUCAUGAUUACAGUAACAUAAUUGAUAUGGUUGAAGAUGCUUACGAGCAUUGUGAUAGAGAUCCUAGUUCUUUUAAGGAUAUGCUUGAAGAUGCUGAAAAGCCUUUGUACCCGGGUGCAAAACAUUCAAAGUUAUCUAGUUUAAUGAGACUUUACAAUGUGAAAGGGAAUUAUGAGUGGUCCAAUAAAGGGUUUUCUGCUUUGUUAGAAGUCCUUACUGAUAUUUUACCAAAUAAUAAUACUUUACCUAAGUCAAUGUACGAGGUUAAGAAAACAAUGAAAGUGCUAGGCUUAGAGUAUGAAAAAAAUACAUGCAUGUUCAAAUGACUGCAUUUUGUAUAAGAAUGAAUUUGAUGAUCUUGUUGAAUGCCCAAAUUGUGGAGCAUCUAGGUAUCAAAGAGAAAAAGAUAGCUCAACAAAAUUUAGGAAAGGGGUUCCUAAAAAGGUAUUAUGGUAUUUUUCACUUAUUCGUAGGUUGAAAAGAUUGUUUCAAUCACUACAAACAGCUCAAAAUUUAACAUGGCAUGCUAAUAAAAGAAUUAGAGAUGGCAAACUUCGCCACCUAGUAGACUCACCAGCCUGACAACUAAUUGACAAUAAGUGGCCAAAAUUUGCACAAGAACCUAGAAAUCUCUAUUUAGCUCUCUCAACUAAUGGGGUUAACCCACAUAGUACACUUAGCACUACUUAUAGUUGUUGGCUUGUUAUAUUAAUAACAUAUAAUCUUCCUCCAUGGUUGUGUAUGAAGAGAAAGUUUUUGAUGUUGUCUCUUUUGAUAUUUGGCCCUAAAUAACCUAAAAAUGAUCUAGAUGUAUACCUAGCACCUUUGAUUGAUGACUUAAAAACUCUAUGAGAUGUAAGUAUUGAUGUUUAUGAUGCUUAUAGAAAAGAAACCUUUAAUUUACGGGCUGUCUUGAUGUAGACAAUCAGUGACUUUCCAGCAUACAAAAACCUCUUUGGUUGUACUGUUAAGGGCUAUUAUGCUUGCCCAAUUUAUGGGAUAGACACUUGUGCAUGUUGGCUGCCACAUAGUAGGAAAAUCUCAUAAAUGGGCCAUCGUCGCUUUCUACCACUUGGUCACCUAUUUCGAAAACUGAAAAAGGUUUUUAAUGGGAAGUAAGAGUGGAAUGAGCCUCCUAAAACUUUAUCUAGUGAGAAAAUCUUUAAUAUGAUGGAAGAUAUUGAUAUUAAGUUUGGGAAAAAGAAGGCUAAAAAGCGGAAACAUGAUGGCGGUGGUGGCGGUGAUGGUGAUGAGAACAUAACUAAAAAAUUGUACAAAAAAAAGUCAAACUUUUUUUACUUAGAUUAUUGGAAGCAUUUAUUAGUUUGCUAUCAAUUAGAUGUGAUGCACAUUGAAAAAAAUGUGUGCGAGAACAUAUAUGGCACAUUACUUCAUCAACCAGGCAAAAAAAAAUAUGGGAUUAAUGCUAGAAAAGAUCUUGAGUCUUUGAAGAUCAGGGGAAAACUAAUUCCUGAUGAAACAAACAAAAAAAACAAAGUCCUACCUCUAGCUCCAUACACUUUGAGUAAAAAAAAAAAAUAGUUUUGUGAAACCUUGCUGAGUGUGAAAGUCCCUGAUGGGUAUUCUUCCAAUGUCCAAAACCUUGUUUCAAUAGAUGAUUGUCGGCUUCAAGGCCUUAAGUCCCAUGAUUGUCAUACUUUGAUGCAAAAAUUUCUACCACUAGCCAUUCGAAAUUGUUUGCCUAUAAAUGUGAGUAGGGCCAUAAUCAGGAUGUGCUUCUUUUUUAAUACAUUGUGCUGUAAAGUGGUAGAUCCUAAUACUCUUGACCAAUUGCAAGAGGAACUUGUAAACACUUUAUGCUUAUUGCAACAGUACUUCCCACAUAACUUUUUUGACAUAAUGAUCCAUUUAACAGUCCACGUAGUUGAAUAAGUUAGGUUAUGUGGGCCUAUUUAUCUUCGAUGGAUGUAUCCUUUUGAGAGAGAAAUGAAAACUCUCAAGGAUUAUGUUCGUAAUCGCUACCGCCUUGAGGGUUGUAUUGUAGAAAGUUAUAUUGCAGAAGAAGCACUUGCAUUUUGUGCUGAGUACCUCUCAAAUUGUGAUGUUAUUAGGCUGCGUACUGGUUGUCCAAUUGAUUUAUCUGUCGAAAGACCUUUGGGAGGUGCAAACAUAAAGGUGGUUGAUGAUCCUUUGUUGGCACAAGCACACCGGUGUGUUCUAAUGAACACCCUUGAAAUCCAAAUAUAUAUCGAGUAAGUUGUUAAUUUUUCCAAAAAAAUAUUACUAUUGUAUUAUAAGAUUACUAUACUAGUUUUUAAAUCUUAAUAUGGUCUCACUGUAGGGAGCAUAUGCAUUAUUUGGCAUCAAGAAACCCCUAUAAGGCAAAAACAAAUCUGUGGUUGCAAAAUGAACACAUACGUACAUUUUCUGGUUGGCUACAAGCAAAAGUUAGAAUUACUUAACUAAAUACAAUAUAGGAUAUAAACUUUAAUAAGAUUUUUCUACAUGUAACUAAUUAUUGUACUUGUUAAUUUAAAUUAUAAGUAGCACAUGAUAAAGCAUAUAAUGUGCUGAUUGACGAAAUAGUUUGGUGGUUGGCAAACAAACCACGCUCAAGCGUGGUGACCUUCUCUGGCUACGAGAUCAAUGACUUCAAUUUUACAAUGAGGGAUCGGGACAGUAAUCGUGUGACCCAAAAUAGUGGUGUUAGGGUUGUCACUAACACUCUACAAAUUUCAAGCUCAAAAGAUAAAAGUCCUCAUUCUGAAGACAUGACGUUUUAUGAAGUCAUUGAUGAGAUUUGACAGCUUGAUUAUCUAAUGGUUAAAAAAACACUUUUCAAGUGUGAUUGGGUAGAUGAUAGAGGGGUUUGCACUGACAAUUUAGGUUUCAUUGUAGUUAAUUUAAAUCGGAUUGGCUAUAAAUCUGAUUGCUUUAUUCUAGCUUGUCAUGCAAAACAAGUAUUUUAUGUAAAGGACCAGCUAGAUAAUAAUAAAUCAAUAGUUUGUUCAGUGAUUGACAAAGCUUAUAAGUUAAAUGGGGAAAUAUGUGAAGACGUGGAUGUAUUUUCUCAAUUAUCUAACAAACUUCCAAUAUGUGAAUUGGAUGAGAAAGAUGACAAGGAAUUUAUGACAAAAAAGAUUGUGAUGCUAUUCCAAUAGAUAUUGAUUUAGAAAAUCAGUGAAUGCAUUAUUGUAGUUAGUUUCCAGCACCAAUUUUCACAGUUUUCCAGUAAGUGAUUUAUUUAUUUCAUUAUAUGUUAUUGCUCUUGUAUUAACUUAUUAAUCUAAAUGAUGUACUUAUUUAUUUUAAUCAUUUUCAGGAUUGUAGGAGAUGGCUGAAGAUGCUGAGUUCACUCUUUCGGAGCUCGACGGAAGACCAAAGAGAAGAAAACAACAAGGCUUGUAAAAACAAGAAGUUAGUCAUGAAGGUACAAUUGAGUACAAUUCUUAUGGUGUUUCAGUUGGAAAGGGAAGAAAUGAUCUUAGAGUUACAUUGGAGUCAUUGUACGUGAAACAAUUUCAAUUUUACUUGAUGAUUGGAGGCGUGUGCCACUGGAGAUGAAGGAAACUUUGUGGCUUCAUUUUCAGGUUUUGUUUACUUGUUUAAUAAUAGUUUAAAGAUUUUAUAUAACUUCUAGAUUUGUUUAAAGUUGUUUCUAAUCCAUGUUAUUGGUUUACAGAAAAAAUUCAAAUUGAGCUUGAAAUGCAAAAGCCAAGUGUUAAAGUGGAUGAUGGUUGCAUCAAGAAACUUUCAAAGUGAAUUGGCAACUGAAUUCGUUCUACCUAACAAGGACGAUCGAAAGUCACUAAAGUUGCCUCAUAUUGAAUAUCCGAGCAUUAAAAAGGAAGAUUGGAAACUUUUUGUUGACAAAGUUUUGUCUGAACAAUUUCAGGUGUGUUGUUUGUUAAUAUUACCUGAUUUAUUUAUUGCUAGUUACUAAUAAUCAGUGGUAACCUUUUGUUCUUCAUAUAAACUAUUUGUACAAGAAAAAAGUAAAAAGGCAAAAGACAAAAGAGCAAAGAAUGUCUACAACCAUCGCUUGGGUAGCACAUGAUACAGUGGCAUGUUGUAUAGAAAAGUAUGUGUGGUAAAUAAUCUAAUUACAGUAACAUAAGUAAUCUAAUACAUAUAAUAUAAUAGAAUCAAUUAUUUAUGUUUUAUGUCACCUUGUAACAGAAAAAGGAGAGUGGAGUUUCUGAGCGGGAGAUUGACCGCAGUGAAGCUUGGUUAAUGGCACGAGCAGAUCGAGAUGGCAAAUAUGCUUCUGAUGUGACGCCAAUUGCUGAGAAAAUAAUAAGUCACUUGUAUACUUAAUUCUUAUGAAUUUUCUUUAUAAUGUGUGUGUGUGUGUGGGUAGAUAUUUACGUACAUAUAUAAUGCUUUUUGUAAUAAUUGUAUGGUAACAUUUACAAGUGACAGAAGCUCAGUAAUACUUUAUCAGAACUUAUUUGUUCGCAUAUAAAAAGGUUAAAACUUGUGUGCAUGUGUGUUUGUAUGUGUAAUGAAAGAGAUGUCUAGGAGAUCAAGCGCUUGUGCGAGGUGUUGUCUUGUAAUAUUUUCUGUAGUUUCAAUUUGAACUGUAUAUGGACUUACUCUGUGUUGAAGAUUCAAGAAGGAUAUUAGUUUAGUUUAGCUGAUGUCUUGUACUCGCAAUUGCAGAUUUACAAUAUUUUUUUUUUGUAGAAUGAGCUGAAGAGUCAAGUUGAACAAGGAACAUUCCAAUCACAAGGGUCACAUGACAUUCUAGGUGAAGCUCUUCAGAAGCAGCCAAAUGGAAGCAGGGUGCAAGGAGUGGGGCAAUUCGUCACCCCAUCUAUGUACUUUUAUGUCCCUGAUGCCACUGAGUUAGCAAGAGAAAGAAAGAUGUAUCAAGAGAGUUUCCAAUUCAUGUCUGCUCAAUUAGAACGCAUGAAUGCAAGGUUAAAUGCGUACAUCAAUACUGAAGUUGGAAGUUCUAACUUUCCUAAGCCCAAAACUUCCACUAGUGUUCAGAUUGACAAUGAUCAACAAUCCCCUAAAACUCUUGGAAAAAGAAAGGUAUAUGACCUGUUACAUGUCAUUAUUUUAUUUCUAUCAUGUAUUACUACUAAUGGUAUGUAUUUUUAUUAUUGCAUAGGCUGAUUUCCCAUCGGGCAAGUCGACUCUAAAAUCUGUGAAGAGUAAAAUGAAGGACACUCUCACCACAAUUUCCCAAGCAACUCCUCAACAAACCCCCGAAAAAGUAGAGUGUGAAAUUACUUCAAAGCCCACACCGAGAAGAUCUCCUAGACUAACUCCUAAAGUACUAGAUGUGCAAUUCUCCUGUCAUGACAAAGUACCCAAAAACGAACCACUGGUCAUCAGACUAGCAGAAGUACCCAAAAGAGAACCACGGGUCAUUAGACCAGCAGCAAAAGGCCUCAACGUACGUGUGAAGAAUACACGGGCAUCAGCACGAUCAAGAAAGAAUGAUAGGAGUAAAUAUAUGAACAUGCUUACCAUGUUCAUCGAGAAUUCUUUACCUCGGUUGAUCAGGAUUUGGCAUGACACAGCAACCUUUGGUGAAAUUUGGGAAACACACUUGGACAAAAUGAUUUGUGCUGAAAUCAUCGAGUUUAAAGGGGUCUCAAACUGCAUCAUUAACAUAUGGAUCAAGUACGGUAAAUCAUAGCUUAUGUUUUAGUAAACUUGGAGCUAUUAUUUUGUUUCCUUUUAUUCAAACUUACUUCGUUUUAUAUAUUUAUUUCCUCUUAGACACUUGUAUGAGGAGAUGGAGAGUAAUGGAAGUAUUAAGCCGGUUCAGUUUGGGCUUUUUGAGAAGCUAUAUCCAAGGGUUAGCUUCAAAGACAGGACUCAAUACAUUUCAAAACUUUUAGACUUGGCAGAAUUGGGACAAGUCAUCGUAUUCCCGUAUAACCCUAGGUAUAACCUUUUUCAUUUGCUAGCCAUAUUCUUUAUUUAGUAGAUUAAUCAUGAAGUUUAAAACUUUUACUUGUAAUUCAUGUAUGAGAACAAUUUUUACUUUGUUUAGUGGCCACUGGGUGUUAUUGGCAAUUGAUAUGGUGAGACGUACAACUUAUUAUCUUGAUCCUUUGGAAGAUAGUCCUGAUGAAGAGCUAAUGCAGACUGUCAAUCAGUUAAGUUUGUUAUUUGUAUCUUUGAUCAUGUUGUUUUAUUUUUAUAUCUUAUGCUAAUUAUUUGCCAACGUUAGCUAUGUCUCUUAAUUGUAGUAGGAUUCGAAUACAUCAGAGUUUAAAUUCUGAUACAAAGGCCAAUGUUCAAUGGAUACCUGUCAAGGUAAAAAUCAGACAAACCUAAAUAAUUAUUGUUAACAUACAGUAAAAAAUUAAUGUAAUUUUGAUCUUGUAUUGUUCGGGGCAGCCAAGCAGCUUUGAAUGUGGUUACUAUGUGAUGAAAUACAUGCAAGAUAUCGUCACAAAUGUGAACGUUCUGAAAAAUAAUGUAAGUAUUGAAAACAGUUUUUACAAUACUGCAUCAUAUUGUUUUAAUUUAUUAUGAAAUGAAUCAGCUCAAAGACCUAUUGUGUGCUUCUUUAUAGUUAUCUUUUUACUACGUAUUGUAUGUAUUUUAUAAACUGUGAGGGUACUUAUAAUGGUGACUAUGUUGCAUACUGUUGAAUAGAUUAUAUGAAUAUCCAUAUAGACAUGAAUUAGGAUUUGGGAUAUACACAAUGUACUGUGUAUCCCAACACAAAAUAAUUGUUUGGGUUACAAAGUAGUUGUUAGUGGGGAUGUGCUAUGGUGUAGUUGCUUGUACUUUACUUUGAUGAGGAUAAGUUGUCAUCCUAAUUAAUGUUUUGUAUCUACAUCCAUAUUUGUAUUAAAUCGCGUACUGUUGGGGUUCACAAGUUACUUCAGCUAUCAAACAUUGUUGUAUAAUUUGACUUUAAAGUAGUAAUUGAUAGGAUAAGUGCAUCAAUAAUGGUUUUUUUUUUUUUUGCAAUUACCAUGAUCAGGAUGUUCAGUAUUUACCUAUAUAAUUUUGGAUAAAACAGUAACAUUGUUGGAGUUUAUUUGUUGGCUUUAAUUGUUAACACACAAAUAUAUUUAAAUGAAUGAUAAUUAAGUAAUUUAGUCAAGGAUUUUCGGUGAAUAACUUGUUGUUUUAAAAUUAAAGUUCAAGGGAAUUGAGAAAUACACCAUGAAGGACCUCUCGCGACUUCGUGAUCAGUGGGCUACAUACGUUGCCAAGUUAAUUACAGCCUACAAUCGCGAGGUAACAUACAAGUAAUUUAUGAUUAUUUUUCCUUUAAAAUAUACAAGACUUAUUUUUUGUGGUGUGCUAAUUGAUUUUAUAUACUUGUAGGUGGAAAAAAAAUGAAGGCAUAUGUGGACUCCAAAAUCAGUGACAGUGUUAUUUUUUUUUCUUGUUGGUUAACAUUUUCAUAAAUUAAUUUAGUACUUUAUCGUGUAUACUACUUGUUCAAAGCUUAAUUUGGUACUUGAAGUUUUUUUUUACCCCCAAAUAAUGAUGUAUUUGAACUAUUUUACUUUAACUGAUGUAUUUGAAAUGUGUAUUAUGUGAAUUGCAUUACAAGAUUAGUUAAGAUGGUUGAGUUAGUUAAGCUUAGUUAAUUUGAUUAAGCAAGUUUGUUAUGAAUGCUGACUUGGCAGCUGAGCUGGAGGAAGGUUGUUAUGCUAUUAGCUCAGUCUCAAACAGCAUGUAGAAGAUUCGAGAUACUUGUAUAAAUACAUUCUUGUAAAACCAUUCGAAUGAAUUCAAUGAUUUAGAUUCAUUCUCUCUUGUUAUUUUCCUUCUGUUUAUCUCUGUAACUUUCUUAGAAACCAAACAAAUACUUUACAAUUUAACAUGGUAUCAGAGCCACACUAAAAACAAAAAUGGCGUUCUCAAGCUCAAAUCCAAACACAACAAUCUCUGUUUCUUCAUUUACUUUCACUUCUCCUAUUAAGCUUGAUCGAUCAAACUACACAAUCUGGAAAUCUCAUAUUCUCUCUUCAGUACGUGCAAAUGGUCUUGAAGAUCAUCUUGAUAGCUCUAAAUCAUGUCCAGAUCAAUUUCUUCAAAGUGAAUCUGAGAACUCUGAAGUUGAAACUCAAACAAAUCCAGCAUUCACCACUUGGAAAAGGAAGGAUCAGAUGCUGCUGAGCUGGAUACUGUCUUCUAUAAAUUUCGAAAUUCUCAGCCUUGUGGUAAACUCUGAAACUUCACUCGAACUUUUGACUAGUCUUGUGCAAUAAUUUGGAUCUGAAACCUUUGCUAAAAAGGUUCAUCUUAAGAUGAUGCUUAAUAAUCUUAGAAAAGGUUCAAUGUUUAUGACUGAAUUCUUUGGAAAGCUGAAAACAAUAACUGAUGAUUUAGCAAUAGCUGGAAGCCCUGUUACCUCUCUGGAUUUUAUUACACAUCUGAUCUCUGGGCUAGGCCAACCAUACUACCCUGUGGUCGUGUAUAUUGAAGCAAAUCUUGUAAAAAUGACUGUUAAUGAAGCUUACUUAAUGCUUUUAACUCAUAAAGCUAGAUUAGAAGCACAUCAGUCAAAUGCUAGUAAGGAAACUAAAUUGACCUAUGCUGCAAAUGUUGCUCAAACUGGAACCAAUACUAAAUUUGGAGGACAAAAUAAUGCUAACUGGAUUAGGAAUGGAAAUAAUAAUAAUGGUGGCAGAGGAGCUUUUGGUAGAGGCUUUUCACAAGGCCGGGGUAGAGGAAAUUAGAAUGGUGUUUGGAAUAAUAAUGCCCAGCCUGGAAAUUAUCAAGGCAGAGGUGGAUAUGGUGUUAACAAUGGCAAUAACUUUGGUGCUAAUAAUGGAAAUUUUGGUGGCUUCACUAAUGAAAAAGGUGCUUCAGAUCCAAAUGGAUCUGCUGUAAUAUAUCAAAUAUGCUUUAAGCCAAAGCAUACUGCAGCUGAAUGCAAGAACAUAUUCAACAAAGAAUUUGUGCCUUAUUACAAUCCAUAUUCAGGCUAUAAUUCAUAUCAGAAUCCUGGACCAAGAGCUUUCUAUCCAAAUUCAGCACCAAGAGCUACUUUUCUGGCAACUUCUGAAGGUGACAUGGCUGAUCAAGGCUGGUAUGUUGACAGUGGGGCAACACAUCAUCUCACCAACAAUCUGCAGAACUUGAAUCUUGGAAGAGAAUAUUCAAGUAAUCAGUUACUGUAUGUUGGUAAUGGCCAAGGUCUGAAAAUUACACACAUUGGAUAUACUUGUCUUCCCACUUGCUGUGAUUCUUUUCUGCAUUUACAAGAUAUCUUGUGUGUACCCCAUCUCACUAAAAAUCUCAUAAGCAUUUCCAAAUUACUUGAAGAUACCAAUUUAAUCAUUAAGUUUGUUGCCAAUAUGUGUUUUAUUAAGGACAAGAGGAAGGGAUUGCAUCUGGCUCAAGGGAUUGCUAGAGGAGGAUUGUAUAAGUUGCUGUCUAAGGAUGAUUUUCUCUCCAGUUCAUGUGUCAUCAAUCAUAAUCCUAGUUCUAUGCUUUCUAUUUUUAACCAGUCAGCUUAUAACUUUUCUGGUUUGUCUUUGAAUGAAGAUUGUACUCAAACAAGUAAUCCUCAGAGUCUUUUGAGCACUGUUAACCCGGCUAUGUUUGCUAAUGUGUUACACCAAAGAUUUGGUCAUCCUAAUAAACAUGCAUUGAAAGGCAUAUUAUCUUCUCUUGCACUUCCUGCAUCUAUCCCUGAUUUUUGUGAUGCUUGUCAAUAUGGUAAAAUGCAUCAACUUUUUUUCUACUCUACAGGCAUAAAAACAAAAACUCCUUUAGAACUUGUACAUACUGAUCUUUGGGGUCCAGCAUCUAUACCAUCUCUACAUGGAUAUAGAUAUCACAUUAGUUUUGUGGAUGAUUACAGUAGAUACUGCUGGAUUUUUCCAUUAACCCUUAAGUCAGAAGCUUUAGAUACAUUCAAGUGUUUCAAAACCUUAGUUGAAAAACAACUUGGUUUCUCUUUGAAGUCUUUACAAUCUGACUGGGGAGGGGAGUACAGAAGCUUUGAAAAAUUUCUUGAGGCAGAAGGGAUACAUUUUAGGCAUAGUUGUCCUCACACACAUCAUCAAAAUGGUGUAGUUGAGAGAAAGCAUAGGCAUGUUGUGAAAACUAGGUUAAGACUUAUUGCUCAAGCUAAAAUGCCUUUAUUUUUUUUGUGGGAGUCAUUUCAUACAGCUUCCUUUCUCAUUAACAGAAUGCCAACCCCAGUGUUGAACAAUGUUUCCCCUUUUGCAAAACUUCAUGGCAAACUACCAGAUUACAAGUUCCUUAGAACAUUUGGUUGCUCUUGCUUUCCUCUUCUCAAACCUUACAAUAACCAUAAACUCAAUUUUCAUACACAAAAAUGCCUAAUGAUUGGCUAUAGUCCUAUACACAAGGGAUAUAAAUGCCUGGAUUCUACUGGUAAAACGUACAUUGUUAGACAUGUUUAGUUCAAUGAAUCAGAAUUUCCUUAUUUUGAACUUUUUCCUACAAAGUCUGAUUCACAAUUAUCAUCCAUCUAACCAAGUCAAGUGUCAUUUUCAAAUAUUCCAAUUACAGAAGUCAUUCAAGACAGCAACAAUGCACAAUCCUCUGUUAUUCCCUCAUCUCCAGAUGCAGGACCUGAUUCAAGUCAUUCCCAUACACCUUCAGCACAUCCAUCUCCAAGCCAUUUAUCUCAAAAUUCAUCACUACACAUCCAAGUUCAUCAGCCAGUACAGACAUCUCCAGUUUAGAAUAAUCAUUCCAUGACUACCAGAUCAAAAGCUGGUGUGUUUAAGCCCAAGACAUACUUAACAGUAGCUCAAGAGCUUGAACCUUCAUAUGUUAAAGCAGCUCUAGUAGACCCCAAAUGGCAACAAGCUAUGCAAGAAGAAUUUGAUGCACUACAAAAGAAUCAAACCUGGGUUCUUAUUCCUCCAGAAACAGCUGGGAAGAUUGUUGGAAACAAAUGGGUAUUCAGAAUUAAAUAUAACCCUGAUGGCAGCAUAUCAAAGUACAAAGCCAGAUUAGUUGCAAAAGGGUUUCAUCAGACAUAAGGUGUGGAUUUUUUUGAAACUUUCAGUCUAGUUGUAAAGCCCUGCACAAUCAGAAUAAUCUUGAGUCUUGCUGUCAUGAAUCACUGGACAAUUAGGCAGCUAGAUGUCAACAAUGCCUUCCUUAAUGGCAUUCUUACAAAGGAUGUUUUUAUGCAUCAACCUGAGGGUUUUGUUCAUCCUCAGUUUCCAGCUCACAUUUGCAAACUCACCAAGGCACUUUAUGGACUCAAACAGGCACCAAGAGCCUGGUAUGACAAGUUGAAAGCUUCCUUAAUUCAGUGGGGUUUUGUGACAUCCAAAUCAGAUACCUCAUUGUUUAUUCAUCAUGUGGCAGGAGAAAUUAUUGUGGCACUAAUCUAUGUAGAUGAUAUCUUAAUCACUGGCUUAAAUUCUCUUUUGGUAGAGAAGGUAAUACAUCAGUUGGGUGCAGAGUUUGCCUUGAAAGAUCUUGGGGAGUUUAAUUAUUUUCUUGGUCUUGAGGUAACUCUAAUUGUGGAUGGGUUGCACUUAUCACAAACUAAGUACAUUGGUGAUCUGCUCAAGAAAGCUCAAAUGGUGAACUACAAGGGCUGUCCAACACCAAUGAGCUCAACAGAAAAAUUAGUCAAAGACAAGGGUGCAAUGUUUGAGAAUCCUUCUCUAUAUCGAAGUCUGGUUGGCUUAUUACAAUAUGUUACACUAACAAGGCCUGGAAUUGCUUUUACAGUGAAUAAACUCAGCCAAUAUCUUUCUAAUCCAUAAGUACUUCAUUGGCAAGCUUGUAAAAGGGUGUUGAGGUAUCUACAGUAUACAACAGAUUAUGGUUUGCAAUUUUACUCAUCUGGAUCACUUAGUCUUACAGCCUUCUCAAAUGCUGAUUGGGGGUCUGAUCUGGAUGAUAGGAAGUCAGUAGGGGGAUAUUGUGUUUACUUAGGCAACAACUUGGUAUCAUGGUCCUCUAAGAAACAACAUAUAGUGUCUAGAAGUACAUCUGAAUCUGAAUACAGAGCUUUGGCUUUGACAACAGCUGAGGUAUUGUGGAUCACUUAUAUUUUCAAAGAAUUAAAAGUGUCUUUGCUGCAGUCUCCAGUUCUCUACUGUGAUAACAAAAGUGUAGAAGCUCUUGCUAGCAAUCCUAAGUAUCAUUCUAAAACUAAACACAUUGAGCUUGAUCUACAUUUCAUUCGAGAGCAUGUAUCUAGAAAGGAACUACAGAUUAGUCAUGUUCCAAGUUGUGAGCAGGUAGCAGAUAUUCUUACUAAACCAUUGGCAUUUGAUCAAUUUCAUUAUCUACGGUCCAAGCUCAAUGUUCUUCCCAGACCUUCAGCUUGAGAGGGGCUGUUAAGCAAAUAGAAUUAGUUAAGAUGGUUUAGUUAGUUAAGCUUAGUUAAUUUGAUUAAGCAAGUUUGUUAUGAAUGCUGACUUGGCAGCUGAGCUGGAGGAAGGUUGUUAUGCUGUUAGCUCAGUCUCAAACAGCAUGUAGAAGAUUCGAGAUACUUGUAAAAAUACAUUCUUGUAAACCUAUUCGAAUUAAUUCAAUGAUUUAGAUUCAUUCUCUCUUGUUAUUUUCCUUCUGUUUCUCUCUGUAACUUUCUUAGAAACCAAACAAAUACUUUACAAUUUAACAGGUAUGUUUAAUAUAUUUUGAGUUUAUUUUAAUUAUAAAAUAACCAGGAAAAUAUGAUUAAAAAAUAAAACACUACCGGUAUAGCACCGUUAAUACUGACACUAAUUAUUUAAAUGACGUUAAGAAUUUUUUAUGUUACUGAGUCAGUGGAUUCCUGAUACUGUAGUCACAUAAAUCAGUGACAUAUAAAUAGUAUCAUUAAAUGCUAACACAAUUGAAUCACUAUCUUUGUGACUCUCUAGUGACACAAAAUACUGACAUAGAAAUAGUAUCAACUGAUACUAACACCAUCGUGUCACUAUUGUGGUGAUACUAUAGUGACACAAGAUACUGACGCAAAAAUCACUUACACCAAAAAUUAGUGUCAGUGUGUUCUGGCUUGAGCAUUACUGACACAAUUAACAAGUGUCAGCAAAAGUAAUUACUGACACUAAAGUGGUGUUAGUAAAGUCCAUUUUUCUAGUAGUGUGUUUGUUAAUUCUAUUUGCAAUUUAUGGAUUGAUGUGUGGGAGCCACCUCUCUAGUGCCAAUAUACCGUGAAGUGCCAUGAAUAGUGCAAAGUGCUACAUGCAGGGUAUGUAUUUUUGAAAAAGACAAUUGAAGUUUUAAUAAGUUUGUUAUUUACUUAUUAGGCACCUAUACGUUUAUGUGGAGCCUUUGAUAUGUGUGGUCUUUCUUUCAGAUUAGUAGAUAACUCAUGAUCAUUAUAUGAUAUAUGAUAUAUGUAGUCUUACUAAGUAGCAAGAAUUGUGGAUAUUCCUAAAAUAAGUAUGAUAAGAUUUAUUAAGUGAUUCAUGAAAUAUGAAGCCUAUGAAUGAAAGUAAGUUUAUACUCAUGCCAAUCCAUGCAUAUGCAUUGUAUAUAUUAUGUAUUUAGUUCGCUAUAUGAAAAACUAAUUUCCUUAUUGAGUUUUUUACACACAUUAUAGUUUAUUGUGACUUUCAGAUGGCUGAUGGAUCUAACGUGUGAUGGAUUUGGAAAAUCUGCUCACAUUCUUUGGUUCCUUUAAUUUUAGAAGAUUUUUUGACAUGUGUGUUUUAACUAGAUUUUGGCAAAGAGAGAAACCUAGCUAAAUACAAUGAAUUUAUAACUUACAAGGGUUGUGGUGCUUAAUAUAGCUAGGUGUGUUGUUUGUUUGAACUUUCCUUGAAGCUUCAAAAAUAAUGGAAAUGAUGGGGGCUUGGAUGAAAUCUAAAUCUAGAGAGGAUUGGUUUGGAGGGCUAUGUUUAACCUGCAAAAUGGAGAAGACUAGUUACAGGUAGAGUUAGCCGUGGCUGGUGACUACACUUUGAUGCUCAAGUUAGUUUUGAGGCUAUACUUUUGUCCCAAGAGUGGUGACUAGAGGUUGAAGAAAACCCUCAGCCUUAUUAUUGCGUAUGUUUUUAAUAAGUGAGAAAAAUAUAACUUGAGCAUCUUUAUGUAAAGCACUUGGGGUUACAUCUUUCACCAUGCCACCUAGUGCAUUUCUAUUGGUGUUAUUUGUUGCCUUGGUAAGGAUAUUUCUAUCCUUUUGCCCAUACGACCUUUUGGCCCUUUGAAGCAUGCUCGGAGAGUAAGUUGGCGUGUUAUUUUCAUUAUUACACGUGUUGGACUCUACUAGGUGGUCUAGCAUGUCUUUACAAAGACCACCCUGCAAUUGAUGGCGUGUUAAUUAGGACAAAUGAUCCCAACUAUUUUAAUGAGCCGUUUUUGGCUUUUUUACAAGUGUGGCAACCUACUAUUCCCUCUUUCUAAGUAGUUCCUUAUUGUCCGGUGUUUUCCUACCUGUUGUCGUCUUGCUUCUCUAAUUGUCCAGUGUUUAAAUAUAUACAUGUAAAUAUUCCCUUUUUGACUUGUAUACAUAUUACUUCUUGUAUUUUAAGCCUUGUAUCGGCUAUUAGGACUAUAAAAGUCUGCUUCACCAGAAAGCCUGAUCAAAUAAGGGUAUUUAUCUGCCAUUUCCUACUGUUAAAAUUUUUCAUUGUUAGUCAAAUGGUACGAAAUGCCUUAUGUGUAGAGGUGGUAACCAAGAUUCAAAACUCUUAAUAUGCAUGAGUUCAUUUAUUUCUUAUUGUUUUCAUUCCAACUUCCAUUUUUGGCAAAUGUUUCCUUUGUUUAACACCUCAUUGAGUGGAAUAAGUUUUAGUUUGCAUGAGAGAAUUAACUACCGGAAUUCCACUGUAAACUUUUCUUUAGCUGCAAGAUCAUGCAAUGAUGAGUACGAAGCUUGGGAGCUUCUUAUUGAGCUGGUUGAUGGAUUUUUUAAGGUACUAUAUUCGACCAUUAAAGUAUGAUCUAUUAAUUGCCCUUAUUAUAGUCUUAAGCCAUGUAACUGUACAUUAUAAUUAUUCAAAAAGGUGCACUUUAACAUUCCCCUCAUGUGUAAAGGCUGGCAAAUGAUAAUCAAACAACAAUGUGAACAACACGCAGAGCAAAUAUUAGUAACCAAAUAGAGUACAGAAAUAGGCUUGGCCAAUACCGGGAUUGUUCUACCCUAGGUAUGUAACAUUAUUUAGUACUCUAUUUAGUUUACUAAUUUUAUUUGUGCCAAUCUGAAAACUUAUAAUUCAAGUGCUAACUUUCUCUCACUAUUUUCCAACCUUUUAUUGAAGUGAUCAAGAAGACGUUGGGAGUUGAGAUCAUGCAAAAAGGGGGUGUUCUAUGAGUUGUUUUGUUCUUUUCCUAGUUUAUCCCUUCUAUCUCUACUUAAUUGAAUAUUAAAAAUCCAAAUUAAAUUUUGUGUAUGUUUGGGAAGGAAAUAUGAGGCCAAUGAUGAAGGGCCACGUGUCGAUAUUUAAGAGAUUAAUUUAUCUCGGGUACCUUAGGUACCUCGGGUACCCUAGGUACCCCGGCUACCCUAAGCACUCCAGGGGUACCUCGGGUACACCAUGAGAGGAUACAAAAGUCUUCGUAAAUAUGUGAAGGGAUAUGUGGGCCCCGAAUCUCAAAAAGACCGGUUUGAUACGUGUCAAAAAAUAAGGAAAUCUCGUGCCGCAAAAGAGGAGACAGCCGCCUGUCACGCCAGUGAAUCCGCUAAAAGUGUCAUAUUGUGACAGUUGGGACCACCAACUUUUCCUGCUACGCCUGCAAAAUUACAACGGAAUUGCAGAGGUACGCGGAACCACUCCACUACGCCCAGCACGUGAAUACGCCACAAACUUGCUCUCCACUCAUAAUUUUGAAACGUCUAAACCGCCAUAUGCAUGAAAAUAAGAAUAUUACUGACAUGACAAUAGGGAAGGCCACUAAAAUAGCGCCAGGUGGCACGGCGACCGGGGUACACCAUAUAAAUACUCAGGUUUGAUUUUUAUCAAGGAGGUAAACACACUCACCACCAAAGAAACUAGGGGUUUCUUCAACCUCAAAACCUCCAUUACCGAGAGCUUAUAAGCUCUCUAACCUGAGAUAACCCAACUCUGACUUGAGCGUCGGAGUGUGGUCGCCGGUCACCCCCGGCUCCACCUCUGACCUCUUUUUUGGUUGUUUCACAGGUUUAAGGCGAGUUUCACCAGCCCGCACGUGCCGAACAAGCGAGGUACCCCGCUCCCCGACAAAAAUAUAAACUUAUUGCUCUUGGGUUGGUUUUGUGGUUUUUUAUUCAUUGACCCAAAAUCAGCCGCAAACAGUGUACAAUUUUUCAAACAUUUAUUGCAGUGACAACCAAAUGUUCAAUAUGUUUCUAAAAAUAUUGGGAAUAUUGCCACUUGAGGAGUGUUUAAUCCUUGUUUUAGCUCUUUAUUUAUUUAUUUAGCUUCGUUUAUCAUUUUUAUUAUUUACGACAAACAUGCUUAAGUGUUUUUUUUUUUUGGAUACUCUGACUAAUUGGGUGUACUUUUGCCUAUAGGAUAUAACCUCCGAAAGUUCUGUAAAAGUAUUUUCUAGCAACUAUUCUAUAUAUCUGCUUCGGGAUGCAUGGCCAUAUGUAGAGAAACGCAAGCUUUUUCUUUAUUUUUUCCACAAAUUUUUACACUUGAAUUAUGGUCGAUCUCUAUGUUAUAUGAGUUAAUUCUAUGCUUAACUCCUCUCACUUAGUCAUUUGUUUGGUUACAGAAAGGCUACAUGGAUUCUUCUUAAUUGUCAUUUUCCAAUCUUAAAGGGAGCUUUAUUGUCGUGAUCUCAUGGACUUCUCAACUCGUUGUUUUAGUUGAUCGUGAUUAAUAUUGGGAUUAUUUUCUCCUAAAUUAGCCCUCUGUUGUGUCUGUCUUUGUCCUCUCCAUCUCUUUAUCUCUCUGUAUGUAAUUGUUUGGGUUAAUCUUUUUUUCCCAAUAACAGCUAUUUAUUUGGUUGUAGUGAUGCAUGGUGGUGCCUUCUUCCUUUUUUAUUUUUAUAAUAUUUUAAGUAGAAUCAAGUGUUGCGGAUUUCUCCAAAAAAAAAAAAAAAAACUAUGAGUUUUCAAAGAAUAUUGAGAUAUUAUGCACUAGUCAAAGGGCCUGAUAUUCAUCUCUUUCCAUAGUUUCUUUUCAAACACUUUAAAUUCAACUUAUUGUUUCAUGAUUUAUUUCGUAAUAUGGCCUUUUAGAUGAAUUCUUGGGAAUCUUUUGAAGGCGGUGUGAUAUUUUCCACUUUCUUGUAUUUUAGUAUCGGAGUCAGUGUUCUCACGUUCUUGUUUGGUCUGUGUGCUUGCUCCACAAGGAAAAGAUUUAAGCAUGGUCUCUUAUCAAAUGUUGCUUAAAUAUCAAUUUUUGCUACUGAAAUUAUUAGUUUCUCUGAUCUUAAAGAGAAAAACUGUUGUUGUGGACUUUUUCAAUUCAUUGUUGGAGCAACUAAGGAAUAUUUGGAUUAUUUUCUCUUAAUUUAGUUUUCCCCUAAUUUUCUCUUUGUUUAGCCAGUCUCUCUCUGUGUGUGAUCUUUUGGUUAAGUCUUUUGCCCAAUUUGUGUGAAGUUUUUUUGCUAAAGAGAAUGACUCAAGUGCUGACAAACUCUUGAGGUCAUUCGAAUGACCUGGAAAAUCCUUAUUUGUCAAUUAUCCAAGAGCCUACUGUUUCGAGGAUUACUCGGUCAGAAUGUUAUUCUUCUUACAAGCGGCGAUGCACUUUUCAUUCCUGAAGACUGGUAUGAUUAAACACUAAAUUUUUAUGACAAGGGUUUCCUUUGCCUGCAUCAAAAUCAAGAAUCUCUCUGUGGUUAGCUUUUCUUUCUUAAUUUGAUUAAUCACAUACUGUUUUGUUAGUUUAUUCUGGAGUACGCUUACCACUGGUCGAUUGUUUCAGGACUUUAUGCAGGCAAAAUGAGACUUGACGGGUGCUAAAUCAAGCUUCUGCUUGUUUGUAGCGUAUUCGCAUGUCAGGUUUUCUCUUCACUUUUAAGAAGGCUGUGGAAUCAAGUAUGCAGCAAGGAACAUGUGCUUUUAGAUUUUGAAUACUUUUUUCUUUUCUUUUCUUUUCUUUUUUCAGUUCUUUCUCAUAGUUUUACUCCUAUAUAUAUCUGUUUGAUCCAUAAGUUUUAUGGCUUAUUUUUUCAAUUUUGUGAACUCUUAUUAUAGUGAUAGACGAAUGGUCUUAGAACGUCUGUGAAUCUUACUGUCUGGUUUACUUAUCUCCCAAUUUGAUUAAAUUUUGGUAUAAGAUUAGCUCACAAACAUGAUUGUGUAUAUGAUUUUGUUCUAUUUUCCCAUGGCUUUUAAGGAUAAAUUAUUGCUACUGUUUACAGUUUUAGGAUAACCCUUGUGCUGAAUCUAUGACCGCAGUCUGCCAAAGUUCUUGGACUCGUGGAUGAGGAAUUAACAUUUUAUAUUGCAUAAGACUUUGGUUUAAGCUGACGUUGAAUGAAAAUAUGUUAUAAUUUUUACUGUUUUUUGUUUUUUUAUUUCAAGUUUGUUCUGUUAUUCCAGAGUUUGGUUGGAAAAACUUAAAUCUUAUAGACUUGGAAAGAUUUCUUAUCUUUUUUUAUUAUCUUUUGCAAUUUAUGUUGGGUCAAGUAAUAUUUCGGUUCUUUUCAAAAAAAAAAAAAAAGGUAAUAUUUUUUGGUUGGUUCCCUUGAUUUUUUAAUAAAGUUUUACCAAUCAGUAGCUUUCUUUUUCCUUCAUUUGAUGAUACUUCAAGUUUCUUUUGAUUAACUUAGAUGAACUACAAGGACUUUCAUCUCCUAACUCUGUUUCGUUGAUUCUGGUUAUGAUAUAGUUUCGUGCAAUAUUGUUUUUUUUUUUUACUAGUAAGAGAUCUUUAUUAUCUACUGUAAUUAAUGUUAGAUAAUUUUUAUUUUUAUUUUUUUACUACUUUAUUUAAUCAAGUUGUAUUCCUUUUUUUUUUCCCAGCUGGUAAGUAAAGAAAGCUUGUUUUUUAAUAUUUUUUUAUAUUGAUAUUACAAUCAAAAGUCCAUAUAUGAUGGCAAUGAAAAUUUGUAAGUUCCGAUAGGAAGUCGACACAUGUGCUAGGAUAUGCAAAGGAUGGAAAUGACAGGGUUGCCCAUGAGGUACAAAGGGUUUAAAUUCUGCGUGCGUAAAUUUAGGGUUAUAAUUCUUUCAUAAUCUGAUCGUAUUCUAAGUAAAUAAUUUACUUAUUGAUUAAUAAUAAAAUUUAAAUUCAAUAAAACUAAAAUGCCUGCCUUUUUUUAUUACUUGUGGUAAAAAAAUUCAAUACGGUUCACACCGUAUAUGAACACAUAAUUUACUUAUGGAUUAAUAAUAAAAUCCACAAGUAAUAAUUUACUUAUUGAUUUUAACUGUGAAAAUGGUAUUUGUCCAAAUCACCAGCAUAAUCAGAAUCAACGUACCCGAUCACACCUUGACUAAGUGUAUCGUCUCUCUCAAACAGUAAACCAACAUCUAUGGUCUUAUGAAUGUACCGUAGAAUCCAUUUCACAGCUUGCCAAAGUCCUUUACCAGGAUUAUGCAUAUACUUGCUCACUAUACCUACUGCAUGUGAAAUGUCAGGCCUUGUACACACCAUUGCAUAUAUUAAGCUACCCACUGCAUUUGAAUGCGGAACUUGUAACAUGUAUUCUCGUUCUGCAUCUGUUGAAGGAGAUAAUUGUGUAGAAAGCUUAAAAUGAGAAGCUAAUGGGGUACUCACAGGUUUUGUUUGCUCAGUCAUGCCAAACUACUGUAGUACCUUCUUCAAAUAUUGCUUCUGAGACAAGCUUACUUUGCCACGAGCUCUAUCUCUACAUAUCUCCAUGCCAAGAAUCUUCUUAACUUCACCUAGAUCUUUAAUUUCAAAUUCUUGAUUGAGUUGAGUCUUCAACUUCUCAAUCUCAUCUUUGUUCUUCGAUGCUAUUAGCAUAUCAUCGACAUACAAUAGCAAAUAAAUGAAAGAUCGUUCUUGUAGCUUGCGAAAAUACACACAAUGAUCAAAUUUGUUUCUUGUGUACCUUUGUUCUUUCAUAAAUCGAUCAAAUCGCUUAUACCACUGCCUCGAAGAUUGUUUCAAUCCAUAAAGCGACUUUGUUAAUUUGCAAACCCAAUUUUCUUUUCCAGCAACCUGAAAUCCAUCUGGCUAAGUCAUGUAGAUUUUCUCUUCCAAAUCACCGUGUAAAAAUGCAGUUUUUACAUCAAGUUGAACUAGUUCAAGAUCAAAUUGUACAACCAUGGCUAGCAAAAUUCGAAUAGACGAGUGUUUUACAACUGGAGAAAAUACCUCAUUGUAGUUUAUUCAUUCCUUCUGAGCGUAACCCUUCGCUACCAAUCUAGCCUUGUAUCGAAUUUCAUUUUUACGAGAAAAUCCUUCAUUUUUUGCAUAUACCCAUUUGCACCCAAUUGCCUUCUUUUCCUUGGGCAGUGUAACUAACUCCCAAGUUUCAUUUUUGUGAAGAGAUUGCAUUUCUUCGUUCAUUGCUUUCUUCCAUUGUAUACUUUCUGGGUUACUUACUGCUUCUCUGUAAGUGGAAGGAACAUCAUCAUUUACAAUAAGAAGUGCAUAAGCCACCAUAUCAACAAAGCGAGCAGGUCUGCGAAUCUCUCUACGUGGCCUUCUAUAUGCAAUUGAAUCUUGUUGUUGUGAAGGUUCCUGGGUCAGAACCUCUUCAUCAUCAUCGGUCAAUGGAGAAUCAUUAUUCGUCUCAUCGACACCAGCUGGAUCAGAUUUAACUUUUUCAAACUCCAUCUGCUGCAAAGUUCUACUGGUCUUCUCAUUCUCUUGAGAAUCGUUUUGUUUCAACAUGGCUGAUUCAUCAAAAGCUACAUCUCUGCUGAAAAUAAUCUUCUUCGUAACAGGACACUAGAGACUGUAUCCUUUUACUCCACCAAUUAUACCCAUAAACAAUGCUUUCUUUGCUCUUGGGUCUAACUUAGAUUCCUUUACAUGAUAAUAAGCAGUGAAACCAAAAACAUGUAAAGAAUCAUAAUCAGUAGCAGGUUUACCAGUCCACAUCUCCAUGGGUGUUCAGCCCUUAAUUAUAAUUAAUGGCAAACGGUUGAUCAGAUGGCAUGCAUAUACAACUGCCUUAGCCCAAAACUCUUUGCUCAAUCCAGUAUUGGACAACAUACACCGAACUUUCUCUAGUAUAGUCUGGUUCAUGCAUUCUGCCACCCCAUUCUGUUGUGGUGUAUCUCGAAUAGUGAAGUGUCGCACAAUACCUUCAUCUUGGCAUAUUUGAAGAAAUGGAUCAUUCUUGUACUCACCACCAUUGUCUGAGCGAAGUCUUUUGACCUUUCGACCAGUCUGAGUCUCGACCAUUUUCUUCCAUUUCAGAAAUAAGCCAAAAACUUCAUUUUUGUUCUUCAUCAAAUACACCCACACUUUUCUUGAAUAAUCAUCAACAAAAGUAACAAAAUAGUGCAUACCUCCCAAAGAAGCUAUUUUGGUAGGUCCUCACACGUCAUUGUGAACAUAGUCCAGAAUCCUUUUUGUGUCGUGAAUUGUUGAACCAAACUUUACCCUUGUCUGCUUGCCCAGAACACAAUGUUCACAAAAUUCUAAUUUGUAAGAAUUUGUACCUUUUAAUAAGCCCUGCUUCACCAAAGUCUGUAAAGCUUUUUCACCAGUAUGUCCCAAACGCAUAUGCCACAACUUGGUUGCUCUGAAUAUGCAUUUUUUCCAGAAACUGUUGAUGCUGAUACAUUAACUGUAUUUCCUUGGAAAUAAUACAAGUUAUUUCUUCUUGUGCCUUUCAUCACCAUCAGCGCCCCAACUACUACCUUCAAUAAUCCAUCUCUCAAAGUGAUUGUGAGCCCUUUAGAUUCUAGGACUCCUAAUGAGAUAAGAUUUUUCUUCAAGCUUGGUACAUAGCGAACGUCUGUCAAGACUUAGAUUGAGCCAUCAUGAUUCUUUAUUGGAUUGUACUUAUUCCCAUGGUUUUACAAGCAUUGUCAUUACCCAUAAAAACAACUCCACCGUCUAGCUCUAUGAAGUUGGAAACCAGCCCUUGUUAGGAUACAUAUAAUAAGUAUAACCCGAAUCCAAAAUCCACUCAUCUGAGUGACAUAUCAAUGUCAUGCCAACCAGACUAAAGUCUGACUCCUCAUCAUGCUCUGCUACACAUGCAACAAAAGUAGCCUUGCCCUUUUGUAACUUAGGACAAUUCUUUUUCCAAUGCCCUUUCUCGCGACAAAAAGCACAUUCAACUUUGGCAGGUCUCCCUUUAGACUUGCUCAUUUUUUCCAGGUUUGCGGCUUUGCGAACGACCUUUCGCUGUCAAUGCUUCUGCAACUGUAUCUCUGUGAUCUUUUUUGUCUUUCUUUUUGGUCUCAGAGUUGUACAAUGCACUGCAUAUAGCAUCGAACGUAACAUUGUCUUUCCCAUGAAGCAAAGUGGUAGUGAGAUGAUCAUAUUCAUCAGGAAGGGAAUUCAACAACAAUAAUGCCUUAUCUUCAUCUUCAAAUUUCUCAUCCAAAUUUAGCAAAUCUGCCAAUAUUUUGUUGAAUGAGUUCACAUGGUCAUUCAUUGACAUGUCAGGUGUAUAUGUGAAUCGAUAGAGUUUAUUCUUCAUAUAAAGCCUAUUUUCAAGACUUUUCAUCAUAUAAUUUUCUUCCAGUGUCUCCCAUAAUUUCUUUGCCGAUGUCUCCCUCAUGACAGAAUAUUUCUGAUCUUUAGCCAGACAUAGGCGAAUAGUACCACAUGCCUGUCUAUUGAUUUGUAUCCAUUCGCUGUCAUCCAUCACGUCAGGCUUUUCUUCAAGAGCAACAUCCAACUCUUGCUGACAUAAGACAUCCAACACCUCACAUUGCCACAUACCAAAAUUAUUGGUACCAUUAAAUUUCUCCACUUUAAACUUUGCAUUAAUCAUAGUAUUCAUCGCUGAUGAAGACGACGACGAUGCCUCUGCCAUCUUUUUCUCUCAAAUGAUCAGUUUCUUCAACAACUAUUUACACUUAAAAAACAGCCUUUAUAAUGUUUAUUUCGCGUGAAUAAAUACAUUAGGAAAGUUCCCAGGAGACCGUUCCCAAUUAAGAACCAGAAUCCUUAGACUCUUAUCGUCUUGUUGACAGAACUUUCCUAGACAUGCAAAAAUACACACUACUUACAAUAGACUGUCUCCCAAGUAUAAAUGGUUGUCUCCAUCGUAUUUGUGAACAGUACCGUAUACAAGAAUAGUACCGUAUACAUGAACAGUACCGUGUCCCCCCAGGUACGAACCGUCGACUCUAAUACCAAUUGUUGCGGAAACGUGGGUUGAGCAAUUACUAAUACUACAACUUCUGGAGAAAUAUAAAUGUGGUGAUAAACAAAUGCAAAGAAAAUAGGACACAAUAAUUUACGUGGUUCAGCGUAAUGCCUACGUCCACGGGCAAAAGCUGGAAGAUAAUUUUACUAACAAAUGAGAAUUUACAAAAGUGGAAAAAACUCACAAAACCCACAACCCCAAUACACCCAAAUCGAACCUCACUAGAACACUCAAGUGGAAGCUCUCACAUAUUCUCUCAAAGAACUCACUUGCAAUUGCUCUCUACUUCUCUCAAAUUUGGGAUCCUUACAAUUGCAAAAUGCUUCUCUAUUUAUAGAGUGCAUUCUGCACCAAGUUGGGUUCAAUUGGUCAAAACGUUGAGCUAGAUCUUGUAUUGCAUGCACAAGCUUUUCAACACCUAACUUUGUCUUUUGAAAAUUAGCAAGCCGACCAACUUUACUUUUUUGAAUUUGGCAAACCCACCAACUUUGCCUUUUGAAAUUUGCAAGCCAUUCUUUGACUUUUCAACAAAAAAGACAUAUUUCAAUGCAUUAAAGACAAAUUACAUUGUAUUGGAGUAUGUGUUUAUUUUAACCUUUUAAAUUGUCUUUAAUUUUAUUAAGCAAGUGAUUCUCUUAUUGUAAAAUUGUUGGGUACACAUACAAAUAUCCCAAAGUUCUUAAGGAAAAAUGUAAGUUCACAAUGAAAUUUAGCUUUUUUCUUAAAUUAAGGAUGAAAGUUGUAUAUUCACCUAAAUGGUGAAAUCCAGUAUUUUUUCUUUUCUUCCUCACCCCCCCGGGCCGCAAAUUAAAGAUGAAAUCAAUCUCAGCUCGUCAUUUAAUUAUAAAUUCACUUUGCUUUAUUUUAGUCUUUUUCGUUCUAGGAUUUUGAAGUUUUUCGACCGACUGGAGUACCGUACUGCUGUCAAAAGAUUUGGCUACAGCAUCUAGAAGCUGCAUCUAGAAGUUUUGAAGAAACAAAAUGAGUAGCACACGGCUUUGAAGUUCUAGAUGCCGAAAUACUUGAAGAGGAAAAUGGAAAAAGAAGAAGUUUGAAGAAGAAAAUGAGGAACGCGAUUUUGACAAGAGAAAAAAAAAUUAUUAUUUUAAUAGCCAAUUUUGGCUAUAAAAAGGGGAGUUCCCCAUCGGCUUAGUGUAUUCUAUUCUUUAAGUUUUUCUUCUCUAUUUUGUAAAGAGAAAGAGAAAGUGAGAGUAUUUUAAGAGUUUUAAUAAACUCUUAAGUAAUUAGUGAGUGAGAGAUUGGGUGUAUUGGGGUUCUGGGUAGUGAGCCAAAAUAUUACAAUACUUGUAAUCCUCAUAUCACUAGUGAAAUAUUUUCCUUCUGUUUUCGCCCAUGGACGCAGGCUAAAAGCCGAACCACGUAAUUUUCUAGUGUCCCUUUUUAUGCUUGUUCUUUAUUUUCUUCCAAUUUCACUUUACCUGCGGCUCUGCUUCACCCACUAAUUUCCUAACAGUGGUAUCAAAGCUAUUGGUUGUAUUUUUGGAGUCGGUUACUAUUCACAUAAGGGGUACUAUUUACGCAUACAGUACUGUUUACGUAUAUGAUACUAUUCAUGUAUACGACACUGUUCACUUGUACGGUAUUGUUCAUAUAUACGGUACUGUUCACGAGAAACGAUGAGAGCGAUCCAAGAAUUUUACAGUGCAAAGUAGGGAAUAGUGGUGUGAGUAAAGCAACUGUGUGGUUUUGUACUUGUCUAGGAAAGUUUUGUCACAAAGGCGAUAAUAGCUUAAGGAGUCUGGGUUUUAAGUGGGACCAUUGUGACCCCUCUAGUCUUUCCUGAAAACUUUCUUGGUGUGCAUUCUCACACAUACUCACAACUAUUCAGGGUGGUACACUAGUUUGUGUGUGGUAUUUAUCAACAAAAUGGCGGCAAAGUAUGAAAUUGAGAAGUUCAAUAGGAAUAAUUUUUCGUUGUGGAAAAUGAAGAUGAAAGCUGUAUUGAGGAAAAAUAAUUGCUUGGCAGCAAUUGGAGAAAGGCCUAUGGAGAUAACUGAUGACAAGUGGAACGAGAUAGAUGGUAACACCAUUUCUGAUCUACACUUGGCACUUACGGAUGGAGUAUUAUCCAAUGUGGCUGAGAAAAAUACAGCGAAGGAAAUAUGGGAUACUCUCACAAAAUUGUACGAGGUCAAAUCACUGUUAGCCUAUAUGGCUAUAUAUAUUGAUUUUGAUGAUAACAAACCACAUGUAUUUAUUAAGUAAAGAUUUAUGAAUUGUGCUUUUAUAAUAAGAAAAUGAUGUUAUGGAAUUAAAGUAUUUUGGACUAAAAUGAAAGUAAUUUCAAAAUCUUUGAUAAUGUUUUAAAUUUCAGAUUUGGACCUAUUUGAAACUAUUUAAAUAUUUUUGGGUCAUUUUAUAAUUUCACAAAGUUUGGGCGAAAUCAUAAUUUCAAAAAGUUUUGGGAUUAAUGAAGCAUUACUUAGAAAUUCUGAAAUUGGACCUAUUUGCAAAGUUUCAUAACGUUUUGGGUCAUACUACUGUUUUAUAAAGUUUUAGGGUCAAACUGAAAAUUUAAGAAAAAUUUCACUGUAGCAGGUUACUGUAGCAUCCGACUUACCGGUUAUAAAAAUCAGAAAACCGGAUUCGGGGUAGAAUGUAUCCAGAAUGAAAACGGCUUACCGGAUUCCGAAUCCGGCAAGCCGGUUAGGCAAAAUUUUGAAUUUUGCCUUAACGGUAACAUAAAUCCAGCUUACCGGAUUCCAUAAACGGCAAACCGGAUAUGCCUGAAAUGUGAGUAACGGCUAGUUUUCGAGCUCAAACUAUAAGAACUCAAAUCCAACUCAUUUUGAAGCUCUCCAACAAGCAAAAACAAAAAGCACACGUGAUAUCUUGAGCUUACAACUUGCAAAACACAAAACAUUGAAUCAUUCAUUGUUCUUCAUCUUUGAAUAUCUACUCAUUGAGUGAGUUUGAUUGUAACUUUCAUUUCUUCAUUUCAUUUGUAAGAGUUUGAGUGUGUGAGACACUUGAGUGAAGAGAUUGGGAGAUAAUCUCUUUGUUGUAAAGGUUUAUUAACACCUCGAAAUCAAUUGUAAUCGGUUGAAGCCUCGGAAAGGCUUGGAUAGUGAAAUUCUCAAGCUUGGAUUGCUUGGAGGCGUGGACGUAGGCGGGGAUUGCCGAACCACGUAAAAAUUCGUGUGUUUGUUUCUCUUCUCCCUUACUCUUUAAUUAUUGUGCCUUUAUUAAACUUAUUGCUUUCAAUUUUUAUUAAGGCAUUAGAUUGCUUGUUGUGUGGAUUUGCUAGGUUAAUUUUUAAAUUUCCAAUUCACCCCCCUCUUGGGUUGCACACUUAUAUUUCAUUUGGUAUCAGAGCGAGGUGCUCUUGUUUAGAUUUAACCAUCUAGAGUUAAAGAUCAAUGGCAACUCAAAAUGAUUCCACAUUUAGGGAAGGGUAGUCCACCACUAGACCACCUUACUUUGAUGGAAACGAUUACCCAUAUUGGAAAACUAGGAUGAGAAUUUACUUGCAAGCCUUAGAUUAUGAGAUUUGGGAAAUCGUUAAUGAUGGUCCAUUCAUGCCUUGGACUAAAAAUGAAGUAGGAGAAGAUAUUCCAAAACCUUCACGGGAUUGGAAUGAAUUCGAAAAUAGAAAAGCUUCUCUAAAUUCCAAGAUCAUGAAUGCCUUGUUUUGUGCACUAGAUAAGAAAGAGUUUCAUAGAGUGUCUAGUUGCGAAAGUGCUAAUGAAAUUUGGCACAAACUUGAGGUUGUCUAUGAAGGCACGAACCAAGUGAAAGAAUCUAAAAUAAGUAGGUACACUCGACAAUAUGAAUUGUUCCAAAUGGAACAAAAUGAAAAUGUGUACUCUAUGUAUACUAGAUUCACGGACAUAGUGAACACUCUAGGAGCCCUAGGAAAGACUUUCUCAAAUAGCGAAAAAGUCAAGAAAAUCAUUAGGUCUCUACCUAAGGAAUGGAGACCAAAAAGGACUGCCAUUGAGGAAGCCAAUGAUUUAAAUGUAUUACCUAUUGAUGAUUUAAUUGGCUCUCUCAUUUCAUAUGAAGAAGAUUUAGCAGCUGAAAAAGGGCAUGAGGAAAAGAAGAAAAACAUUGCUCUCAAGGCUUCAAAACGUGAGAGUGAUGAGGAAAGCGAAAUGGAUGAUGAGGAGUUAGCUAUGUUGGUUAGAAGAUUCAGAAAAUUUUACAAGAAGAAUAAUGAGCAGAGAAAGUUCAGAGGCUACAAGAAUAAGAAGGAGAAGAAGGAGCCAAUCACUUGUUAUGAAUGCAAGAAGCCCGGACACAUACGACCGGAAUGUCCUCUUCUCAACAAACUCAAGAAGAAAGCUAUGGUGGCCACAUGGGAUGAUAGCGAUGAGGAAACAAGUGAUGAGGAUGAGCAACAAGAAAUGACAAACUUAGCUCUCAUGGCCGUUGGGGAAGAAUCAUGUGAUGAACUUGAUGAGGUAAGUGUUCUUCUUACAUAUGAUGAAUUGCAUUAUGCUUUUAAGGAUUUGCAUGAUAAGCUAAUGAAGAUUGGUAAAAAGAAUAUAUGUCUUAAAAAGAAGAUGAUAGAGCUUAAGAAUGAAAAUGAUUCAUUUAGUGCAAAGAUCACAUGCCUAGAAUUAGAAAAUAAAACAUUGCAUGAUAGUAUUGCAUUAUUUGAGAAUUCUAGCACUUCACAUGAGCACUUAGAGUCACACAUGAAUGACUUGAAAAAUGAAAAUGAAAUGCUUAGAAAGAAGAGCAAUGAACUAAAUGAAAUUGUGCUAAAAUUCACAAAUGGGCAAAAGAUGUUGGACAACUUGCUAAACUUACAAAAAUGUGUAUUUGACAAAAGUGGCAUAGGUUAUAAACCAAAUUUGAAACAAAAAUUUUACAAGAGUUAUUUUGUGAAGAAUACAUCUAUUAACAAUCAAAUUGUAUGUCAUUAUUGCAAUCAAGAUGGUCAUAUGAAAAAUAGAUGUGCAGUGAAGAGAAAUGCAUAUUAUGGUGUGAAAUGUGUUUGGGUUCCGAAAGGAACCAUUGCUAACUCUCAAGGACCAAAAAAGGUUUGGGUACCUAAAACUUGAGAUUUUUUCUAUAGGGCUCAAAGAAGAAGAAGAAUAAGUGGUACUUGGACAUCGGUUGUUCAAGACACAUGACAGGGAAUUAUUCUUGGUUUUCAAGCUUUACCAAGAUCGAAAAUGGUAGAGAUGUAUCGUUUGGGGAUAAUUCAAAAGGAAAAAUCAUUGGAAUUGGAAAUGUCGGUAAUGUAUCCUCUACUCUCAUUGAGAAUGUGUGUUUGGUUGAAAACUUGAAACAAAAUUUGCUUAGUAUUAGUCAAUUAUGUGAUAAAGGAUAUAGAGUUAUCUUUGAUGAAUCAAAAUGUGUUAUUGAGAAUGCAUGUGAUGGGAAAGUCUUGUUUGUAGGAAAUAGAUGUGUUAAUGUCUAUACCAUUAAUAUAUAUUGUGCAUCUAUACAUGAAAAAUGUCUCUCCGCAUUGCAUGAUGAUGGUUGGUUAUGGCAUAGAAGAUUAGGUCAUGCAAGCAUGGAUUUGAUUUCAAAAAUCGUGAAAAAUGAUUUAGUUAAAGGUCUUCCAAAAAUCAGUUUUCAAAAAGAUAGAAUUUGUGAAGCAUGCCAAUUUGGAAAACAAAUCAAAACUUCCUUCAAAAGCAAGAAUCAUGUCUCUACUUCAAAACCACUUCAAUUGCUUCAUAUAGAUUUGUUUGGACCUUCUAGAUAUGCUAGUUUAAGUGGCAAAUAUUGUGCAUUUGUAAUUGUGGAUGAUUAUUCUAGAUACACAUGGGUAUUGUUCUUAGCGAAUAAGGAUGAAGCCAUUGAUGCAUUUCGAAUUUUCUAUAAAAAGGUUCAAAAUGAAAAAGGUUAUUCUAUUACUUGUAUUAGAAGUGAUCAUGGUGGAGAAUUUGAAAAUCAUGCAUUUGAAAAUUUUUGUAAUAACUUUGGCAUUGAACAUCAAUUUUCAUCACCUAGGACUCCACAACAAAAUGGAGUAGUAGAGAGAAAGGAUAGGUCUAUUCAAGAAAUGGCUAGGACCAUGUUGAAUGAAAACUCUUUGCCUAAGUAUUUUUGGGCCGAAGCCGUCAACACCGCUUGUUAUGUUUUAAAUCGGGUGUUGAUUAGACCUAAUCUUAAUAAAACUCCAUAUGAGCUUUGGAAAGAUAGAAAACCCAACAUUGGUUAUUUUAAAGUUUUUGGAUGCAAAUGUUUUGUUUUGAACACAAAAGAUAAUCUUGGUAAAUUUGAUCUAAAAUCUGAUGUUGAUAUCUUUCUUGGUUAUUCAAAUUCAAGCAAAGAUUAUAGAGUUUAUAAUAAAAGAACUUUAGUUGUGGAAGAAUCUAUGCAUGUUACAUUUGAUGAGACUAACCCCUCCUAUACGGAGAAAGUCAUUGUUGAUGAUAAUGCAGAAGAAGAACAACAAGAAGAAGCAUCAAAUGACAACCAAGAAGACGCACCACCUGGAAUUCAAGAGGAACAUCAUGAAGAACCAAAUGCAGAGCAAAAUGAAGGUACUUCACAAACACUCCCCAAGGAGUGGAGGUAUGUAUCCUCUCACCCUAAAGAUGUAAUUUUAGGGGAUCCCUCACGAGGUGUUACCACUAGAUCAUCUCUUAGGAACACAUGUGAGCAUGCUGCAUUUAUUUCUCAAAUUGAACCAAAAUCCUUUGCGGAUUCGGAAAAUGAUGAAUCUUGGAUUAUGGCAGUGCAAGAGGAGUUGAAUCAAUUUGAGAGAAACAAUAUGUGGGAGUUAGUUCCUAAUCCGGAACAUCAAUCCAUUAUAGGUACUAAAUGGGUAUUUAGAAACAAAAUGGAUGAAUCCGGUGUGGUUGUAAGAAAUAAAGCUAGAUUAGUGGCUCAAGGUUACAACCAAGAAGAAGGAAUUGAUUUUGAUGAAACUUUUGCACUUGUAGCAAGGUUAGAAUCCAUUAGGAUGUUGUUAGCAUAUGCAUGUCAUAAGGAUUUUAUUUUAUAUCAAAUGGAUGUCAAGAGUGCUUUCUUAAAUGGAUAUAUUAUGGAGGAAGUUUAUAUGAAACAACCUCCUGGUUUUGAAAAUGAAAAAUUUCUAGAUCAUGUGUAUAAGUUAUCCAAGGCUUUGUAUGGUUUAAAACAAGCACCUAGAGCUUGGUAUGAUAGACUUAAAAAUUUCUUGUUGGAUAACGAUUUUUCAAUGGGAAAAGCGGACACAACUCUUUUUGUUAAGCAUAAGAACCAAGACAUACUUAUUGUUCAAAUAUAUGUUGAUGCUAUUAUUUUUUGUUCUACUAAUGAGUUGUUGUGUAAAGAUUUUUCAUCAUGUAUGAGCCAAGAGUUUGAGAUGAGUAUGAUGGGAGAGUUGAAGUACUUCCUUGGACUUCAAAUCAAACAAAACGAGGAAGGAAUUUUCAUAAAUCAAGUUAAGUACGUGAGAGAUCUACUCAAAAGAUUUGGCUAUGAAAAUGGAACGGCAAAAAGCACUCCUAUGAGUACUAUCAUCAAGCUGGACAAAGAUGAGAAAGGUAAGGAAGUUGAUAUCAAGACAUAUCGAGGUAUGAUCGGAUCUUUACUCUACUUGACUGCUAGUAGGCCUGAUAUUAUGUUUAGUGUAUGCUUGUGUGCUAGAUUUCAAUCUUGUCCUAAAGAGUCUCAUAUGCUUGCUGUCAAACGCAUUUUUCGAUAUUUAAUUGGCACCAUUAAUCUUGGCCUUUGGUAUCCUAGAGGAACUCAUAUUGAUUUAACUUGUUAUUCGGAUGCCGAUUUUGCUGGGUAUAAGGUUGAUAGAAAAAGUACUAGUGGAACAUGUCACUUCCUAGGCCAUUCUCUUGUCUCUUGGUUUAGUAAGAAACAAAACUCGGUUGCGCUUUCAACCACCGAGGCAGAAUAUAUUGCCGCAGGUAGUUGUUGUGCACAAAUUCUUUGGAUGAAACAGACCCUUAGAGACUAUGGUAUUAAGCUUGAUCAAAUACCUAUCUUAUGUGACAAUACUAGUGCUAUUAAUCUUUCCAAGAAUCCCAUUCAACAUUCUAGGACUAAACAUAUAGAAAUUAGACAUCAUUUCUUUAGAGAUCAUGUUCAAAAAAGAGAUGUUGUGAUUAAAUUUGUUUCCACUGAAAAUCAACUUGCGGAUAUCUUUACAAAACCUCUUAGCGAAGAGCAUUUUAUAAAGAUAAGACAUGAGCUUGGAAUGAUGAAUGUUGAAUCUUAAUUCAUGUUUCUCUACAUGGCUUGAUAUGUUUGUUAUCAUAUGGAUUUAUGCUUCAUGGAUUAGAUAGCAUGAUAUGCUUGUAAAUUUAUGAUUUUAUGAUUUUGUGUUUCAUGCAUUAAAUGGCGUAUUGAAAAGUUUUAAAUCUCAAAAUGAUUUAAAAUUAAUCAAUUUUUUAAGGCCGGAAAUUAAAUGGUGUGUGUAGUACAAGUAUAAGAGCUAGCAAAUAUUCCCUUUUCAUUCUUCCGAAAAAAAAUGUUUCUUCUUAUUGUUUCUCUCUCUCGGGACAAAUUCCGGACAACCGGAUUUGCUAAGCUUUAUCUCUGCCUCAUAACUGGUCUACCGGUUAUCAAAAACGGAUAGCCGAAUUCGCAUGCAUGCUUGCUGGAACAAAACCGAAUUUCUGGUUCAAGACAUCCGGAAAACCGAAUUGUUUUUGAAAGUUCUCAAAACCGGCCAGCCGGUUAAGGAAACCGGCAAGCCGAAAUCGCGAUGGUUACUCUCGGGUUUAUUUUCGGCAAACCGAAUAUGCAAUCCGGCAGGCCGUUUUCUUGUGUCUUGAUUCUGUCCAUUAACCGGCUUGCCGGUUAGCAAAUCCGGCAAGCCGGAUUCGUGAUCUUUUAAGCACUAUUCAUCUUCCUUAAGCAUUCGGCAUACCGUUUCUUGUUCUCUCACUAGAAGCCAUUUUUCUCCUCUCUUGAUUUCACUCCAAAAUCCAUCUUUUUCUUCCAUUUUCACAUCAAAUUGAAUCAAGAAAAUCAUUCCCCAUCUCAUUAAGAACACAAAACCAUCCUUGAAACCCUUUUUCAACAUCUAAAUCCUUAGAUCCCAAUUUCAACCUAGGGUUUAUCCGAAUUCUUCUCUCUCUAGAUUUCUCACUCUCAAGCCAUUUUUGAUCCAAAUUGUUUCUCCAAAUCACUUUCCAUCUUCAUCAUCUUCAUUCUCUUUAUCCUUUUCAACCCCAAAUCAAUCAAAUCACAAUGUCAAGUUCUCGGCCAGUUCGAAGAAAAGGCAAAGAACCGGUUCAACCAUCCACACGGCCACGGGAAGCAAGGGGCACCUCCAGUCAAUCCACCUUUGAGUCCAUUCAUUUUCAGAACAAGCAACACUUGAUCAAAAGGUUCCAACAAAACUUUCGGACUCGUGAGGUACUCAACACUUUCUUUGUUUCACCGGAUGUUUUGCAUACUCUCCAGAUUAGUCAUAGAUCUUUAUUUCAAUUGUUGGGAGAUGUUGGUUGGAUUGAUGCAUUGUUGAUUGAAGAGAAUGUGUAUCCCGACUUGGUGAAAGUAUUUUACUCGAAUAUGGAUUGUUCCGCGGAGAAAGAGAAUCGAGUAAUCACCAUAGUUGGAGGAGUUUUGAUUGAAUUUGAUGAUUUGGACUUGAACUCUAUCCUAGGAUCUUCCGAUGAUGGCCUGGACAUUUUUUCUCUUAGGAAACCUCCUGAAAUUGAUGACUAUGUUCAUGUUGAUGCCGUUCGUAAUAUAUGUCGGUGUAAUGAUCUUUCUGUUGAAGACUGUACCAUUCAUUUCUGUACUCAGUGUCUUUGUCUUCAAACUCGUUUGUUGCUUCGUAUCAUCCAGUCUAUUGUACUUCCUAGAUCAGGACAUUUGGAUGAGGUUUCUCACAUGGAUGUCGCCAUGAUUGACUAUAUUCUUAGAGGUUGCCCGGUUGACUUGGGCUAUUCCAUCGUUCACACCAUGUUGAGCAUUCCAGCCUUGAUUACCCGCUCUCUUCCUUAUGGUCAUUUCAUUACCCGAAUUCUUAAAUUCUUUGAAGUGCCGCUUCUAGAACCAUCUUGUAGGCCGUCCAAGGGUAUUGGGGAUGAGGUUAUUGUUGGGUUAGGCUUUGAGUGGAAGGAUGGCACUUGGGUUAAAUACAGCGAUAACAAGUUUACCUUUCUAGCCCCAAGUGAUGAUCGGCCACUAAAUGCUGUGAUUCCAGCUGAUCAGCUUCCAGUAUUCUUACUCUCAUUUCGAGGGCAGCGUAGACGCCGAGUUUCUUCCACGGUUGCUUCAGCUCCUAGUGCAUCUGCAUCCGUUUCAUCACCUCCACGGCCUCCUACCUCUGGAGAUGUUACUCUUCAGCAGCUUAUGGAUGAGGUGCAGACACUUUCGGUGCGGCAGACUGAGCUUCAGCAGGAGCAGCAGCAGCAACGGCAGCUGCAGCAGCAGCUCAUUCAUGGACAGCGCCUUCUCUUCGAGCACUUCGGCAUUCCAUAUCUGUUUCCACCUCCUUCACCUCCAUCCUCACCACCUGAGUAGUAUCUCAUGCUUGUACUUAGACACACCUACAUUUCAUUUACUGCAUUGUGUGUUCUUUUAUUUUUGACUCUAUGGAUGGUUAUUGUGCUUUUCAGUUUAUGUAUUUGUUUUGGAUGAUAUGGAUUUGUUAUGACUAUCUAUGUUGGCUGAUAUGGAUUUGUUUUGGUUGAUCAUUAUGGAUUAUAUGGAUUUCUUUACGCUUAUGGAUUUUUUUUUACUAAUGUGCUUGUGUUGCUAUUUUGAUGAUUGAUAGGGGGAGCUUUUAUUCUUUUUGAUGAUGAAGGGGGAGAAUGAUUUAAUAUGUGUUAUGAAAAUAUGCAUGUAUCUAGGGGGAGCAUGUAUGCAAGGGGAGUUUUUGUUAAAUAAUUUUCAAAUAAUUUUUUAACUUGCAUUGAUUAAGGGGGAGCUUUUUCAUAACAAGAUUAAAGUUUUUAAUGUGUUUUGUCAUCAUCAAAAAGGGGGAGAUUAUUAGCCUAUAUGGCUAUAAAUAUUGAUUUUGAUGAUAACAAAUCACAUGUAUUUAUUAAGUAAAGAUUUAUGAAUUGUGCUUUUAUAAUAAGAAAAUGAUGUUAUGGAAUUAAAGUAUUUUGGACUAAAAUAAAAGUAAUUUCAAAAUCUUUGCUAGUGUUUUAAAUUUCGGAUUUGGACCUAUUUGAAACUAUUUAAAUGUUUUUGGGUCAUUUUAUAAUUUCACAAAGUUUGGGCAAAAUCAUAAUUUCAAAAAGUUUUGGGAUUAACGAAGCAUUACUUAGAAAUUCUGAAAUUGGACCUAUUUGCAAAGUUUCAUAACAUUUUGGGCCAUACUACUGUUUUAUAAAGUUUUGGGGUCAAAUUAAAAAUUUAAGAAAAAUUUCACUGUAGCAGGUUACUGUAGCAUCCGGCUUACCGGUUAUAAAAACCAAAAAAUUGGAUUCGGGGCAGAAUGUAUCCAGAACGAAAACGGCUUACCGGAUUCCGAAUCCGGCAAGCCGGUUAGGCAAAAUUUUGAAUUUUGCCUUAACGGUAACAUAAAUCCGGCUUACCGGAUUCCAUAAACGGCAAACCGGAUACGCCUGGAAUGUGCGUAACGGCUAGUUUUCGAGCUCAAACUAUAAGAACUCAAAUCCAACUCAUUUUGAAGCUCUCCAACAAGCAAAAACAAAAAGCGCACGUGAUAUCUUGAGCUUACAACUUGCAAAACACAAAACAUUGAAUCAUUCAUUGUUCUUCAUCUUUGAAUAUCUACUCAUUGAGUGAGUUUGAUUGUAACUUUCAUUUCUUCAUUUCAUUUGUAAGAGUUUGAGUGUGUGAGACACUUGAGUGAAGAGAUUGGGAGAUAAUCUCUUUGUUGUAAAGGUUUAUUGACACCUCGAAGUCAAUUGUAAUCGGUUGAAGCCUCGGAAAGGCUUGGAUAGUGAAAUCCUCAAGCUUGGAUUGCUUGGAGGCGUGGACGUAGGCGGGGAUUGCCGAACCACGUAAAAAUUCGUGUGUUUGUUUCUCUUCUCCCUUACUCUUUAAUUAUUGUGCCUUUAUUAAACUUAUUGCUUUCAAUUUUUAUUAAGGCAUUAGAUUGCUUGUUAUGUGGAUUUGCUAGGUUAAUUUUUAAAUUUCCAAUUCACCCCCCCCUCUUGGGUUGCACACUUAUAUUUCAAUCACUACACAACAAAAUCUUCUUGAAGAGAAAACUCUAUACUCUUCGAAUGGCAGAAUCUACAAUGGUGACCGACCAUAUCAACACCUUGAAGACUCUAGUUUCACAACUCACAACGUUAGGUUAUAAUAUAGAGGAAAAUAAACGUGCAGAGCUUCUACUUCAAAGUCUACCAGAUUCGUAUGAUCAACUCAUCAUCAAUCUAACAAACAACAAUCUAGCGGACAAUCUAAUUUUCGACGAUGUUGCAACCUCCGUAUUAAAUGAAGAGAGCAGGUGGAAAAAUAAGGAAAACAGACAAGCAAGUUCGCAGCAAGUGGAGGCACUAUCGAUGAUGAGAGGGAGAUCAACGGAACGUGGCCCCAGUGGGAGUCAUAAUAAUGAUAGAUCAAAAUCCAGAAGUAAGAAGAAUGUUAAAUGCUACAACUGUGGCAAGAAAAGGCACGUCAAGAAAGAGUGUUGGAGUAACCAGAAGAGAAAAGAUGGCAAAGAACCUGAGUAAUCAAAUGCUCAGGGGUGUGUAGCAAGUACCUCGGAUGAUGGCGAAAUUCUUUACAGCGAGGCAAUAACUGUUUUAGAAGGCAGAAAACGAUUAUCUGAUGUCUGGCUUAUAGACUCAGGAGCUACCUGGCACAUGACCUCUCGGAGAGAAUGGUUCCACACAUAUGAACCUAUCUGAGGAGGAUCUGUAUAUAUGGAUAACGAUCAUGCCUUGGAGAUCGUUGGUAUUGGUACUAUCAAAAUAAAAAUAUUUGAUGGUACAAUUCGUACAAUUGGGGAGGUACGACAUGUCAAUGGCCUGAAGAAAAAUUUAUUGUCUUUGGGACAAAUGGAAUGGGUACAAAACUCAUGUCGAGAAUGAAAUUAUGAAGAUCUUUAAAGGCGCGCUUGUAUUGAUGAAGGCAGAAAAAAUCGAUGCUAAUCUAUUUAUGCUUAAAGGAAAAACACUACAGGAGGCUGAUGCAUGUGUCGUGUCAAAUGGAGAAAAAUCAACGAUGAUGUGGCACCUCAAACUUGGCCACAUGUUAGAACAAGGUUUGAAGAUUCUCUCUUAGCGAAAAUUGCUUCCAGGGCUCAAAUCGGUAAGUUUACAAUUUUGCGAGCAUUGUGUUACAAGUAAGCAACAUAGAUUAAAAUUCAGUAUAUCUAUUGCUAGAAGUAAAUGCAUUCUAGACUUGAUUCAUUAUGAUGUUUGGGAAUCACCAGAUAUGUCAAUGGGAGAUGCAAAGUACAUGGUGACUUUCAUUGAUGAUUAUUCCAGGAGAUGUUGGGUGUAUCCAAUUAAGAAAAAGUCAGAUGUAUUUCCAGUGUUUAAAGAAUACAAACGCAGGUGGAACUUGAAUUAAAAAAAACGAUCAAGUGCUUAAGGACGGAUAAUUGUGGAGAGUAUACAGACGGUGAGUUUCUUGCUUUUUGUAAGCAAAAAGGUAUUCAGAGGCAGUUCACGGUGGCAUAUACUUCUCAACAAAAGGGAGUGGCAGAGCGGAUGAACAAGAUUCUUACAGAACGAAUAAGAGCUAUGUUGAGGACUGCGGGUCUACCUAAUUCAUUAUGGGCAGAAGCAGCUAAAACUGCUUGUUAUAUAGUAAAUCGGUCGCCAUCUACAGCUAUUGGGCUAAAGACAGCGAUGGAAAUGUGGACUGGAAAUCCAGCUGAUUACUCAUACCUACAUGCAUUUGGAUGUCUCGUGUACGUGAUGUACAAUGCUCAAGAAAGAGCAAAGUUGAAUCCAAAAUUUAGAAGAUGUAUCUUCUUGGGAUAUGUUGAUGGAGUAAAGAGGUAUCGUCUGUGGGACCCCACUACCCACAAUAUCGUCAUCAGCAGAGAUGUUAUAUUUGUAGAAGAUCAACUGCAAAUGAGAGAUAAGGAUGAUAACACUGUAAAAGAAAAGUCAGAGACUGUGCCGGUAUAUGUGAAAAAUAAUUCAGAAGAUUCAGAUUCUUCUGAAGCAGCACUAGAGCACGAGGAACAAGAACCAGUCAAGUCCGAGGCUCCAGAAGUUUGUCGAUCAACUCGUGAGAGACGACUGCAAGUGUGGCACUCGGAGUAUGUCACAGAGAUCAAUGUUGCAUACUGUCUUCUAACAGAGGAUGGAGAGCCUUCAACUUUCCAUAAAGCUUUAAACAGCUUAAAUGUUACUUUGUGGAUGACAGCAAUGCAGGAAGAAAUUGAGGCUCUACACAAGAAUAAGACAUGGGAACUUGUACUACUACCACGUGGAAGAAAAGCUAUUGGAAAUAAAUGGGUCUAUAAGAUCAAACGUGAUGGCAAUGACCAAGUGGAACGGUAUCGUGCAAGAUUGGUGGUGAAAGAAUAUGCUUAGAAAGAAGGUAUUGACUUCAACAAAAUAUUUUCUCCGGUAGUUCGACUCACAACAGUCAGAGUAGUCUAGGCAAUGUGUGCUACAUUUGACCUACAUUUAGAGCAGUUAGAUGUGAAAACUGCAUUUCUUCAUGGAGAACUUGAAGAAGAAAUUUAUAUGCUCCAACCAGAAGGUUUUGCAGAAAUAGGAAAGGAGAACUUGGUUUGCAGGUUGAACAAAUCUCUGUAUGGUCUCAAACAUGCACCGAUGUGUUAGUAUAAGAGAUUUGAUUCCUUCAUCAUGAGGCUUGGAUACAACAGACUCAGUUCAGACCAUUGUGCAUAUUACAAGAGGUUUGAAGAUAAUGAUUUCAUUAUUUUGCUGUUGUAUGUGGAUGCAUGUUGGUAGCAGACCCCAACAAAGAUCGAAUCUAAUAAUUGAAGGCAUAAUUGGCUAGAGAGCUUGAAAUGAAGUAUUUGGGACCAGCAAACAAGAUUUUAGGGAUGCAAAUUCACCGAGACAUAAAUAACAGGAAGAUUUGACUUUCACAGAAGAAUUACUUGAAGAAAAUCUUACGGCGCUUCAACAUGCAAGAUUGUAAGUCAAUUUCUACCCCACUUCUUGUUAAUUUCAAGUUAUCCUCAAGUAUGUGUCCUAGCAAUGAAGCAGAGAGGAAGGGAAUGUCUCAAGUACCGUAUGCAUCAGCAGUGAGAAGUUUGAUGUUCGCUAUGAUAUGUACUAGGCUAGACAUUGCACAAGCAGUGGGAGCAGUUAGUCGAUACAUGACGAAUCCUGGUGGAGAGCAUUGGAUAGCUCUGAAGAGGAUUCUGAGAUACAUAAGAGGAACCUCAGAUGUUGCAUUAUGUUAUGGAGAAUCAGAGUUUACUGCCAGGGGCUAUGUGGAUUCAGAUUUUGCAGGAGACCUUGAUAAAAGAAAAUCCACUACUGGCUAUGUGUUUACACUUACGGGAGCAGCUGUAAGCUGGAUUUCAAAACUACAUAUCGUUGUGGCUCUAUCUACAACAGAAGCAUAAUACAUGGCAGCUACACAAGCUUGCAAGGAAGCUAUUUGGAUACAAAGGUUAUUGGAGGAGCUCGAGCAUAAACAACAGAAAAUUCCUGUGUUUUGUGGUAGUCAGAGUGUCUUGCAUAUUGCAAGGAAUCCAGCCUUUCAUUCCAGGACAACGCACAUAGGGGUUCAGUAUCACUUCGUUCGCGAAGUAGUGGGAGACGGAAGUGUGGAUUUACAGAAAAUCCAUACGAAGGAGAACCUAGCAGAUGUUUUGACCAAGCCGAUCAAUGCUGACAAGUUUAUCUGGAGUAGAUCCUCUUGUGGCCUAGCAGAAACGUAGGCAACAUGACAAUGGCGAAGCAGAAAGGAUGAUGUGGAGAUUGAUUAAUUCUCAAUCAAAUCUCCAAGUGGGAGAAUGUAAAAAGAUUUGGCUGCAGCAUCUAGAAGCAGCAUCUAGAAGUUUUGAAGAAGCAAAAUGGGGGGCACACGACUUUGAAGUUCUAGAUACCGAAAUGCUUGAAGAGGAAAAUAUAAAAAGAAGAAGUUUGAAUAAGAAAAGGAGGAACACGGUUUUGACAAGAGAAAAAAAAUUAUUAUUUUAAUAGCCAAUUUUGGCUAUAAAAAGGGGAGUUCCCCAUCGCCUUAGUGUAUUCCAUUCUUUAAGUUUCUCUUCUCUAUUUUGUAAAGAGAGAGAAAGUGAGAGUAUUUUAAGAGUUUUAAUAAACUCUUAAGUAAUUAGUGAAUGAGAGGUUGGGUGUAUUAGGGUUCUGGGUAGUGAGCCAAAAUAUUACAAUAUUUAUAAUCCUCAUAUCACUAGUGAAAUAUUUUUCUUCUGUUUUCGCCCGUGGACGCAGGCUAAAAGCCGAACAACGUAAUUUUCUGGUGUCCCUUUUUAUGCUUGUUAUUUAUUUUCUUCCAAUUUCACUUUACCUGCGGCUCUGUUUCACCCACCAAUUUCUUAACAACUGCAACAUGGUAUUCAAAUCAAUUAAUCUGCCCCCGCAGCUCCACGUGCCGCGAGUACAUGGCUUAACUUGACAUAUAAUUGUUGUUACUUACGGCUGGUGUAACAUUGCAGGACCCUUAAUUAAAAGAUUACGGAUUAACAGUUGUUGAAUGUUGAUGUUGAAUUUCCACAUCGAUAUUGGAAUUUAAAAGAAAUGAAUUUUAUGUAGCUAUAUUGCCUGUAGGGGAAGACAUAAUAAAUUAAUUGAUAUUGCCAGCAAAUUAUUAAUUCGUAUCCAAGUACAGGGAUAGCUAUCGGAAUUAAUUAAGAUUAAUUGGUCAUCUUUCCGAAUUUUUAAUCCAUUCCCAUGUGAACCGAAAACAUGUUAAUUAAUGGAAAUCAAAUAUUUAAAAAAAUAGUAAUUAACUAAUAAUUUAUAACUGUCAAAUUAAUUAAUAGUUUAUCUACAAUUAUUUUGUUUAUUUUUAUUAUUAGCCAAUAAUUUAUAACUAUCAAAAUAAUUGUAGAUAAUCUAAUAAUUAAUUUGAUAGUUAUAAAUUAUUAGCUAAAUUAUUAUUAUUAUUAUUAUUAUUAUUAUUAUUAUUAUUAUUAUUUGAUUUCCAUUAAUUAAUAUGUUUUCGGUUCACAUGGGAAUGGAUUAAAAAUUCGGAAAGAUGAUCAAUUAAUUGGAGAGAGCAACCCUCCACAUCAACCCCUCUAUUCUCUUAUAAGCAAUUGGAACGAAACAUCUGUGAUGCUCCAAACACUACUCAUAUGUUCCAUCUGUUGUUGCUAAUUAAGACCUAGUCGAGGCUUGGUAUAUGUACAACUUUAAACUUUGUAAAUUAAUUUAAAGGUUAUAACUAUAAAAGUAAGAUAGGAGAAUAACUUAAUUAACAACAGGCGUAUCUUAAAGUAUUUUUUUAAAAUAGAAGAACAAUCUAAACGCUUAACCUGGAAUAUAGGGAUGAAAAGAAUAUUUUUCUUAUUAAUAACAAAGAUAUAUACUAAAAAAAAACACUCGUAUUAAUGAUUGGGAAAAAAUUAUUUUUGUAAAAUCACUUUUCCCAUAGAUAAAAAUAUAUAGAGAUAAAACUGAUCCGAUGUUAUCAUAUAUAUGAGUCAUUCUUAGGUGUUGAUGCCCUCAUUUUUUUGUUUUUCAUGUGGAUGUGCUAUUAAGCCAUAUGGUUUAAUAGAAUCAGCGCAAAUACACAAUUUGAGGCUUAUAGUUUUAUAGUGAAUUAAAUAUUAAUUUUAUUAAACCAUGUGACUUAAUAGCGGGUUUGCAUAAAAAAGAAGAAGAAGAGAGCGCCCACUUUAUAUAUAUAUAUAUAUAUAUAUAUAUAUAGAGAGAGAGAGAGAGAGAGAGAGAGAGAGAGAGAGAGAGAGAGAGAGAGUAUCGAUCUAAUCUUGUAUCCUAAAUUUAUCAAAAUAAAGAAAAGCUAUUAAGACAUAUGAUUUAAUAAUAUAAUAUCAUUAUACUAUUAAAAUAUAUGACUUAAUAAUUUUUAAGACUUUAACGAAAUCCAGGAUCCUAAAUUCGAAUAUAUAUAUAUAUAUAUAUAUAUGCACACAUUACAUCUGUCCGGUUUAAACACGCAUUCUGCUUAGUGCUCUUGACUAAUUGUCCUCAAUUACCUUUUUGUUUUUGGGUUGCUAAUUUUAGGGACUUACCAGGUGUAUUGGUUGAUAAAAAGAAUAAGGUUGGGCCGUAGGGUACUUAUAAUUAAUUAAAGUACCCCACACAUCCAGCAGAAUAAAGUCUCUGUACCCUAGGCUUGGCAAAAUCCGGGUCCGGUCCGGGUUUUGGUGUUGCCCAGGACCGGACCGGAUGAGAGAAAUGCAAGCCCGGACCCGGGUUAAAACCCGGUUUUUCCGGGUGCGGUCCGGGCUUGAGCCCGGUACCUUCCGGGUCCGGGUUUUGAUCCGGGCUUUUAAAACCCGCAUGUGAUAAAUUUAAUUUUUUUUUCAAUUUUUUUCUUGAAUUUUUUUUUUUCAUUUCUCUAACAAUGCAAAUUUUAAAAAAGAAAAUAAUCAAAUAAACUCAUUCAAUCUCAAACUUUAAAAAAGAAAAUAGUCAAAUACAAAUAUAUAACACAUUAACAAUGCAAAUUUUGCACAAAUGAUAAAUAAAAAUUAUUUCAAUCUACUUUCUAAAUUCUAAUACCUAAAUUCAUCCAAUUUCUAACUUAAACUCAUUCAAUCUAUAUAUAAAAUAAAUAAAUUAAAUUCAACAACACAAUAAUUACACAAUAAAUUUAAAUAACAUCCAAUAUAUUAUAAAUUCAUAAUUAUAUAUUUAUAUAUAAUAUAUUUAUUUUUUAAAAUUUAUUAAAAAACCGGGUCCGGUCCGGGUUUCGGGUUUUUUGUGUUGAACCUGGACCCGGGACCGGAAAUGUCCGGGUUUGAGAAUUUCAAACCCGGGUCCGGUUUUUAUAUGCAUGCGGUCCGGGUUUUGCCCGGACCGGAUUGGCCGGGUCCGGGCCGGGUCCGGUCCGGGCGGGCUUUUUUGACACCCCUACUGUACCCCAUUAAUUUCUUCCAACAAUUAACCUCGAUCCUAACUUAAGUCAUAAAUUAUUUACAAUUACAUUAAUUAAUGUUUUGCUAGAUGACAAGGAUAUAUUCGCGGAUUGCUAUCGACCUCUUGGGCCAAUUAAAGAGAGAUAAGUUACAAUUCAACAAUUUUGGCACUUAAUUAUCCUAUUGCCGCUGUUUCCGAUGAUACACGCUAUUUGAAAAAUAUAGACGUUAAUUCUAAUUAGUUAUGAAGAUCUUGGUUCUCGCCUGGGAGCUGCAACAAUUAGCUAACUAGGUAUAGAGUUUGUUUAAUAAUAAUAUUAAUUCAAGAAGACAGAAAGCAUAAUUAAUUAGACUAAUAUGAAAAAUACCAUGCAAUUUUAUCUUUUUCUAUGGACGAAUGGAAUUAACACAUUGACACACAAUAAUUUUAUUAAUUAAGGAAGACAAAUUACAUGGACACAAAUUAAAAAAAAAAUCCCUUGCAUAUCUCAAGAGAUCUUAGUAGUUCAAUUAACUAAACCAAAUUCGACACACUCACAAUUAACAUGCAGUAACAGUACCUAUUGUUUUAAAUAAUUAAACACAGCAUAAAAGAGUAACACUACACGCACUUAACCAGUAUAAUCAAGAUUUCUCCCAUAUUGAGGAACAACAAAAAUAUCAAGGUUGCCGUCAUUCACUUUCUCAUCAUCAUUCAAGCUUAUAAACGAAACAAUGAAGCCCUCCAACCAGACGUUACCUGAAAAUUUUCAUAUUAGAAAAUUUAUUUAUAAAGUAUAUAUUAAAAAUAAGAAUUAGAAAUGAAAUUGAGGGUUGGCCUACAACCUGCGCAGGGAGUUUCCAUAUUCUUCAAAUCAGAAAAGAUCUUGCUUGCUUCAGGUGAUGAACUGUAAUCAAAACUCAAAAGUAAGUUGCUUUUGCUUCCUGUUCGACAUAAUACACAUAUAUAUAGAAUGAAGGUGGGAUGAUCGCAGCGUCGUUAAUGCAUGCAGUGCAUAUAAUGGAUCAACGGCUGACGUUUCCUAAGUGCUGAUCAAUAGCUGAAAAUUUAAUUAAAAGAUGAGGGGAUCACAGCUGUUAAAUGUUAACGUUGAAUUUCCCACAUCGGUCGGAUCUCUGACAGAAAGAUUGAGUUUGAUUAAAAUAUCCCGAUGCGGGGAUCAAGUUUGUAUCAAUUAAUAAUAAAAAUAAAUAAAAUAAGGAUAGAGUUGUUCACCCUCUAAAUUUCAUUCUGGACAAUCUAAUUUUUAACAAAGAGUGAAGCCAUUGGCACUCUUCAUUAUCCUUAUAAAACCCACUUUAAAUAAAAUUACAUUUAUGGGCAAAUAAGAAUUGAGUACAUAUAGAAUUUUUUUCCAACAAAUUACUUUGUUUCGUAAUUAAUCCCUUUUUUUUAAUUUUCUACUUGUUACUUCCUGUCUAACUAAAAUAAAUUGUACAAAUUUAGAAUAAUCUAUUAUUCUUUUCAUAGUGUUCUUGUUGAUUAAAUAUUUAUGUACUUAACACUGUUUCAAAUUAUAAUUUAAAAUAUGCGUAAUUUAAAUUACAGUACUGAAGUGUUUAUGAAACGCUAACUGUACUGACUUGAAAGUUAAGUUAACUUGAUCAAUUUCUUAUAUGAUGAAAAAUCUAUAAUAUCAAACUUAUAAGUUUGUCAAGAUUAUUAUUUAAAAGUCACAUACUACAAAAAAAAAAUUAUAGUUACAUCUUUUUUUUUUCAGAGCUUGUAACUUAAAAAGUUGCAGCAUCUUAAUACCAAACAUGGUUCAUCGAUUUAGAUUGGGUUGGAACUAUUUAGAGAGGAAAACGGAUCUAAUUUUUGGGGAGAGGAAGUGUUUUACAAAAGUGUAAAAAAGAAAAUUAGGCGAUACAGAGAGAAAAACCCAUAACCGGCCGGACUACCGCACUGCAACCUGCUAUUCAAGUCAAUUAAUCUGCCCCCGCAGCUCCACGUGCCGCGAGUAUAAUUGCUGUUACUUACGGCUGGUGUAACAUCGCAGGACCCUUAAUUAAAAGAUUACGGAUUAACAGCUAUUGAAUGUUGGGCAGCGCCUAUGUUACAUUUGUUGCAACAAACAUUCCGAUGAUAUGGACUGUUGGAUUUGUAAUUUUUCAAAUCCAACGGAUGUCAAGAAAUUUAACACAGAAUGAGGUACACGUGCAAUGGUCAAACGAUUAUUAUAAAGUAAAUAUGGGCAACCUCCCGAAACGGUUCUGGAAAAUUGCUGUUAACGGGGUAAUGGGUAAUGAAAUUGAUAGAGGGAGAAGGAAAGUGAUGAGCGCAUAUUUUGGGUAUGAAAAAUAGGAGAGGGAAAAAUGAGGAGUAAUUAGGGUUUGAAAGAAGGGAAAAUAACAGUAGCACCAAACGAUAUUAUAAGCUUCCGCUUUCAAUUUUGCAAGUUCACUUAAAUUGGAAACCUAACAAAUUGCUGCUCACUAAAACCGAAGCUAGAGCCACCCGAAUAUCACGGAAUAUGGUAAAAUUUGAAACCUCAUCUUCGCAAGUUGUCUUGAUUAAAUAAUUCCACACACAUGAUUCAUUGCUAUGACUGGUUCCUUAUUAUUUUAAUGCCUUUAUUUGAAAAAAUUCCUAAAAUCAACCCUAACAAAAGCCGGAGUGAAGCGUAUGGUUUAAGGCUGUAAUCGAAAGUUGGAGUGAAGCGUAUGAUUUAAGGUUAAAGAAACAAAUUGACAAUUUUCAAAAACCUUCAUAGUUUCUCAAAUUGCAUCUCCUCCUCAUUUUAAUAAUCAGUAGUAACAUACAGACCUAGAAAUGAUCUCUUGUUUUUUUCAGCCUUUAACUAAUAAAUUCCAAUAUAAAACUAUGAAUAUUUCGUUGAUAAUGUUAGAGAAGGGAGAUGUUUCUUCCUUCAAUAAACGGAGCAAGAGAAAAUGGAUUCCAGAAGUUUGACAGCCACAUUUCAAUCGGGAUGGAAAAAAAUUAAAUUUUGUUUUUGAAAUUUUCAUGAUAUGCCGCUAAUAUUCAACCGGCUAUUCUAAGGAAUGAGUCCUUGACUUUUACUUUUAACACUUUUUGCAACUGGUUCCAAUCGGUUCCAACAUGUUUUUAAUAUUGCUUUUUAUCGCCACGUGUUGCUCGUACGUUGGUCAAUUGAUCACGUCGUUAUUGUUACUUACACAAACUGUAACAUAAGCUUACCCUGAAUGUUGAUGUUGAAUUUCCACAUCGAUAUUGGAAUUUAAAAGAAAUGAAUUUUAUGUUGCUAUAUUGCCUGUAGGGGAAGACAGAAUAAAUUAAUUGAUAUUGCCAGCAAAUUAUUAAUUCGUCUCCAAGUACAGGGCUAGCUAUCGGAAUUAAUUAAGAUUAAUUGGUCAUCUUUCCGAAUUUUUAAUCCAUUCCCAUGUGAACCGAAAACAUUUUAAUUAAUGGAAAUCAAAUAUUAAAAAAAUAAUAGUAAUAACUUAACUAAUAAUUUAUAACUGUCAAAUUAAUUAAUAGUUUAUCUGCAAUUAUUUUGUUUAUUUUUAUUAUUAGCCAAUAAUUUAUAACUAUCAAAAUAAUUGUAGAUAAACUAAUAAUUAAUUUGAUAGUUAUAAAUUAUUAGCUAAGUUAUUAUUAUAUUUUUUUAAUAUUUGAUUUCCAUUAAUUAAUAUGUUUUCGGUUCACAUGGGAAUGGAUUAAAAAUUCGGAAAGAUGAUCAAUUAAUUGGAGCGAGAAACCCUCCACAUCAACCCCUCUAUUCUCUUAUAAGCAAUUGGAACGAAACAUCUGUGAUGCCCCAAACGCUAGUCAUAUGUUCCAUCUGUUGUUGCUAAUUAAGACCUAGUCGAGGCUUGAUAUAUGUACAACUUUAAACUUUGUAAAUUAAUUUAAAGUUUAUAACUAUAAAAGUUUAGAAAAAGUAAGGAUAGUAGGGUAACUUAAUUAAGGGAAAAUAUCCACCGUCCACCCGUUUUUUCCAACUUUUUCAAAAAUACACAAUUCCUUCUUUUUUUUAUUGGAAUCCACCUAAAGUUACAUUUUGUUUCACUUUUCCACUUCUGUUUGGAAUCCGUUAAGAAAACAAACGGAAACUUUAAAAAAUGACCAUUUUACCUCCCAAAACGAAAAUUACAAUUUCACCUUAAAAAUUACAAAAAAUAAUCAGAUCAAAUCUAAUUAUUUUCUCCAUCGGUCAAUAAAGAAAUUAAUUCCACAACCAUCAAAUGCAGGGUUUUUUUUUUAAUAUGUCUAUAAUUAGAAUACUAAAUUAUAACAGUAGUAUUAAAAAUUGUCAAAUCUCGCAAACCAUCAAUUGAAUUUAAGAUAAGUAGAGUUUUAUUAUUCAUUGAGUAGUUAAGAUUUUUUUGUACUUCAUUAACAUACCAAUAAUGAUAUUCAUCAUUAAAUCUGAUUAUUUUUUACAUUUUUUAGGUGAAAUUGUAAUUUUCAUUUUGGGGGUAAAAUGGUCAUUUUUUUAAGUUUCCGUUAGUUUUCUUAACGAAUUCCAAACGGAAGUGGAAAAGUGAAAUAAAAUGUAACUUUAGGUGGAUUCCAGCCCAAAAAAAAAAAUAAUUAUGUAUUUUUGAAAAAGUUGGAAAAAAAAGGAUGGACGGUGGAUAUUUUCUCCUUAAUUAACAACAGGAGUAUUUUAAAGUAUUUUUAAAAUAUAAGAACAAUCCAACCGCUUAACAUGAAAUAAAGGGAUGAAACAAAUAUUUUUCUUAUUAAUAAAAAGAAUAUGUAAUAAAAAAAAAGCUCGUCUUAAUGAUUAGGAAAAAAAAUAUUUUUGAUAUAAUGAAAUAGGUCUAAUCGAUUGUAAAAUAUAAAAAUAUUUUUUUAAAUAUUGAAAUUAUUUUAAAAUGCAUAUAUUAUUACAUUUAUUUUAAUGCUAUAUUUUUAUUUAUUAUAAAAUUUUAGGGUCAAUUUUUUGGGUUAAUAGAGUCAAAUGAUAUUAUGGUAAAAAAAGGAGUCUUGGUGUCUCCUAUUAAAAACUCGAUGUCUUUGUGACAAUUUCUCCAAACCUUGAGGGUGUAAGUGUGCUUGGAAAAUUUAAGAUUGAAUCCAUUUGAAGUAAACUGAAGUUUACCCUUAAUGUAAAUAUAAAUAAUUUAUGACUUAUUACUAGUUUGGUAAGACUUAUCUAAGAAUGGCCUGUUUAAACCCUAAAAAAUGUUCAUUAGAUCUGGUUUUAAAUUAAAAUUUUAUUACUAAAACGUCCCUAACAUAAAUUAAUAUUAUAGCCUAAACAGUACAAUUGAACAGAAAAAAAAAAAUGCUCCAUGCUACUCCAUCUUUAACCCAUAUCUUUUUUUAAUGAAUUAGGGAAAGCAAAGCUACACCACCCAUAAUUUGGUUAAAUGGUCAUGUAGACAUCUAAAUUUUCAACAAUAGACAUCAAAAACCCUUCUUAAAAUGUUUUAAGACACCACAUUUCACUUUGGCUUUUUUUUUUUUUUUUUUGGGAUAAGCUAACCGAGUUUGCCAAUAAUGUAAAAAAACCAAAUAAAUAAAAUGCCUUUGACUGAUAUGUUAUUAUAUAUAUAAAAUGGAUGCGUUUUAUUUUUCAUUUUCAGGUUAAUUAAAAUGUUUUAAAUUAAAUUAAAAACUCUGGAAAAACAGUCAAUAUAUCGUUCCAUGUAUAGAAGCAAGUGAUGACAUGAUAUGGGCAUAACUGUAAAUUUAGUAUUUGACAUCCAAAUAAACCUCAAAAAUAGCAAGAGGGAGUCUUGGUAUCCAUUGUUAAAAUGUUGACAACAAUACCAUUUGUCUCAACUAACUAAAAAAAAAUUGAUUCCAAUGUUUUAUAAUAAAUAGAAAUAAAAAAUAAAUUAAAUGCAAUAAUAGAUAUAGUUUAAAAUAAUUUCAUUAUUUUAAAAACUAUUUUAAUACUUUACAACCUUAUAUUAUAUUAAGCUAAAUUUUAUAAUAAAUGGAACAUAACGUUAAAGUAAAUAUAUAAAAUUUUAAAUUAUUUUUCAAUAUGAUAUAGAAUAAUUUUAAUAUUAUUAAUAGACUAUAUAUAUUUUAUAUUAAUUGUAAAAUCUAUUUAACCCAAAGAUUUUAUUAAAUUUUUUUAUAAUAAAUACAUAUAUAUUAUUAAAAUAAAUAUAAUAAUUUACAUUUAGAAAUUAUUUUAUAUAUUAAAAAUUUUCUAAUAUCAAAUUAAAUUAUUUAAAUUAUAUUUUUAUUUAUAAAAAAAAAUUAAAGAUAACAUUUUAGUUACUAUUUACAAAAAGUAUUAUAGCCAAAAGGGGGUUUUAACAUUCCUUAUUAAAAAUCUAGGGUUCUACAUGACUAUUUUGCAAACCUUGGCGUAUAGGUAUCCUUUUCCAAAAAAAAAAAAAAUUACUUAUUUAUAUUGCCUGUUGGGAAAUACAGAAUAAAUUAAUUGAUAUUGCCAGCAAAUUGUUGAUUCAUAUCCAAGUGAACGGACAGCUGUUGAAAUUAAUUAGGGUUUAAUUUAGAAAUUUUUAGGCAACCAUAUUCCCAGACGGAAUCGGAAUCUCAAAUCUUUUUUUUUUUUGCAGAGAAAUCUGAUCGAUGUAGGAAAUUCAACGUCAACAUUUAACAACUGCGAGUUUCUUUAAUAUGCAUCUCUAUCACACCAGAACCAAGAACACACACAACUGGUAGCUACUAAAAUAAUAUGGAAGAAUAUGGAAGCUACUUUUGUAAACUUUUAAGAAGCAAUAUAAAAAUUAACAUAAUGAAAACAAAUUUCAUUCAUUCUCCAGCACAAAUGUUCAUUUAUAUAAGUAUUUAAAACAUGAAAAUAGAGGUGAUACAAUUAAAAAAUUUAGAGAUAAUGAUUGAUUAACAAAAAUUGAGUUAAUUGAUAAUUCUUAAUCAAUAACUAAGAUAGAAACAAUCAAUCAUUUGAUUGAUUGUUUUGUUUCUAUUAAUAUUGUUGAUCCUUAUCAUUCUCCCUCAAGUUGGAGAGAAUUUUUUUGAACUUCUAGCUUGUCUUUAAAAAUCAUAUUUCCUGAUUUUUAUUUAUAGUCUCAACCAAGUGUCAUGCAACAAAUAGGGAGUAUUCCUCUAAAACUUGUCUAGGAAAUCUUUUUGUUAUUUUCAUGUACGCUUUUUUUAGACUAAGAAAAAUCAUAAGUAAUAAAUUAUUUUUAUUAAGGAAUUCUUUCAAUAUGAAAGUCGUUCCUUCAAUUAUUUUUAAGGAAAUCUUCACUCAAUGAUUUUAUCUUCACUCCUUUGAUAUUGUCAUGGAAUUCUUUCAUUUAGAAAGUCAUUUCACUGAUCUGGUCAAGGAAAACAUCAAUUUUCAGGAUUUCUUUUCAUUCCCCUUUUCUUUUGAGGUCAUUUCCUUUGUGAUGGUAGAAGUGUGGUGGUUAAUGACGCAGUUGAACAACUUCUUCUUCUUCUUCUUCUUCUUCUUUUUCUACGAAAUUGAAGAACAAUAAAAAAGGAACUCACAUCUCUCCUUUAGACCACCAUGCUCUAGAAACAUAUCAUCGACACGGUGGCUAAGCAUAAACCCACAAAUUUAAGGACUUUCAAACUUGUCUAAUACCAUGAAAAUUUUUAGAAAUAAAUUAAGAAGAUAAAUCUCACUCUUACUCAUAUAUGAGCACAAAAACUCAAUUCAUACAAUACUUGAAACAUGAAAAUGAAAAUGAUACAAUUAACAUAAUUUGAAAUAACGAUUGAUUAAUACUGAUAGAGUCAAUUAAAAUUUAUUUCGAUUUAUAAUCAAUCUUUCUAAAUCAAUAAUAUAGAGACAACCAAUCAUUUGAUUUAUUUCCAUUACUAUUCUUUGAUUUUUAUCAGCUUUUCAUGUACUUCAAGUUAGGACAAUUUCAUGUGAAUUCUAUUUCUAGUUUUUAUAUUAAUAAUAUGUCAUCUUUUAAUUAAUUUUCUAUAAUAAUUUUUUUAGGUAAGACUGAAUGGUUUGAGACGCUUAUUACAAAGAAGGGUGCUUUUUUUAGCCAAUGCUGGAUAUAAACUAACGACGUAGCGUUUGCCAACCUCAAUCUUCUUGUAGUCUCUCAAUAUAUGAAAAACCCUAAUGAGGCUGGUUAAUUGAAUUAUAAAAUUGAUUUGUUUUCAUUUGAGUAAAUGUUAUACUUCUGAAAGUUUGUAUUUCAGAUACAAGUUAACAUUUGAUAAGAAUCAAACAAUAUUGAUAAAAAUAAAAUAAUUAUUUAUUUGAUUCAUUGUCUUCAUUUUAAUUAUUGAAUAAGAAAGAUUGAUUGUGAAUUAAUAUAAAGAUUGAUUGACUCAAUAUUUGCUAAAUAUGAAUCAUUAUUCCUAAAUUAUGUUAAUUGUAUCAUUUCUUUUUAUAUUUCAAAUACUUAUAUAAACUGAGGAGUCGUGCUCAUUAAUUUUGUGCUCAUUAAUUUAUAAGAGAGAAAUUUAUCUUCUUUAUAUUAUUUUUGAAACAUUUUCAACAUUGCAUCACCUUAAAAUGCCCUUUCAAAUUACUUGUCAAUAUGUGUUAGGAAAUUUAACUGGAGAAAAUAAAAAUAAGUUAUGAAGGUCAAAGGGGAGCAAAUAAAGCAGGAGAAAACAAAGAAGCUUAGCAAAGUAAAAACUGGAAACCAAGAAGCAAAAAUAAAGAUUUUGAGUAAUCUAUAAUUUCGGAAGGCCCCACCAUAACUACCACUGAAAAUAGCCUCAUGAAUUGAAGAAGGGGAACAUCGAACUUAGCAGCCAUAUUAUCUUAAUUUAUCAAAGAUAUAUGAACAAGUAUUAAAACGAAAUCAUAUCAGAGAUAAUUGCUUUACGAUUCAACAACUUAUUCUUAAUAUGAGAACAAGUAAAACAAGAACAACCUAAAUUGAGCAAGUAAGAAAUAGUUCCAGCCCAUGGAUAUUAAGUUCUAAAGAAAAUUAAAUUCUUAUAUAUUUUGUCUAACUAAACAAUGGAAAUAAAGAUUGAAUUUAAAUUAUUUUCCUCUCCUUCAAUCUCUCCUCCCAUCCAAACACCACGUAAAUGUUAGAUAUUUCAACUUACAAUCCACAUAUGUCAUGAUGUGUGCGUGUUGGAAUGGUCUAGUAACAUUCAUCAGAUAAUCAUAUGAAAUAAAAUGGAUGAAUAAAAGCUAUUAGAGAGAAGGACUUACAAAUUUAAUUUUUUUGAAGAGAAAAGAACAAAAAUAGCUUUUAUUAAAAAAAUACAAAAUAGAGAAAAUGAUGCAUUUCUUUUGUUCUCUUAAUUUGCCAUCUUUAAAAAACUCUGUUUAGCUAGAAAAAUAAUAAUUUUUUUAAAGUAAAACAAACAUAAUAUUUUUUUUAAAACAAGCAAACACACAAAAGCAUGUUAUAUGAGCUAUCCCCUCCCGUUAACCAGAUCGAGGCAUUGUCCUCAAUGUCUAAAGAAAAAGAGAUAAAGUUUACAUGGCUGCACCUGAUAAUGUGAAAGGAACAUCAUCAAAAGACCAUAGUAAUGAUUUAUAUCCAAUGGCCUAAUAGGUUGUUGGUGGAUGUUCAGUUGUGCCCAUGAUGCAAUUGUGAAAAUUUCUUCUAAGAUGCCUAGUCCACUUGGUAAAGCAAUAAAAGCAUCAACAUGUUCAAUCUUUACAAUGAGAUAUUCAUAUAUACAUAUAACAAUGAGCUCUUCUCCAUUUGUUUUCACGAUGAUAUUUCCUCUAGUUUAAGGUUUUUGGGACUAUACACAAAACUUGACUUCCUUUAGUGUUUGCAGUUAGCGAGAUGGUGUGUGAAAUCUCUAAUGUUAUGGGUGUCAAUGUGUAAGUGUACACGAUAAGUAAUAUACUGAUGAGCAUUCAAAUUGUCUCAACAGGGAUUGAUGUUAUCAAAUUUGCUACAGUAAUCUUAACACUGUAGUUUUGUUUUAAAUGAAAAUAAAGCAACUAAUGAAACUAACAAACAAAUCAAAGUAAAAAUGCAGUAAAUAAAAUAAAAUAAAGGAAAUUCUCAUGUCAAAUAUAAGGAUGUAACUAAUGGGAAUUGAGUAGUUGAGUGCAUAAACUCACUUAAUAGCAUUAACUAUUUUUUCAAUUAUAGUACCAUUGGUACAACAUCUACUACAGCGCUGGGCAGAAUCCCUCAUGCAUCCUCAGUUGUCGCAUGUUUGAUAUCUUAUAUCUAAUGCAACCUAACAGUGACCAAUUGUUACGCCAAUAUUAAAUAUACCAUUAAACGAUCUAGGUUCUGUUUACCCUACAAGAUGAAUACAUAUAUCUAAUUCAUCACAAAUUUUAGAUCAAGCAUGACCCUAUUCAAAUUGAGAUUAACUCAACUUGAAAAACUCAAUCUAAAACCAAGUAUUAUCUUAAUGAGAUCUAUUGAAUCAGACCUUUUUUAGGCUCUUUCUUAGCUAGUAUCCUUAAAUGGGUGGUCAGCCGAAAUAGAGAAUAAAAUAAAUGCAAAUAAGACAAAAUGUUAUAGCAAACACAGAGCAACAUGCGUAUAUUAGUCAAACAUCCAUUAAGUUCAUUUAUUACUCAACUACAAUCAAAUUCAGUUCAUGAUUUGCGAUAGAAAAAUUAACAAAAGAGUUUCAGCCAUCAAAUAGAUCUCCAUGAAUAAAUAGAAAACAAGAAAAUAAGAAGAAUGGCUGAUUUCUAUUUUAUUUCUGCAGUUUCUCCUCUGUCGACCUUCAAUCUCUCUCUUGAAUUUUGUUUUCUUGUUGUUUCUUUACGAUUUUUUCUUCUUGGGUGAUGGCUUUCCCUUUUUUUCUCUGUGUGUGUGCUCAUUUUAUAGCUUAAAAUUAAGGAAACCAUAAGUCUAGAGCGCACAUAUUCUAGUUUUGGAAAUUCCAUAUCGCAAUCUUCUAAGUAUCUCGCGCGAAAUCUUCUCUAUCAAUGCUUCAGGAUUGCUACAGCAAUGGUUACUACAUGUUACUUAAAAUUUAAGCUUCCGAACACUUACAAUUAUGCAUAUGAUCUAAGCACAAAUUAAUCUAAAACAAACUAAAUUUAUUAAAAAUAAACAAAAAUUGAUGUUCAUACAAAAUAUAACUAAAAUGCUAUAAAAAUAUGUCAUUUACUCUCUAAAUAAUUUUGAUUUAAGUCUAAAAGUACUAUGAUAACUCCAUUUCAUAGAGUUAUCACGAGACAACCCUUAUUAAUGUAAAAUCACCAUCUCCACAUAUUAAAUGUAUUUUUCUCAUAGACAAUAUCCCCUCGAGGUCUUUGACAGCCUCAACGAAAUUUAGAGUAUGUCCAAAAGUUGAUCCAAAGAAUACAAAAAUAUUUUUAAGUUGUCGAAAUGGAAUUACUGGCAUUAUGAUUUUCUUUCUGUUAAAAAUUAUAUAUGUAUUUACAAAUCCAGGAAAGACAAUCCAUUAAUGAUAAUAAAUUCGGAGGUUGGCAAUUGUUAAACAGAGUGUCAAAAAUAGUUAAAAUGAUAAUCAGUUAAAUGCUAUAGGAAAUUUCAAAUAAAUAAGUCAAUAAAGUUAGAGCAAAGUAAUAAUAGAAAAUGAAAAUGAUAUGUACUAAUAGUUGUGAUUGUGGCUCACGACUUCUUUUAGUUUUACAUCUAGUAAUGGCUUGAAUGCUUUCUAUGGAUCGGGGAUAGGAUUCCCAACCAAUUUUCUUAUAAAUUAGUGUUGGGUUAUUUCUAUUACUAUGGGUGUUAAUGUACAAGUGUACACAAUAAGUAAUGUAUCAAUGUACAAGCCAGUUAGCCACACCAGCAUUCACCUCAGCAGCUGCAUUUUGAACAAUAGCCGCAUUCUCAACAGCAGGCAUCGUUUUAGUGGUAGGUUCUGAUCGUACUGGUAGCAUGUACACAACAAGUAAUGUAUCAAUGUACAAGUCUACACAACAAGUAAUAUACUGAUAAGUAUUCAGAUCGUCUCCACAAGGAUUGAUGUUAUCAGAUUUGCUACAACAAUCUUAACAGUGCAGUUUAAUUCUAAAUUAAAAUAUGACAAUUUAUGAAACUAAUAAACUAAUUAAAAAUACAAUAAAGAAAAUUUUCACGUCAAACACAAGGAUGUAACUAAUGGGAAUAGAGUAGUUGAGUGAUUAAACUCACUUAAUAGUGUUGAUUGCUCCUCUAAUUAAAACCCUAUUGCUACAACAUCUAUUACAGCACUGAGCAAAAUCCCUUAUGCAUCCUUAGAUGUCGUAUGUUGGAUAUCUUAUAUCUAAAUGCAACAUAACAGUGAUCAAUUGUUAUGCUAACAUUAGAUAUAACAUUAAAUGUUCUAGGUUUCAUUUACCCUACAAGGUCAAUCCCCACGUCCAGUUCUUCACUAAUUUUAUAUUAAGCAUUACCCUAUGCAAAUUGAGAUUCACUCAACUUGGGAAACCCAAUCUAAAACCCAGUAUUGUUUGAAUUUGUUCCACUAAGUUGGCCAUUUUCAAGGCUCUUUAUUAGCUAGUAUCCAUUAAAUGUGUGAUCAGCCAAAAUAGAGAAUUGAAAUAAAUACAAUUGAGACAAAAUGCUAUAACAAAUACAGAGCAAUACGCAUAUGUCAGUCAAACAGAUCGUUUAUCACUCAACCACAACAAAUUCAAUUCGUGAUUUGCGAUAGAACAGUAAAUAAAAUUGUUUCAGCCAUCAAAUACAUCCCCAUAAUUAAAUAGACAACAAGAAGAUAAGAAGAAGAACUGAAGUAUGCUCGAUCUUAGUGAUAUCUUCUUUAUUUCCUCUUUGAAUCUUCUGUUACAUCCUUCAAUUUACCUCUUAAUGUUUUGUUUUCUUAUUGUUUCUUUUCGGUAUUCCCCUUAGGUGAUGGUUCUUUACUUUUUCUUUCCUUUUCAUGUGUGCUCAUUUUAUAACUUAGAAUUAAGGCAACUGAAAGUGUGUGACGCGUAUCCUUCAUUUUUAGAAACUUUAUAUCGCAAUAUUUUAGUUAUUGCGCACAAAAUUCAGUCUGUCAUUGCUCCAGGAUUGCUACAGCAACUGCUAUAGCAUCUUCAGUGUUCCAGACUUAUUUCAAUUCCUCUGCAGUCAAGAUAUUUUGUCACUUUUGCAAGUCUGUUGCAGCAACAUUUCAUCCCUAAAACUUGAGCUUUUCGGUCACCUACAAUUAUGCACAUAAUAUAAGCACAAAAUAAUCUAAAAAAACUCAAUUUAUUAAAAAUAAAUUAAAAUGGAUGCUUAUGCCAAAUGUAACUAAUAUGCCAUAAAAAUACAUCAUUUAUUUUCUAAGUAAUAUUGAUUUAAGUCUAAAAGUAUCAUGAUAACUUUCAGUUCAUAAAGUUAUCAAUUAGCAAAUUGAGUAAUUUGAAAUUGGCUUCCCAAGACUAAAUUGUUUACCUUCUUUUAGGAAUUAUCUCUAUAAAUUGUGAAUCUCGCAUUGCACAUAGUCACUUGGAUGCAUCUUAAGAGAUCGCAAGAUAUCAUCUAAUGCUUGUUUACAUGGACCAUCCUUAAUGAAUUUAAUUUUAUCUUUACGAUUUUAAAAACCAUUCCUAAAGUUGUACAAUACGCUUCACAAGAAAGUCUUUCACAUUUAUGAUAUUUAGAGCCAAUUCGUUUAGCUCUUCUUUUUUUAGCAAAUGAUAUCAUAUAAGUCCAAUGAACCAAUUAACACAUACAAUGCAUUCUUCUUUUCACCUUUCAUCACAAUAGAACCCUCCUUAGUCACUUUUAUGCCAUCAUUAUCUAACUUAAAUGAAUAUCUAGAGUUGUCCAACAUGCCUAAAGAGAUCAAAUUUCCCUUUAACUCAGGAGCAUGUCUAAGCCUAUGUAAAGUUUUGAUGAUCCCAUUAAAUAUUUUAAUCUUGAAAAACCUUAUUCCAACAAUUUAACACUUAUUGGUGUUUCCCACAAAAACUCUACCACCAUCAAUAAACUCAUAUUGAUGAAAAAGUGACUUAUUAGGCAUAUGUGAAAAGAACAACUCAAGUUUAAUACCCACUGACCUUCUAAGUUGCCUUUUGAGGUUAUAAAUAGAUCUGCACUAUAAUAACCAUCAUCAAAGGAGAUAUUUAAAGCCACAGCCACACCUCCUAACCUUUAUUGACUUUCAUUCUUCUUUUUCUUUGCACUCUCUCUGAUGUAAUGCAUUUGUUUCCUACAAAAAAAGCAUUUCCUCUUGUUUUUCUUUUUUUUGCAUUCUCUUGGUUCUUUCCUUACCCCUUUCUUUGAUUCUUGUUCUACUGUUCCUUCUUCUUUCGAUUCUGGCAAUUAGCCAUUCACCAUUACUUACUUCAUGGCCAUCAUGCUUUUCAAUCUCUUUUGAGCUUAGUGAUGUCGUGACAUCUUCCAAAGUCAAGGUUUUCUUCUAUACAACAUUGUAUCCACAAAACCUUCAUAUGAUUGUGGCAAUGAACUUAAAAAGAAAAUGAUUUUGCCUUCAUCUCUAAUCUUCACAUUUUCAACCUCUUCAAGAUCAAGAAUGAUCUUGUUGAAAGUGUCAAUGUGUUCUUAAAUAGACACCCCUUAUAUCAUUGAAAAAGUGUACAACUAUUUCUUCAAGAACAACUUGUGAGCCAAAGAUUUCUUCAUACAAAGGCCUCCACCUUAUUCUAUAUCCUAAGGUAUGUUUUUGUUUAGAGAUUUCCCUCAAGAUUGAGUCACUAAGACUCAAAAUUAGGGUUUUGAAGGCUCUAUUUUAAAUAUGUUUCUUCUUUUCAUCAGGUUUAAAGCUUGUUUCCUUAUCAAAAUCUUCUUCUUCUAAGACGGAUUCAAGGCCCUGAUGCACAAGUAGAGCCCUCAUCUUCAUCUUCCAAAGUGAGAAAUCACCACUCAGCUUCGUAAUUUCUGGUUUUAAAAGUGACAUGGUCAAGGUUCACAAAGUCUCUGAUACCAAUUAUUGUAAUUAAUGGUUAACAAUCAAGAACUCAACCAAUCUUUCGAGCUUUAAUCAAACAAGAUUAAUUCAAAUCAAGAUUGAAGAAAAACAUGGCAAGAACAAAGAAAUAGAACUCAAUCACAAAGAACAAGCUUCUCUGUUUGAAGGGAAAAACUGGCACACUUUUACUAAUCAAGCUUAUCAUAAAUUGAUCAGACAUUACAAAAGAGGUUGCAAGCUUUAGAAAUAAACAAAAAGCACAUAAUUUGGUUAAGAAACAAGAGAGAAAAGGUUCACACAUUAGAGGUUGUGCACUAGCCUAUUUAUUUUGGAAAUUUUCAAAAACCAUCUAACAACCUUUAACGAACUAUAGCCAUGUCAGUAAAAAUUUACAAAAUGACCCUAAGCUAAAGUCGAUCUGUACAAUGGCCCAACAAAUCUCCUUCAUUUUACUUCAAUCCUAAAAAACAGAAUAUAUAUCUUCACAUUUAUAAUGGUUGGCUUAAAAGAAAAUAUAGAGAUUGUAUAUAAAAUAAAAAACUACUAAACUGUAAAAAUGAAAAAUAGGCAGACUCAAAAAAUAAUAAUAAUAAUAGGUUCAAAAACUCGCUUCAAACUUAUUAUGACAUAUACAUUCGUUCAAAUAACUUAAUCAAUUUCACUCAUCAAAUCUCUCAAUUCAUAGUUGUCACUAACAUCAUCAUGCAAAGUUGCUAACGUGGUGUAGCAAAACUCAAAACCAAAGAUAAUAUAAGUCAUCAUGUCAUCCAAUGUCAAAUGAUCAUACAAGAUGCCUAGAAAACUUUAAUAAUCUUUUUAAUGCCAAUAGUAAGAGAAAUAAGUAGGAGAGAUUGCACUUAAAUUGGCGAUCGCUCUUAAAUUGAUCGCAAAAUAUUCUACAAAAAAAUCUAAAGAAAACGUUAAAAUAAAUAUAAAGAAUAAAAUACAAAAAGCAAAAUAUUAGAGUUUUUUAUCUAUAAAAGGAUAAUGGUAGUGAUACUCUUUAAUGUCAUACAACUUAGGCCACAUCUGUCUUAAGCUUAUCUGAAAGUUAUCUAAAAUACUAUAAAAUGAUAACAAUUUGAGCACUUCAGAUCUUACUACUUUAUUCAUGUCAAAAUGUGACUUAUCUUGUGCUGCUUUAGGAAGUAGCUCUAGUUUGAAUGGUUUUUCUUCAAGAGGAAAUAGCUUAAUCUUUUCUUUCCACUUAGUUAAAACCAUGAUACGGCAAAUAAAGUAAAAUAUUAACUUCUAGGAAAAUUAUCAUUCGUAUACUUUAAAUUUGUACUUUUAUCAAAAAUACUACAAUAUUUUAAGGGUGUAAAGGGUGUAUCAAUCGUCCACCUUAAAUUGACAAACGUUAUCUACCGACCACUAAACCUCUAGCUGCCGUUUGAAAGUUAAUGGAAUUAUAGUGAAUUGACGAUUUUACCCUUGAAAAUUAUCACUUGUAUACUCUUAAAAUCUCUUAUUAUCAUUUAGAUACCCUUAAAUUAUCACUUGUAUCAUAUGAAAAUACCAGACUACCCCUCUAAUGUCAUCAUAUUUAAACAACAACUAACGGUUUGGUGGACGGUAGAUAUAUUUUGUCAACUUAGGGUGGACGAUUGAUAUACCCUAAAAGUGUUGUAGUAAAUUUGAUAAAAGAGUAAACUAAGGGUAUACGAUUGAUAAUUUCCCUAACUUCUAAAAUAGCACUAUCAACAUCAAAAGAUAAAACAAAGUGUAUUAAGUAUGUCUUUAGAAGAUCAUCAUAAUGGUUAGAAAUGAAUCAAUCAUUAACUUGUGCUUCUAUCAUAUCUACUUCAACACUUCAUCAUCUUCUUGUGCCUGCUUGAGAACAUUAAAAAUAUUCAAUUUCAUACCCGUGUUACCGACAGACAAUUGUAUGUUUCAAGUCCUACAACUAAUAUAAUCAUCUACUAUCGCCCAAAAAGGACAACUUAAAAUAACAAGAGUGUGUUUUGUAUGAUUCUGCACAGGUUGAGUAUCAAUAACAAUAAAAUCAAUAGAAGAAUAAAAUUUAUCAAUCUGCAUGAACACAUCCUCUAUAAUACCACAAGAUAUUUUUAUUGACCUAUCAGUAAGUUGUAAAAUAAUAGAAAUUGAAUGUAAUUGACCUAGCCCAAGUUGCUUAUAAACAUAAUAAGGCAAAAUAUUAACACUAACUCGUAGAUUCAACAAAGCUUUAUCAAACAAUUAGAUCCCUAUAACAUUUGAGAUAGUAAAAGAACCUAAAUCCUUAAAUUUUGGUUGCAUUUUAUAUUGAAAUAAAUUGCUAGUUUGUUCAAUUAGAAAUGCCUUCUUAAUAACAUGCAAAUUUCUCUUUCUAGUCUUCAAAAACUCGGCAUAUGAGGAACGUUGCUUGAUAGCGUCAUGUAAAGCAACCUUUAUAUUUACCUACUUGAAGAUUUUCAUGAUUUCACCUGUUGAAGUCUCUAAUUAUCAAUUAAUUCUUAAUUUUUAAAUGACAACUCAAAAUCAAUUUAUGUCUACUUAUGAAUAUAAAAAUUAAGUCCAAUUAAAAUUAAUUUUAUAUAGAUUCAUUUUUGCUUAAUAGUAUGAUAUCUAAGCAUCCCACAUAAACAUAUCGAAGAAUAAAGAGUCAAAAGUUUUCCUAAGCACUUUUUGUAAACAAUUUGAGGAAAGACAUAGAAUCCAAGAUAAUCACAUAUAAACUUUAUAGAUCCGAGCAUAAGUUUACUCAAACAUUAAUCCUAACAAUCAAUAAUGCUUGACAGAAUUGAUGAAAAGUUUUAAUAAUAUUCAACCAAACAUGUGAAACAAGAACCACAGACAUUAAAGCACAUAAGUAAAGAAUUAAUUGCAUAAAAAUAAUUAAUUUCAUUGACUAGGGCUUCAUCCUUAGUUACACAUAAUUGACUUGUGAAUAAAAAAGUAAAUAAAACCAGUUAUGGAAAAUAUAUCCAAGCCACUGCAACUGCUUUCAUCUCUACUCGGCGGCUGCAACUCUUUCUUUCUCUACCGUCUGUCGCACACAAAAGCCAAAUUUUGGCUUAUAUAAUUCUGGAUGGGCGACUUCUUUGAUGCCUUAUGCCUCCUCCAGAUCCAUAAUCAACAAGGAAACUAAUGUUUUCCAUGUGCUCUUCAGUUAUUUUACUUACAAAAUGGGCCAAUAAAUUUUAAUUCUGAUUUAUCCAUAAGCCCACAGAAAAUCCAAAUAAUUUUCAACUUUUCUCCAAUUUAUUUCUUUAAGCACAGCUUAUUCCCAAUCUUUAAUUUAUUAUCCUGUUAAAUAAAAUAAUUCAAAUAACUAAAAGUAAUAAAUAAAAUAAACUAGCAAAUAUAUAAUAAAGGGUAAAAUAUGUAUAUUUUAUAUGAUCGUCAAGCCUAGCACUACAUGCCUACCUAGACGAAAACCACACAAGUUAUAAAUACAAUGAGUUAGAAAUUUCGGCAAUGGAUGAAGAACGACUUUGCGUAAAACAUCACAAGGUGAUUUGAAGGGUUGGCUAGAAAGAUACAAAAGCUUAUUGAUCGUAGAGUUCAACUAAGUAGUUGUGGAAGGACAAGCUUACAUGUACUUCGGCAGAAGGUCAUCAUGGCAAUCAAAACUAGACAAAAUAUUAACAUUCAAACACGAGAAAUCAUAUCAUUUAGUGUCAUUGAUAAUAUAAAUGAGCAUUUUGAUGUGUCUAUUGACCAAUAAACUUGUUCUUGAGGGGAGUGGCAGUUUAGUAGGAUACUUUCAUCUUACGCAACAAACUGUACUAUUAAUUUUAGUGUUAGGGUGGAGGAUUUUAUCAAUCUACUUUUGAAGAAUGAUAAGUAUAAUACCAUAUAUGCCAAAUAUAGAUGUUCAAAAUCUAUAAUGGGAGCACUACUUCCUCCAAAUAAACAACGUAAAAUACAAAUGUUCACAGAAUCAGUCCAAGCAAGAACGAAUAGCAGCACCGAACCAAAGAAAAGGGAAACACUGAAAACUGCGAUCUAUUGGUUUAGUAUUUUAAAAUUAGAUAUUUUUUUUGUUUCAUGAACACUAUAUUUAAUUUCAGAUGAUCUUAUAAAGGGUACCUUAUUAUUUAGGAAGUUGCAUUUUGAUAAUGUUGUUUUAUUUUGAAGGAACUUAGAAAGGACUUGUUGAUGCGUAAAUUAGCAAGUGUACUAGUCGGCACAAGUAAUAUAAUGAAGAGUAGAGUAUCAUCCCACAAAGAUUGUAUAUCCUAUUAGCAACCGAAAUUAUUCUAACCCUAAUUUAUUUGAACUUAGAAAGGUCUCAUUAUGUAUCCUCAAAUCAUUUAAAUAUUGGCCAGAUAUUUAAAAGCACUAAGCACAAUAAUGAAUACUCAACCAUGGAAUAAUAAUUUAAAAAUAACACAAAUUUAUGGAAUUAAACUUUCAUAGUUAGGCUAUAUCGUGGCCCUAGUAAAAUAAAUUACUUCAUGAGAAUAAAUAUUGUAGGAAACAUUUUAGCACAACAAUAGAGAAAAGAGAAAAAAAAACUCAAGAAUUAAUUUCCGUCUCCCUCUGAAUCUCUUAUGGCUGCUUCAUUCUUUUUCUACCUUCUCUCUCGGCUUUUCUCUCCAAUUUGUGCGGCUGCUCCCUUUUUGUCUUCUUAAUUUGUACGGCUACCCCCUUGCUUUUGUUCUCGUCCUUUUUAUAUUAUUGCUCAGCCUCCAAAUCCUUAAAUCAAAAGGAUUUUAAAACAAAACAAACCUAGCCAACUUUUUAAGCCCAUGCACGUGAAGCCCACUUGACAAAUGCCAAUGCUUUAUGUAAUCAUCCACGUGACUUGUACAAAUAGCCAAUAAAUUUCUAAACUUAUUUGGUAAUAAAUCUAAUAAUUAUUCUUUAAGCAUUAUUCUUUCCUCUUUUCUUUCACAAUCUGCAAUUAUUUUCAUUAAGUACCAAUUUGUUUCCUCUUUAAGCUUCCUUUCUCAUGAAUAUUCCCAAUAUUCCUACAACAACAAAAUAUGAAAAUUAAGAUAAAAAUUUAUAUAAUAAAAGAUAAUUUAACAUAAAAUUAACUUAUGGAAGCAUUAAAAUAAUAUGGAAAUUAUUAGCACAUCACCUGUCGACCGCAUCAGUCAAAGCAGGAGGGAACAUCGGCAACGAGAGCCGAAAUGGCUGAUAAUGAUAUUUGAGUUGAAUUUCUCACUAUAAGAAAUUUGACUUUUUAAGACAAUUUUUUAUGACAUUUGUAGAUUUUGUCAUAAAAUAAUAUUUAUUGUGAAGAUUUUUUAAAAUCGUAGCUAAUAAUCUUGUCCUGGCCAAUGUUACAUUUUGUAAAGAAUAAUAUUUGUUUUGUGAUCCAAUAAUUGGUCACUUAAUCAAAUAUUUUGCGACAAACAUAAAAUUAGCCACAAAAGGACAUACUUUUUUUAGCGCAAAAAAUUCCCUCCAAAAUUGAUCAUUUUCUGACAAAAUAUCAUCUUUUAUGACAAAAACUAUGGUAGCAAAAUAUAAUUAUAAGUGACAUAAUCAUUUCGUAACUAAAAGAGGGAUAUAAAAUUGAUCAAACUGUUUGUGAUGAAAAAUAUUAGUCUCGAAACUUAACAUGGUUUUGAUUAAUUUUUAAGACCCUAUUUUUUUGUAACAGAUAAUUACCUACUGUGACAAAACUAAAAAAUAGUAGAUUAAAAUUGUCUUGAGUAAUUUUGUAUUUCAUGACCAUUGUUUUCAUAGAUACAUUAUUUAAUAUUCGAUUCAUUUUUUUUUUUGACGAACUUUACAACAUUGACCCAAAAAAAAAAAAUAAUCAAUAUUUUUUUAAUUAUAUUAUAUUUUGCGACCAACAAAUUUUUUUAUGUAUUUUAUUAAAUAAUUGAUCUUUUAUCUUAUUAAUGUGUGAAAACAUCAAUUUACCUCUAUGUACUAUUAAGAAGAUUUAAAAAAAAAGUCAUUACUGCGCCUCUCUUUUGCCACCAUCUUCUGAAUGAAAGUGAAAAUAAAUUGAAGUAUUUAUACUUUUGGGGGAUAAAUUGAUGAUUUUCAUUUCAAGUAAAGAGUAAAUUGAAGUUUAUUCUAAAAUGCAUUGAAGGACAAUUAGCAAAUUUUCAAUAGACUUGAAAUUGCUCGAAUGAGAGCUUCCUGCAAGACUAAUUAGUUAAAUACCUUUUUCUUAAAGUUUAAUUACCCACAUUAUUGUUUUUUAUAUAGCUUCAUACAAAUUUUGUUGGGUUAUUAUCAUUUCACUAUUUCAAAAAUUGUCAAAUAUCAAAUGACUACAACAAGUAUUGUCUCCUAUCAUUUUCCUACUAUAUUUUUAUAAAAAUAUUAUUUUACUACUUUUCUGUUAUAACCGUUAGUUGACCAGUUAGUUGACUAAUAAAAUAUCAAUUUCACCCUUCAUGAUUAAAAAAAAUACUUGAAACUUAUUUACAAAAUAAAUUUGUAAUAUAUUUAUUAAAAUGGAUAUAUAAUACCACCAUAAUUCCUUUUGCUGGAAUUAUGAUAUAUGGAUUACAAAUUUGUCUUAUUAUUAUUUUUAAUCAUGAAGGGGAAAAUUGAUAUUUUGUUAGUCAACUAACUGGUCAACUAACGGUUGUAACGAAAAAGUAGUAAAAUGAUAUUUUUAUAAAGAUAUAGUAGGAAAAUGAUAGGAAACAAUACUUGUUGUAGUCAUUUGAUAUUUGGUAAUUUUUGAAGUAGUAAAAUGAUAAUAACCCAAUUUUGUUUAACUAUGUUAGAUUAAUAAAAAUUAAAAUAAUAGCCUUAAAAUAAUUAACCUGGAUUAAUAAAAAAUGAUAAUAGACUUUUUUUAAACCAAUAAUAACAAACUUAUAAUAGCUUUUUUUUUUUUUUAAAAGAAUCUUAUAAUAGUUAAUUAUGUUGGAUUUAUAAAAAGAAUACAUAUUAUAUUGGAUAAAAAUUAAAAAAAUAAAAAAUAACUAAACUUAAAUAGAACAUAAAUUUCUCUAAUGAAAUCGUGAAAUACAAAUUAAUCAUCUCCCACUCACUCCUUGGCCAAUUUUGUUGUUAUCCAAACAAAACAAUUUAAUUCCCUCCCACUCUCUCCCUAGCCAAUUCACUUUAAUUGAUUUUGUAUUAAAAAACUACCCAUCUUUAUCUUUUGUAAUCCUUUCCAAUUUGUAUGUGUUUGUGAAUGAUGAUAACAGAACAAAAACCCACGACUAUGGAGGCAACACUGUAACCUUACCUUAGGCGCUGCACAAGACACUAGAAUCACGCCCUUUGCCGCCGCUCAAAAGCACGCCACCCUCACCGGUUCACUCACGCAUGCCAAAAUGAGCCACUCAACAAAAUUCACUCUCAUCACUCGUUCUACUUCGAAAUUGUGAUUAUAUAUAAACUAAGCCAAUUUAAUUUUGAUUAGUUUAGUUGUGAUUGGAUUAUGUGAAAUUCAUAUUUUUGUGUUUGGUAAAAUUAGGGAUUGAAAUUCUUAAAUCUAUUAUUUGAAUACUUUUAUGCUUAUCAAGUGCUUGAUAAAAUUCCUAAGAGAAUCUAGUAAAAGAAAAACAUAAAAUACAUGCAAAUAAAUGAAGGAAUUUGAAGUAAUUUUUGCUCACUUCAUCUUAGUAUGUAAUUAAUCAUCUUUCUUUAUUUUUUUUAAAGAAAAUUAUAGCUAGUAUUAAUAUAAUAAAAAGAGUUAGCAAAUUAUUCAAGUUCAGCAGAUAUAAUAAUAAGUUAAGUUACAAAUUUUUAAAUAUAAAAGAUUCGAUAGCUUUGAUGUGUUGUUUAGAAGGACGAUUUUGAAGCUUGGUUUGCUAAAGUAGUAAAGUUUGCUCAAAAUAUGCAAAAUUUGUACAAGUGCAUCGAGGUUGAUUAUGUGCUUGUAAUCUUUUGAUUAUAUUGUUAAUUUGAAGUAAUAAUGAAAGCAAGUAUGUGCUUGUAAUCUCUUUUCUUUCAGAAUUUUUCCCAUCUUUUUAAUGGAUGAAAGAAUUGAUUGCGGAUAUGUUUUAUUAAGAAAUUUAAUUGAUGUUGCAUUCUUACCUCAAUAUUUUUAUUUAUACCUAUUUGGCUUGCCAUAUACUAUUCUUUUAUGCAUUACCAAUAAUAUUUUCUUUAUAAGAUUACUCUUCGACACCAAUUAAGUGUUUUCUCAAGUUUUUUGUAUUGUUAAUAUUAUUUUUUUAGGGUUAUUUUCAGGGACCUCCCCUGAGGUUUAGUGUAUUUACAGUCGGAUAGAAAGUAUGCAUGUAAUUACAGGGACCUCCCCUGACGUUAAUACAAAAAUACAUAUAACGUUAUCAUAAAGGGAAAAUACGUAAAAAUACAUUUAAAAUUUAAACAAAAACAAAAUUCAAACGAAACUUGCUUGGAUGUCUGAGAACUAAAGACAUGAACUCCCUAUUACCCAGUGACUAUCGUUACCCAACAGACAAAUGAAAAUGAAUUUUUUCAGAAAACGCACUCCACUUCAAAGACACUGCUUACAUAAAAUCGUUGGAGAGCUUACACAACAAAACCCAACUUCAUUUUCAUCGUUGGAGAAGAAGCAAUCACUGAUCUGUUUUCAUCUAAAUGCAUGAGAUGACAUCGUGCGGUGGUCCAAAGCUUCCACGAAGUGAGCAUCGCCGACGGCCAGUGUCUGUCGCGACUGGAAUUAGAUCGCAAAAGAGGUUAGUCUUCGAAAUACAGCUUGCUUCCUUGAAUCAGUGGCUUACGGCUUUUGUUGAUUAAAAAUAACAAUGGGUCUGUUUCAAUUAAUGAAUAUGUUGCUAGAUGUUGUUUUUAUUUGGGGUUGUUGGUGUUGAGUUGAAAAUGUGUGAUAAAAUGGGUCUGCUUAGCUGGACGAUUGGUCCUGUUAUUUGCUGAAUUAUUAAUAAGUAUUAUUAAUUAGUUGUGGACAAUGCGUGAUAAAACAAUUUGAGAUAAGCUACCGAAAAUAUGUAGAAUGCUUGUUUGAGGGGUGGAAAUGAAGUGGUUUGAUCCACACUUUGAUUUUUUAAAGGGAUAGGACUCUACUUUGUGAAUUAUGAGCAUAGGCAAUAUAGUGCACAUGACUGGUACGAUAAGUGAACUUAGUCUGUCGUGUAUAGAAUAAAUUAACUUUCGGGAAAUUUGAGCGAAAAGAAUUGAAAAACCCCAACUCCAGAACAUCCACUAAACAAAGAGUAUGUAGUACUUUAACCUGCUAAUGUCAAAGUUUAUAUAAAAAAAGAACUUCAGGAAUUCUAGAGCUCAUCAAUCAAGUAGAAUUUUCUCUGUAGACGUGGUAGUUGAUAUCUCUCUUCAAUCUUGAUUAUGAAUGAUUGUUUUAUUGCUUUUUUAAGUGCUUCUAAGGUUUUAUUUUGCUCAUGUAUGAUAUUUAAUUACUUGAAAAAGCCUAAUGAUUUUUUGAUAUGAUUGCUCUGCCAAGCUAAUCUUCGUUAUUUGUGAAAUUUGGUGUUUUUUCUUUGAAGCCGGUUGUUUGCUUUUGAUAGAUUCCAUCUUGCAUUUAUUCCUUUUCCAUGGAUUUUGCAGGAUUGAAGAUAGAUUCCAUCUUGUAUGCUUUUGUGUUGUCUCUGUUUUUUCUAUUUGAUCUAGAUUUAAUACAUGAAAGGUUACUAACAAAUUAUCUUUGGUCGUAUUCUCUUUCCGAAACUUCUUUUGCUAAAUUAUUGGAAUUAUAUAAUUUUUGGUAUUUGGCAUGUCUGGAUGUGUACCCUGAAAAAUAUAAAAAAGGACAGAGGCGCAGUGCGUAUCAUAUAAAUGUUGCCAAGCACAUGUUGGAGGGUUAAGUAAAUUAUUAAAUGGUAUUUAUUGUGCUGGCAAAUAUGGUAUUUUUAUGUUGUAGAAGUUCAUUUCACAAUGUUUUCUUUUUCAUUUAAUAUUUUAUAGUGACCAUAUGCAAUGACUUUAACCUUACAGCUUAAUUUACAUGGACAUAGAAGCUGUUGUGGGUGGUAAAAUGGUUAAUGUUGCACAUGUCAUUCCAGAGCAAUACACAUUGAAGAAGUUGUGGGAGGAUGUGAAGGAUGUUUGUUUUGAUUUGCAUGUACGUGUGUAAUUUUUUUAUAUCCAUUGGAUAUUUUGGUGUGUAAUUUUUUUUUUAAAUCCAUUAGAUAUUUUGGUGUGAAUUCUAUUACCCAUCAGUUUAUCAUAUGAAUCAAAAUAGAUUUUGGCGGCAAGGGCAUUUUUGGAAUUUCAACAGUCAACUGACAGUCCACUUAACGGAACAUUAACAUUAGGGGAGGUCCCUGUAAUUACAUGCAUACUUUCUAUCCGACUGUCAAUACACUAAACCUCAGGGGAGGUCCCUAAAAAUAACCCUAUUUUUUCAAUCAUGUAGAACCAAAUAUAGAUAGAGAAAAAUGAUGUACCAAUAAUAGAUGAUCAAAUUGUGAAAUACUUUUGGGACAAAUCUUUAAUUUUAUGAAGAUUGAAAAUGACAGGUACCUUCAAAGUCAUCAUCUACUACAGCUUUGUCUCAACAAAAAAGGAUCAAAAAUUAAAAUCAAGGAAGAAGAUGGCAAAUUUAAGGAAGUUUAAGCAUUUAUAAAACAACCACCUGUUGUUUACUUAAUUCUACUUUUGUGUAAUGUUACUUUUGAAAUGCAAGUUAUGCAACUCAAGAGGGGGGGUGAAUUGAGAUUUUAAAAUUAUGCAAUACAAUUCACACAACAAUUUAAUCUAUUGCCUUAAUCAAAUAAAAAAUAAUAAAUUCAAUCAAGCACAAUAUUAAAAGAGUAAGGGAAGAGAAAACAAACACAAGGAUUUUUACGUGGUUCGGCUAUCCCCGCCUACGUCCACGCCUCCAAACACACCCGGCUUGAGGAUUUCAUUAUCCAAGCCUCCCAAGGCUUCAAAUGUUUACAAUUGACUUCAAUGUGUCAAUGGACCUUUACAACAAGAGAUUAUCUCCCCAAUCUCUUCACCUCAAGUGUUUCUCAUACUUGUACACUCAUAAUUUGAUGAGAAAUGAAAAUCACAACAAUGAAACUCUCUUUAAGAGUAGAUAACAAAUUAUAGCUCAAUGAUGAUUCAAUAAAUGAUAAUUUACAAAAUGGAAGUGAUGAUUCAAUAAAUGAUAAUUUACAAAAUGGAAGCUCAAUAUAUGUUAUAUGAUCUUAUUUAUGCUUGCAUUAGUUUUUAAAAUGAAGUUGGAGUUAAGUUUUUAUAGUUAAAUCCCGAAAACUAGCCGUUAUAGGCAAAUUUCCGCGCCCAAGCAGUUAGCCGCUUGAUUUAUCCGGCUAGCCGCUCAUGAACAGUGAUAGUACCGUCAUUUUUGAAUUUUGCUACAGUAAUAUUAUUCACUAAAAUUACACUUUUGGUCCAAAACUUUCUAUAAUUAUACUAUGGUCUAAAAUGUUAUAAAACUUUGUAAAUAGGUCCAAUUUCAGAAUUUCCUAAGAAUAGUUCUUUCCAAAACUUUUUGAAAUUAUGAUAUGGCCCCAAAGAUAUUAUUAUUUCGCAAAAAGGUCCUUUUCAACAUAAUACCCAUAUUUUUCAAAGUUCUCAAAAUCUUUCACUUUAGUCCAAAAUAUUCAAAAAUUAUAGUAUGGCCCAAAACAUUUCAAAUGUUUGUAAAAACGUCCAACUCCGAAAUUUAAUAAUAAUACUUAUUAAAAUCAAAGAUUUCAAAACUUUGCAUUUAAGUCCAAAUUACUCAAAACCACAAGGUAUUUUAUCUUAUAAAAAUAAAACCUUUUAGUUUAUAAAAAGUAAUUAACUAAAUUAAUCUUUUGAGCUUCUCAAAUGCUAAAUCAUUCAUCAAUUAAAUCAUACCGGCUUUACAAGAAUUUAUCGCACUAAUUUGUCCGUUGAGCUCUAAACUUUAUUCUUGAUUCGCCGUUGUCCGUUGAGUGUCUUGAGCUUGAUUUCACUUGAUUCACUUGCAUAAAUAUUAUCCUUAAAAAAAUAGUGAAAAUGUGAAAUACAAUAUCUAUUAAAUCACUUAAUACAUAUGUUUGUUAUCAUCAAAAUUACAUUAUGUGUAGCCCUUUAGGCUAACAACUUUUAUUUUUCUUCUAUAAUGUAAUCUUAUUUUUAGACUAUUGAUUUUUACCUUUUAGAUUUUAGAUUUCUUUGUAAAUUAUAUUUAUGUUAAUAAUAUUUUUCACUUCAAAGUUCUUUUGUCAUUAAAUUUUAAAUUCUAUGACUACAUAUUGUUAUUAAAAUUUAUGUGAGACUAUAAAAAUUGUCCUUAAAAUAUAUUGGAGACUAAAUUAAUUACUAAUUGUAUUUGUAAAAAUUGUUACAAAUGAUUACUACUUGAGACGAUUGCAUAACGUUGCGAUAUGUAAAUUUCAACAACAGAAAAAUAGUGUUGCUAAUUGUAUCUUUGAACCUUUAAAAUAACGAUUUUUGGUAAUUAUCGAGACUAUCUUUACAUACUCUUAAGACAAAUAUUAUAGUCAUUAUAAAUCACCUAUUGAGACAAAUAUUACAGUCACUAUAAAUCACCUAUUGAGACAAAUAUUAUAGUCAUUAUAAAUCACAUAUUGCGACAAAUAUGAAAUGUUAUUGAUUGUAUUUUUUUAAUCUCUAAUUUGACCAUUUUGAACACCAUUUGUGGCAAUUUUAACUUAAUUUUAAGACAAUGAUUUUUGUCGCAAAACAUAUUUUUAACAUGACAAAAAGAAUUUUGGUCACUAAAGCAUUUUAAGACGGUCUUUCUGCAACUAACUUGUGACGGUAUAUUUAUCGUCAUAGAAAAUAUAAGGUGACUAAUUUGUUAUCUUUAGCAACUAAAUUUUUUGUAAUAAAAUAUCAUUUUUCUUGUAGUGUCUCUAGAGCAAACACAAAUCACAAAUUGUUGACAUUGUACAUUUUCUUGGACUAAGUUUAGAUACAAAAUCUUUGAUGCAAAAGAGUUGAAUGGAAAGAUUUUAACUAUGGGGAUAUAUUGAACACAUGGUGUCACUAAAUAUUUUGAUUGAAUAAUACUAUUUUUUUGUUCAUUAGAUAAGAAAGUAGACGUUAAUGUCAAGAACGAUAACAAUUUAAUGCAAGCAUCUAUAGCUCUUUUGAGACAGUUAAUUAUUAUUAUCUAGGAUGGAAUCACAAAUAAUAAAAAAAAUGCAAAGUAUUGUUCGAUCUCGUAUCAAUGUUUUAUAUAAAUUAUAUGCAAAAGUCAAGUACCAUGUAAUGGUUUCACAAUGUUCAUUCGAGUUCUUUUAUUACAAUGCAAAAUGAUUAACCAUAGUGUGAUAUUAUGUCAUCCAAGAUAGAUUGUAGAGGAAACAAACAAACCUUUAUGAUUGAAGUUUAUUAAUUGUGAGCAUUUUACUGAUUUCAUCUUCUUCAAUUUACUCAGGUUAUUAUCUUUUUUUUUAGAAACACUUAAAAUGCAAAAUCCUCUAAUCUUUGUGUUUGAACUACGAAUUGUUGUAAACCGCAUAUUUUCUCCAAGGAAGCCCUUGUCUUUAUUUAUCUUUGAUUAUGUUUUAUGUAUUUAUUAUUAUAAAACUUCAUUAAUUCUGAAAAAUAAUUUAUCAUUGUAAUUGGAUAUGGGUUUCUUAUUAAAUCCAUUGAACUUACAAAACUCAAAUGAAUAUGAGAAACAAUGAAAAAUAUUUUAUACCCUCAUUAAUAUAAUCAUUUAUUAAUUAUAAAAUAAUUUCCCUAAAUAUUUCAUAAAAGGAUAAUAUUGGAAAAAAAAUGUGGAGUGCGUUAUAAAAUUUAAGAAAAUGGUAAACGAACGAAAGUAAAAUAAAGAAUAAAAAAUGGAAAAAAUGCUCAAAUAUCUUCAUUAUUUGAAACCUGAUUCACUUAUUCUCGUCCCCAACCACUCGUUCUCCACUCACUUCGUCCUCUCCACUCGUUCUCGUUAGUCACUUCGUCCCCUCCACUUGUUCUUCACGCGUUCCUUUCUCCACUCGUCCUUGUCACCAUCCAACGCUGCAGACAGUAUCCUUUCUCAUCCCCAACGCCUGCUAAAGAUCGAUCUACAACAAAAACGAUCGAUCUACAAUGGAGCCGCCACCAGUAGAACAACCGAUAGAGUCACCGCUACUACGUCAUUUGAGUCAUCGUGAAGGUCUUGUUUAACUCUCUUUAUCUCUCAGUCGUACAUAAUCAAUAUUUUGUAUCAAUUUUUGUCAAAUAAAUAAAAAAAUAUUUUUUUUAUUUGAAUUCUGUGAUAUAUUUUAUUUUUGUAUGAUGGUUGUGUGAAAGGAAUAAUGAUAAUUCUAUAAAAAAAAAAUAAUUACGUGAUUUGUGAUAAUUUUUUUCUGAUAAGUUGAUUUAGGAAAUAUUGUAUUAAUGCUUAAAUGCAUCGAAUUUUUGGUUCUGAAAUGCACCGAAUUUUUGCAUAAUAUUUGAUUUGAAUAUUAGUUUUGCAUUUUGCAUAAUGUUUAAUUUAAAUGCCGAUAUUGAUUAAUUUAUACCUAUUAAGAAAUAAUUAGUGAUGAUUUGUUUUGUUUAUACAUAUUAAGAGGAUAGUUACUGAAUUUUUCACUCUUAGCAGUUCUAUAUUAAGAGGAUCCUAAGAUGCAUGCUUAGAAAUUUAAAUUUAUUACUAAUUUUAAAGAACACGGUUCUUACUAAUGUUUUGCAUUUUGCAUAUAAUUAAGAUUAGGAAUGCAAGUAGUAAUUUGGGCAUAUAAUAUUUGAUCUGAACUUUUCCAAUGUAGAAACCAAAUGCCUACUCAAAGCUGUUAUGUUGUUUUCAAAGGACGAAAGUCGUGCAUAUAUAAUUCUUGGCCUAAAUGCCAGAAGCAAGUAAAUGGAUUCAAAGAGAAUGCUUAUCAAUCUUAUAAAUCUUUGUUGGAUGUCGAAACAACGUACAAUGAGUACAAAGCAUGAAAAAUUACCAGAGACAUCCAAUAUGGUAGAAACUACAAAAUUUAUUGUGGAAACACACAAAAAGGGGGUGCAAACUGAAGUGCCUACAUGCGACAAAGCUAUGCAAACUAAUAAAGUCAAAAGUGAUUGUAUUAUUCUGCCUAUAUUAUCCAUUGUAUGUUUUAUUUUAUGAAUAAUUAUUGCUAUAUGUAUUUUGCACAAAUAAAGAGAUUGUACUCCUUGUUAUGUAUAAAUUUAAAUAAUUUAAACAAAAUGAUUGUUAUGUAUGAGUUGCAAUGUUUAAUCGUAAGAAGGAAGGACCUUUCCCUCUGGAGCCUAUGCAUGUCUAGAGAUAUUAUGUGUAUCAAAAGAAACAACAAUAAUGUAAUGAUACACAAGUCGCCAAAUCUAACAUAUAUUAUUGAUCCAUCACUACAAUUUCAAACAUUUAAAUUCAAAUAUAUCAUAAUUUCAAACAUUUAAAGCCAGAUCUAACAUGUAUCAUUAAUCCAUCACAAUAAUUUCAAAAUUUUAAAGUUAAAUUUAACACAAAUCAUUAAUCAACCAAUACAAUUUCAAAAAUUUAAAGUCAAACCUAACAUAUAUCAUUAAUCAAUCACUACAAUUUAAAGCCAAAAUACAAGUCAAGCAUCAUGAUUGUUAUCUUCAUUACAUUGCUGCUUAGUAACUGGUGGAAAUUCUUAUUUUGAGAUCCUUGAUAGGUCAUCGAAGGAGAAGAAUAAUGCAACUGCGAAGUAUACGGUGGGACCGGUUGCUAUAAUACAUAAAAAUAAACAUCAUAUUACAUUUUAGAAAUAUUAAAAUAUAAGUAUACAUUAACGACUUGUAAACAACAACUUACUGUAUUCCAAUUAUAAGAAAAUGACUGAUAAAUAUUGCUUCCACCGAAUUGAGAUGGGUACAUAGGUACCUAAUCAAAUAAUAAAAUAUAUGUAAAAUCCAUAUAAAAAUCUUAAAACUAAAAUUUAAUUAAUUUAAUUCUUACAUUAUAAUAGCCCAUAGUGUCGCAUUGGUUGAGAUUUCCAUAAACAACACUUCCUUCUUGUAGCGUCUACAUAUGCUCAAUCUUAUACUUAGUUACAUAUCCUCGAAAUAAAAGAAAAGUUUAAAAGAAAAAUUCACAAAACUUAUUGUGGCUAUGUUGCUCUCUUGUGUGGAGAUUUUAUUAGGCACAUGAUAAGACGAUGGAGCAUUUUCUUGUAAAUCUUGCAAGAUUAUUGAAGACAAUUAAAUUAAGACCAAAUGAAUUAGAAAAGAUAUAUUUGUAUUUAAAAGACCUUUUUUUUUUUUUUUGCAGCCUUGUUCCUUUGACCAGAUUUCUUACGAAUUGAAGAUUUUUACCUUAAGCACGGUAGACGGCCUUUACGACGUGUCACUGCUGGAUCAUUAAGUACAAGUUGAACAUUGUUGCUGCUACAACUUACUUUGCCAGUAACAGUUCUUUCCACACUGUCACUGUGAAUUUGCUUGUUACUGCUACAACUUGCUCCACCAGUAAUAGUUUUUUCCACACUUCCACAGCGAAUUUGCUUGGGCAGAUCAUUCAUUGCUUUCUCAAUCCAAUCCAGCACCAUUUUGUAACUAUUUUCAUCAUCAGAAGCUAUAUCUGCAACCUCACUAAAAGCGCUACACAUUUUUUCAUAUCUUUCCCACUGGAUGGACAAAUUCUGCACACCAUAACUAAUUUUCACCUUACUAUAGCACCUCCUCACAUCUUUCCUCCACCUUGAUAAGAUGUAUAUUUCUGGAAGUAAUUCAACUAGGUUACGUAUUAACACUGCAAGGGGAUGACUAUAAAGAAUCCCCCUAAAUUGAAACUUUGAACAGAUAUAAUUAACUUCACAGUCAACUUCUUCGAAAACAACCUCAAAGAUUUUUUUCUUACCUUGCCCAUAUGAUUCACUUAUUUUAUAUAUUGAUCCCACAUAAUCCAAUAUAUCACAAUACAUUAGUACAGUUAAUUCUUAUAGGAAUUCUUUGAACUUAGAAAUACUGUACACCUCUUCAACUUACUUCUCCAUCUCAUAUCUUGUUACACAUGGUGUCCGUUUACUGAAACACUUCGCAUCUGUUUGCCAUUCUAAUUUAGCUUUCCUGCUCAAUGCAUUUUCAUAUUGCUUCAUAAACGGCUUCAGAUUUGUUUUUGAGUUAACAAACCCAUCAAAAAAUGUAUUCAUACUUUCACUUCGCUAAGUAGUUGACAUUCUUGCCCAAAAACAGUCUUUUAAAUAGCAUGGAACCCAACAAUGCCUCUCAUCGUAUAAACCAUUUAACCAUUCAUUAUCCCAUAAAUCAUAUUCUGUAAUCAUGUCAUGCCAAGCUUCUUCGAACGCAACAGAACUCAAUGAAUUAUAAACAACAGAAAGCAGCGAAAAAAAAUACAUUCAUGUUCUUUAAACGCCCCUAACUUUUCAGGUACCUUCUUCAUUACAUGUCAUAAAUACUACCAAUGCCUAGUAGUAGGAAAAAUAUUUUCAAUUGCCUUUUGCAUUGUCUUGUCUUGGUCUGUAAUGAUACCAAGAAAAGGAGAAUCGGACAUGCAUGAUAGCCACGUCUCAAAUAACCAUGUAAAUAUCUCAGUAUCCUGCACGUGAAAUCAAUCCGCAUCCUAACAAAAUAGAUUGGUCAUGGUGAUUAACUCGGACAAAGGGAGCGAAUGGCAUGUCAUACUUGUUGGUUAGAUAUGCAAUGUCAAAUGUGAUGACAUCUCUAAAUAUUUGUAAGCUACUCUACUCCUUAGAUCUGCUCAAAAUACAUUCUUUAACCAAUCCUGCUCAUCUAAAUCAAUGCUAAAAAAAAACUCUUACAUUCUAAUUACUUUUUCAGGAAGUCUUUAAAAGUGUCAUAGCAUCUCCUUCCCCAAGCUAUAAUUGCCUUGUUUCAUCAACAAAAUUUCUGCAAUCUUUUUCUAAGAAUAGACAUUUUCAUGCCCACCAGCUUCAACAACAAUAGAAUUGAAAUUUUGGGCAAUUAUAAUUCCCGCACAAUCAUUCAUUUCAAUUCACUUUUUAGCACUUGCACUAAUUUUGCGAUUGUAAGGGAAAUACCUAGCUUUGUCUGGACUCAAUCCGUGGUUGUGUUGAAGAUUUAAAAUUCGAAGAACCCAUUUUCCAUCUUCAUUUAGACAACCUUCAAUUUUUGCAUCACAACCAUUUUUCACAUUAGGUUUCGACUUCAAUGCAAAUUUACUUUUUGACUUGCCACUAUGGCAACAUACAAAUGUUACACAUUUGACAAUCCCAUCAGUCCUUUUCUUAGUACUUCGAACCUUCACAGAAAACCCCUCUUGUUUGUCAUAGGCUUUGUAAAAUGCAAACAUUUCUUCAUGACUAUCAAAUAACAUUCUAAGAGUUGGCUCAUAUUUUUUUGGUUGCACAAUUCCAACUACAUUGUCGGCUCCUAUUUCUUGUAACUCUUCAAAUGCAUGCUCAUUUUCCAAAUUCUCCAUUUCUACAAAAUAAUUAACAUUUGUAUUAAGAAUAAGUAAUUAUAAAUUUUUAUUACAUUUUUUCCAAUAACAAAAAUCCUAACAAUUUAAAUAAACAAAACACAUCCACAAAUUUUUAUAAAUUUAUUCCAUUAUUUCCAGCAUUCUAAAUUAAAAAAAAAUCCUAACAAUUUAAAUAUAUAAAACACAUCCACAAAUUUUUAUAAUUUAUUUCAUUAUUUCCAGCAAUUAAAAUUAAAAAAAAUCCUAACAAUUUAAAUAUAUAAAACACAUCCAGAAAUUGUCAUAAAUUUAAUCCAUUACUUUCUAACAAUUUAAAUUAAAAAAAUCCUAACAAUUUAAAUGUAAAAACGCAUCCAAAUUUUUUACAAAUUUAAUACAUUACUUUUUAUCAAUUCAAACAAAAAAAAAAAAUCAUAACAAUUCAUAACAAUUUAAACAUAUAAAACGCACGCAUCCAAGAAUUUUUACAAAUUUAAUCCUUCACUUUCUAACAAUUUAAACUGAAAAGAAAAAAAUCUAACAAUUUAAAUAUAAACAACACAACCAAAAGCUAAUUUUAUUUUAAUGUAAUGGGAAAGUGAAAGUUACCAAUUAUCCGGCUAAAAUUUCAUCAACGUUGUUGGUGUAGUCUUUGGCACCAAAUUCAGAUCUCCGAAUGCAGAUCUCCAAAUAAUAGCCGCUAGUUUUACUUCAAUUUUCUUCUGUUAAUGCAAAUGCAUAUCUGAGUUGGUUUGGUUUGGCUUCUUUGUUGGGUUUGAGGGAUAAUGGCAAUUUUAGUUUUUUAUCAUUACUUUCUUAUUUUGCCAUUUCCUUUUCGUUACUUUUGGUUUCCUUUUCAUUAUUUUAAUGUUUUCUUUUUAUUAUUUUAAUUUUUAAAUGAAAAAAGCAACAAACAAAGGGACCCACAAAAACGGCAGCAUGCAUUGCCAUUUCUGUCGUCCCUUUAUCAUCCGUUUGUUUAUUUAGCACUACUCUAAGGUAGUGUUUACUUGCUGGAGUGGGAGUGAGGAGUCUGGAUUCCUCCCACUCCAGUGUUUACUUACUAAUUUUAAGAGGGGAGUGGGAAUCCCACUCUGUGGGACUCACUUUUUUUUGGAGUGGGGAGUGAGAUUCCCACUCCCAUGGGGGGAGGUGGGAGUGAGAAUCCAGUCCCCUCUCUUCCAUUUUUAUCCUUACAUUUAAUCAAAUAAAAUAAUAUCAUGUUUAUUUAAAUAAUAUUAUUAUAUUAUUUUAUAAAUUAUACUUAUUAAAAACAAUAAUUUAUAUUGAUUCUAAGUUAAAAUUACUUAAAAAUAAUAUUAUUAUACUCAUAGAGAAUUAAUAAUAUUACUAUAUACUCUUUUUAUUUGAAAAUAUAAUAUUAUUAUAUUUAUUUAAAAAUCAUAGUAUUAUAUUUAUUUAAAAAUCAUAGUAUUAUAUUUAUUUAAUAUUAUUAAUUAAUAAUAAUCAAUAUUUUAUUCUAAGAAAAUAUUAUUUUUGUAUUAUAUUAUUAAUAUUAAUAAUUAUUAUUAUUUUACAAAUAUAAUAAAAUAAAUAUUUUAUUUUUCAAAUCUAUUUUUAUUAAUUUUGUAACUAAAAACUAUAAUUCUUUAAAAUAAUGAUAAAACUGUAAUUUAAAAUCAUUUAAUCUCAAUUCCAUGCUUUCAUUCUUGUUUAAGUAAACAACCUACUUCCACUCCCACUCCCACUCCACACUCCUAAUCCCAGAAUUCCCACUCCUCAUGAUUUCCACUCCAAUCCAAAAUGUAAACGCAGCAUAAAUUUUAAUAGAGAGAAAUAUCGCAACCAACUCUGACUAGUGGUGUGAUUUGACAUAUAUACUACAACUCAUUUUUCCUUUUCACCAAAUGAGACAAACUAAUUUUCUAUGUUUAUUUUUUCCUUUCCAACCGUUGACAUGUGCUCGCGACUAAAUUUUGAUUAUAGCUUUCGCUGCUAACCAUACUCAAAGUUCAGCUUUGGUGAGGGCCAAUUAUGGGAGUUUUCCAAAUAUAGUGUCAAAAUCAAAAGGAACAAACCAUAAAAAUGAAUGAUGUGGGAAAUAUUUGGUCAACACAAUUUGAUAAGACGAUGUAUGAAAUUUUAGCAAUAUCAGUAUGAUUCAGACGGCUCUAAGUUCGGUUUUGGUGAGGAGCAAUUUUUAGAGUCUUUCAAAUUUAAGUGAAUCUACAAAAUUGAAAGAGAAAGCUAAUUCAAUAAAGUGUUUAGUGAUUUGAAUUCUUCCCCAUAGUAUUCUUAUUUUUCCCUUUCUGAAACCCUAAUUACACUAAUUUUUCCCUCUUUUUUUUUUUUUGACACCUAAAAUAUGCGCUCAUCACUUUUCUUUUCCCUAUCUAAAAUUCAUUGUCCAUUACCUCAUUAACUAUUAUUCUUUAAGAACUUUUUUUAGAGGUUGCCCGCCUUUUGUUUAGAAUAAUUAUUUAACCAUUGUAUUUGUACCUUAUUUUACAUUAAAUUUGUUUCCAUCCGUUGGAUUUGAGAAAUGGAAAAUCCAAGAUCCAUAUCGUCAGGCUAUUUAUUUCUGCACUUGUAACAUAGGCGCUGCCAAAAUAAUCUCUCUUACACCUUAGUAAUUUGGUCAUUUCAAACUAGACAGGUUGUUAAUCAAGGACUAAUUUGAUAUAAAUAAAUAUAUUAUGUUAUUAUUUAAAAGAAAUAAAAAGAUAGGGAUGCAAAUGUUAUUAUACAUUCAGUAUUAAAUACAACUUAGAAUUCUAUAUAGUUCAAAAAUCACCACAACUAGUGUCUAGCCAUCUAUUCCUGUGUUUAGGAUUAUAUAUACUCUUUUCCAUAAUUGUGAAAGAGAAAAUAAAUUGUGGAGUCCCCACAUCUUAUAUUGAGGAAGGUUUCUACCCUUUCUCACAAUAAGCCCACUUUACAGGGUCCAAUUACCCCAGGCUACAGCCUCGGUGCUAUUUCUAUUUUUGAACUAAUUUAUUUAUAAAGUUUCAGUCUUUAAAAAUAUAUGUUAAAAACAUAUAUAUAAGUUAUUAAAGAAAUAGCAGUGAUAUAACCACAAAUAAAUUUAUAAAUUAUGACAAAAAUAGAAAAAAAAAUAAUAGGAUAAAAUAGACUCAAUUUCAAGUUAUAAUGUAUUUAAUAGGAGUGGGCAAUUUCGGAUUCGGAUCGGAUUCGGAUGAAUCCGAUCGGAUUUCAGAUAAUUCGCAUUGAAAAAAAAUUCAUCCGAAUUCAAUCCGACUUUAAAUCCGAUCCGAAUAAUUCGGAUCAGAUGAAAAUUUCGGAUUACUCGGAUUCGGAUCGAAUCGGAUGAGUUUAGUUUUUGGAUUAUAUUUCGGAUUCGGAUUAUAUUUUGGAUUCGGAUUGAAAUCGGAUUUGGACAUUUUUAACAAUUCUCACAAAAAAUUUAUGAAAUAUAUAAUUAAUGAAAACUUACUAACCAUUAAAAAAAAAAAACCAAAACAAAUUGACAAAUGACAAUGUAUUAUUUCCUUGACAACAUGGCAUUGACAUAUACCAAGAAAACAAGCCGAUACAAAGUUUCCAUUCACAAAAAAAAAAAAAAAAAAUAAAGUUUCCAUUCACAAAAAUAAAAAAAAUAUAAUCCAUUAAAAUGAAAAUAUUUAAAUAAUCAAAUCUAAUAAUCUAUAAUCAACGACCCAUUUAUAUUCUCAUAUGCAUUCAUUUUGUACAAACACUCCCAUUUAAUUUAAUUAGUAAUCCUCUUACAAGCUAGGUGCAUAAACAUUACUCCAAGUCCAAGCCUGCAAAUAAGCAACACAAAAUAAACAUUGCUCCAAGCCUCCAACUCUCCAAAGUCCAAAUGAAUAACACAAAAUAAACUUUGCUCCAACUCCAAUCUCCAAGUAAACAACACAAAAUAAACAUUACUCCAAGUCUUCAAACAAACAACACAAAAUAAACAAUCAACUAUUACUCAAAGUCUCCAAAUAAAUAAACAACACAAAAUCACAAAAUAAAUAUUAUCAUUAUAUCAUCCAACAAUAAAAUAAACCAAAAUAAAAAUUAUCAUCCAAAAACAUUUAGUCAUUUAACUUAUUUUUUUAAUUUUCAGUUUUUUUUUUAGUUUACAGUGCAAAUCCGAUCCGAUCCGAACCAAAUCCGACCGGAUCCCACAAAUUUCAUCCAAUCGGAUUUGCCUUCAAAUCCGAAUCGGAUGCCCACCCCUAGCAUUUAAGUUGGAUACGGUGGUUGAAGAUGUAGUUGCCAUUGUACAAACAAGAUAAGAUAUUGCUUUAUCGAAGCGGUUCGAAAAAUACAAGCCUGAAAAUAAUUGUUUUAUAGGAAAAAUAGAAGAUCUUAUUCAAUCAUACUCUGAAUUACACAAUAACAAAUUUUUUCUUAAUAAAUCCACUCAUUAAAUUAAACUCAUAUAGAAAGGUUGUAAAAAGAUCCCAAACUAAUUAAAAUUUUUAAAAAUUACCCUACAUCAAAUUUAUUUUUUGUACCAUAAAACAAAACGAUAGUCGCAAACUUAUUUUGUACUAGGAGUAAUGAUUAUGUACAAAAAUGGGCACAGAAAGGUCUUUGGCUCUACAGUCUACUCGGUGAUUCGUGAAAUACUGAAAUGCUUUCAAAGGGGGGCAAAAAGAAAAAAGAAAAAAGAAAAUAGAAUAUAUUCUAAUUUUUUUAAUUAAAAAAAAAACCCUACUAUAUACUUUUAUAAUAACUCCCUCGAGUGCAAUGUCUCAAAGGUUGUCUUCUUCGUCCCGCUGACAACCCAAAAGGCAGAAACGCAAUGUCGUCGCAUUCGAUGGAGUCAUUGAUUCUCCAACUCCACGAGAUCUCGGCGGUUAAAUUCGGAAACUUUAAGCUAAAAUCCGGCAUAUCGUCUCCCGUUUACAUCGACCUACGACUUAUCGUUUCUUACCCUUCCCUCCUCCGCCAAAUAUCCAAAACCAUCAUCUCCUCCCUCCCCUCCACAACCAAAUACGACCUCGUGUGCGGCGUUCCGUACACCGCCCUCCCAAUCGCCACCUGCGUCUCCGUCUCCAACGACGUCCCCAUGCUCAUGCGGCGCAAGGAAAUCAAAGACUACGGCACCGCCAAGGCCAUCGAAGGCAAUUUCAAGAAGGACGAAAUCUGUCUGAUCAUCGAAGAUUUAGUCACCAGCGGCGCGUCGGUCCUCGAAACGGCGGUGCCAUUGAGAGCGGCGGGGCUGGUGGUGACGGACGCCGUCGUAUUGAUCGACAGAGAGCAGGGAGGGAGGGAGAAUCUGAAGGAGAACGGAAUUGAGUUGCAUGCGAUGAUAAAGCUGAGCGGUUAGGAUUUUGAGGGAGAAAGGGAAGCUUGAUGAGGAAACGGAGAGAGUGGUGAUGAAGUUUUUGGAGGAGAACAAGAAAGUGGCGGCUUCGAAUUUAGGUGGGGUUAGGGUUAAGGGUUUGAAGUACGAAGAGAGGGCGAAUUUGAUGAAGAAUGAGACUGGGAGAAAAUUGUUUCAAGUGAUGGUGAAGAAGAAUGACACUGUGACCAUGCAGGCUGAAGGGUAAGACUCUGCGCUUCUGUAUUUCUUAAUUUCUUUGUUCUUUGUGUCCUUGCUUCCUCUUGAGGGUUCCUGUCUCUGUGUCUGCAGUGGUAUAUUUUGUAUAUUGGAUUGGGCCGAUAUAAUAAAUGCUCACAUAAUCUCUGGACCGGGAAUUGUGGAUGGUCUGAAAUUAAAGGUUAGAAUCAACUAUUUGGUAUAACUUUUGUCUGCCUUGAAGUAAUCAACUAAUCUGUUUCUAAUGUUAUGCAUAGUAUUGAUUUACCAGGGAUUACCUCGUGGUAGGGGUCUGUUGCUGCUGGCUGAGAUGAGCUCAGCUGGAAACCUAGCAAAGGGAGACUAUACAGCAGCAGCUGUGAAAAUUGCCGAGGAUCAUUCUGAUUUUGUCAUUGGAUUCAUCUCAGUUAAUCCAGCAUCAUGGCCAGGGGCACCAGUCAAUCCAGCCUUUAUUCAAGCAACCCCUGGAGUUCAAAUGGUAAAGGGAGGUGAUGAUCUAGGCCAACAAUAUAACACUCCAUACUCGGUAAGUUCUGUUCGUUCACUAGCUCCCCUCAACAUGUUUAUUUUUCUAGCAAUACUAUCCAUGAAAACUAUUAAUACAAACUUAUCUAUGCAAAUGAACAUGGGAAUACAAUUAUUAAGGUAAACGUUAAAAGAAAGUCAAUUUAAUUGCCACAUCACCCAUUUUCAUUUGUGGUUUUUUUUUUUUUUUUUUUAUAAUCAAAUUUCAAUGUGCCAGGUUAGUUUAUAUUGGUUGAGUGUGUAUGUCUAGUAUUUUGAUAAAUUUGUCACAAGUUGUAAAAUAGAUGUAAACUUGAGUGAAGAAUUAGCAAUUGAACAACCAGCUCCAAUCGAAUUAGCAUUUUUGCCUUAUGUUCAAAUUUGAGAAGGCCUAACUGAAACAUUUUUUCUUAGGGUCCCAGGUGCAUUGAGCCAGCCGAAGGACUAAUGGGUGCUAGUUACUUAAUAUAAUCUAAGAAAUAAAAUCAGCAUUUUACAUGUAAUGGAAUUUUAGACAUGUCAAUGAGGCAUAAGGGGAAGAAGUUUUGAUUGCAAAUUUGGGAGGCCAUCAAAAUGAUUUGUUUUGGUGUGAUAACGAAAAAUUCUAAUGAAUAAACCCAAACCCUGGAAUGUUUUGCCAUAUAUGACUAGAUCCUCAAAAGGUUAGGAAAAUGAGGUAAAGAAGAUCCAUUUUCCUCCUGUUUUAUAUAUGUAGGAACUUUAUCUUUUCAUGGGUAUAUCAUUGCUAUCACUAGAUCCCCAAGAGAUUAGGAAAAUAAGAUAGAAAAGAUCCAUUUCGUCCUUUUUUUUUCACAUAUAGGAAUUUCAUCUUUUCAUGGGUACUUCAUUUCUAUGGAGCCAAAGAUAUCAUUUGCUCUAGUUUCUGAAAUUGAGCUUCGUACACCAUGUUUUGAAAUUGACCCUUGACUAGAGAGAAAAAAUUUUCGUUUAUGACCAGAAAUUUUCUGUAAAUUGAAAUGAGAAAAAGUUGGAGAGGAAAAGCUUGGGAUUUAUAAUUUGGUAACAUGGUUUAUCUUUUCUUCAGGCAGUAAGCUUUGCUUAGCUGUGUCUAGAUAUCUUUUUGUCCUUGAUUGGCUGAAUUCCUAGAUAUUUCAUCCUAAAGACUUAUUCGUCUCCAUCUUUUCCCUCCAUACAUUGAACCAAUGUUGUAUCUUGUUUCAAAACAGGUAAUUUCUCCAACUUCAAAUUUAGCCUAGCCAACUAUAAUUUAACCAGGGAACAAGCUAGAAGGGGCAGAGUUAAUGAACUAAGGUUAACUGGUGUUUAAAAUAGUUGUAACUUGUACCUCAGUGAUUUUAUUCGAGAGCCUCACAGCCAUGUGAUAUUCCCUUUGUCACACAUAGUAUGACUAUUAAGAUGCUUCUUGCAGGCUAACUAAUCCAACUUGUUACACCAACAAAACAAUAGCUGAGUGCUCGACUGCUCUUAACCUGUUCUAUUUGGUUGACACUGUUGCAGCUUUAAUAACUUUAACGUAAAAUUGUUCUCCAGGUCAUCUACGAUAGGGGUGGUGACAUAAUUAUUGUGGGUCGUGGAAUUAUAAAGGCAGCAGACCCUGCAUUGGCAGCCCGUGAGUACCGGCUUCAAGGAUGGGAGGCCUACUUGGCUAAGUGCAGUCUGGACUUCUGCUCGCUUCAACGGUUGCGAUAAUGAACAGAUGAGUCAAGUUCUGCAUUGUACUUAUAGUAACUUCUCAAGUCUGGUAAUGCUGCUUGUCUGGUUUUCCCAAUGAAACAUGGUUGCAAGAUUUCUGAGUGUUGUGUUAUCAACAAUAUAUGAAAUUUAUGAACAUGGUGUUUGGAGUUGCCAACCAUCUCAUUCAAAAUUAUCAUAUUGAAUGAUUCGGAUGAUUCCUCUUUUGUGGUUUGGAUGGACACGUGGCAAGGCGCAGUAGAUGCCUUGGAAAUUGGUAUUGGACAAUUAUCUUUAAAUGUUGAUAUGGUAAAAUGACCAGGAUUACUCUAUGUUUAGCAAAACGAAUCAUUUUCUCUCUAAUAUUUUAUAACCUACAAAUAAUAAUGUUAGAAUGUCAGUUUUUCCAAAAAAAAAUUGAUAGCAGAAUAUUAAAUAAAGGGAUAUUUUUUUUAGAAAAGGAAAAUAGUUAAUUUAGCCAAAUAGAAAGAAGAUACUCAUUUUCCCAAUGGUUUUUUUUGAACUCUCAUUUUCUCAAUAUAUAACUAAUAAUUUAACAAAGUGUUAUUAAGAUUUUAAAAUAUUUCUUAGGAUGAAUUGAUUUUUAAACGCGAGCGAGAGGAAAUUGAUGAGAUUUAAUUAGUAACAUUAAGAUCGGUAAAUGAUAUAAUAUAAAACAAAACUAGUAAAGAACAAAAAGGGCCAACAUGAAGAAAACCCAAAAUUGAAACCUGUCCUUUCUGUAUUUUCUCGAGAAAUUUCUCUCUCCGACUUACAGCUCAACGGCUUUAAUUUGAAAUUCUUCACACUCUUUCAAUUGUCUUUCAACGCGCACACUUCGUAUCCUUCGUUAUUAAUUGUUCACACACGCUCCCCCAACACCGAGCAGACUCUCUCUCUCUCUCUCUCUCUCUCUCUCUUCUGUCCGAAUUAGGGUUCUGUUGGGCUGUGAAACAUUAUAAUGCGCUUCUGAUUUCAAAUACUUUUCCAGGUAAUUUAAUCUUUUUUCCUUUCUUGCUUUCUGGAAUAUUCUAAGAUCUUAAUCUAGAUUUGUUUCCUCAUUUCGGCAUUUUAAAAAAUUUGCUUUUUUUUUUCUCUUACGGUUUAGGGUUCUCAAAAUCAUAUACGAUGCUGUUUUACUGCCACAUUUGUAAUUCGGCCAUUUUUCUUUUUCCUUUUUUUUUGUGAGUGUUGAAAAGGAAAAAAAGUGAUAUUUUCCUUUCUGGGUAUUGCUGGAUUUUGGCCCCAGAAAAAAAACUGUAAUUCCGUCUCUUUGCUUGUAUAUAUGUAUAGGUAUCUUCUACAUUACCAUCUUAUUGGCUUUCCGGGUGACGAAAAUGGGUAGCUUAACUUUCUUAUAAUUGAGUUAUGCUAUGUGGGUUUGUUGUGGUGAUUAAAUACUGAUGGCAGUGUCUAAUGAGAUGAUGAGGGAACUCUAUCUAUGCGAAAAUGCAUGGUGUAUUUUGUGUUUAAAGAUUUUUAUGCAAGUUUUAUUGUAUUACGUUGUUUUAUUAAUAUUACUGUCUCCCAAUAUUUGAGUUCUUGUGUUUAUCGAAUGAUAGAAAAGAGUUUACCCUGAUUUAUGGUUUUGAUUGAGAUGUGAUGGGUAUUUUUAUUUGAUUAUAGGUUGGCAAGUCAAAACUUGACCUUGGUGCCUGCAAGGAAGAAGUCAAGAAGAUUGACUAGGAAACAAGAUCUGUUGGUAAGAAUUCCUUCCCAACGAAAACUUUAAUACUGAUUAAUGUCAUAAACUUGUUGGUUCAUUUUUUUUUUAUUUAAAUUUUCAUUUGCCUGGGCAUGUUUGCUGUACUAUUAUUCAUGAAUUGGGAAUUGAUCUUUGAAUGAGUAUUGGAAUCAAAUAAUGACGAAAGUAUAUAAUGAACAGUUGAAUGUUCUUUGGCCAAAAUAAAUUCACUUUGGCAUGACUUAAGGCUGAAAGAAAAGAUUAUGUAAUGAAAAGAAGACAAUUUUUAUGAUGAUUAUGUAUACAUGUCAAACAAUGUCGUAAAAAGGAAAUAUGUCAUAGAAUGCAGAAAAUGUAGGAAACUACAUUGCCCCUCUUAUGAGUUUAUCUAUAUAUAUAGUUUCCUUAUAUAUAUAUAUAUAUAUACCCUAAGGACCGGAAAGAGUUAAAGCUUAGGGUGACUGGUAGAAUUUGGAAAGAACAGUGAUGGAUGGAAGUGCUUUUUGUCUUGCAGCUUCGUGCAAUCAUGUUUUGCCGUCAUAGCUGGUAGUUGAGUUUUAUCUUGUUGGUGGGUAGUCCAGUGAGUCCUCUGGUUCAUGUAUUUUUUUGUUAUGUAGAAAGCAAAUUCUCUUUGCAUGUCCUUGCACUGAAUGCAUGAGUGGGGAAGACGUGUUGUGCUCUUUAUGCCUACAAUUGUAAUAUCUAUCUAAAUAUAUUUCAAUUUAUUGCAUUGCUGCAGUGCCAUUAGUUUUCUCUUUGCCUAUGAUGCAUAUGAACGAAGUCAACAGGAAGUAAAGCUUUGUGUCAUUAGUUUAACCAUGAAGCACUUGAAAGAGUUUUGUGGAAAGUUUUUCAAAGAAACAAAUUUUCUUAUUAUCAAUUUGCAACUGAAUAAAAAAAUGACACAUUAAAUUCUCUCUUUUUAAUUAAAAAUUUUAUUAUCGAAAUAAUUUUUAAAAAUUACUUAAUUAAUUCUUUCUUUUUUUUUUUCUCAAUUUCAUAAAUUCUCAUAAAUUCAUUCAGAUAUCCUUUUUUAGCUACAAAUAAUCGAUAUCACUAAGUAUUUCAUGUUUGCUUUAUAUGAAAAAAAGGAAUUAUGAAUAAAGUAUUUUAGAUAUAUUAUUAUUAUUAUUAUUAUUAUUAUUCAUGAUAUAUUAAAAAAGGACAAAAUUAAACUAAAAAUAAAGUGAAAUUGAGUGUUUAAUUUGUAAAGAAUAGAGAAAAUAUGCAAUUGUAAGAUAAAGAGAGAGUGAUUAGUGAAGAGUAAUUUUGAGAAUUUUAAAUUUUUAAUAAUAAAUUUAUUUUUUAAAAUAGGUACAGAGAUAAAUUUAUUUCAAAUAGGAGAGGAAUUUAAUGAGUUCAAAUAGCCCCACCAUUGUAAUAAUAUUAUACAGAAUUUAAUGUUAUACUAUAUUAUAUUUAUUUUUUAUUGAUAUUAUUUAAAUUUAUUAUUAAUUAUAUUAAAUUAUUAACUAAAUAAUUAUUUUAUGUUAAUUAUUUUAAUGUUAAUCAUUAAUAUAUAAAUAUAAUAUAAAAUAGCAUUUUUAAAUAAAACUACAUGAUACCAUAAUUUUAUUUUUAAAUUUUAUUUAUUAUAAUAAUAAAAUUUAUUAAAAUAUAUUUAAUGCCUUAAUUAAGGCAAAAGCUGGUAAUGUUCCACAAUGCAGUUUCCAAAACUUUCAAAUAUAGGUAACCAAUAAAUUAAUGUAAUCCGUAUUUAUAAUAUUAUGCAAUGUUAUGUUCCAAACACACCCUUAAUUUAGUUUUUGCCGCAUUAUCAAACCUCGUGCCCUCCUCUGUAAAUUGUAUUGGUAACUUUUACAACAUAAAAUUAUUUAGUCAAUUAGAAUAUAUUUAAUUAUUACUAUUUUAUAAAAUAAUAAAUUUAAAUGGUAAAAAUAUUGAUUACUGCCAACCAUCACAAUCCACCGCUUGCGAUAUCAUUUCGAUAUCCUUUGACAUCAAUUUAGGAAUUAAUAUAAUCCUUAUUAUUGGAGCUAUACAACGAUAUAUGUAAAACCAAAAAUAGAGCUUCAUUCAUUGUAGAUCUAUGGUCAAAGUUUUGUAUCUCUAAACUUUGACCGUAUAUUUAUUAUAAUGAUAGGAAACUCUGUUGCUGAUGAGAUAUGCACCAUUGUGUAUAUCGAAUGAUGAAAAUUAUAAUGGUACCGAAAUUGACAUCAAAAGAUACUGGAAUAUGAACACCGAUGAUAGCUCAUGGUGGCCCAUGGGCGACAGUGGUGAGUAAUCUUCUGUCGUUUAUAAAUUUUAAAUAAUAAAUUUAAUAAUUAUAAAUAAUAAAACUUUUAAGACAUUUAUAAUUAUAAAAAAUAAUUUAAUAUAAGUAAUAAUAUUUAUAUUGUUACAUAUAAUGCUAUACAAUAUAACACCAAAUAUUGUACAAUAUUAAUAUAAUAAAAUGAUAAUGCAAUAAUGCAAUAAUGCAAUACGCCUACACUAUAAUACAAUAUAGUGUGCCAAACACUCUCUACCACUUUACUUAAUGUUGCUCAAUGCCUUUUAUUUCAAUUCCCAAUCAUGAGUUUAUCUCAAUUAAUGCCGGACCCAAAUGUAGUGUUGUGCAAUGCUGCAAGUCAAACAUACCCUUUGUGUAAUACAUACACACACGCACUCUCUUUUUUUAAGUAAGAGCAUCCCCACAUUGUUAAAGUAAAAAUGUCACUAAAAUACAAAAGAAUAAAAAUUUCAAUAUAUAUAUUUUUUAUUUGUUAGUAUAAUGAAAAUUGUGUUUUUUGUUUGUUAGUAGCUUCCUCAUUUUAACAAAGUUAGGAUGCCCUCACUAAAAAAUGAUUAUAUAUAUCGGAGUGAGUUUUCAAUUAAAGAUCCAUUAUUAUAUUAAAGUCAAUGAUAAAUUAAAAAUAAAAAACACUGGUUAAUAAUAUAUAUGCAUCGGAGUCUGUAUUUUUAUUUUUUAACUUAUUGUUGAUUUUCAUAUAGUUAAGAUUCAUGUAUAUAUAUUUAAAAAGUGGAAGAAGAAAUCAAUUUAAAGGGCCGUUGAGAUCCGGAUCCAAAAGUCCAGAAAACUUCAAAUUGGACUGUGACCCAAACAUUAGAAAACAUUCACCAAAACAAAACCCAAACAGAACCCCAGAAUCAGCUUACACUCGACCUCUCCCGGAAGCGGUAUCGAGUUGAUUUUGCAGGUGAAAAUCCGUUGAUUUUAAUUUAUUUUUCUCCAAAAUUUUCAUUUCAUUUCUUAUUAUUAUUAUUAUUUCUUUUCAAUAAGUUCAUUGAAUUUGUUCUCUGUUUCUUAACUGAGAAAAUGAUUAAAUAAAGUCUUCUUGUUGAUUCAGGUUUAUACUCGUAAAUAAUAUAUCAUGCCGGACACUCAGGCUCUUGUGAAUGACUUUCUUAACAAGCUUAAAAAACGGUGACGUUUCGGACAAUAUAUUUUAAUUAUUCUUUUUUUUUUUACUGAUUUUAGGAGCUGAUUUUGUUUGUUUGUUUUGUGAGUGGCAGUAAGAUCGAGGGCUCGCAAGCAACGGCAAGGCAGAACGCGGAGCUGCUUCCGGAAUCAGCUUACACUCGACCUCUCCCGGAAGCGGUAUCGAGUUGAUUUUGCAGGUGAAAAUCCGUUGAUUUUAAUUUAUUUUUCUCCAAAAUUUUCAUUUCAUUUCUUAUUAUUAUUAUUAUUUCUUUUCAAUAAGUUCAUUGAAUUUGUUCUCUGUUUCUUAACUGAGAAAAUGAUUAAAUAAAGUCUUCUUGUUGAUUCAGGUUUAUACUCGUAAAUAAUAUAUCAUGCCGGACACUCAGGCUCUUGUGAAUGACUUUCUUAACAAGCUUAAAAAACGGUGACGUUUCGGACAAUAUAUUUUAAUUAUUCUUUUUUUUUUUACUGAUUUUAGGAGCUGAUUUUGUUUGUUUGUUUUGUGAGUGGCAGUAAGAUCGAGGGCUCGCAAGCAACGGCAAGGCAGAACGCGGAGCUGCUUCGCUCUGUGAUUUCGCAGCAGCGCGUGCCGUACACAAAUCAGGCUGGAGCUUUAAUUGAUGCUGUCAAAGCUGUUGGCGAGCAGCUCAUUGCUGCCAAUCCUGUUGGUUCGUUUUUUUUUUUUUCCGUUUUCUUUUCGACUAUUAGUUUGCUCUUGAAUAAAUACAAAUAUGGUACUUAGUCAUGUUAGUUAUUUUUAAUAUCAUUGUGAUGAUAUCAUCUUUUUUCAGCUGAAUUGAUUUUUAUCAAAAUGUUAUUAACUUGAAGUAUGUUAAUUGUUUUCAUCGCUCUUAAUUUAGUUUUGUUGUAAUCUAGCAUCCUCCAAUUAGUACAGCUAAUAUAGUGUAUGUGCUGUAGGUAAUUUGGCAUAGUUACCUCUGAGGUUGGGGUCUUGUACAAUUAUUGAUGUUAGGCACCAGAACUUGCAUUUGUUUGGGGCAUGCAUUAGAUAAUCUGGUAUCUACAAAUUUAUUGUACUUCCAUAGCAAAUAUUCUUCUUUUCUUUUUGAAUCACAUGGAUGAAACUAUGCAUUCUGCUGUUGAAAAUUAGAACUGUUGCUAUAUUCACUAUCAAAUGGAUUCGGCAUCGCUAAGAAACCUUUUCUACAAAGUUAUACUUGGUUUUUUAUUUAUGAUUUGUUUCUUUUAUUUCUUUCCCUUUUGUGGCUUUUCAAUUCUCCCUAGCACUUUUUUCCAGAUCCUCUUUCCAAAAUUAAAAAUGAUUAAUUUUCUUCUUUGUUUGUGAUGUAUGUUUUCUUCACUUUUCUGAUUGAUUAAAUGAUAUAUCAAUGCAGAGCUUGCCGUGGGUAAUAUUGUGAGGCGUGUUUUACACAUCAUUAGAGAGGAAGAUCUGUCUUUGACUACGGCUGCUAUUGGUGGGCUGAACUUAUCUGCUGUAAGUGAUGAUGAAAAUGAUGAUGAUCGAGAUGGCGACUCAACUCUAUCGGCAGCUGCUGUUGCUGCUGCUGCUAGAAGUACUUUGCGUCCACCUUCUUUGCAAACUCUGCUCGAGGACACACCUGUCUCUGCAGCUGUUCCUCAGACUUCCUCAUCUGGGGGUGAUUCUGAAGGAAAAAGCAAAUGUGUGUUACUUUUUUUUAUUUUUUUUUUAAUAAAGUGUUUUUGAUAAUUCUUCAAUCACAGCAUCUUCUGUUAUUUUCCCUAAAUAAGCUUGUCUUAUGUAACACAUGUUUUAAAUAUGCAAUCGGAUGCAUCUUGGUGAUAAACUGGUGUUCCUGAAUGUUUUAGCAUUGAUGAUUUAGUUAAUUCAGCCUUAUGAUGGUAGAUAGUUAACAUACUAGUUUCCUUCACAGCUGCUGAUAAAAGUUCAAGAAGUCGGAAGCUGAAGCAUGAUGUUAUUGAAGCGGUUAAUGAACUUAUUCAAGAUAUUGUCACUUGCCAUGAACAGAUUGCUGAACAAGCAGUGGAGCAUAUACAUCAGAAGUAAUUAUUCCUUUUCCUGAUUUCAACUAGACAAUACGUUUUUUCUCUCUCAUACCUUUUCUCCAUACUUGGACUUUAUUUUCAGGAGAAUUGGAUGUCUACAUAAUUCCUUUUUACCUGUUAUUUUAGGAUAUAUGUAUUCAGUUUGUUGUUUAUGCAUGUACUACACUUAAAAAUGCAUGCAAUAUCUCAUUUAGAAGCAUAUAUAUAUGCUCUUUUCAUUCUUGUUAGGUUUUUUCUAUGUCACUUUCUUAAGUCUAAAAGAAUAAUGUUGUUUGUCUGUUCUCUUGUUGUCUUCCCAAGGAAUUGUAGGAUGAUAAUUUCAUGUAUCGAUGAUGAACUGUAAGCAGUUUUCAUAUCUGGCUUGCAAGCAUUCCCUUUUAGUAUGAUGUGGAGGUUAGGUUGCCGGAAUUGUUGGUGAUUUACAAAUAAUCGAAGGUUACUUCUAUUAAGAGGAAUGAGAGAUUUACAAAUACCAUAUUGCACUACAAGACUCGAUGUCUAGAUACAAAUCAUGGACUCCCUUUUAUAGGCUCAAGGGAUCCACUAUUACACACUAUUUGCAUUAUUGAUCCUUAUUACUAAGGAAUUUACUUUACAACUCAUUAUCUACUUUAAAUCACAUCACACUUAUUACACUCUUAUUCUUAUCUCUAAGGAGAAUACGAAUACUCGAUGUCUAGAUACAAAUCAUGGACUCCCUUUUAUAGGCUCAAGGGAUCCACUAUUACACACUAUUUGCAUUAUUGAUCCUUGUCACUAAGGAAUUUACUUUACAACUCAUUAUCUACUUUAAAUCACAUCACACUUAUUACACUCUUAUCCUUAUCUCUAAGGAGAAUACGAAUACAAUACAUAUAUUAUUAUCACCACUGCUUCAACUGCAGGGUCCACUAAGUUUCCGCUACAAUCCCGAGUUGCCACUUGUUGGCGUGCUCAUCCCUGACCUAUGGUUCCACCUUUCUUCGGAUGCUGCUUCCAUAUCAUCUGCUAGUUGCUGCCAAUCUAGUUCGACUACAUUGUCUGGUUGGGGCCAUUCUUGAAGGUCUAGCCAUUCGGCCAUUUCUUCAAGCUCGUUCCUCCAUCUAUCAAUAUCUGGAGUAUCCAAAUAAUUGACCUCUCUUGGCCCAUGCCUGAUAAGGUAAGGUAGUCGUUAUACCUCUGCUGCAUAUCUGCUGCUUGCUCCUAGUUUUUAUGCAGCUUGAGGUUUCUGAUCUCUUCCCGGUAGUAGAGAUCUGGAGUACUACAGACCUGUGGAGAAAUGGGACUGUGAGUAAUGUACAUAGGAAUGGUCCCAUAUACUUCUGCUAGAGCCUUUCUUGCAUUCUAACAGUCAGUCCACAUGGAGUCGAUGUCUUCUUGGGAGUGGUCAUGUUGUACUACCUGUACCAUAGGCUGCUUGUAUCUUCCCCAGAUAUCCGUUAACUUCACAAUCACUAUUGUAGUAUGAGUGAUGUGAUAUCCAUUGAUCAAUUUGAGUGUCAGGAUAUCUUCAAAGAUUGAGGCGAACAUUCGAUCGAACCAUCUUCCCUUUUCGUAUCUCCGACUGGUGUGAAUAAGAUUUGGCUCGAAUAGUAUUGCCACCGGGUAGAUGUUCAGCCAAUACCAGGUUAUGUAAUAGGCUUGAGGGGUUAUGUCACAAAUAACAUAAUGUCCCCAGUUUGAGUUCUCAUAUUACAUGAUGGAAUGUACAACCAAUUUUGAAGACUGUUUCGUGCAUCUGAUCAAGAUUUCUUGACAUUUCUUGUAAUGUACAACCAAUGUGGGUCAAAAGCUCUUUGACAUUUCUUGUUGUGGGCAGGUCUAUGUUCUUACAUGGCCAUAAGCUGCCAUACUCGCCAUGUUAGAGCUCGAUCUUUUGGAUCGCUCUUAUGAUUGAUGACCCUCUCAAAGAUUUCUCCUUGUACUUCCGAAGGAAGCCACGCAAUGAAAGUGUUGAGAUCUUUGAGAAAGUGUGCUCUAGUCUCAUGAACACUAGAGCUGUCUUCUUCCCACCUCUUUGGAAGGCUUCUUCUUUUGAUCAUGGUGAUUGGUCUAGAAAGAAAAUCCGCUACAGUAUUGGAUUCUCCUUUGAUGUGUCUUACUUCGAAUUUGAAUUUCAAGAGAGACUCAGACCACCUUGCAAGCUGUAGAUCUAGGAUUUCUCCUUCUUUUCUUCUUAGUAAUUCCUGGAGGUACUUGUAAUCUGUUUCAAUCACAAAGGGGGUUAAUGAAAGAAAGAAUUGGAACUUCUUAAUCCCUUUGGCCAGAUUUAUAGCCAUUUCUUGUUUCCCUUGGAUUUUUUUAUUAACAGUGCUCCCCAAUAAUGGAUUCUUUUUUCCUGUGAUGAAAAGCGAAAAGAGAUUGCCUUAACAGUUUUUUUCUUUUUUCCCCUCGAUAAAGUAUGUUUUGUGCUAACGUUGACCAGUUGCACUAGUCAAAUAAGAUUAUCAAAUCAAUCAAGUUGUUCUAUUGAUUUUGGGUGGAUACCUGGUUCACUACUAAAGUGCAUUCUGUCCAUUGUUUAGUACUGCAGAUACUCAUAGUUUCGUAUUAAAAAAAUAUAAAAAAAGAUUAUCAAAGGAAUUGUGAAUCUAAUUUUUUCAUUGAUAGUCUUAUUUGACAUGUGUAAUAGGUCAAUGUUAAGACAGAACAUACCUUAUCAAAAUAAUAUUUCAAAGAAAAACAUGUUGUAGCAGCCUCCUGCUGCCAGUCAAAGUUGGCCUCUGACCACCGUCUAAACUUUUUCUCUUUGAGCUUGAACAACUGUGUAUGUAGUUAGUUGUAUUAGGACUUAAAAAUUUGACUUCCCUUUGAUAUCAUUUCCUUUUUACAUAGGAAUGUUUCCUCCGAGUAGUGUCUGUGAUUUUCAAUCAUAGUUGGGAAAAUCUAUCAUUCUUCAUAUUUGAUUAAUACAAGCAUUGACACUAAUCUAGAAGUAUUUAUUACAUGUCCUCUGUUUGUAGAUAUUCACAUGUUGCCGUUGCAAGGACUGCCUACUGAAUUUGUUUUGGAAAGGAUAUCCUCUACGCCCUUGUGUUUUGUCUUAAAAUCAGUGAAGUCCAUUUUGAGAAAUAGUGAAAUGCCUGUAUCAUUAAUUUCUUUUUCUGUUGCCAUUAAGCAAAACAAAUAUUCAAUGGGAUGCAUUUGACUCUUUCUGAAAAUUGACUCCUUGACAAAGCAGCAGUGAAUGUUAUUUGCCGUAAUUUUGCUUACAUGGUGACAGCGCUUAGUCUCAUUUGAUUUUUUUUUUUUUAAUUACAAAAGAGAGCAAUAUGUGCAACUUUUGCUCACAGUUCAAAUGUUUUGGUCCUAGUUGACUUGCGAAUGACUAAAGUGGUAAUAUUCUGAACUUUUAAUGGUGGGAUAUUUGCGUAACUUGCUGGACGUCAGGGUUAAAUUGUGGUCGGGAAAACUUAUACAUAUCAGCAGUGUACAAAAGUUUGGCUCAUUAUUAGCAGGGGAAAUAUUGUGAUUCAUGGCCUUUAUCUAGUUUGGGUCAGCUAUGGCAUAUUAUAUAUGUUCUCUUGUGUCUUAUCUCCUAUAUUGUCCAAUACAUGUAUAUGCUUAUUUUUAAAUUCUUCAUCUAUGUUUCUUCCUACCAUUUGCUACUUCCAUUAAUUUUAGCUAUUAAAUGUAUUUUCAGUGAGGUAAUAUUAACUUUAGGCAGUUCAAGGACGGUGUUGGAAUUUCUUUUUGCUGCAAAGGAGAAAAAAAGAUCAUUCCGGGUAUUUGUUGCAGAGGGUGCUCCAAGGUUUGUGCAAUGGCUUGCUAUUUGUUGAUUGCAAAGAAAUAUUUCACUGGCUACUUUGGCUCUGAUGUUCUCUCUCUCUCUCUCUCUCUCUCUCUCUAUCACAUUCUCUGUUUGGUUGCUGCUCUGCUACUUCUUGUUUUAUAGGUAUCAGGGGCAUCUGCUUGCAAAAGAAUUGGUAGCAAGAGGUUUACAGACCACACUGAUUACUGAUUCUGCAGUUUUUGCCAUGAUUUCCCGAGUAAACAUGGUAUGUUUGGGCCACUUUUCUCGUUUGGUUUUGGAUUUCCUGAAAUUUUUUUAGCUUGAUCUAAAAAUUUGCAAUGUAAAGGUUAUAGUUGGAGCUCAUGCUGUCAUGGCCAAUGGUGGGGUUAUAGCACCUGUUGGGAUGAAUUUGGUUGCACUUGCAGCUCAGAAGCAUGCUGUCCCUUUUGUUGUACUUGCCGGAAGUCACAAGGUAGUUUGGUGCAACAAACUGCUUAACUAGAAAAUUAAGUAAAAUUUAGAAAGCCCAUUUUCCUUAACUGCCAUUCCUAAAUUCGUUGGUCUUGUGUAUGAACUGGUGUGGAGUUUAAGAUGGUGCUCAGUUAUUCAUGUGAAGCGAACUUCCCUUUCAGAUAAAACUGAUCACUAAUGUAAGGAGUAGUAUGUGCAAGAUGCAAAUGUGUUUAUGAAUAGUAUGUGGGUGUAAAAGCUCAUAUUCUUUGUACCAAAUAUUAUUGAAUGUUGGUUGAAUUAAUCUCUGUAGCUGCUGUCCUUUUUAAUGCAUCAACAUUUUUGCUGGGUAUUGAAUUGCAUCUGGUUGUAAUAACAUUGUAGUUGGAGAUAAAUCAUUGAACUCUGGUACUUCAGUUCUGGGUAUGAUCUUUUUGACAAAUGUGGUUGGUCUAUAUGACAGUUAUGCCCCCUCUAUCCGCACAAUCCUGAAGUUUUACCGAAUGAGUUGAGAUCCCCAUCAGAGCUGCUGGACUUUGGAGAAUUCUCAGACUGCAUGGAUUUUGGGAGUGGCAGUGGUUCCCCUCUUCUUCAUGUGGUCAAUCCAGCAUUUGACUAUGUUCCACCGAAACUUGUUAGUCUUUUUAUUACUGACGCGUAAGUUCAACUGCCCUUUUAGCAUGAGACAGAGACAAUCUACACCUUACGUGCAAUUUUUAUACAAUAUAUAUAUAUAUUAAGAUUACUUAUUUGAUUUCAUUGUAGAGUACCAGUUUUCUGGCCCCUUUAUUUUCCAUUGGUGUUCCAGUUCUAUCUCUUAAUAUAUUUCAUUUUUUUUCCUCUGCUGUUGCUGUGUUGUUCUGCUAAUUUCUUUUCUUCUUCACAGGGGAGGGCACAAUCCUUCAUACAUGUAUCGGUUGAUUGCUGAUUAUUACUCGGCUGAUGACUUGGUUGUGCAGCGAAGAGCUACUGCUGGGAAUUGAUUUUGGUUUGUAUCAUCUAUUGUGUAAGUAGUCUUUUUGUGCCAAUGCUCUGGUGGAAAAUUGUUGAUUUUAACAAAAAGGAUAAUCUUUUUAAAUUGACAUAACAAUUGGUACUCUUUCUGAUUGUUAUGAUUCCAAUAAACUUAAUUGAUAUUGCAAACUGCUUCAUCUCGGGAUAUAAAAUAAUUAAAAGAUGACAAUGAGUGAAUGCUGUAACUUGGUAUAUCAUUUUGAGCUUUGACUUUAUCUAAUCUUUGCCCUAUUUUAAGGUCAGGAAUUUAUUACGGCAAGAGCAUUAGCUUUGGGUUUGAGAAAUUUCAAAUCACUGAAUUUGGAGCUGAGCUGAUGCUGUAAAAGAACUCAGGGACAUAGCGAUUGCGAGGCAAUGGUGUGAACUUGUGCAAAUUUUAGGGACGCAAACAAUGAUAGGAUAAUUUUUGUUGGCAGAAAUAUUAAAAUGUACUGAGAUAAAAAGGUGGAUACGGUUAGAUAAUAUUUUUUGAUUGUAUCAAGGUUGGUGGUCAAGUGCUGUAUUCUUCUUCAUCAGUGAUUUUCAGACGGACGGUAUAACAUUGUUGUAUUGCUUGUUGCUUAAAAUUUUCAUAGCAGAAUGUAGCUGUUGAGAUGUUUCCUAGAAUAAUUUUCUCGUCUUUGCAUGAAUAACAUUGGAGAAUAAUUAUCUGUUUAACUCUGUGUUUUCUUUCGUUCCUCGACGGUUGAGACAUGUUACUUUUGAGUAAUGAUAUAAGCCCAAAGGUCGACAUAAAUGAGUGCCAUGUGGAUGCCUCCAAGAAAGAAACAGGGCGUCCAAACGGCAUCACGAGAGUGACAUAACGUUUCUGUCGGGCUCAAUAUAUCAUUACAUGUUACGUUUUGGAACAUAAACCAAGGAUUUGAAAUGCAUUAUUUUACAUUAAUCCCCCUGACAUAAUAGGGCGAACCCUUUAAGCCAUUUUUCAAAUGUCGCAUUUGAGAAGGGUCGAGUGUUAAAAAGGGAGUAACAAGAGCUACGAGACUAGUCUCUUGACUCGCAUUACAAGAGGUUACAUAAAACUUCGAAUAUUAAAAUUAAGGCGCACAUAAUGCAACUUAGAUAAUGAGAAAUCAGCAGUAACUUUGCAAACAGUGGAAAAUGUUACAUAAAAAUGAGAAUACAGUUUUCAUUGAUGGUCUACAUCAAACCAGAAAUACAGAUAAGUCCUGGCAUAUAUAACUCGAACUCGCUGCAGCAGUAGAUCUCCACUAGUCAAAACAGCCUUGGCACCUCCUUCAAUUCGAGUAUGCAAAACAGUAACACUAUCACCAUUACUCUUCAUUGGAGUAGAUGUAAUACAGCUACGAGCUGUACUCACGAUUGGGCAUGAGAGGAAGUCCAGUGGAUUCGUCUCACACUGAAGUACACACCCAUCUAUAGUUAACCUUCCACUCCGAUGGAGCAAGCAGCAGCCAAGCUCUGCUUUCACUGUUAAAUUCGCCAGCUUGCAUGUGGAUAGAAACUCCAAGGCACUGCCCAAACAAAACAAAUAUUGCAUAGCAAAUUUUGUUGCUUGAGAUAUUAUGCCGGUCAUUUUCGAGGAUCCUACUUCAUAUUUUUGGAUAACUAAAUCUAAAGGAAGAGGCUUGGUAUAAAACAGCUCAACCUUAAAAUAUAUAACAAGAUCUUGAAAAAGAGCAACCAGCAGCACAUCACAAUUAUUCAUCUUAUGUGAUGAUUUAUUAUAUCUACCUGUGAACCAUGCAUAAAGUCUGUUGAAUUAAAGUGUCACUCCUAUUAAAGGUAUCUUCUGUAAAAUCCAACAAUAUGAAAGGGUCCUCAUGUAAUUGUAAUUAAUCUCCACAAAACAGUAUAACUUAAUCUGAAAUAAAAACCAGAAAAUUUACAAACCUGUCCGAACCUCGAGAACAGAUGAGGGUUGUUUCAUCAGGAAGCUCACCUCCACCGACCUGGAAAGUAAGUUCAGAGAAAAGGAAAAAGUGGAAAACAUUUAGAUGACAGAGAUCUUAUUUCUCUCUCUUCUGCUUUCCAACCAAGAAUAGAAAGUGAGAAGCCAUGUUUUUAUCUUCAGUAGGCAAUUACUUUGCGAUCAUAAUACAAAAAGGAAACCAAGGAAAUAAGUGACAAUAGCCAGCUUUCAUGAGUUGCGCUGAAGGCAGAUUUGUCACUCAGACAAAGCUGGUUUACUCAAUCAUAUCGUUUCUCAUAUUGGAUUGAUUCCUUGAACCCGCAUGAUAAUGGGAUAAAUCUGAUGUUGACUUGUGCAAUAAAGUUCCCUAAGGUUAACCAAACUAUGAAUUUCAAAUUCACCAGUCCUCAUAUGACUGCAAAACUUAAUUAGUGACCAUCAUUAUGAGCCCUAUAUGAGAAUAGGGUUUAAAUUUUGGGAUUUAUGGUUUAGGUAUCUGCAUUAAUCUGUCUCUCUAGUAUAGAUAAUUUUUAUUUACUUUCUAUAUGAGCAUGCCAUUCACUCUUUUUUCAUUUUGGGAGAAGAAACAGUCAACCUACAAAGAUAAUAAAAUUCAAGCAAAUAUAAUAACAACUAAUGUCAACAAUAGCCCCAAGAGGUGAAGAAAUUUUACCCAUCACCUCACACAGUUCUACCACAAGUCAGUUAAUCCAAAUUCAUUAGUUGGGGGCAACGCCUCAGGUCAACUUCGAAUCAACUUCAGAAGAAUAACCUUCCAUCAAUAACUUAUACAAUUCAUUUUUAUAUUAAUUUUAACAAUAAGUCUGUAUCAAACAUAUCUUGCAGCUCAUUAUGUAGAAUAUAAAUUAAAGAAUAAGAAUUCUGUUGGACUAAAUGACUGUAAUGAAAUAUGUACAGUAAAAGGACAAAUAGUGUGCCCCUCUUUUUUCUUUUUGCCUUUUUAAAUUUUCAUGAUAUUAACAGUCCAAGAGACUUUCCUAACCAAGUUUCUAUAGUGUAAAUUACAUCGCGGAAUGGGAAUAAUCCUUUAAUUGUUCACAUGGGUGUCUUAUUGAGAACAGGAACGAUUGAAUAACGACCAAAUUAAGUCAGGCACAGUGGUUUGUAUUCGCACACAAAUAUGAAAUAAUGUUUUAUAAAACAAACAACAUACCAGGCACAGUUGUUUUUUUAUCUGAAUAUUAGAGACAGGAUGACUACCGCCUGCUGCAAUUAAAAUGGUGUCGCCCGGUCUAUGAGGAACAAUGUGAAGAUCAGGUUUUAUAGUCCUAGCGUAUCCCAAAAAUCACAUACAGGCAGUCACAACAUUACAAACCUUGCCACAGAUACGGCUGUCUUAAGGUCGGGGAAAACUCCAGGCUCUGAGAGAUCCUUAACAGACUGAUCUACCCGCAGCCACAAGCGAGGAUGACAUGCCAAAUAAUUCCAUCUGUGGCAAACGAGUGCGGUGUUAUACCGAUCUGCAAGCUCCAUAACAAUUGUGAAAGCGAUCGCACAAAAUUAUAUCAUACAUGCAUUUGGCAGACAUCUAAAACAUCCAUCUCAAUGCCAAACAAUCAUCAUAAAGACAAUUACAUAUAAAAUAUGUCAAAAUCAUCAUAAAGACAAUUAUGCAUAAAAUAUGUCAAGCUUACUCAACAAUAUCUAUUAAACCCCAGAAAUCUUGAUGUAAUUAUCAUGUCUUUGACAAUAAUUUCUAUCCGAUCCUUCUAGAUUUCUUUUAAGGCAUGUGAAGAAUGAGGAUAUACAGCGCUUCUAAGGGACACAAUAUACUAUUUUACGCACAAAAGAGUAUCAAUAACAUAAAUUUAGCACAGAGAGUUUUUGAAACAGGAAUUUAAAAUUAAUAGACAAUUGUUCACAACAGAAAUGCCCAUAUUCUGAAAUUCCGCAUAAAUAUAAAAUUUUUGUUUUUAAAAAAAAAAUAAAUAAUCCUCUCAAUGUACAAAAUAAAUUUCAGGAAAAGUGAUGAAUUGGGCAAAACCCAAUAGGGAAAAUAAAUAAGACUCCCAACACAAAAGUCAAAAACCCGAAGCAAACUUCUAAAAAGGCCAGCAACAUUCAGCUCACAAAUACUACAUAACUUAAUGACACUAAACAUUUAUAAGAAAGAGAAGAUUUUUUUUAAUUAAAUACAAAUAAUUCCCCAAAAAAAGAUAGUCACCUGGAAUUGGGGAUAAGAAGCUGAAUACGUGCAUAAGGCAGCCAUCAUCAAGAUUGUUUAUUGGAGCAAUAAAAGAAUUAUUUUUCAUAGUUUUGCUUUUGAAUCGUUUAGUACUUCGUUCACUGUUUAUCUUCUCUUCAUCUUCCAUUUGUUCAACAAACUCCAAGUCGACUGUUCACUGAAUCAAAAUCUUUCUUUUAACGUUUGCUAUGUUUGACUAUCAUCAGGUAUUUGACUAACCGACAACACUAACAGCACCCAAUUUUUUCAUUCACCACCCACAAGAAACCGACAUGACCCACGCCACGCACGAAAUUACUUCUGAGUUAGGCCCAAUGUUGGCCACCAGAAUUGCUUUUAAGUUUUCGCCCAAAACAAGCCAGCUGGGCUUUGAUGUCUGCCCCAACUUUUUCUAAAAAAAAGUAUAGUUAGUAUUAUUGAAUAAAAAUGUUAUAAAUAUCAAAUUCUUUGAUAAAUUUUCAUAAUUAUUUUUAUAAAUAUCAUGAAAUUUUAUUGUAUGGCAAGUGAUUUAUCAAACAUUCAGCAAGAAUUGUGGUUUUUUUUUUUUACACAAAAUAUGUAGGUUAAAUAUUUGUUUAAUAUUGAGGUGCUUUAACUCGAAAAUUACGAUUGCUGUAACAAAAUUCAUAUAAUUGUGAAAUAAAAAUUGAUAAUGUGUAGUAAAUAUGACUUUUAAUAAUUUUAAUAAAAUAAUAAAGACAUUAUAAAUUUUUAUCAUAAAAUUAUGGAAUAAAAUUAACUUAACUUCUAAACUAUAACAAUAGAAGUAUACUAAACACUUUAGGCCCUAUUUGGAGUGUUGUCAAGUAGCUUGAUUGCCAUAAUGGAGUACUUACUCAUUUAUUGCUACAACUUUUAAGGUACAGUGUCCAGCAAAAUACUAAACAGAAUUAAAUAAUCGAAAACAAAUUGUAAAUGUUAACAAUGUUUAAAUAUAGCUAAGAACAUCAAUAUAUAUAGAGUUUGUAAAUAACACAUACCUAAAAAAGUAUAGAAAGACAAAGAUAGCCUUGAGUUUUGUACUAAAUUGGAGAAAAAAAUAAAAUUAUUUUUUCCAAAAAUAACCACAAAGUUGUUAGUAAUAAGUAGAGAUGGUAAAAUGAGUUGUUAUCAUGACACGAUAACACGACAUGGAUGUGGCACGAAUUUUGUAUAUUCAUGUUGAUAAAUAUUGAUGCAAUUAAUUAAAUAGUUGAUACUAUACGACACAAUAAAUAACCGUAUGGUUUUCAUGUUGGAUCACCUCAGCAUGAUUACAUGUUUAUGGCAUGAAUAUCAAUUAAUAUAAGUAAUAUUAUUAAAAAAAAUUCACACACACACAGAGACACACACACAUAUAUUUGUGUUGGUAAAUAUUGAAAUGAUUAAUAAAAUGGUUGAUACGAUACGAGACGAUAAAUAACCAUAUUGUUUCAUGUUAGACCACCCUAACAUGAUUACAUGUUUAUGACAUGAAUAUCAAUUAAUAUAUGGUAAUAUUAUUAAAAAAAUUAACAUAUAUAUAAACGAUCAAUAAAUGAGUCAUACCCAUAUUUUGGUAUUUUAAUAUUGAUGUUUUGAUAUUUUGAUACAAUUAAAAAAAAUAGAUCAUGUCAGUGUUUUCUUAACUUGAUACAACAUAGUUUAACUCAAUUAAGUAACUCACAUGUUAAAAAUUCUCUAGUAUUCUCACAAACUCUGUAGCUCCGCUAGUGGCUAGUAGUGUGGGAGUCAUUGUGUGAGCCUUUGUUAUUUUCUUUGACACUAUUUGUUUUUUAAUUGUUAUUUAUUCCUUUCUAAGUUUCUAACUAUUUUUAUAAGUUCGCGAUGAAGAUUUCAAACUAGUUAAAUUGUGUGGCUCACUUUUGUUGAAAGAAAAAGUUGCUAUGAUUGUGGUUUCAGACAAGACAUAUCAUUAUGGAAAUGUGUUGACCGCCACUAGUUUAGUGGGAAACGUUUUGAUGUAAUCGGUGAAUAAGGAUGUCUUUAUUUGUAGCGUUGCUCUGAUUUGAAAGUUCAUCAAGGGUGUUGGGAGUAGAGCAUUUAGAACAAAAUAUAUUCUUGUUUCCUUUUCCUAAUGAGAAUGAUCACUGUCAUAAUUUGUCAAUGAGACAUUGGCUUUUUUUUUUUUUUGAAUUACAUGAGACUAAUGUUCAAAUUACAACUCAUAUUAUAUGAGAUUUACAACUGAUAUUUACAAUCAGACAAUUACUGGGCCUAAUUUACAUUAAUUCUUAUAUAGCACUGCCCAGAUUUUACCCUCUCUAAUAUUCGAGGGGUGUCUACUCCACUCACAUUUCGAAAGGGAGAAGACUGCCUUCACUUAAUAAUUAAGGAAGGAAAUAAACCCCUACAUGCAUCGUGGGGGCUCGAACCGCUGCCUCACAGUUGUGAGGGCAGGGUCCUGGCCACUGGGCCAAGGCCCAGUUGGUUAGACCUUGGCAUUUUAAUCGUUCUUUAUUGGCUCUCUUUCCUUUAGCUAGCAAUAGAGAAUAGUCUAGUCAACAAUUUACUAUAGUUUUUUUUGGGUUCAUAUUUACAAUAUGUCGUUAUGUUACAUGUCGAAGGAAAUGGUUGAUUUCCUCGGAGGAAUGCUUGGAGGAGUGAAGAAUUUGGAUGCUAGUCUUAGUUGUGUUUUGUAUGAAAGUUCUUUUGCAUUCAAGUUUUAAUUGAUGUCUCUAGGCCACUUAAACUUGGUUUGCUAAUUCAGUUUCACACUAAUGAUGAUGUUCCUGUGCUCCUAGUGGUUUAUAAAAGAUUAUCAUAUUUUUGUUAAUAUUGCGAUUGUAUAGAUAAUUUAUUUCCAUAUUGUUCCGCAUUUGACUUAGCUAAAGUGGAGCAGGGUGUGGUCAUGGAGUAUGGAUGCGGGCUGAUGCUGGUAGUGUUUUUCGGAAGUCAGAGGGUCGUAGACAAGUAAAUCAUAGUGGUAGAGAAUUGGAUUUGGGAUAUCAUAAGGUGGCUUUUAACGCGACAAUAAAUGCUCCAAGUGUUACGAAUAAUCAUGAGAGUAAUGAUAUAAGAAAAGAGGAUAGUGGGAGAAAUGAGCAUGUCUGUGUGAAUAAUGCUUAUAUUUACGAGAUAGUGAACGAGAGAAAUCAAGUUCAGUGAUUAAUAAAAAGACAAAUCGUGGAUGCACUUAUAAGAAUUUCAAAUUCUGAUUGUAUAUGUGUUUUACAACCUUUUAUUACUAAUAGUCACUUGCCUAAGGAAACAAAGAAGGCAUCAUGCACAGAAUUUGUUAAAGAUUUUGUGAAGGAUUGAAUGGAGUUUAUGGUAGUGACGUGGUUGGCCAUGGGCCUUAUGUGCCCCAAACUGGAGUUAUGGCUUCUUGUCUUGGUGAUGAUUCGAGUGACAAAAAUGAAUCUAGUAAUGUUGCAAGAUUGAAAAAUUAGAGAGAGUAAAGAGAAAAAAUUUACCACAAUGUGAAGGGGCUACGAAAAGGAAAAAAUGAAAGCGACUGGCAUGAAAAAUUCUAAAAGAAAAGUCUCAUAUUUCUCUAACUUUGGGAUCUAAGUAUAGUAAUGAGAAGGAUAUUAGAGAUUGGUCUAAUCAAUGGAAAUGAGGCAGGAUGGUUGCUGUUGAAUCGGAGGAUGGUGAUGAUGGCGUUUUUGCAGACAAUAAUUUGGUUGCGUAGUCUAUGGCUUUGUCAAAUUUAUCAACAAGAGUUAACGUUGAUUAGCCCCACCGGUUGCCAUGAUAUCCUAACCUAAAAUGUCCAAGGUUUGGGGAAUCCUUUGAAUCCCACACUCUUUAUAAAAUGCUCCGUGAGGUUAGACCUUCUGUUGUCUUUUUAUGCGAAACUAGAUUAAUGGCGGCAAAGAUGAAUUGUAUUAGUAUGACAUUGGGUUUGGACAAUUGUUUAGAUAUUGAUUUGGUUUUUUCUAGAUAAACCUUUGCUAAUAUAAGCGAGUGGAUGGCCCUCUUGCAUGAGGACUGCUCCGAUUCCCCGACCGGAAGCAUCGCAUUCUAUAGAAAAUGGUUUGGUGAAAUUCGGCAAGGCUAAAACUGGAGUGGAAGCCAUGGCUUGGCGGAGCUCAUCAAAUGCUGCUUCAAUAGUAGGACUCCAAGUAAAAGAAUCUUGUUUAAGCAUGUCAGUUAAGGGAGCAGCAAUUUUUCCAUACCCAGCAAUAAAUUUAUGGUAGUAUCCCAUCAAGCCAAGGAAGCCUCGUAAAGUUUUGAUAGUGGUAGGUUUAGGCCAUUCAAGCAUGCACUGAACCUUUUCAGGAAUGACAGCUACGCCAGUAGCAGAAACAAUAUGACCCAAAUAUUCAACAGAUGACUGAGCAAAAGAACAUUUUGUAAGCUUGACAUAAAGUCGAUUUUGUUGCAAACAUUGAAGGACAGCAGAGAGGUGUCGAGCAUGCUCCUGUAGAGAAGUGCUGUAGACAAGGAUAUCAUCAAAGAAAACUAAAACAAAUUUGCGAAUGAAGGGUCGAAAAAUCUCAUUCAUCAGGUUCUGAAAUGUGGCUGGCGCAUUUGAAAGGCCAAAAGGCAUCACAAGAAAUUCGUAGUGGCCAUCAUGAGUACGGAAGGCUGUUUUUGCUAUAUCGGAGGGAUGAACUCGAAUCUGGUGAUAGCCCGAGCGAAGGUCCAGCUUACUGAAAACUGAUGCACCAUGUAAUUCAUCUAAUAGUUCGUCAACAACUGGAAUCAGAUAACGGUCUUUGAUGGUUACCUUGUUGAGAGCACGAUAAUCGAUACACAUACGCCAAUAACCAUUUUUCUUUUUAACUAAUAAAACCGGAGAGGAAUAAGGACUAAUACUAUGCUGAAUGAGCCCGGCAUCCAAAAGCUAACGAAUCAAGCGGUCAAUUUCUUGUUUCUGAAAAUGAGGAUAACGAUAAGGUCGUACAUUGACAGGAGAGCUUCCAGGAAGUAAUGGAAUAUGGUGAUCAAUUAAGCGUUGAGGAGGAAGUUCGGUGGGUUCCGCAAAAAUGCCAGAAUAUGUCUCUAGGACCUUAGUAAUAAUUGAAGGUGCUGAUAUAUCAGCUACUGAAGUGGUUAUUGCCAUAAUAUGGAAAAAAAAAUGCCUUGCUUUUCUUGAAGCAAUAACCUAUUAAUUUCACCAUGAUUUGCCAAAACCGGUGGCAGGGAAUUAUAUCCAGUGAGUUGAACCGGUUGGCCUUUCCAAGUGAACUGCAUAGUUAGCUGUGAGAAGUCCCACAAUAUAGCACCUAAUGAUCGUAACCACUCAGCACCCAACACAAUGUCACAGCCACUUACUGGAAGUAAGAAUAAAUCCAAGUGAAAUUUAAAGCCUUGAAUAUUCACUGGGACGUGAGAACAUUUUCCCGAGCUGCUGAUCACUCCACCAUCAGCUACAGUAACUUGAAACUGAGUUGUAGUAGUGAUAGGGCACCCACAUUGCUUAGCCAAUGAUGGAUUCAAAAAAUUGUGAGUAGAACCAAAGUCUAUUAAUAUAGUGACACACCAUGUUUUUUUAAAUUCCCUUUCAGUCGCAUGGUGUUUUGUGGGGUUGCUCCAGUGAGAGCCUUUAAAGAGACUUCUACUGUUUCUGGGAAAUCCUCAAAAGCCUCAAUGUGUUCAUCUUUAUCGUCGAUAUCUGCAUCCAUUAUUAAAGUUGAGGAGCUUUACAACGAUGCUCAGGUUUAAAUUGUUCAUCACAAUUGAAACACAAUCCUUUGGCUCGUCUUUCAGUUUGUUCGGCAACUGAUAGACAUUGAAAUGGUGGGAAUCCCGGAGGGGGUGGGCCUAAUAAAGAGGGCUGUGAUGACCCCCCAGUUUUGGUUAUUGUGGGAGAUGAAUUAAGGAGUGGUGAUGGCCUGCUUAUACUAGGCCGAGGUGGAAUCCUUCGAUUAGAAACAGCCGCGUAUUCUUCUUGGAAUCUUGCAAGCUCAAAAGUUCGUAGGAGACUUGCAGGUUUCAACAUCUGCACUCCAAUUUUAAUAUCCUCUCGUAAUCCCGAAAGGAAGCAACUAAUGAAGAAUGAUUCAGGUAGAUUCCGAGUUCUAUCAGCCAAUCGUUCAAAUUGUCGUUGAUAUUCAAUAACAGUCCCAGUCUGUCGUAGUUUGGUAAUGGACCCGACUACAUCACCGUCUUCGAAUGUUCCAAAUCGAGUAACUAGAGCUCGUUUGAAUUGGGCCCAAGUCAUAUUACCCAUAGUUUGCUCUAACCAGUGAUACCAAGGUACCGCAUCUCCAUCGAGGUGUCUGAUAGCAAGUGACAGCACAUCUAUCUCAGGCAAGGCAGCCAAUCAUUGAUACUGUUCACAGCAAAAGAUCCAGCUUGAUGGAUUUUCCCCGCUGAAAACUGAAAAAUCCAGCUGUAUAUGGCGGGGUUGCACAAGGGCUCCUCCAAUACGUCCUGCAGGUUCAGGUUGUUGAUUAUUGAUUUGUAACGGUUGGUGGUUGUUUCUAUUUUCUUGAAACCAGAUGAAUUGAUCGCGGAGACUUAAGAUUAAUUCUUGGAGAUCGUUGGACUGUUGGGAUAAGACCUCAACUUUCUCAUUGAAUUGAUGAGAUAAUUGUUCCACCCUUUCCUCCAGUUCCUUAACAGUUAUUAUGCCCAAGAAAAAAAACUGCUCUGAUACCAGAUGUUAGGCCACUGCUUUGAGAUAGUAGUUUAGAAGCGACGAAUUGAUGAGAAGAGUAAUAAGAAGAAGUGGCCAAAGGGGAAACGAGAGUUUUAGAAGCAAUUCUUAUUAUUUAUUAAAGUAGCAACAGUUCCUUAUAUAAGCCAAGAGAUCCUACGAAAAUAAUAAUUCCUAAUAACAUAAUAACUUAAUAACUAAUCCUUAACGGAAAAGGAAAUAAUGGAGGUCUAAGACUAGGACUCUAACAGGGGUUUGUUAGAUAAUGAAGGAAAUCGGGUUACUUCUAUGGUUGGUAUUAAGGAAAUUAUUGAGGAUUAUUUUUAUUCUUUUUUUUCUUCCUUCAAUGUGAAUGCUGAGGAGAAAGAAUCAGUCUUGUCUUUUUUGCAAGCUAAAGCAACGAAUGAAAUGAAUUGGGAGUUGGAUAUUGAAUUUACUAGUGACAAAUUAAAGAAUGCAGUUAUGCAAUUUGAUCCUGCAAAUGCACCUAGGUCGGAUAGUUUUUUACCAAUUUUUUUCUAAGAUCUUUAAUCAGUACAACUUGUUUAGCUAUCUUAAAUGGGGAGGCUGCACUUCCUGUACAAUAAUUGUUUAAUUCCUAAGGUAGACAUACUUAUGUGACAUAUUGGGUUAUAGUUGAAGUUUUUGCUAAUCAUAUAAAAUGAUGUUACAUGAUGUUAGCUCUAGUAAUCAAAGUGCUUUUAUCCUAAAUCGUCUAAUUACUGAUAAUGUCAUAGUGGGCUAUGAAUGCUUGCAUAAAUUGCGAUGCUGUCAAAAGAGUUAGAGUGGUUUGGUAGCAUUAAAGCUUGAUGUCAUUAAGACAUAUGAUUGAAUGGAAUGAGAUUUUUUGGAACAACUAAUGGCGUGGCUUGGUUUUUCCACAAGAAGGACUCGGCUUAUAAUGAGUUGUGUCAACAUCGACGUUAUCCUUCUUGAUUAAUGGUGAGGCUCAAGAGCAGGCCUGUCCAAGUCAAGGUAUUAGGUAAGGCUGUCCACUCUCUCCCUAUAUAUAUAUAUAUAUAUAUAUAUAUAUAUUUUGUUCUCUGUGCUGAAGCUUUCUUUGCUAUGCUAAUUGCUUUUGAAAAAUCUAAUUUAAUCCGGGGGGUUAGAUUUGCAUCAAAUUUAUUUGUAUCCCAUUUGCUAUUUGUAGAUGACAGCAUGAUACUUUGUAGGGCUGUGUUGGCGAAUUAUCAUUAUUUAAGGGAUAUUUUUUAUUUGUACUCUUAGGGCUGAAGUCAAAUUUUUAACUUUAAUAAGUCCAAUAUUUUAUUUAGCCCAAAUGCACGUAAGAGUUUUACAGAGGUCUUUGGAUUUUUUAAAGUUUCAGCGUAUGAAAAAUAUAUAGGAUUUCCAGUGAUGAUUAGAAAGAAAAAGAAAGAGUUUUUCUAUGUGUUGAAAUUUAGGGUGUUGAAAAACUUGAGUAAUUGGUAGGAAAAUUUUUUUCUGUUCUGGUGGAAAAGGAGAUUCUAAUUAAGGCAAUGGCACAGGCAGCCCCUUCAUAAGCUAUGAGUGUGUUCCUAUUACCAGUGAGUAUGUGUGAAGAUCAUCAACGGAGGUUUAUCGCUUUCCGAUGGAUUUCUACAAAGAAUAAGCGGAAGAUACACUGGAUGGAAUGAAAUAGUAUGAGUUAGGAAAAAAAAAAGAGGAAUGCAUAGUUUUUUGAGAUCUAGUUUACUUUAAUAAGACAAUGUUGGCAAAGCAAGGAUGACAGUUGCUUAUUUAUUAUCAUAUACUUGUUUUGGGAGUAUUAAAGGCAAGAUAUUCUGAUGAAGCUCUUUUCUUGAUAUGACUAUUGGUAGUAAUCUUUUAUUUAUUUGGCGAAGCAUUAUUGGGGUGUGAGUUGUUACAAUAGAGGAUUUAAUAGUGUGGGAUCAGGAAAACAUGUUCGUAUUUAUUGUGAUAAUUGGGUGCCUAGACUGAUAACGUUCUGACUUAUCCCAACAGUAACUUUAGGCGAAGAUGCAAGGACUACUGUUUUGUUAGAAAAUGAGAAUUCUUGGAAUAUGGCCUUGUUAUUGCCUUAGGAUGUACAUUCUAUUGUGAAAAUUAAGCUGCCUUCACAAACCUGUCAUGAUCGAGUAAUGUGACACUAUGAUCGUUGUAGGGAUUACACUGUGAAGUCUGGGUGCCAUAUUGUAAGGAAGUGGAAGAACUUGACUGGUGUUACAUCAUCUAAUGGUUCAACUAGGCAGUUAGAAGACUAUUUAGAAGCUAAUUGUUCCUUCCAAGCUUAAAAUGUUUUGAUGGUGUGCACUUUCAGGUUUCCUUCCGUCUAUGGAAAACUUGGAGCUGAAAAGUGUGGUAGCUGAUUCGCUGUGUAGGCUCUAUGUAUAAUGUGGCGAGUCUAUUAUGCGUGCUUUAUCUAAUUGCCCAAGAUGUAAGGGAAUUUGCUUCAUUUGUUGAUUUUGAUUCUUUUGGCCACGUUGUAUGUUUGCGGGAUGUGUGGGAUAGUGUAAAUUCAAAAAUUACUUGUACUGAGAUUCAACUCUUGUUUUAAUAAUAUGAGGGAUAUGAUGGGAGAGAAAUAAGAUUUUAUAUGAUGGAGCAGUGGCAUCUCCUAAUUGUGUGGUGGCUUCUGCUCAAGGGAUUUGGAUGGUUGUGAAAGAAAAAAUUGUAUGGAUACAGUUGAUGUGUACAAGUUUGAAUCCUAUGAUUUGGGAGCCACCAUAAAUAUGGUGGUUUAGAUUAAAUAUUGAUGUGGCUGUGGAUGUUCAUAGUGGUAAGGUUAGCUAUAAGGCUAUUAUUAGAAAUCAUGAGGGGUUGGUUUAUGUUGGUUGGAGAUAAUCUUGGGGUGUAUACUAAUAACGUGGCUGCUGCUGAGGCAAAGACCCUACCUUGGUAUUCGACAUGCUAAGGAGAUUGGUUUGUCUCCUUUAAUGGUUUAAUCGGACUCGUUAUAUCUUAUCCAAUUGAUCUAGGGAAAGUAGUAUACUCGUACAUAGCUUUUAUAGACAGUUUCUGAGGUGCAACAACUAAUGUCACUACAAGUAUGACUUCAAGAUUCGACAUAUCUUAAGGAGAUGUAAUCAAACUGCGGAUGUUCUAACUAAGUUCACUAUUUGUAAAUGUUUAUCUUUUGUUUUACUAGAAGAUUUUUCACAGUCAUUAAAUUGAUAUCUUUGAGCUUUUUCCUAAUUUAAUAAGAAUUACUUAUUUAAGAAAAACAUUGAUACUACAUAAGACACAACAUGAUUACAUAAAUUGACACCCAUACUAAUAAGUGAUAUCUUGCCAAAAAAAAGAGUGGGUUAUUUGAAUGCAUUAAACUUUUCAUUGAACCCAUUUACUAAAUAAACUUACCUCUAAUUUUUAAAAUUUAAAAUUUUACUCAAUAAACCCUCUUAAGUACCCAAUACACCCUUACUUAACUCAGUUUUUAUAAUAAUAGUGUUUUUACUGAUUAAACCCAUUAAAUUAAUUUAUAAACCUUUAAUAAAUGUUUGUUUUCUUUUUUUUUUCCCAUUAAAUUCAAAAUUUUCUUUAUGAAUGUGAUUAAAAAAUAUAUAUAAUUACAACAGCACACAUUCAUACCUCUUCCCAUUUCACACCAUCUCAACCUUUGAUUCAAGAUGUAGAUUAUUCAAGUUGUUCAUGAAGGCAACAAACAAACAAUAUCUAUUCCUAUCAUUGCUUCUGUAGUAAUCACCAACAUAAAAUAAGCCCCAGCCACUGGAAGUAACUUUUACAGAUUGAAUGCGAGGAAAAAUAUGCAACAGAGCUGAUAGAUGCAGCUGCUUCAACGAACAUCAAGCUCCUCCUCCCGUUCCCAUUGCUGGCCUCAACAUUCAAUCUAACUUUUUCUCCUUCAACUUCACCAUUUUUUCCCUUUUGCUGCACUUGCAACAACUACAAGUCUCUGGCCAGUGUUGACCCAAGCCUUGCUGGUGCUACAUAGGAAAGAGGCUAUCAUGAUCAUUGAUGCCAUUUCCACAAUAUUCAUGUGCUUUCCUUCAAUGUUUCAUUAAAUUUCUCAUGUAGUUAUUCAAAAUCCAGAACAUCUAUUUCAAUUUUUCAAGCUGAUGGAGCAAUACGAUGAGAAAGGAACAUUUAAAUAAUUGCAAAAAUGAAUUGCUUUACUUCUCCGGUUCUCCUAAAAAAAAAGAAAAAAGAAAAAGAAUCGCUUUGUGGCAAAGAUAAGAAUCGGUUUAUGGCCGUCAACAACACUUGUUUUUCUAAUCAGAAUCUUUACUGUGCAUGCAAGGGAAAAAAAAUCCUUAACAUUCUGGUGUUCCUGAUUUGUAGUAAAAUAAUAGAAAAGAUCAAUAGACAGCAGCACAGAAGCUAUUACAACCAAAAUGAUGAAGAAGAAAGAACUUCAACACUGAAACAUUUUAAAGUAAACACGACUUGAAAUUUCAUAAAGAUCCCAACAAAAUUCUUAGCCUCUUUCUGCCGCUUCUUCUCUUCUUUGCGUAUUGUUGCCCACUGUCAAAUGCAAACAAAGAUAUAAUCGCCAAUUUUAUUACCUGAAUCCAAUCUAAUAUGCCUAAUUAACAAAAUUAUGUGGUUUGGGAAAAGAAUUAAGCCUCUAAUUGAUUAGGGUUUAAUGAAAAUAUGAUUAUAAUUUAAUAAAAUUAUAUAGAAUGUAAAAAUAAAUUUAAAUAUUAAAAUUUUUAUUUUUUUAUUAUAUUUUAACAUCCACGAUUAUAAUUUAAUUUUAGGGGAAAAGCUUUUCUCAUCCCUAGAGUUUCAUGCAAUAACUCAUUUAAUCCUUAUUUUUUAAACAAUAGUUCAAAACAUCCUUUCGUUAACUCACCGUUAAUUGAAUGUCAUUUGUUAGUAAUUCAUUAAGGGUAAAAAAAGAUUUUUCAUAAAAAAAAAAUUAGAAAAAUAAAUAAAAAUUGACAUAUAACUAAAAAUGAUUUUAUCUAAUUUCACUAAAUCAGAAAUACCAAAAAAGAUGAAAAACUUCUAUUUCAAGCAUUUUUUUUCACUUCUUUCUAUUUUGGCGGUAUGAAAGCCCUAUAAAUCCUAGAUCUAAUUGAAUGUCGUUUGUUAGUAAUUUAUUAAGGGUAAAAAAAGAUUUUCUAUCAAAGAAAAAAUUAGAAAAAUAAAUAAAAGUUGACAUAUAAUUAAAAAUGAUUUUAUCUAAUCCCACUAAAUCGGAAAUACCGAAAAAGAUGAAAAUUUUCUAUUUCAAGCAUUUUUUUUUUCACUUCUUUCUAUUUUGGCGGUAUGAAAGCCCUAUAAACCCUAGAUCUAAAUAUAAAAAAUAUCACAAUUUUCUUAUUCAUAUAAGUAUACUCUCUAAUUGCACUGUAAAUGACUUGAAUUGAGUUGAAGAUAAAGAAAAUAUUCAACACAUGCAAGCACAUAAAAAUUAGUGGUAUUUUUGAGUUUUUCUUCCAAUGAUUUAAAGAUAUUGUGUUAAUUACAGUUUGUUCCUUAUGACAAUUAUUCAAUGGCUAUAUUAAUUUAUAUCAUCGUUGAUUUCAUUUAAGAAAAAGUUAAUGAAUUUUACAUAUUUUGUAGUGUUAUUUAAUUGUGUAAAAAAAUUAUUUUAAUAUAGUUUGUAUUACUUAAAUGAAAAAUCUUAUUUUGCCCUCAAUGAAUUAUUAGUUAACGGCUUUACACUAGUGGUGAGUAGAAAUAAAAUAAGUUAUUACAUUAAAUCUUAGAGAUGAAAAAGAUUUUUUCCCUUUAAUUUAAGAGUAUAUUAAUCAUAAAAAAUUAUUUUUAAAAAUAGAUUUAAUAAAUAAUUUAAUGAAUUCACAGAGCCAAAAAAAAAAAUUUUUACUCUUUUAAAUAUUUGUAACUCCACUUGUCCUUUUCCCUUAACGUAGCAUUGUUGCUUCUACAGAAACAGUGACAGGGCCGUACGUAGAAGCGCAAGAAGCGACCAAAAGGAGCAAGAAAGCGAAACGAAUUCCGGAAAUGGGCGGCAGCGGCGGCGGCGGCGAGUGCAUAACGAGGAGCAGCCACGUGAUGGAGGGAGGCGGUAGCUUGGAGAGUUACAGAUAUUUCCUCUCUCGACGCACCGUUCUGCAAAUGCUCAAUGAUAGAGGCUACGCGGUUCCCAACUCGGAACUCACUCGUUCACUCACUGAGUUCCGUUUUACUUUUGGCGACAAAUGUGACCUUGAAAGUCUCCGUCUUUGCCUCCCUCUCCGCUCCAAUCCCUCCAAAAAGGUAACAUUUUUAUUUCCAUUUCAUCAUCAUCAUUAUUAUUAUUAUUAAUUUAAUUUUUAAUAAUAAUAAUGCGAUUCUUAUUUUAUUUUAUUUAUUGGUAAGAUGCUGGUUGUGUACUUGGGAACUGAAGAAAUCAGGACGCAAGCCAUUCGGGGCCUUUACGGUCAGAUUCUUAACAAGGAAGCUUUACAUGGACUCAUACUGAUUUUGCAAAGCAAUAUGAACACUUUUGCUCGGAAAGAAGUGCUAAAGUUUCCAUUUAAAGUUGAGAUUUUCCAUGUAGGUUACCCUGGAACUCCCAUGGCUAUGUAGAAAAAUGGCUCAGCUCUUAUAGACUUAUGGGUGUUGUUAUGAACUGGAACUAGUAUUGAUAAUUAGUAUGUUUUAAAUGUAUUAUAGAAGAUAUCUCAUGCUAUUGUUUGAGUUGUCGUUGGUUUUGUUGUUACAGGUGACUAAGUGAGUCACAAAUUUUCAUCGCUUUUGUGGAAAUUUGCAGAACAUGUUUGGGGGUUGAGAUUGGGAUUGUAAACUUUUCAGUUAUGAACUAUCUAAAUUCUAAAGAUCUUCUCAAAAAAAAACAAAAAAAUUCUAAAGAUGAAGAAACCUUCUAGAGUGGUACAAGAGGUGUGGGGUUAUUUAUAUUAAAAAAAGAGUACUAAGGAUUAAGAAAUUUGCUUUAGGAAGUUUUUUAGGUUUUCCUUGAGGCUGCUCCAAACACUUUGUGGUGCUUUGUCAUGGAUCCAUAUUCAAUUUAUUCUAUUUACUGCUGGUUUUCCAUCCAAGGUAUCAGUUGAUAUUGCACUUUAAAUGUUUGAAGAGUGCUGCUUAACCCUGCUAAGAUGUAAGAUCUGGCAAGUGGGUCUUCUAUUGUCUAUGGUACCAGUAGCUUUAGUAGCUAUAUAUUGUUGGGGUUUGAUGUCUGUUAAAUGUUUUUGCCUGUGAUGAUAGCUAAUGAUUAAUGCAAUUUUUUUAUAAUCAUUUUAAUACUUUGAGACUGCACAAAUGCUAUGGAUAAUUGAGGUUUUGGUUCUGUUUAUUUGAAUUUGACAACAACUUACGUUGGCUUUCCCUUUUAGAUCACUGACUUGUUGGUCAAUGUUACAAAGCACAUUUUGCAACCAAAGCAUGAGGUGCUAUCUGCUGGGGAGAGAGACAAAUUAAUGAAGAAGUACAAGAUAGAAGGCAAGCAGGUAAUAAUUUUAGUUACACAAUAAAUGCAUCCUUUGACGUUCAUAAAUUUAAUGACUCUACAUUCAUAUGCAUACUAUUGAUGGAAAAAGUUCUUGGGGUAUGGGAUCAUUAACAAAUGGAAGCCAGUACUUAAGUUGACUUGUGGAAGUUUUUCUCUGUCUUGGAGUAACUCCCUUUUAAAUUUCUUACCAUCCAUCCCAUUGUUGAUAUUCAAAGCCCAUUUGUUGAUGGUUAACUUGUUCAAUUAGAAUGCCGGUUGCAGUAAAGGAAAAAGGAAGCAAAGAUGUGAUCAAUUUGUUGGAUUUUUUGCGUACUCAAAUUGGCCAUAAGUUGUAGUUCGCUGGUUUAAACUUAAGGGUUCUGUUUUUAAUAAUCAAAUGCUGCAAUUUAUGCCAGUGCCAUUGACCGAUGCAUCUUGUCAUGAACGUCCUUUUGCUGACCUUUUGUUCAUGAAUGGAGUUCCCAUCUGCUCAGUCUCUUGCUAAUUCCAUCUGGCUGGAUAUUUGGAUUUCUUCAUGUCUAGAACUCAGCAGUUGAGAGUCAGUGUGCGGUAGUACUGGUGGUUUAUGGACAUAAAACUAAUGAGAAAAAGAUGUCUAGAAGUUGUGAGCUCAGUUUUAUUGGGCACAACUUAAGAUCAAAGUUGAACUUGCGAUAUCUAAUUAAUUAAUAUAUUAAGCCAGGUAGAAUUUUGUUAGGACGCUUUGGAGCUAAGUAAUCUGCUCAACCAUAUAAUGCAAGCUUAGGCUGCAUAAAUGAACUUCAGCGACGUGGAAAUUUUUUCUGGGCAUGAAAUUAUAAAUGAAAUAUGGCCUAUACGCCUGAUAGUUCUCAAUUGAAUUCAUCGACUUUGAACGUCUGGGGCCUACCUCUUAUGUCUUGAUUGGCUUAUCUCUUUAGUCUGAGCAAUAUGUUAAAAAUGGGUUGUGACUUAGAAAGAGGCGUCAAUGAGCCUAUGUGUCAUGAAUCAGGAAAAGAAGUAUGCCAUGUAAAGAAUAUGGUGGAUUCUUUUUUAUAACAGUGUUCGUUUGUCUAUGUAACUGCUCAUAAGUUUUGUUGCAUGAUUGAUCAAAGUAGAACACCAACCUACCUCUAUUUUUAUCUUGUCUUUCAGCUCCCUCGAAUGCUGGAAACUGAUGCGUUUGCUCAAUACUAUGGACUGCAGAAGGGCCAGGUGGUGAAAUUUACUUACUGUUCUGGAAUUGCUGAAUUUCUUGAAACCUACCGCCGCGUUCUCUGAUGCUUCCCUGUGUAUUAUAUGCUCAUUAAAACAGUGUUGACAAGCUAGCUAGAUACAUAUUAUAUACAUGGGAUGAAAACAUAUAUCAGGAUACAUGCUGACCAUGUGUACAUGUACAAGCAAAAUGAGCUGUAUAUUUUGACUAGUUUAUUUCAGAAACUCAAUGGCUCGAUAGAAUUUCAUUUGCAGAAUUGAAAAAAUUGCCAUUUCUUUUAUUUAACACAUUGCAUACCUCGUAGCUGCUUCUAAGCCGAUAGUUUCUAAACAAAUGUUGUGAAUAUUUUCUACACCAAUCUGCUUCACAACACUGCAAUCAGUGGGAUCAAUCCGUGAAAGAUCAACAAUGCUACUUUGACAUAAAGUAGAUUGAAAAUUUUUACACGAAAAUAAAAAUGGCACCGCUUAAUUUUGUUUUUAAAAAAUAAGAAAAAAUUGAAUUAAAAAGUAAAUUAAAAAGUAAAUUAAAAAAGAAAAGAAAAGCAAAAGUCACUGUAACAAAUAUAAAAAGGCCACCUUGCUUCUUUAUUAUUAUUAUUAUUUUUUUAACUUAAUUACCCAUCAAAUAUGAGAAGCUUCUCUUUUUGUUUUUUCAAUUAAAAGGUUGUGUCAAAUAUAGCAAACGCAAACCAGCACUCCAGCAGAUUAACUGAAAAUUUUUUAUUUAUUAACUUCGUUGAUCAGCAAUAAUGUCUAUGAAUAACUCAAUUUUCAUAAUAUAAAUAGAAAAUAAAUUCACAAAAUCUUGCUACAUAAAAUGACCAUUAUACAUUAAUAAUAAAAAAAUAUCAUGAUACCCAAUUGGCACAGAAAAAAAGACAGUAGCGUUUUUAAUUUUAAAUGAAUAACAGAAAAAUUAUCAGUCGUUAACAUAAAUUUAUCCUGUUAUAAAAUAUUAUAAAAGUUAGAAUUUAUUCAAUUUUUCACCAUAUGUUUACAAAUUGUGUCAACCAUCCACCAAAAAGGUAACAAUACACUUGUAAAAUAACUACUAUUAUAAUUUAUUUUUCCUUUUGUUUGGUCAUUUAUAAGGGUAAUUAUAUCUUUUUUGUGGACAGUUGCAAAUUACAAACUUAGGUGGAAAAUUAAAUAAUUCAAAUUUUUGUAAUAAUUUUUAGAAUGGGUAAACUUUUUGAAAGAAACCAUAAAAAAUGUGGGGGUUUAAGCCGGACCCCUUCCUAUAAAAUAAAUCAGUAAAUAAGUAAAUACAUAAGGAGGGGGACAUAAAUCAAAUCUCCUAAAGCAAAUAUAAGUCAAUAAAAAUAGAAAGAGAAGUAUAAAACGAUCAAUAAAUAAGCAAAUACAUAAGUAGGGGGACGUAAACCAAACCAAACAUCCUAAAGUAAAUGUAAGUUCAUAAGAAUAGAAAGAAAAGUAUAAAAUGAUUAAAUGGAAUAAAAAAGUCAUCAAUCCUAACUUCUGACAUGAGGACCAGUCUCUGCAUCCAAAUACAGAAUACCAGAUAAGCCUGCAGGAAGAUCCCGAGAACACAAGAAAUGUCGAUUAACCCGAUGAGUACAAGCCUAAUUGGCCAAAAAAUCUGCAGCAGAAGUGGCCUCUCAAAAGACAUGCCUCACCGAAAUUAGAAAAGAAGAAAUCAAAGCACACACUCGACGCAGCGAAUAAACAUAAUCCCAACGAACAUGACCGUAGGAAUGAAUCCACGAAACCGCCGUGGCCAAGUCUGACUCUACCUCAAGCACAGAGUAAUCAAGCUAAACAUCAAGCUCCUACCCGUCACAAACUAUCAUAAGCUCAGUGUAAAGGAUCGGCUAGUAGCCAAGAAAAGACCGAAAAGUAGCCAAAAACCACACCGUGAUGAUCACAGAGAAUAUCACCCGAAGCAGCCAUCCUAGGAUUGCCCCUAGAGCAACCAUCCACAAUCAACUUUGCAACCCCAGGAGGCGCCCUCAUUCAAGAAACUAUUCAAAACGGUCUCUUGGGUGGAGUUAUGAUCGCAAACCCUCCACAAUCUGAGUACACAAAACUUCCCUCAACUGAGCAGACUUAAAACCAAAGAAGUUAGCAAACCAAAGGAAUUAGCAAGCCUGAGAUCUGAAACCACCCUAUAAAUAAUCGUAUCAAUAGAGAAAGGCUAGGAACCUGAAAGUAUUGUGAGCCUUCCAAAGGUUGCUGCUUCCAUGAAUAGGGUAAAGUUAAAGUGGAGGAUUAAUAAUUCCCGUUAAUAAUAAAACAUAAUUCUAAUGUAAUUUAGAUUACAUUAUAAAAGUCUAUUUUAUUAAAAAAAUGGUAAUUAUUCACCAACUACUUAUUUUUUUGAGUUUUUUUAAAAAUACACAAUUCUUUUUUUUACUAAAUUCCACUUGAAGUUAUAUUUUUUUGCACAUGUACACUUCCGUUUGAGGACUGUUAUAACAUUAUUAACGUCAUAGGGGCAAAUUGGUCAUUUCACCAGUGCAGCCCCAAAACGAUGUCGUUUUGCAACUUUGAUUAGAGAGAAAGGAAAAGAAAAAGGCAAACUAGUCAAGAGUAGGGCAAAUAAUGAGAAUAGUCAUUUUUCGUUCACACAUUAGGUGACCCACCACCAUGCAUGAAGAACCAGCAAAGAAUUAUAAUUUUUUAUUUAUGGGGCAAAACAAUCAUUUGCUCAAGAUUCCAUUAGUUUUCUUAACAUUCUCCAGACAGAAGUGGACAUGUGCAAAGAAAUGUAACUUCAGAAGGAAUUUCGUAAAAAAAAAUUAGGUUUUUAAAAAAAAGUUUGAAAAAAUAAGUGAUCGAUGAAUAAUUAUCUUAAAAAAAAGGUAAAAGGAAUUUACCAAAAACACUGAUGGCUCCUUUGGCGGCUGUUGCGAUGAUAAUUUCAAAUUAAAAUUUUCAACAUAAAGUGCUCUGCAGCUUUGUACUUGUCAAAGUGGGAGUAGGUGGAAGCUAGAGUGUUGGAGUAGCUAAGGGCAAAUAAGUGAAAAAAAUGAAGUAGUGAGUAGUAAUUGAAUGUAAUUUUAUUUUGAAAAUGGUGGUAAAAAUGUAACUAAAUACUUUAUUGUUAAUAAAACAAAAAUUACUUUAUACGAUCUGGGGAAAAAAAAAGGAAGAGUAAUGGACACAUGUCCAACACACAAACGGUGAGUGAGUCAGUGACUGGCACCCAAAACGAACGAUUGACCACAACACUGCUCUGUAUGUUUUAAAUUAUCACUACUUCACCAAUUAAUGAAUGUGGUUAAAUUGGUCAUACCAACUUAGAAUAUCAAGUUAUAUAAAUUAGGAAAAAUUGUGGUGCAACUGUAGUACCGUAUUACAGUUACAUUCAGCUGUUGGAUCUCAAUAUACUCCACCUAUUCAAGUGGAUCCAACGGCUGGAUGCAACUGUGGCAUGGUACCACAAAUACACUGUAGUCAGACCCAAAUAUAAACUUAUAGGCUUUUUACUAUUUCAUAAUUAAAAAAAAAUCAAAGAUUUAUUUAUGGGCGAAACCUUAUUAGGUUUCAAUACACUACUUCUUGCUUACAAGGUGUUUUAUUUCCUCUCAAAAGAUUAAUCUCAGUUACAUAUUCUAAAAUUAAUCUCAAAAGAUUCAUUUCAAUUUCAUUCAGCAUUUGAAAUGAAAAAAGAUAAAAUAGGGCCAUUCUAGUAAAAAAAAAAGUACAUUAUCAGUAGUGGGAAAAAAUUGAAUUGUUGAAUAAGAUCCAAUGGUUCAUAAUAAUUAAUUAAGAUUAACUUAAAUUUUUAAAAUUGACUGCCUUUUUAAGUGAGAGUAAUUAAGACAAAGAGCUGAAAAAUAAUGUCCGCAUUUUUUUUCACAUGGUAGUAAUCUACCAAAACACAAUUCUUUUAAUUGAGAUUCAACAAUAAAAGCAGUACAAAUAUGACCUUUGUAAGAAUAAAUCUAACUAGUUAUACUUUGUAUCACAACAUUAUACGUCAAUUAAAGAAGACAUAUAUUCAUUCUUAUAUAUCAUUACAUUUUUGCAUGAUUGGAUUAAUAUUUUAUUUUAUAAAAAUUAGAGAUUGGGAGCUGGCCAUUUAUGUUUAUGCACUAUGAGAGUAAAACCUUUCCACUCAUAAAGUUAUAAGAAAUAGUCUUUUGAGGAUAAUAAAUUAUUACUACCUUUUUAUAUGAGUAUGACAUUCAUGGGAGGUUAAUCUUUAAUAUUAGAUUACGAUGGUUAGACUCCGAAGUUAAGCUUAUCAUUGUGAUCACCGAGAGGUAAGUAAACUAGAGCUUAGACUGGGAUCACAAUAAACAUAUGUAUUUGUGUGGAUUUUGGAAAGAUUAUUUUGAUAUUUGCAUUAUAAACGUUUUUUACUAGUAUAUUUAACAUUGUGUUUAUAUAUGCUUUAGCAUAAGCACGGGUAUGCAAAUUUUUCUUUCAAGUCUUCAUAUGAAAAGAAUUAUGUCACUACUAGAAAAAUGGGCUUUACUGACGCUUUGCAAAAGUGUCAGUAAUUAUGUACAUAUACACCAUUUUCCACUUUUGAAAAAUAGGAAUCACAGAUUAAUGAUAAUGGGGUGUCAGUAAAUUAAACAUCAAAGAUCACUGACAUCAAAGUAUCAAAGAUAAAAAAAAAAUUCAUAAAAAUUUGUUUUAGCUCCAACUCGAACCUGAGAGCUCUAAGAUUUAAAGCUUUAAUGUUUGGAGCACAGACCAUCAAAUCUCGAUGAAUCAAAGUCAUAAUAAUAUUUAAAUUAUUAAAAAAUAAAAAUAUAAAUAACAACAACAUAAAACUCACACUUAAUGACUUUUCCCCAUCUACCCAGACUGUACAUCGACUAUCUCUAUCUUGGUUUUAUCGUUCUCUUUCUCUUUCAUUUUUCUCUUCUCGAUCUCUUCUGUUUUGCACUAUCCAUUUACAAAUGAAAUUCAAUUAAUUUAGAUAGAUAAUGAAAAGCUAAAACUCCGUUUUGUUUUUCCAUUUUCCCCAAAUUGAAAAACAAACCAAAACCCUAAUCGCUUGUUAUUGAAGGGGUUUUUUCUCCAACUAAACCAUCCAGUGCCUAUAUUAGGCAAGCAAGUAAAAGCCAUCGACAAGGGGUGAAGUGGCACCAUCGGUUGCGUAUUCAAGUAAUCUCAUUCUCCCUCACAAGUUAAGUUCAGAGAAAGAACUGUAGAGGAGGUUAUCAGCUGGUAAUGGCUGAAUAUUUUAUUUUUUUGGGCAAUUUAAUUAAUGGGUUUGUUUUAAUUUGCCUUAUGAAUAAUAUUUUUUAAUUUUAAUUUUUGGGUUGUUUCAGAUGUUCAGAAAUUGAACUGUAGUGCGACCCUGGUGGGUUUUGUUUUCCAAAAUUUUUUUAUUUAAUUUUAACUUGAAAUUUUUGUUCUUAUUUUUCUAUAUCUUCACUCACAUACAGUCCAAAAAUACAUGCAUUUUAAGUGGUGCAUUACUUAAACUCAAAACACUUGUUGCUGCGACUCUAUUUUUUCUGCCACAUUUGAGGUCAGUUUAAAACUUUUGUGCAUGUGAUUUACUGUCAUUGUUAUUUAAAACUAAGAAAGUGCAUUUUUUUUAGUUUAUGAAAUAAACUAUUAGUUCCGUUUCUUAACACUAUUAGUUCCGUUUCUUAACUUUGAUUAAUAAGUUAGUUCAUUUUGAAUGCACUAAAAUAUGAAAUUUCAUUUUAGCUUUUGCCUUUCUGAUUAGGAGAUGAUUGUUUGGGUAUUAUAUUGGUUGAAUGAUUGUGUAUUUAGUGGUUACGAACUAUUUACAUCUCUGUUUCAUGUAAAGAGAGGCAAAUUUUGUUAUAUAAUUUUACUUGUUUAUUUAUUCUGUUUUGGUUGGAAGAUUUGUAAUAGAGACAAUGACUAUGAUAUGAAUUAAUUAAGUUCGUGGUUGUGAGUAUUUUGAGAUUGUAUAAAGUUGAUGAUUUGUGUUUGAUUCAAGAAAGAAAUAUUUGUUUUAAGGUAGUUCUGCAUGUUGUAUUUGACGUUAAAAAGUGAUUUAUAGAAUCUUAAAAAAUGGUUUGCAAAGUGUUAUGAAGACAUUAUUUAUUUGAACUCUUAACUUUUGUUAGUUUCUUGACUUAUGAAUUAGUUCGACUCCUUAAAAAGCCAUUAGCGCUCAUCUUACCUAUUAAUCUCCUAUUUAAGUUUCAAAGCUUCUUUUGUUUCAAUUUCAGGAUUUUGUCUAAAUUAUUAUUAUAAUUAAUGAUUUAUAGGGGCUAUUAGUGAUUUUCCAGAAUUAUGAGUUUAUUAUUGCAACUAUAAUCAUAAUAACAUUGAACAUUAAAUUAAUCAUGCAAUUUAAUUAAACUUAAACUGACAUUACAUAUGUGAACAAGUAAAAUAUUUGAAAUGGACAGAACUUGGAUAACUUGUGAUAGAUUGUCUGUAGAGUAUCGUUCUGGAGUUGCUGAUUUCUUAGAUUUUGCCAUUUUGAAUAAUGAAAACCGAAUGUCAAUUAGAUGUCCUUGCACCUUUUGUUGUAAUAUGGAGUUUCAUACUCCUCAACAGGUGAAGGAUCAUUUAUUUGAAAAAGGUUUUCUCCCAAGAUAUAUUGUUUGGACUUGGCAUGGUGAGACUGACUCUAAAUCUACAUUUACAAAGUGUGAAGACCAUUCACAUAGUCAAAGAUUUAGAUGUCAUGAUUACAGUAACAUAAUUGAUAUGGUUGAAGAUGCUUACGAGCAUUGUGAUAGAGAUCAUAGUUCUUUUAAGGAUAUGCUUGAAGAUGCUGAAAAGCCUUUGUACCCGGGUGCAAAACAUUCAAAGUCAUCUAGUUUAAUGAGACUUUACAAUGUGAAAGGGAAUUAUGGGUGGUCCAAUAAAGGGUUUUCUGCUUUGUUAGAAGUCCUUGCUGAUAUUUUGCCAAAUAAUAAUACUUUACCUAAGUCAAUGUACGAGGUUAAGAAAACAAUGAAAGUGCUAGGCUUAGAGUAUGAAAAAAUACAUGCAUGUUCAAAUGACUGCAUUUUGUAUAAGAAUGAAUUUGCUGAUCUUGUUGAAUGCCCAAAUUGUGGACCAUCUAGGUAUCAAAGAGAAAAAGAUAGCUCAACAAAAUUUAGGAAAUGGGUUCCUAAAAAGGCAUUAUGGUAUUUUCCACUUAUUCGUAGGUUGAAAAGAUUGUUUCAAUCACUACAAACAGCUCAAAAUUUAACAUGGCAUGCUAAUAAAAGAAUUAGAGAUGGAAAACUUCGCCACCCAGUAGACUCACCAGCCUGACAACUAAUUGACAAUAAGUGCCCAAAAUUUGCACGAGAACCUAGAAAUCUCUGUUUAGCUCUCUCAACUGAUGGGGUUAACCCACAUAGUACACUUAGCACUACUUAUAGUUGUUGGCUUGUUAUAUUAAUAACAUAUAAUCUUCCUCCAUGGUUGUGUAUGAAGAGAAAGUUUUUGAUGUUGUCUCUUUUGAUAUUUGGCCCUGAAUAACCUAAAAAUGAUCUAGAUGUAUACCUAGCACCUUUGAUUGAUGACUUAAAAACUCUAUGAGAUGUAAGUAUUGAUGUUUAUGAUGCUUAUAGAAAAGAAACCUUUAAUUUACGGGCUGUCUUGAUGUAGACAAUCAGUGACUUUCCAGCAUACAAAAACCUCUUUGGUUGUACUGUUAAGGGCUAUUAUGCUUGCCCAAUUUGUGGGAUAGACACUUGUGCAUGUUGGCUGCCACAUAGUAGGAAAGUCUCAUAAAUGGGCCAUCGCCGCUUUCUACCACUUGGUCACCUAUUUCGAAAACUGAAAAAAGUUUUUAAUGGGAAGUAAGAGUGGAAUGAGCCUCAUAAAACUUCAUCUAGUGAGAAAAUCUUUAAUAUGGUGGAAGAUAUUGAUAUUAAGUUUGGGAAAAAGAAGGCCAAAAAGCGGAAACAUGAUGGCGGUGGUGGCAGUGAUGGUGAUGAGAACAUAACUGAAAAAUUGUACAAAAAAAAGUCAAACUUUUUUUACUUAGAUUAUUGGAAGCAUUUAUUAGUUUGCUAUCAAUUAGAUGUGAUGCACAUUGAAAAAAAUGUGUGCGAGAACAUAUAUGGCACAUUACUUCAUCAACCAGGCAAAACAAAAUAUGGGAUUAAUGCUAGAAAAGAUCUUGAGUCUUUGAAGAUCAGGGGAAAACUAAUUCCUGAUGAAACAAACAAAAAAAACAAAGUCCUACCUCUAGCUCCAUACACUUUGAGUAAAAAAAAAAUAUAUAUAGUUUUGUGAAACCUUGCUGAGUGUGAAAGUCCCUGAUAGGUAUUCUUCCAAUGUCCAAAACCUUGUUUCAAUAGAUGAUUGUCGGCUUCAAGGCCUUAAGUCCCAUGAAUGUCAUACUUUGAUGCAAAAAUUUCUACCACUAGCCAUUUGAAAUUGUUUGCCUAUAAAUGUGAGUAGGGCCAUAAUCAGGAUGUGCUUCUUUUUUAAUACAUUGUGCUGUAAAGUGGUAGAUCCUAAUACUCUUGACCAAUUGCAAGAGGAACUUGUAAACACUUUAUGCUUACUACAACAGUACUUCCCACAUAACUUUUUUGACAUAAUGAUCCAUUUAACAGUCCACGUAGUUGAACAAGUUAGGUUAUGUGGGCCUGUUUAUCUUCGAUGGAUGUAUCCUUUUGAGAGAGAAAUGAAAACUCUCAAGGAUUAUGUUCGUAAUCGCUACCGCCUUGAGGGUUGUAUUGUAGAAAGUUAAAUUGCAGAAGAAGCACUUGCAUUUUGUGCUGAGUACCUCUCAAAUUGUGAUGUUAUUAGGCUGCGUACUGGUUGUCCAAUUGAUUUAUCUGUCGAAAGACCUUUGGGAGGUGCAAACAUAAAGGUGGUUGAUGAUCCUUUGCUGGCACAAGCACACCGGUGUGUUCUAAUGAACACCCUUGAAAUCCAAAUAUAUAUCGAGUAAGUUGUUAAUUUUUCCAAAAAAAUAUUACUAUUGUAUUAUAAGAUUACUAUACUAGUUUUUAAAUCUUAAUAUGGUCUCACUGUAGGGAGCAUAUGCAUUAUUUGGCAUUAAGAAACCCCUAUAAGGCAAAAACAAAUCUGUGGUUGCAAAAUGAACACAUACGUACAUUUUCUGGUUGGUUACAAGCAAAGGUUAGAAUAACUUAACUAAAUACAAUAUAGGAUAUAAACUUAAAUAAGAUUUUUCUACAUGUAACUAAUUAUUGUACUUGUUAAUUUAAAUUAUAAGUAGCACAUGAUAAAGCAAAUAAUGUGCUGAUUGACGAAAUAGUUUGGUGGUUGGCAAACAAACCACGCUCAAGCGUGGUGACCUUCUCUGGCUACGAGAUCAAUGACUUCAAUUUUACAACGAGGGACCGAGACAGUAAUCGUGUGACCCAAAAUAAUGGUGUUAGGGUUGUCACUAACACUCUACAAAUUUCAAGCUCAAAAGAUAAAAGUCCUCAUUCUGAAGACAUGACGUUUUAUGAAGUCAUUGAUGAGAUUUGACAGCUUGAUUAUCUAAUGGUUAAAAAAACACUUUUCAAGUGUGAUUGGGUAGAUGAUAGAGGGGUUUGCACUGACAAUUUAGGUUUCACUGUAGUUAAUUUAAAUCGGAUUGGCUAUAAAUCUGAUUGCUUUAUUCUAGCUUGUCAUGCAAAACAAGUAUUUUAUGUAAAGGACCAGCUAGAUAAUAAUAAAUCAAUAGUUUGUUCAGUGACUGACAAAGCUUAUAAGUUAAAUGGGGAAAGAUGUGAAGACGUGGAUGUAUUUUCUCAAUUAUCUAACAAACUUCCAAUAUGUGAGUUGGAUGAGAAAGAUGACAAGGAAUUUAUGACAAAAAAGAUUGUGAUGCUAUUUCAAUAGAUAUUGAUUUAGAAAAUCAGUGAAUGCAUUAUUGUAGUUAGUUUCCAGCACCAAUUUUCACAGUUUUCCAGUAAGUGAUUUAUUUAUUUCAUUAUAUGUUUUUGCUCUUGUAUUAACUUAUUAAUCUAAAUGAUGUACUUAUUUAUUUUAAUCAUUUUCAGGAUUGUAGGAGAUGGCUGAAGAUGCUGAGUUCACUCUUUCGGAGCUCGACGGAAGACCAAGGAGAAGAAAACAACAAGGCUUGCAAAAAUAAGAAGUUAGUCAUGCAGGUGCAAUUGAGUACAAUUCUUAUGGUGUUUCAGUUGGAAAGGGAAGAAAUGAUCUUAGGAGUUACAUUGGAGUCAUUGUACGUGAAACAAUUUCAAUUUUACUUGAUGAUUGGAGGCGUGUGCCACUAGAGAUGAAGGAAACUUUGUGGCUUCAUUUUCAUGUUUUGUUUACUUGUUUAAUAAUAGUUUAAAGAUUUUAUAUAACUUCUAGAUUUGUUUAAAGUUGUUUCUAAUCCAUGUUAUUGGUUUACAGAAAAAUUCAAAUUGAGCUUGAAAUGCAAAAGCCAAGUGUUAAAGUGGAUGAUGGUUGCAUCAAGAAACUUUCGAAGUGAAUUGGCAACUGAAUUCAUUCUACCUAACAAGGACGAUCGAAAGUCACUAAAGUUGCCUCAUAUUGAAUAUCCGAGCAUUAAAAAGGAAGAUUGGAAACUUUUUGUUGACAAAGUUUUGUCUGAACAAUUUCAGGUGUGUUGUUUGUUAAUAUUACCUGAUUUAUUUAUUGCUAGUUACUAAUAAUCAAUGGUAACCUUUUAUUCUUCAUAUAAACUGUUUGUACAGGAAAAAAGUAAAAAGGCAAAAGACAAAAGAGCAAAGAAUGUCUACAACCAUCGCUUGGGUAGCACAGGAUACGGUGGCAUGUUGUAUAGAAAAGUAUGUGUGGUAAAUAAUCUAAUUACAGUAACAUAAGUAAUCUAAUACAUAUAAUAUAAUAGAAUCAAUUAUUUAUGUUUUAUGUCACCUUGUAACAGAAAAAUGAGAGUGGAGUUUCUGAGCGGGAGAUUGACCGCAGUGAAGCUUGGUUAAUGGCACGAGCAGAUCGAGAUGGCAAAUAUACUUCUGAUGUGACGCCAAUUGCUGAGAAAAUAGUAAGUCACUUGUAUACUUAAUUCUUAUGAAUUUUCUUUAUAAUGUGUGUGUGUGUGGGUAAAUAUUUACGUACAUAUAUAAUGCUUUUUGUAAUAAUUGUAUGGUAACAUUUACAAGUGACAGAAGCUCAAUAAUACUUUAUCAGAACUUAUUUGUUCGCAUAUAAAAAGGUUAAAACUUGUGUGCAUGUGUGUUUGUAUGUGUAAUGAAAGAGAUGUCUAGGAGAUCAAGCGCUUGUGCGAGGUGCUGUCUUAUAAUAUUUUAUGUAGUUUCAAUUUGAACUGUAUAUGGACUUGCUCUGUGUUGAAGAUUCAAGAAGGAUAUUAGUUUAGUUUAGCUGAUGUCUUGUACUCGCAAUUGCAGAUUUACAAUAUUUUUUUUUUUGUAGAAUGAGCUGAAGAGUCAAGUUGAACAAGGAACAUUCCAAUCACAAGGGUCACAUGACAUUCUAGGCGAAGCUCUUCAGAAGCAGCCAAAUGGAAGCAGGGUGCAAGGAGUGGGGCAAUUCGUCACCCCAUCUAUGUACUUUUAUGUCCCUGAUGCCACUGAGUUAGCAAGAGAAAGAAAGAUGUAUCAAGAGAGUUUCCAAUUCAUGUCUGCUCAAUUAGAACGCAUGAAUGCAAGGUUAAAUGCGUACAUCAAUACUGAAGUUGGAAGUUCUAACUUUCCUAAGCCCAAAACUUCCACUAGUGUUCAGAUUGACAAUGAUCAACAAUCCCCUAAAACUCUUGGAAAAAGAAAGGUAUAUGGCCUGUUACAUGUCAUUAUUUUAUUUCUAUCAUGUAUUACUACUAAUGGUAUGUAUUUUGAUUAUUGCAUAGGCUGAUUUCCCAUCGGGCAAGUCGACUCUAAAAUCUGUGAAGAGUAAAAUGAAGGACACUCCCACCACAAUUUCCCAAGCAACUCCUCAACAAAUCCCCGAAAAAGUAGAGUGUGAAAUUACUUCAAUUUAACAUGGUAUCAGAGCCAUACUAAAAACAAAAAUGGCGUUCUCAAGCUCAAAUCCAAACACAGCAAUCUAUGUUUCUUCAUUUACUUUCACUUCUCCUAUUAAGCUUGAUCAAUCGAACUACACAAUCUGGAAAUCUCAGAUUCUCUCUUCAGUACGUGCAAAUGGUCUUGAAGAUCAUCUUGAUAGCUCUAAAUCAUGUCCAGAUCAAUUUCUUCAAAGUGAAUCUGAGAACUCUGAAGUUGAAACUCAAACAAAUCCAGCAUUCACCACUUGGAAAAGGAAGGAUCAGAUGCUGCUGAGCUGGAUGUUGUCUUCCAUAAAUCUCGAAAUUCUCAGCCUUGUGGUAAACUCUGAAACUUCACUCGAACUUUUGACUAGUCUUGUGCAAUAAUUUGGAUCUGAAACCUUUGCUAAAAAGGUUCAUCUUAAGAUGAUGCUUAAUAAUCUUAGAAAAUGUUCAAUGUUUAUGACUGAAUUCUUUGGAAAGCUGAAAACAAUAACUGAUGAUUUAGCAAUAGCUGGAACCCCUGUUACCUCUCUGGAUUUUAUUACACAUCUGAUCUCUGGGCUAGGCCAACCAUACUACCUUGUGGUCGUGUAUAUUGAAGCAAAUCUUGCAAAAAUGACUGUUAAUGAAGCUUACUUAAUGCUUUUAACUUAUAAAGCUAGAUUAGAAGCACAUCAGUCAAAUGCUAGUAAGGAAACUAAAUUGACCUAUGCUGCAAAUGUUGCUCAAACUGGAACCAAUACUAAAUUUGGAGGACAAAAUAAUGCUAACUGGAUUAGGAAUGGAAAUAAUAAUAAUGGUGGCAGAGGAGCUUUUGGUAGAGGCUUUUCACAAGGCCGGGGUAGAGGAAAUUGGAAUGGUGUUUGGAAUAAUAAUGCCCAGCCUGGAAAUUAUCAAGGCAGAGGUGGAUAUGGUGUUAACAAUGGCAAUAACUUUGGUGCUAAUAAUGGAAAUUUUGGUGGCUUCACUAAUGGAAAAGGUGCUUCAGAUCCAAAUGGAGCUGUUGUAAUCUAUCAAAUAUGCUUUAAGCCAAAGCAUACUGCAGCUGAAUGCAGGAACAUAUUCAACAAAGAAUUUGUGCCUUAUUACAAUCCAUAUUCAGGCUAUAAUUCAUAUCAGAAUCCUGGACCAAGAGCUUUCUAUCCAAAUUCAGCACCAAGAGCUGCUUUUCUAGCAACUUCUGAAGGUGACAUGGCUGAUCAAGGCUGGUAUGUUGACAGUGGGGCAACACAUCAUCUCACCAACAGUCUGCAGAACUUGAAUCUUAGAAGAGAAUAUUCAGGUAAUCAAUUAAUGCAUGUUGGUAAUGGCCAAGGUCUGAAAAUUACACACAUUGGAUAUACUUGUCUUCCCACUUCCUGUGAUUCUUUUAUGCAUUUACAAGAUAUCUUGUGUGACCUUAUCUCACUAAAAAUCUCAUAAGCAUUUCCAAAUUACUUGAAGAUACCAAUUUAAUCAUUGAGUUUGUUGCCAAUAUGUGUUUUAUUAAGGACAAGAGGAAGGGAGUGCAUCUGGCUCAAGGGAUUGCUAGAGGAGGAUUGUAUAAGUUGCUGUCUAAGAAUGAUUUUCUCUCCAGUUCAUGUGUCAUCAAUCAUAAUCCUAGUUCUAUGCUUUCUGUUUUUAACCAGUCAGCUUGUAACUUUUCUGGUUUGUCUUUGAAUGAAGAUUGUACUCAAACAAGUAAUCCUCAUAGUAUUUUGAGCACUGUUAACCCAGUUAUGUUUGCUAAUGUGUUACACCAAAGAUUUAGUCAUCCUAAUAAACAUGCAUUGAAAGGCAUAUUAUCUUCUCUUGCACUUCCUGCAUCUAUUCCUGAUUUUUGUGAUGCUUGUCAAUAUGGUAAAAUGCAUCAACUUUUUUUCUACUCUACAAGCAUAAAAACAAAAACUCCUUUAUGGAUUGAUGUGUGGGAGCCACCUCUCUAGUGCCAAUAUACCGUGAAGUGCCAUGAAUAGUGCAAAGUGCUACAUGCAGGGUAUGUAUUUUUGAAAAAGACAAUUGAAGUUUUAAUAAGUUUGUUAUUUACUUAUUAGGCACCUAUACACGUUCAUGUGGAGCCUUUUGAUAUGUGUGGUCUUUCUUUCAAAUUAGUAGAUAACUCAUGAUCAUUAUAUGAUAUAUGAUAUAUGUAGUCUUACUAAGUAGCAACAAUUGUGGAUAUUCCUAAAAUAAGUAUGAUAAGAUUUAUUAAGUGAUUCAUGAAAUAUGAAGCCUAUGAAUGAAAGUAAGUUUAUACUCAUGCCAAUCCAUGCAUAUGCAUUGUAUAUAUUAUGUAUUUAGUUCGCUAUAUGAAAAACUAAUUUCCUUAUUGAGUUUUUUACACACAUUAUAGUUUAUUGUGACUUUCAGAUGGCUGAUGGAUCUAACGUGUGAUGGAUUUGGCAAAUCUGCUCACAUUCUUUGGUUCCCUUAAUUUUAGAAGAUUUUUUGACAUGUGUGUUUUAACUAGAUUUUGGCAAAGAGGGAAAACUAGCUAAAUACAAUGAAUUUAUAAACUACAAGGGUUGUGGUGCUUAACAUAGCUAGGUGUGUUGUUUGUUUGAACUUUCCUUGAAGCUUCAAAAAUAAUGGAAAUGAUGGGGGCUUGGAUGAAAUCUAAAUCUAGAGAGGAUUGGUUUGGAGGGCUAUGUUUAACCUGCAAAAUGGAGAAGACUAGUUACAGGUAGAGUUAGCCGUGGCUGGUGACUACACUUUGAUGCUCAAGUUAGUUUUGAAGCUAUAUUUUUGUCCCAAGAGUGGUGACUAGAGGUUGAAGAAAACCCUCAGCCUUAUUAUUGCGUAUGUUUUUAACAAGUGAGAAAAAUAUAACUUGAGCAUCUUUAUGUAAAGCACUUGGGGUUACAUCUUUCACCAUGCCACCUAGUGCAUUUCUAUUGGUGUUAUUUGUUGCCUUGGUAAGGAUAUUUCUAUCAUUUUACCCAUACGACCUUUUGGCCCUUUAAAGCAUGCUCAGAGAGUAAGUUGGCGUGUUAUUUUCAUUAUUACACGUGUUGGACUCUACUAGGUGGUCCAGCAUGUCUUUACAAAGACCACCCUGCAAUUAAUGGUGUGUUAAUUAGGACAAAUGAUCCCAACUAUUUUAAUGAGCCGUUUUUGGCUUUUUUACAAGUGUGGCAACCUACUAUUCCCUCUUUCUAAGUAGUUCCUUAUUGUCCGGUGUUUUCCUACCUAUUGUUGUCUUGCUUCUCUGAUUGUCCAGUGUUUAAAUAUAUACAUGUAAAUAUUCCCUUUUUGACUUGUAUACAUAUUACUUCUUGUAUUUUAAGCCUUGUAUCAGCUAUUAGGACUGUGAAAGUCUGCUUCACCAGAAAGCCUGAUCAAAUAAGGGUAUUUAUCUGCCACUUCCUACUGUUAAAAUUUUUCAUUGUUAGUCAAAUGGUACGAAAUGCCUUAUGUGUAGAGGCGGUAACCAAGAUUCAGAACUCUUAAUAUGCAUGAGUUCAUUUAUUUCUUAUUGUUUUCAUUCCAACUUCCAUUUUUGGCAAAUGUUUCCUUUGUUUAACACCUCAUUGAGUGGAAUAAGUUUUAGUUUGCAUGAGAGAAUUAACUACCGGAAUUCCACUGUAAACUUUUCUUUAGCUGCAAGAUCAUGCAAUGAUGAGUACGAAGCUUGGGAGCUUCUUAUUGAGCUGGUUGAUGGAUUUUUUAAGGUACUAUAUUUGACCAUUAAAGUCUGAUCCAUUAAUUGCCCCUAUUAUAGUCUUAAGCCAUGUGACUGUACAUUAUAAUUAUUCAAAAAGGUGCACUUUAACAUUCCCCUCACGUGUAAGGCUGGCAAAUGAUAAUCAAACAACAAUGUGAACAACACGCAGAGCAAAUAUUAGUAACCAAAUAAAGUACAGAAAUAGGGUUGGCCAAUACCGGGAUUGCUCUACCCUAGGUAUGUAACAUUAUUUAGUACUCUAUUUAGUUUACUAAUUUUAUUUGUGCCAAUCUGAAAACUUAUAAUUCAAGUGCUAACUUUCUCUCACUAUUUUUCAACCUUUUAUUGAAGUGAUCAAGAAGACGUUGGGAGUUGAGAUCAUGCAAAAAGGGGGUGUUCUAUGAGUUGUUUUGUUCUUUUCCUAGCUUAUCCCUUCUAUCUCUACUUAAUUGAAUAUUAAAAAUCCAAAUUAAAUUUUGUGUAUGUUUGGGAAGGAAAUAUGAGGCCAAUGAUGAAGCGCCACGUGUCGAUAUUUAAGAGAUUAAUUUAUCUCGGGUACCUUAGGUACCUCGGGUAUCCUAGGUACGCCGGCUACCCUAAGCACUCCAGGGGUACCUCGGGUACACCAUGAGAGGAUACAAAAGUCUUCGUAAAUAUGUGAAGGGAUAUGUGGGCCCCGAAUCUCAAAAAGACCGGUUUGAUACGUGUCAAAAAAUAAGGAAAUCUCGUGCCGCAAAGGAGGAGACAGCGGCCUGUCACGCCAGCGAAUCCGCUAAAAGUGUGAUAUUGUGACAGUUGGGACCACCAACUUUUCCUGCUACGCCUGCAAAAUUACAACGGAAUUGCAGAGGUACGCGGGACCACUCCACUACGCCCAGCACGUGAAUACGCCACAAACUUGCUCUCCACUCAUAAUUUUGAAACGUUUAAACCGCCAUACACAUGAAAAUAAGAAUAUUACUGACAUGACAAUAGGCAAGGCCACUAAAAUAGCGCCAGGUGGCACGACAACCGGGGUACACCAUAUAAAUACUCAGGUUUGAUUUUUAUCAAGGAGGUAAACACACUCACCACCAAAGAAACUAGGGGUUUCUUCAACCUCAAAACCUCCAUUACCGAGAGCUUGUAAGCUCUCUAACCUGAGAUAACCCAACUCUGACUUGAGCGUAGGAGUGUCGUCGCCGACCACCCUCGGCUCCACCUCUGACCUCUUUUUUGGUUGUUUCGCAGGUUUAAGGCGAGUUUCACCAGCCCUCCACACCUGAAGUCAGCCCUCCUCCAUAUCCACCGCCAUCUCAAUCCUCCUCCACUCCACAAAAAGCCUAAACAGCCUGCACGUGCUGAACAAGCAAGGUACCCCACUCCCCGAAAAAAAUAUAAAUUUAUUGCUCUUGGGUUGGUUUUGUGGUUUUUUAUUCAUUGACCCAAAAUCAACCGCAAACAGUGUACAUUUUUUCAAACAUUUAUUGCAGUGACAACCAAAUGUUCAAUAUGUUUCUAAAGAUAUUGGGAAUAUUGGCACUUGAGGAGUGUUUAAUCCUUGUUUUAGCUCUUUAUUUAUUUAUUUAGCUUCGUUUAUCAUUUUUAUUAUUUACGACAAACAUGCUUAAGUGUUUUUUUUUUUUGGAUACUCUGACUAAUUGGGUGUACUUUUGCCUAUAGGAUAUAACCUCUGAAAGUUCUGUAAAAGUAUUUUCUAGCAACUAUUCUAUAUAUCUGCUUCGGGAUGCAUGGCCAUAUGUAGAGAAACGCAAGCUUUUUCUUUAUUUUUUCCACAAAUUUUUACACUUGAAUUAUGGUCGAUCUCUAUGUUAUAUGAGUUAAUUCUAUGCUUAACUCCUCUCACUUAGUCAUUUGUUUGGUUACAGAAAGGCUACAUGGAUUCUUCUUAAUUGUCAUUUUCCAAUCUUAAAGGGAGCUUUAUUGUCGUGAUCUCAUGGACUUCUCAACUCGUUGUUUUAGUUGAUCGUGAUUAAUAUUGGAAUUAUUUUCUCCUAAAUUAGCCCUCUGUUGUGUCUGUCUUUGUCCUCUCCAUCUCUUUAUCUCUCUGUAUGUAAUUGUUUGGGUUAAUCUUCUUUUCCCAAUAACAGCUAUUUAUUUGGUUGUAGUGAUGCAUGGUGGUGCCUUCUUCCUUUUUUAUUUUUAUAAUAUUUUAAGUAGAAUCAGGUGUCGCGGAUUUCUCCAAAAAAAAAAAAAACUAUGAGUUUUCAAAGAAUAUUGAGAUAUUAUGCACUAGUCAAAGGGCCUGAUAUUCAUCUCUUUCCAUAGUUUCUUUUCAAACACUUUAAAUUCAACUUAUUGUUUCGUGAUUUCUUUCGUAAUAUGGCCUGUUAGAUGAAUUCUUGGGAAUAUUUUGAAGGCGGUGUGCUAUUUUCCACUUUGUUGUAUUUUAGUAUCGGAGUCAGUGUUCUCACGUUCUUGUUUGGUAUGUGUGCUUGCUCCACAAGGAAAAGAUUUAAGCAUGGUCUCUUAUCAAAUGCUGCUUAAAUAUCAAUUUUUGCUACUGAAAUUAUUAGUUUCUCUGAUCUUAAAGAGAAAAACUGUUGUUGUGGACUUUUUCAAUUCAUUGUUGGAGCAGCUAAGGAAUAUUUGGAUUAUUUUCUCUUAAUUUAGUUUUCCCUUAAUUUUCUCUUUGUUUAGCCAGUCUCUCUCUGUGUGUGAUCUUUUGGUUAAGUCUUUUGCCCAAUUUGUGUGAAGUUUUUUUGCUAAAGAGAAUGACUCAAGUGCUGACAAACUCUUGAGGUCAAUUGAAUGACUUGGAAAAUCCUUAUUUGUCAAUUAUCCAAGAGCCUACUGUUUCGAGGAUUACUCGGUCAUAAUGUUAUUCUUCUUGCAAGCGGCGAUACACUUUUCAUUCCUGAAGGCUGGUAUGAUUAAACACUAAAUUUUUACGACAAGGGUUUCCUUUGCCUGCAUCAAAAUCAAGAAUCUCUUUGUGGUUAGCUUUUCUUUCUUAAUUUGAUUAAUCACAUAUUGUUUUGUUAGUUUAUUCUGGAGUACGCUUACCACUGGUCGAUUGUUUCAGGACUUGAUGCAGGCAAAAUGAGACUUGACGGGUGCUAAAUCAAGCUUCUGCUUGUUUGUAGCGUAUUCGCAUGUCAGGUUUUCUCUUCACUUUUAAGAAGGCUGUGGAAUCAAGUAUGCAGCAAGGAACAUGUGCUUUUAGAUUUUGAAUACUUUUUUUCUUUUCUUUUCUUUUUUCAGUUCUUUCUCAUAGUUUUACUCCUAUAUAUAUCUGUUUGAUCCAUAAGUUUUAUGGCUUAUUUUUUCAAUUUUGUGAACUCUUAUUAUAGUGAUAGACGAACGGUCUUAGAACGUCUGUGAAUCUUACUGUCUGGUUUACUUAUCUCCCAAUUUGAUUAAAUUUUGGUAUAAGAUUAGCUCACAAACAUGAUUGUGUAUAUGACUUUGUUCUAUUUUCCCAUGGCUUUUAAGGAUAAAUUAUUGCUACUGUUUACAGUUUUAGGAUAACCCUUGUGCUGAAUCUAUGACCGCAGUCUGCCAAAGUUCUUGGACUCGUGGAUGAGGAAUUAACAUUUUAUAUUGCAUAAGACUUUGGUUUAAGCUGACGUUGAAUGAAAAUAUGUUAUAAUUUUUACUAUUUUUUGUUUUUUUAUUUCAAGUUUAUUAUGUUAUUCCAGAGUUUGGUUGGAAAAACUUAAAUCUUAUAGACUUGGAAAGAUUUCUUAUCUUUUUUUAUUAACUUUUGCAAUUUAUGUUGGGUCAAGUAAUAUUUCGGUUCUUUUAAAAAAAAAAAGGUAAUAUUUUUUGGUUGGUUCCCUUGAUUUUUUAAUAAAGUUUUACAAGUCAGUAGCUUUCUUUUUCCUUCAUUUGAUGAUACUUCAAGUUUCUUUUGAUUAACUUAGAUGAACUACAAGGACUUUCAUCUCCUAACUCUGUUUCGUUGAUUCUGGUUAUGAUAUAGUUUCGUGCAAUAUUGUUUUUUUUUUUUUUACUAGUAAGAGAUCUUUAUUAUCUACUGUAAUUAAUGUUAGAUAAUUUUUAUUUUUAUUUUUUUACUACUUUAUUUAAUCAAGUUGUAUUCCUUUUUUUUUCCUUAGCUGGUAAGUAAAGAAAGCUUGUUUUUUAAUAUUUUUUUAUAUUGAUAUUACAAUCAAAAGUCCAUAUAUGAUGGCAAUGAAAAUUUGUAAGUUCCGACAGGAAGUCGACACGUGUGCUAGGAUAUGCAAAGGACGAAAAUGACGGGGUUGCCCAUGAGGUACAAAGGGUUUAAAUUUUGCGUGCGUAAAUUUAGGAUUAUAAUUCUUUCAUAAUCUGAUCGUAUUCUAAGUAAAUAUUUACUUAUUGAUUAAUAAUAAAAUUUAAAUUCAAUAAAACUAAAAUGCCUGCCUUUUUUUAUUACUUGUGGUAAAAAAAUUCAAUACGGUUCACACCGUAUAUGAACACAUAAUUUACUUAUUGAUUAAUAAUAAAAUCCACAAGUAAUAAUUUACUUAUUGAUUUUAGCUGUGAAAAUGGUAUUUGUCCAAAUCACCAGCAUAAUCAGAAUCAACGUACCCGAUCACACCUUGACUAAGUGUAUCGUCUCUCUCAAACAGUAAACCAACAUCCAUGGUCUUAUGAAUGUACCGUAGAAUCCAUUUCACAGCUUGCCAAAGUCCUUUACCAGGAUUAUGCAUAUACCUGCUCACUAUACCUACUGCAUGUGAAAUGUCAGGCCUUGUACAAACCAUUGCAUACAUUAAGCUACCCACUGCAUUUGAAUGCGGAACUUGUAACAUGUAUUCUCGUUUCGCAUCUGUUGAAGGAGAUAAUUGUGCAGAAAGCUUAAAAUGAGAAGCUAAUGGGGUACUCACAGGUUUUGUCUGCUCAGACAUGCCAAACUACUGUAGUACCUUCUUCAAAUAUUACUUCUGAGACAAGCUUACUUUGCCACGAGCUCUAUCUCUACAUAUCUCCAUGCCAAGAAUCUUCUUAACUUCACCUAGAUCUUUAAUUUCAAAUUCUUGAUUGAGUUGAGUCUUCAACUUCUCAAUCUCAUCUUUGUUCUUCGAUGCUAUUAGCAUAUCAUCGACAUACAAUAGCAAAUAAAUGAAAGAUCGUUCUUGUAGCUUGCGAAAAUACACACAAUGAUCAAAUUUGUUUCUUGUGUACCUUUGUUCUUUCAUAAAUCGAUCAAAUCGCUUAUACCACUGCCUCGAAGAUUGUUUCAAUCUAUAAAACGACUUUGUCAAUUUGCAAACCCAAUUUUCAUUUCCAGCAACCUGAAAUCCAUCUGGCUGAGUCAUGUAGAUUUUCUCUUCCAAAUCACCGUGUAAAAAUGCAGUUUUUACAUCAAGUUGAACUAGUUCAAGAUCAAAUUGUGCAACCAUGGCUAGCAAAAUUUGAAUAGACGAGUGUUUUACAACUGGAGAAAAUACCUCAUUGUAGUCUAUUCAUUCCUUCUGAGCGUAACCCUUCGCUACCAAUCUAGCCUUGUAUCGAAUUUCAUUUUUACGAGAAAAUCCUUCAUUUUUUGCAUAUACCCAUUUGCACCCAAUUGCCUUCUUUUCCUUGGGCAGUGUAACUAACUCCCAAGUUUCAUUUUUGUGAAGAGAUUGCAUUUCUUCGUUCAUUGCUUUCUUCUAUUGUAUACUUUCUGGGUUACUUAUUGCUUCUUUGUAAGUGGAAGGAACAUCAUCAUUUACAAUAGGAAGUGCAUAAGCCACCAUAUCAACAAAGCGAGCAGGUCUGCGAAUCUCUCUACGUGGCCUUCUAUAUGCAAUUGAAUCUUGUUGUUGUGAAGGUUCCUGGGUCAGAACCUCUUCAUCAUCAUCGGUCGAUGGAGAAUCAUUAUUUGUCUCAUCGACACCAGCUGGAUCAGAUUUAACUUUUUCAAACUCCAUCUGCUGCAAAGUUCUACUGGUCUUCUCAUUCUCUUGAGAAUCGUUUUGUUUCAACAUGGCUGAUUCAUCAAAAGUUACAUCUCUGCUGAAAAUAAUCUUCUUCGUAACAGGACACCAGAGACGGUAUCCUUUUACUCCACCAGUUAGACCCAUAAACAAUGCUUUCUUUGCUCUUGGGUCUAACUUAGAUUCCUUUACAUGAUAAUAAGCAGUGAAACCAAAAACAUGUAAAGAAUCAUAAUCAGUAGCAGGUUUACCAGUCCACAUCUCCAUGGCUGUUCUGCCCUUAACUGUAGUUAAUGGCAAACGGUUGAUCAGAUGGCAUGCAUAUACAACUGCCUUAGCCCAAAACUCUUUGCUCAAUCCAGCAUUGGACAACAUACACCGAACUUUCUCUAGUAUAGUCUGGUUCAUGCGUUCUGCCACCCCAUUCUGUUGUGGUGUAUCUCGAAUAGUGAAGUGUCGCACAAUACCUUCAUCUUGGCAUAUUUGAAGAAAUUGAUAAUUCUUGUACUCACCACCAUUGUCUAAGCGAAGUCUUUUGACCUUUCGACCAGUCUGAGUCUCGACCAUUUUCUUUCAUUUCAGAAAUAAGCCCAAAACUUCAUUUUUGUUCUUCAUCAAAUACACCCACACUUUUCUUGAAUAAUCAUCAACAAAAGUAACAAAAUAGUGCAUACCUCCCAAAGAAGCUAUUUUGGUAGGUCCUCACACAUCAUUGUGAACAUAGUCCAGAAUCCUUUUUGUGUCGUGAAUUGUUGAACCAAACUUUACCCUUGUCUGCUUGCCCAGAUCACAAUGUUCACAAAAUUCUAAUUUGUAAGAAUUUGUACCUUUUAAUAAGCCCUGCUUCAUCAAAGUCUGCAAAGCUUUUUCACCAGCAUGUCCCAAACGCAUAUGCCACAACUUGGUUGCUUCUGAAUAUGCAUUUUUUCCAGAAACUGUUGAUGCUGAUACAAUAACUGUAUUUCCUUGGAAAUAAUACAAGUUAUUUCUUCUUGUGCCUUUCAUCACCAUCAGCACCCCAACUACUACCUUCAAUAAUCCAUCUCUCAAAGUGAUUGUGAGCCCUUUAGAUUCUAGGACUCCUAAUGAGAUAAGAUUUUUCUUCAAGCUUGGUACAUAGCGAACGUCCGUCAAGACUUGGAUUGAGCCAUCAUGAUUCUUUAUUGGAUUGUACUUAUUCCCAUGGUUUUACAAGCAUUGUCAUUACCCAUAAAAACAACUCCACCGUCUAGCUCUAUGAAGUUAGAAAACCAGCCCUUGUUAGGACACAUAUAAUAAGUAUAACCCAAAUCCAAAAUCCACUCAUCUGAGUGACAUAUCAAUGUCAUGCCAACCAGACUAAAGUCUGACUCCUCAUCAUGCUCUGCUACACAUGCAACAGAAGUAGCCUUGCCCUUUUGUAACUUAGGAUAAUUUUUUUUCCAAUGCCCUUUCUCGCGACAAAAAGCACAUUCAACUUUGGCAGGUUUCCCUUUAGACUUGCUCCUUUUUCCAGGUUUGCGGCUUUACGAACGACCUUUCGCUGUCAAUGCUUCUGCAACUGUAUCUCUGUGAUCUUUUUUGUCUUUCUUUUUGGUCUUAGAGUUGUACAAUGCACUGCAUACAACAUCGAACGUAACAUUGUCUUUCCCAUGAAGCAAAGUGGUAGUGAGAUGAUCAUAUUCAUCAGGAAGGGAAUUCAACAACAAUAAUGCCUUAUCUUCAUCUUCAAAUUUCUCAUCCAAAUUUAGCAAAUCUGCCAAUAUUUUGUUGAAUGAGUUCACAUGGUCAUUCAUUGACAUGUCAGGUGUAUAUGUGAAUCGAUAGAGUUUCUUCUUCAUAUAAAGCCUAUUUUCAAGACUUUUCAUCAUAUACUUUUCUUCCAGUGUCUCCCACAAUUUCUUUGCCGAUGUCUCCCUCAUGACAGAAUAUUUCUGAUCUUUAGCCAGACAUAGGCGAAUAGUACCACAUGCCUGUCUAUUGAUUUUUAUCCACUUGUUGUCAUCCAUCACGUCAGGCUUUUCUUCAAGAGCAACGUCCAACUCUUGCUGACAUAAGACAUCCAACACCUCACAUUGCCACAUACCAAAAUUAUUGGUACCAUCAAAUUUCUCCACUUUAAACUUUGCAUUAAUCAUAGUAUUCAUCACUGAUGAAGACGACGACGAUGCCUCUGCCAUCUUUUUUUCUCAAAUGAUCAGUUUCUUCAACAACUAUUUACACUUAAAAAACAGCCUUUAUAAUGUUUAUUUCGCGUGAAUAAAUGCAUUAGGAAAGUUCCCAGGAGACCGUUCCCAAUUAAGAACCAGAAUCCUUAGACUCUUAUCGUCUUGUUGACAAUAACUUUCCUAGACAUGCAAAAAUACACACUACUUACAAUAGACUGUCUCCACCGUAUUUGUGAACAGAACUGUAUACAAGAAUAGUACCGUAUACAUGAACAGUACUGUAUCCCCCCAAGUAUGAACCGUCGGCUCUGAUACCAAUUGUUGCGGAAACGUGAGUUGAGCAAUUACUAAUAUUGCAACUUCUGGAGAAAUAUAAAUAUGGUGAUAAACAAAUGCAAAGAAAAUAAGACACAAUAAUUUACGUGGUUCGGCGUAAUGCCUACGUCCACGGGCAAAAGCUGGAAGAUAAUUUUAUAACAAAUGAGAAUUUACAAAAGUGGAAAAAACUCACAAAACCCACAACCCCAAUACACCCAAAUGGAACCUCACUAGAACACUCAAGUGGAAGCUCUCACAUAUUCUCUCAAAGAACUCACUUGCAAUUGCUCUCUACUUCUCUCAAAUUUGGGAUCCUUACAAUUGCAAAAUGCUUCUCUAUUUAUAGAGUGCAUUCUGCACCAAGUUGGGUUCAAUUGGUCAAAACGUUAAGCUAGAUCUUGUAUUGCAUGCACAAGCUUUUCAACACCUAACUUUGUCUUUUGAAAAUUAGCAAGCUGACCAACUUUGCUUUUUUGAAUUUGGCAAACCCACCAACUUUGCCUUUUGAAAUUUGCAAGCCAUUCUUUGACUUUUCAACAAAAAAGACACAUUUCAAUGCAUUAAAGACAAAUUACAUUGUAUUGGAGUAUGUGUUUAUUUUAACCUUUUAAAUUGUCUUUAAUUUUAUUAAGCAAGUGAUUCUCUUAUUGUAAAAUUGCUGGGUACACAUACAAAUAUCCCAAAGUUCUUAAGGAAAAAUGUAAGUUCACAAUGAAAUUUAGCUUUUUUCUUAAAUUAAGGAUGAAAGUUGUAUAUUCACAUAAAUGGUGAAAUCCAGCAUUUUUUCUUUUCUUCCUCACCCCCCCGGGCCGCAAAUUAAAGAUGAAAUCAAUCUCAGCUCGUCAUUUAAUUAUAAAUUCACUUUGCUUUAUUUUAGUCUUUUUCGUUCUAGGAUUUUGAAGUUUUUCGACCGACUGGAGUACCGUACUACUGUCCAAAGAUUUGGCUACAGCAUCUAGAAGCUGCAUCUAGAAGUUUUGAAGAAACAAAAUGAGUGGCACACGGCUUUGAAGUUCUAGAUGCUGAAAUACUUGAAGAGGAAAAUGGAAAAAGAAGAAGUUUGAAGAAGAAAAUGAGGAACGCGAUUUUGACAAGAGAAAAAAAAAUUAUUAUUUUAAUAGCCAAUUUUGGCUAUAAAAAGGGGAGUUCCCCAUCGGCUUAGUGUAUUCUAUUCUUUAAGUUUUUCUUCUCUAUUUUGUAAAGAGAAAGAGAAAGUGAGAGUAUUUUAAGAGUUUUAAUAAACUCUUAAGUAAUUAGUGAGUGAGAGAUUAGGUGUAUUGGGGUUUUGGGUAGUGAGCCAAAAUAUUACAAUACUUGUAAUCCUCAUAUCACUAGUGAAAUAUUUUCCUUCUGUUUUCGCCCGUGAACGCAGGCUAAAAGCCGAACCAUGUAAUUUUCUAGUGUCCCUUUUUAUGCUUGUUCUUUAUUUUCUUCCAAUUUCACUUUACCUGCGGCUCUGCUUCACCCACCAAUUUCCUAACAGUGGUAUCAGAGCUAUUGGUUGUAUUUUUGGAGUCGGUUACUAUUCACAUAAGGGGUAUUAUUUACGCAUACAGUACUGUUUACAUAUAUGAUACUAUUCAUGUAUACAACACUGUUCACGUAUACGGUAUUGUUCAUAUAUAUAGUACUGUUCACGAGAAACGAUGAGAGCAAUCCAAGAAUUUUACAGUGCAAAGUAGGGAAUAGUGGUGUGAGUAAAGCAACUGUGUGGUUUUGUACUUGUCCAGGAAAGUUCUAUCACAAAGGCAAUAAUAGCUUAAGGAGUCUGAGUUUUAAGUGGGACCAUUGUGACCCCUCUAGUCUUUCCUGAAAACUUUCUUGGUGUGCAUUCUCACACAUACUCACAACUAUUCAGGGUGGUACACUAGUUUGUGUGUGGUACUUAUCAACAAAAUGGCGGCAAAGUAUGAAAUUGAGAAGUUCAAUGUGAAUAAUUUUUCGUUGUGGAAAAUGAAGAUGAAAGCUGUAUUGAGGAAAAAUAAUUGCUUGGCAGCAAUUGGAGAAAGGCCUAUGGAGAUAACUGAUGACAAGUGGAACGAGAUAGAUGGUAACGCCAUUUCUGAUCUACACUUGGCACUUGCGGAUGGAGUAUUAUCCAAUGUGGCUGAGAAAAAUAUAGCGAAGGAAAUAUAGGAUACUCUUACAAAAUUGUACGAGGUCAAAUCACUACACAACAAAAUCUUCUUAAAGAGAAAACUCUAUACUCUUCGAAUGAUGGAAUCUACAAUGGUGACCAACCACAUCAACACCUUGAAGACUCUAGUUUCACAACUCACAACGUUGGGUCAUAAUAUAGAGGAAAAUGAACGUGCAGAGCUUCUACUUCAAAGUCUACCAGAUUCGUAUGAUCAACUCAUCAUCAAUCUAACAAACAAUAAUCUAGCGGACAAUCUAAUUUUUGACGAUGUUGCAACCUCCAUAUUAAAUGAGGAGAGCAGGCGAAAAAAUAAGAAAAAUAGACAAGCAAGUUCGCAGCAAGUGGAGGCGCUAUCGAUGACGAGAGGGAGAUCAACGGAACGUGGCCCCAGUGGGAGUCACAAUAAUGAUAGAUCAAAAUUCAGAAGUAAGAAGAAUGUUAAAUGCUACAACUGUGGCAAGAAAAGGCACGUUAAGAAAGAGUGUUGGAGUAACCAGAAGAGAAAAGAUGGCAAAGAACCUGAGUCAUCAAAUGCUCAGGGGUGUGUAGCAAGUACCUCGGAUGAUGGCGAAAUUCUCUACAGCGAGGCAACAACUGUUUUAGAAGGCAGAAAAUGAUUAUCUGAUGUCUGGCUUAUAGACUCAGGAGCUACCUGGCACAUGACCUCUCGGAGAGAAUGGUUCCACACAUAUGAACCUAUCUGAGGAGGAUCUGUAUAUAUGGGUAAUGAUCAUGCCUUGAAGAUCGCUAGUAUUGGUACUAUCAAAAUAAAAAUAUUUGAUGGUAUAAUUUGUACAAUUGGGGAGGUACGACAUGUCAACGGCCUGAAGAAAAAUUUAUUGUCUUUGGGACAAAUGGAAUGGGUACAAAACUCAUGUGGAGAAUGAAAUUAUGAAGAUCUUUAAAGGCGCGCUUGUAUUGAUGAAGGCAGAAAAAAUCGGUGCUAAUCUAUUCAUGCUUAAAGGAAAAACACUACAUGAGGCUGAUGCGUGUGUCAUGUCAAAUGGAGAAGAAUCAACGAUGAUGUGGCACCUCAAACUUGGCCACAUGUUAGAACAAGGUUUGAAGGUUCUCUUUUAGCGAAAAUUGCUUCCAGGGCUCAAAUCGGUAAGUUUACAAUUUUGCGAGCAUUGUGUUACAAGUAAGCAGCAUAGAUUAAAAUUCAGUAUAUCUAUUGCUAUAAGUAAAUGCAUUCUAGACUUGAUUCAUUAUGAUGUUUGGGAAUCGCCGGAUAUGUCAAUGGGAGAUGCAAAGUACAUGGUGACUUUCAUUGAUGAUUAUUCCAGGAGAUGUUGGGUGUAUCCAAUUAAGAAAAAUUCUGAUGUAUUUCCAGUGUUUAAAGAAUACAAAUCGCGGGUGGAACUUGAAUUCGGAAAAAUGAUCAAGUGCUUGAGGACGGAUAAUUAUGGAGAGUAUACAGACGGUGAGUUUCUUGCUUUUUGUAAGCAAAACAGUAUUCAGAGGCAGUUCACGGUAGCAUAUACUUCUCAACAAAAGGGAGUGGCAGAGCGGAUGAACAAGACUCUUACAGAACGAAUAAGAGCUAUGUUGAGGACUACGGGUCUACCUAAUUCAUUAUAGGCAGAAGCAGCUAAAACUGCUUGUUAUAUAGUAAAUCGGUCGCCAUCUACAACUAUUGGGUUGAAGACAGCGAUGGAAAUGUGGACUGGAAAGCCAGCUGAUUACUCACACCUACAUGCAUUUGGAUGUCUCGUGUACGUGAUGUACAAUGCUCAAGAAAGAGCAAAGUUGAAUCCAAAAUUUAGAAGAUGUAUCUUCUUGGGAUAUGUUGAUGGAGUAAAGAGGUAUCGUCUGUGGGACCCCACUGCCCACAAUAUCGUCAUCAGCAGAGAUGUUAUCUUUGUAGAAGAUCAACUGCAAAUGAGAGAUAAGGAUGAUAGCACUGUAAAAGAAAAGUCAGAGACUGUGCCGGUAUAUGUGAAAAAUAAUUCAGAAGAUUCAGAUUCUUCUGAAGCAGCACCAGAGCACGAGGAACAAGAACCAGUCAAGUCCGAGGCUCCAGAAGUUUGUCGGUCAACUCGUGAGAGACGACCGCAAGUGUGGCACUCGGAGUAUGUCACAAAGAUCAAUGUUGCAUAUUGUCUUCUAACAGAGGAUGGAGAGCCUUCAACUUUCUAUGAAGCUUUAAACAACUUAAAUGUUACUUUGUGGAUGACAGCAAUGCAGGAAGAAAUUGAGGCUCUACACAAGAAUAAGAUAUGGGAACUUGUACUACUACCACGUGGAAGAAAAGCUAUUGGAAAUAAAUGGGUCUAUAAGAUCAAAUGUGAUGGCAAUGACCAAGUGGAACGGUAUCGUGCAAGAUUGGUGGUGAAAGGAUAUGCUUAGAAAGAAGGUAUUGACUUCAACAAAAUAUUUUCUCCGGUAGUUCGACUCACAACAAUCAGAGUAGUCUUGGCAAUGUGUGCUACAUCUGACCUACAUUUAGAGCAGUUAGAUGUGAAAACUGCAUUUCUUCAUGGAGAACUUGAAGAAGAAAUUUAUAUGCUCCAACCAGAAGGUUUUGCAGAAAUAGGAAAAGAGAACUUGGUUUGCAGGUUGAACAAAUCUCUGUAUGGUCUCAAACAGGCACCGAUGUGUUGGUAUAAGAGAUUUGAUUCCUUCAUCAUGAGGCUUGGAUACAACAGACUCAGUUCAGACCAUUGUGCAUAUUACAAGAGGUUUGAAGAUAAUGAUUUCAUUAUUUUGUUGUUGUACGUGGAUGACAUGUUGGUAGCAGACCCCAACAAAGAUCGAAUCUAAUAAUUGAAGGCAUAGUUGGCUAGAGAGCUUGAAAUGAAGGAUUUGGGACCAGCAAACAAGAUUUUAGGGAUGCAAAUUCACCGAGACAUAAAUAACAGGAAGAUUUGACUUUCACCGAAGAAUUACUUGAAGAAAAUCUUGUCGCGCUUCAACAUGCAAGAUUGUAAGUCAAUUUCUACCCGACUUCCUGUUAAUUUCAAGUUAUCCUCAAGUAUGUAUCCUAGCAAUGAAGCAAAGAGGAAGGGAAUGUCUCAAGUACCGUAUGCAUCAGCAGUGGGAAGUUUGAUGUUCGCUAUGAUAUGUACUAGGCUAGACAUUGCACAAGCAGUGGCAGCAGUUAGUUGAUACAUGACGAAUCCUGGUGGAGAGCAUUGGAUAGCUCUGAAGAGGAUUCUGAGAUACAUAAGAGGAACCUCAGAUGUUGCAUUAUGUUAUGGAGAAUCAGAGUUUACUGCCAGGGGCUAUGUGGAUUCAGAUUUUGCAGGAGACCUUGAUAAAAGAAAAUCCACUAUUGGCUAUGUGUUUACACUUGCGGGAGCAGCUGUAAGCUGGGUUUCAAAACUACAGAUUGUUGUGGCUCUAUCUACAACAGAAGCAUAAUACAUGGCAGCUACACAAGCUUGCAAGGAAGCUAUUUGGAUACAAAGGUUAUUGGAGGAGCUCGGGCACAAACAACAGAAAAUUCCUGUGUUUUGUGGUAGUCAGAGUGUCUUGCAUAUUGCAAGGAAUCCAGCCUUUCAUUCCAGGACAAAGCACAUAGGGGUUCAGUAUCACUUCGUUCGCGAAGUAGUGGAAGACGGAAGUGUGGAUUUACAGAAAAUCCAUACGAAGGAGAACCUAGCAGAUGUUUUGACCAAGCCGAUCAAUGUUGACAAGUUUAUCUGAAGUAGAUCCUCUUGUGGCCUAGCAGAAACGUAGGCAACAUGGCAAUGGCGAAGCAGAAAGGAUGAAGUGGAGAUUGAUUAAUUCUCAAUCAAAUCUCCAAGUGGGAGAAUGUAAAAAGAUUUGGCUGCAGCAUCUAGAAGCUGCAUCUAGAAGUUUUGAAGAAGCAAAAUGGGGGGCACAUGACUUUGAAGUUCUAGAUGCCGAAAUGCUUGAAGAGGAAAAUAUGAAAAGAAGAAGUUUGAAGAAGAAAAGGAGGAACACGGUUUUGACAAGAGAAAAAAAAAUUAUUAUUUUAAUAGUCAAUUUUGGCUAUAAAAAGGGGAGUUCCCCAUCGGCUUAGUGUAUUUCAUUCUUUAAGUUUCUCUUCUCUAUUUUGUAAAGAGAGAGAAAGUGCGAGUAUUUUAAGAGUUUUAAUAAACUCUUAAGUAAUUAGUGAAUAAAAGGUUGGGUGUAUUAGGGUUCUGGGUAGUGAGCUAAAAUAUUACAAUACUUAUAAUCCUCAUAUCACUAGUGAAAUAUUUUUCUUUUAUUUUCACCCGUGGACGCAGGCUAAAAGCCGAACAACGUAAUUUUCUGGUGUCCCUUUUUAUGCUUGUUAUUUAUUUUCUUCCAAUUUCACUUUACCUGCGGCUCUGUUUCACCCACCAAUUUCUUAACAACUGCAACAUGCUAUUCAAAUCAAUUAAUUUGCCCCCGCAGCUCCACGUGCUGCGAAUACGUGGCUUAACUUGACAUAUAAUUGUUGUUACGGCUGGUGUAACAUUGCAGGACCCUUAAUUAAAAGAUUACAGAUUAACAGCUGUUGAAUGUUGAUGUUGAAUUUCCACAUCGAUAUUGGAAUUUAAAAUAAAUGAAUUUUAUGUAGCUAUAUUGCCUGUAGGGGAAGACAUAAUAAAUUAAUUGAUAUUGCCAGCAAAUUAUUAAUUCGGAUCCAAGUACAGGGCUAGCUAUCGGAAUUAAUUAAGAUUAAUUGGUCAUCUUUCCGAAUUUUUAAUCCAUUCCCAUGUGAACCGAAAACAUGUUAAUUAAUGGAAAUCAAAUAUUUAAAAAAAUAGUAAUUAACUAAUAAUUUAUAACUGUCAAAUUAAUUAAUAGUUUAUCUACAAUUAUUUUGUUUAUUUUUAUUAUUAGCCAAUAAUUUAUAACUAGCAAAAUAAUUGUAGAUAAACUAAUAAUUAAUUUGAUAGUUAUAAAUUAUUAGCUAAAUUAUUAUUAUUAUUAUUAUUAUUAUUAUUAUUAUUAUUAUUAUUUGAUUUCCAUUAAUUAAUAUGUUUUCGGUUCACAUGGGAAUGGAUUAAAAAUUCGGAAAGAUGAUCAAUUAAUUGGAGAGAGCAACCCUCCACAUCAACCCCUCUAUUCUCUUAUAAGCAAUUGGAACGAAACAUCUGUGAUGCCCCAAACGCUAGUCAUAUGUUCCAUCUGUUGUUGCUAAUUAAGACCUAGUCGAGGCUUGGUAUAUGUACAACUUUAAACUUUGUAAAUUAAUUUAAAGGUUAUAACUAUAAAAGUAAGGAUAGGAGAAUAACUUAAUUAACAACAGGCGUAUCUUAAAGUAUUUUUUUAAAAUAGAAGAACAAUCUAAACGCUUAACCUGGAAUAUAGGGAUGAAAAGAAUAUUUUUCUUAUUAAUAACAAAGAUAUAUACUAAAAAAAAACACUCGUAUUAAUGAUUGGGAAAAAAUUAUUUUUGUAAAAUCACUUUUCCCAUAGAUCAAAAUAUAUAGAGAUAAAACUGAUCCGAUGUUAUCAUAUAUAUGAGUCAUUCUUAGGUGUUGAUGCCCUCAUUUUUUUUGUUUUUCAUGUGGAUGUGCUAUUAAGCCAUAUGGUUUAAUAGAAUCAGCGCAGAUACACAAUUUGAGGCUUAUAGUUUUAUAGUGAAUUAAAUAUUGAUUUUAUUAAACCAUGUGACUUAAUAGCGGGUUUGCAUAAAAAAAAAAAAGAAGAGAGCGCCUGUUGAGUGUUAGAAAAUGUAUAUUUAUAAAGGAGAAAAUUAUCAUUUUACAUUUCAAGUUUUACUAACAACCCUUACUUUUAUGUAUUUAAGCUUCUUGCAAUUUAAUUAUGUGUGUUUGAUUUUAAUUAAGUAUUUUAUGUAUUUUAGGGGCAUCAUGGUCAUUUCACAAUAAACGAGAGAUCAGACGGCAAACCGGACAUCACUUUUGAACUCAGGACGGUCGAAAACCUUAGGAGGAGCAUAAAAGGAAAAAUGGCACUAUUCACAUGUACGGUACUAUUCACGUGUACGGUACUGCCUACGUUACUGUUCAUGACACUGUUCACAUAGACGGAUUGAUGAUGUGGCAUUGAUCGAUGAUGUGGCAUUGACUGAUGAGGUGUCACGAUCCUGUUGGGCUAAAAUUCUUAUGUACUGUUGAUGGUGACGUGGCAGCAUAUCAGUGGAUGAAAAAUCUCGCGUACGGUACAUGCAUCACACAGGAUUAUUUUCAACCAAACCGCGUCACUGUUCACCCGGGUCAAACCGUGUUACUGUUCAUCCACGUAGUCAAACCGCGUACUGUUGACUGAUGACGUGGCGCAAUCCUGAGCGUCCAAACUGUUUUUAAUCCGAUGGCCAUGAUUUACUCCAUGUAUCUAUAAAAAGGGGGCUUCCCCCCCCCUAAUUUGAUAUCUCUGAAUCCAUUUUUAGACUCUAUUUUCUGUAAUUCCUUCUCCAUCUUGUAUUUUCAAUGUAUUUUAAUAAAUUUCUAUUUUGCCCCUAGUUCAAUUAUGAGUGGCUAAUUUUCUUUCAAGUUUGGGUUGAAGGUGAAGUCUCAACAUGUGUCAUGGGCUUUAUUUGGUAAAUUUAUUUUCUCUUCCCCUCUAGUUUUUGUGGAUAUUUUGACUUCUCGUCGACAAAUAAUACUAAUCUUGUCUAGUACCGCCUUGGUUUUACCGGCCCUCUAGUACAUUGUUAUUAUUAUUUGUCACGAUAAGCCCUUAGCACCAUAUUGAUUAGAGCGUGGUUCAUGAGGUGUCGAUUCCCCCCUCAUGAUUUAAUUGGCAUUAAUAAGGAUUAUUUAGCCCAUGGUGCAUGUUGAUACGGAUCCAGAUACUCAAGUACGUCAUUUCAAUAGAAUUCUCUUCAAUUUAUUCUCGCCAUUUCAAUUCCAAUUUUAGAAUUUAUUCUCGCCAUUUUAAUUUAAGUUUUAGCAUAUUCCAAAUCAUUUCCACCACAAAUCUAAUCACCCAUUUACAAAAUUAAUUCUACACACAAUUAAAAUCCACCUUCUCGUGGGAUCGACACUCGUCACCAUUGAUCUAUACUACAAUAGAUUCGUGCGCUUGCGAGUACAUUAAAAUUUGCACAACAAGUUUUUUGGCGCCGUUGCCGGGGAGGUAAGUAAUUUUAAUUCAUAGAAAUAGUUUUUGAAUAGUUCCAUUUAAUUGUUUUCUUGUAUUUUUUUCUAAAAAAAAGAAAAAAGAAAAAAAAAGGUGAAUCUACAUUUAAAGGUUAGUAUUUCUUUUCUUUUUCUCUUCUUUAAAAUUCUGUAAUUUAAUUUUCAAUUUAUUUUUCUUUGUAAAUUUUUUUUUAUCUUAUUAAUUUAUUCUUAGUUUAUUUCACGUAUUUGUUUUAGUGUGUUGUUAUAGAAAAGUUGUAACAACGCAAUAAGAUUAGUAUCGUAAUUUCUCCUUUUUCUUUAUUUUUAUUCGUUUGGUUCCCAUUUAUUUUUGUGUUCCUUGCAUGCAUGGUCGUAGGUCAUUAUUUCGUAAUCUUGAACCUAUAGACCUUGAAUUAGAAAAAACACUUCGCAAACACAAACACGUAAAAAAUAAAAUGGAUUUACAAGCACCACAGGAGAGGCCAUUUAAGGACUAUUUUAGUCCCUUAGCUAAUUUGAGCACAUCAUGUAUAAGAUACCCAAAUGUAGCUGCUGGGAGUUUUGAAUUAAAACCUAGUGUGCUAAAUUGUCUCCCCACAUUUUAUGGCCUAGAAAAUGAGGACCCAUAUAAUCAUCUGAAUGAUUUUCAUGCCAUUUGUCAAACUUUUAAAUAUGAAAAUUUUUCAGAUGAUGAUGUUAAACUCAUAUUAUUCCCAUUUUCUUUAAAGGAUAGAGCUCGUUCAUGGUUAAAUAUUUUACCUGCUAAUAGCAUUGCAUCAUGGGAACAAAUGGUAACUAAAUUUUUGAAUAAAUAUUUCCCAGUGCAUAAAACCAAUGCUAUUCGCAGGGAAAUCUCAGAGUUUACCCAGAGAGAAGACGAGCAGUUUUUCGAAACAUGGGAGCGAUUCAAUGGGCUACUCUUGAAAUGUCCACAUCAUGGGUACGAGAAAUGGCACCAAUGCCAAUACUUUUUAGAAGGGUUAUUGCCAAAUGUGCAAGAAUGGCUAAUGGCAACAAGUGGAGGAGAGCUAAUGUCAAAAAGUGCAUCAGACAUUUGGGAAUUCUUCCAGCGACAAGCGGAUAAUUCCCAACAACGGAGUCGAUCACUCAGGAAUACUAGAAGAAUUAAGGGAGUAAAUGAGGUUCAAAUUGGCGAGUCAACUUUGGGAAUCAAAGAAGUCAAGGAGAUGGUUGAAGGUCUUGCUCGGCAAAUAGCAUCGUUAUCGACUGCUAAAUCAACAGAACCACAUGACCAUGACUCAUACCCAGAUCAAGCCAAUGCCAUAGGUGUAAUGAGAAAGCCAUCAAAUUACAACCCAUACUCUAACACAUAUAAUCCUGGAUGGAGAGACCACCCCAAUUUUUCAUGGUCUCAAGGAUUCCAACAGAAUGGACCAGCGGCUCCAGCUCCACCAAUGCAACAAAUUUCUCAAAUUCCUCAAGCCUCUCAGUCCCUAUUUAGACCAUUCAAUCAGAACCAAAACUACUCUCAACCCAGACCAUGGGAUGAUGCAUUCCAGAAUUUCAAGAAUGUUACUCACUCCACGAUUGAGCAACAGAACCGCACCAUUGAUGGACUACAAAAUGAGUUGAGAGCAGGCUUCAACUCACAAGCUCAAUCAGUUUCAAGCCUCGAGAAAACGGUGGGACAACUUGCUUCUUCAGUUCAGACCUUGGCAAUGACUGUUGAGAAAGGCAAAUUUCCAAGUCAACCAGUGCCUAAUCCUAAAGGAGUACAUGAAGCAAGUACCAGUUCACCACAGCAGCAUGGAGAGGUCAAAGCAGUCAUGACCUUGCGAAAAGGAAAGGAAGUCGACAACAAAGUGGAGAUGUCGGUGACAAAAGAAAAUCAAAUUGUACCCGUGAAUGUUGAGGACUCAUCACCGGAGGGGAAAGAAGAAACCAACCCAUGAGAAUAUGUUCCUAAAGCUCCAUUUCCUCAGAGGUUAGCUAAAGGAAAGAAGGGAAAAUCCACAGGUGAAAUUCUUGAAAUCUUCAAACAGGUAAGUGUCAACAUCCCUUUGCUUGAUGCGAUAAAACAAAUUCCAUCUUAUGCCAAGUUUCUUAAAGACCUUUGUACUAAAAAGAGAAAUAUGCAUGUUCAAAAGAAGGCAUUUUUAACAGAAAACAUUAGUUCUAUACUCCAACAUAAAAUUCCUCUAAAAUGAAAAGACCCAGGCUCCCCCACUAUCUCAUAUAGUAUAGGGAACCACACAAUUGAGAAUGCUUUGUUGGAUUUAGGAGCUAGUGUAAAUUUGUUGCCUUACUCUGUAUUUAUGAAACUUGGACUUGGAGAAUUACACCCAACUCCAGUGGUGUUAAAGCUUGCAGAUCGGUCCACGAAAAUACCUCGUGGUAUUGUGGAGGACGUGCUUAUCCAGGUAGGCAAGUUUUAUUUUCCUGUUGAUUUCAUUGUAAUUGACACUCAACCAAUACAGGAUUCAAGGAAGCACAUCCCCAUUAUUCUAGGCCGACCUUUCUUGGCAACUGCGGAUGCUCACAUUUAAUGCAGGACUGGAAAUAUGCAGUUGUCCUUCGGCAACAUGACUAUGGAGCUUAACAUCUUCAACAUUGCCAAACAACCUCACAAUGCAGAUGAUGGAAUUGUUGAUGUGGAUUUAAUUGAAGCAUUAGUUGAUGAUACUUUUGUUUCAAACCUUAGUGAUGAUCCUUUACAAACAUGUUUAACUCACUUUGGUUUGGAUUUUGAUAUUGACAGAUCAGUCGAUGAGGUCAACGCUCUACUUGACUCAGCACCAUCCAUGGACACUAAUAAAUGGAAGUUAAGAGUUGAACAACUAGCACCAUCAGAAAAGAAACUCAUCCCAUCAUCAGAAUCACCACCGAAACUCGAGCUCAAAACAUUGCCCAACACUCUGGAAUAUGCAUUUUUGGGAGAAGAAAGUACUCUACCGGUAAUCAUCUCAUCAUCCCUAAAUGACGAACAAAAAGGUAAGUUGUUGGAUGUUUUAAAAGAGCACAAAGGAGCAUUAGGAUGGACCAUAGCAGACAUAAAAGGUAUAAACCCAGUAGACUGCAUGCAUUACAUUCACCUUGAUGAAAAUGCUAAACCUACUAGGGAAAUGCAACGUCAGUUAAAUCCUAACAUGAAAGAAGUUGUUAGAACUGAAGUCCUUAAGUUAUUAGACGCAGGUAUCAUUUACCCAAUUUCUGAUAGUUCAUGGGUCAGUCCUGUACAAGUUGUCCCCAAAAAGUCAUGAGUCACAGUAGUUACGAAUGCCGAUGAUGAAUUAAUACCAACUAGAGUGACUACAGGAUGGCGUGUAUGCAUUGAUUAUAGAAAGUUGAAUUCUAUCACACGUAAAGACCAUUUUCCUUUACCAUUUAUCGAUCAAAUGCUUGAUAGAUUGGCAGGCCAUGAAUUUUAUUGCUUUCUAGAUGGCUACUCAGGAUAUAAUCAGAUUCCCAUAGCACCAAAAAAUCAAGAGAAAACUACUUUCACUUGCUAUUUUGGCACAUUUGCAUAUAGGAGAAUGCCAUUUGGAUUAUGUAAUGCACCUGCUACAUUUCAACGAUGCAUGUUGAGCAUUUUUUCUGAUAUGGUUGAACGAUUCCUUGAAGUCUUUAUGGAUGAUUUUUCUGUCUUUGGUGACUCGUUUGAUCAAUGUUUACAUCAUCUAACAUUAGUUCUGCAGAGAUGUAUCGAGAAGAACUUAGUCUUAAAUUGGGAGAAGUGUCAUUUUAUGGUAAAGCAAAGUAUUGUUCUUGGUCACAUCAUUUCGAGCAAAGGUAUUGAGGUUGACAAAGCCAAGGUGGAUCUCAUUUCUAAUCUUCCUCCACCCAAAACAGUCAGAGAAGUAAGAUCUUUCCUUGGGCAUGCUGGUUUCUAUAAACGUUUCAUUAAAGAUUUUAGCAAAGUUUCUAGACCCUUAUGCAAUUUACUUGCUAAGGAUGUACCUUUUAUCUUUGAUGAUUCAUGUCUUGUGGCAUUUGAAAAACUAAAGCAGUUGUUGACAUCAUCACCCAUCAUUCAGCCCCCAAACUGGAACUUACCAUUUGAGCUCAUGUGUGAUGCAUCUGAUUAUGCAGUAGGAGCAGUAUUAGGACAAAGAGUUGAUCGAAUUCCCCAUGUUAUUUACUAUGCUAGUAUGACAUUGAAUGAUGCACAGUUGAACUAUUCAACUACUGAAAAAGAAAUGCUAGCAGUAGUGUUUCCAUUAGAGAAAUUUCGAUCUUAUCUCAUUGGUUGUAAAAUAAUUAUAUUCACAGAUCAUGCUGCUCUUAAAUAUCUUCUCACAAAGAAAGAUGCAAAAGCUAGACUAAUUCGUUGGGUGUUACUUUUGCAAGAAUUUGACUUGGAAUUCAAAGAUAAGAAAGGGACAGAAAAUGUUGUGGCGGACCACCUCUCUCGUCUCCAUUUUGACACAAUUACAGAGCCAUUAAUAUUGAAUGAGUCAUUUUCAGAUGAACAAUUAAUGAGUGUGGAAGUAUUACCUUGGUAUGCUGAUAUAGUUAAUUAUCUUGUUACAGGUAAACUUCCAGAGCAUUAGACCAAGCAAGACAAGGCUAAAUUCUUUGCAGAGAUAAAGAAUUUCUUUUGGGAUGACCCGUAUUUGUUCAAGUAUUGUGCUGAUCAAAUUGUUAGACGAUGCGUCCCAGAAAAUGAAAGUCAGAAUAUUCUUUCAUUCUGCCAUGAACAAGCUUGUGGAUGACAUUUCAGUGCUAAGAAAACGGCAACUAAAGUUUUACAAUGUGGUUUUUAUUGGCCAACUAUAUUUCGAGACACUUACACUUUCUGUGCUUCAUGUAAUAGGUGUCAACGAAUGAGGAGCAUUACGCGAAGGAACAUGAUGCCACUAAAUCCAAUUUUAGUGGUUGAGAUUUUUGACGUAUGGGGUAUCGACUUCAUGGGACCCUUUCCCUCUUCUUUUGGCCAUCAAUACAUAUUGGUUGCUGUUGACUAUGUAUCGAAAUGGGUAGAAGCAAUUCCAUGUAGAACCAAUGAUCACAAGGUGGUGAUAGGAUUUUUGAAAAGCAACAUUGUUUCACGCUUUGGAUUCCCUCGAGCGAUAAUCAGUGAUGGUGGUGCCCACUUUUGUAACAAAGCAUUCAAAGCUCUUUUGACAAAGUAUUCAAUCACUCACAAAGUGGUGACCCCAUAUCAUCCGCAAACCAGUGGCCAAGUUGAGAUCUCCAAUCGAGAAAUAAAACACAUAUUAGAAAAAACAGUGAGGUCAGACAGAAAAGAUUGGUCAUUAAGACUUGAUGAUGCAUUAUGGGCAUAUAGAACAGCUUUCAAGACCCCGAUUGGGAUGUCACCCUACAGGCUAGUGUAUGGAAAAGCUUGCCACCUACCUGUGGAACUCGAGCAUCGUGCGUAUUGGGCCAUCAAGAAAUUCAACUUUGACAUGCAGCAAGCCAGCUCAGAAAGAAGAUUACAACUGGCAGAACUUGAAGAAAUUCGCAAUGAUGCAUACGAAAAUGCCAAAAUUUACAAGCAACGAAUGAAAGUCUUUCAUGACAAGCACAUUAUGAGAAAAUCUUUCACUCCAGGUCAGAAAGUACUUUUAUUCAAUUCUCGCUUGCAACUAUUCCCAGGUAAGUUACGCUCUCGAUGGUCUGGUCCCUUUAUUGUUCAUACUGUUUUUCCACAUGGGGUAAUUGAAAUUAAGGACCCAAAGAACGGUGUCACGUUUAAAGUUAAUGGUCAAAGAUUAAAGCCAUAUCUAGAAUACCAACCACAUUGAGAAGACACCGAAAUAAAUUUGAGUGACCCACCAUAUUUGAAUUGAUUUUUUUUUCUUUUCGUUGAUUUGAUUUUUCUUUCUUUCUUUUUAUUAUUCUUUUGCUAAUUGAAAUUAUUUUUGCAUAAGUGUGUUUGUUUAACUAUUAAGUUUUCUCUUAUCAUUUUUCAUCAUGAGUACCAUACUUAGACCGUUCCUCUUGAACAUUCUUAAACCACUUCAACGUGUCAAAACUCAUCUCAAAAGGCAGAUUCAAUUUUGUAAAACACAACGCAUUUGGGCUCUACAACCACCAGAGUUAGUAGCCUAUGUUGAGAAUCUAGAAAGCCAACUCCGAGAUAUUGAGAGAAGUGUUUACGACAUCCAAUUGGAGCUUGAGGUAAAUUCAAUAAGAGGACGAUUUUAAUUUUCUUUGUGUGUUUUAAUUUGUUUUUCUGUUUGUGUGCUUUAGUUUGUUACCCCGGUGAAGUGGCGGAUAACGGUACUCCGCGACAAUCAAGUCGGUUACUUCAGUUUCCCAUAAUAACUGACAUUCUGAGGCGAAAAUAUGGACAGAAACGAGAUUCUAGCGAAGCUUCACAAGCGAUUCCCUUCACUUCCUCAGAAUGCCCUCCUUACGAUCUAUAAAGCUCGGUCCGAACGCAUGCGAUUACUCAUGAGGAAUAACAUACCUGCUGACAUCCGUUGGUUAAUCGAGGCUAAAGUACGAUUGGCAGGUGAGUUACCUCCAAAAUUUAUUGCAUAUAUGCCUGGUUGUGGUAAAGGAAAUUAUGCAAGAAAACGAUGAGCUCGAAGAAUUUCUGUUGCUUGUCGUAAGUGUGCCAGAAUGAGUUGCGAUAAAAACCCAUGUUCUUUAGGAAUGGUGUCUGAUAACAGGGAAUAUAAGAUUCAAUUCAUUAGGGAUGGCUUGAAUAAGGAGUCAUUGGAUGAUAUCCUUUUGUCUCUUGAAACACAUCUCAGUGGAUAUGCGCAAGGAGCGAUUCUCCAGUUAUGGCCAUUAUUCCAGAAAGAGCAUGCACGAUAUAGUCUUGGGAAUCUGACUAUAAACGACCCUGUUUGCCAGUUUAUAAGAAAACUGGAUGGGAAGCCCAUCCUCGACCCAUAGAGGGCGUUUAAGCCGUUUCUGGAAGUAAAACCAAAGGAAGAUGUGAGCCACAAUCGCAACUACUUGUACAUAUCAUUUUUACUUUACUGUUAUUUUAUUUCAUUUCACUGUUGUUUUAUUGUUUGCAUUAUUGUCUUUAAUAAUUUUAUUACUGUUUGCUUUUUUCUUUUUAUUGUUUCCUUUUUGACUCGCGAGCCAUAUGCUUUACGCGUUAUUUGACACUGACAUGCUACCUCAUACACAGCUGUGACCCACUGUCACCAAGACUCUUAAAUGUGAUUUCUUUUGUCAAACACUCACAAAUUGUUUUUGAGAAGUAUCCCAAUGGCAGCUACUCCCAAUAGAUAAUUCAAGAACAUUUGUGUGCUUUCUGGAUUUAACUAUGGCAAACAUAAAGAGUUCGUUGAGGCAGCCAUAGAUCUUGGUCGAAGCAUAGCAGCGAGAAAAUUACACUUGGUGUAUGGAGGAGGUAACCGAGGGUUAUCAAAAAUGGUCUCAGAAGCAGCUUUUAUCAGAGGAAGUCAAGUGUUAGGCAUCAUCCCAAGAGUCCUAAAACCAUUGGGCAGUUCGUCUGACUCAUCAACUGGAGAAGAGUUAGUCGUCUCAGGUAUGCAAGAAAGAAUAACUGAAAUGCUUAAUCAUGCUGAUGCUUUUAUUUUCCUUUCAGGAGAUCUUGCAACACUAGAGGCACCUAUCACACUAGCAUCUUGGGCCCAUCUGCACAUCCACCAGAAACCCAUCGGUUUGUUAAAUGUCAAUAACUUUUAUGAUGGCUUUAUCGCAUUUCUUAACCAUGCAAUAAAAAACUAUUUCAUUCCUUCUAAUGUGAAAAAAAACUCUUUAUUUGUGCUCACAAUGCUAAUGAGCUACUUGAUAUGUUACAAGCUUAUAAACCGGAGCCAGACCCCUGGACUUUUGUGUUGGAGCGACCAAAUAAUGAUGGUAACAGUAGCCGCAGUAAGAAGUACAAAUUAGAUUUAACUCUCCGCCUGUAAAUAUUUUCUUCUGUGUUUCACCACCCAGGUGAUGUCUUCUAAACUCUACUUCUUUCCUUUAAAACAUUGAGGACAAUGUUUCGUUCUGGUUGGAGGGAGGGAAUAGUCGACAAUUGUGGAAUCUUGGUUAAGUUUUUACUGAUUUUUUGUUGUAGAAACUAACUGUUGCUAACGUUUUGUGUUGAAGAUGGCUAAAUAUGGAGUGUAGUUACUCUAGAAACGCAUCUUCAUCGUUUAAAAAAAUAAAAUCGUUUUAUUCCUCUUUCUCCUUUAUAAAUAUAUAUUUUCAAAUUUUUGAGUCGAAGAUGGCUGAAUAUGGAGUGUAGUGCCUCUAGAAACGCAUCUUCUAAGUUUAAAAAAAAAAACCCAUUUUUUUUAUCAUUUUAAGUGUAACUUUUCUAAUUAGUUUUUAUGCAUCAUUUUCACAUUUCUGCAUGCAUAUUUUCCUUUCAUGUUUAGAAUAGGUUGGGGGGUAGAAUGUUGUUUAAAAAAAAAAAAUUGUGUGAUUUGUUUUAACAUUGGAUGACAUGAUUAAUUUCAAAUUUUAGUAUUUGUAUUAUCUUUGGUCUUAAGUGAUGUUACGCUAUGUUUGCUACUUUACAUGUUGAUGUCGGAGACAAAUAUAAGUUGCUUGAAGGAAUGAACAUGUCAUAAAUAAGUGCCAAGUGAGUUGUUGAGCCUAUCAUUUUCUUGGAGAGUAACCCUUUUGCUCAUUCUCUAUACAGCUUAGCAGUUUAUUAUUUUAUACACGAUCUCUAGAUUUCUUUUGAGUUAACCCUUAAAAAAAAUGGUAAAAUUAAAAUAAAAAAAAAGAAAAAGAAAAAAAAUGUGUGUUACUACAUUUGGAGGCCCAUCUAACUAGUAGAUAUGGAAGGUUAUUUAGAGCCCUAAAAGACGAUGGAAAUGCCAUCUUUGAUCCGUUUGAGCCUUUCUAGCCAUCCAUUUUAUCAAAUAUCCAUAGUUAACCAUUUUGAGCCUUUUUUUUAAAAAAAAAAAACCUUUUAUUUGUUAAACUUAUCAUCUUGACCCACUCCGAUUUGGAGUAUUACCCGAUGUUUUAUAAAUUCCAUCACCUAUUUAUGUUUGAGAAAAUGUAACUAAUUAUGUUGUUCAGUGAAGUUAUGCCAAAUAAAAGCAAAAAAACAAAAAACAAAAAACAAAAACAAAAGUUGUUGUUUCAAAAGAAUAAAAAUAACAAUAAUAAGUGAAAUCCACCUUGCAACUUCCAAAAAAAAAAAAAAAAAUUUUUCUCUGCAUUUUUCACAAACACAUUUUAUUUUCCUUAUUUCCCUUCUUUAUUAGCCAUGUCCCUAACCUACGUUACGUCCUAAUAAAAGUCCUUCUUGAUUUUAGGGAACUAUAGUCUGAAGUAGAAGUUAGUUAUAUGGGCUAAAAAGAUGUAGUGGUGCAUAUAAAAAAUAAAUCAAUAAAUUGGGUUGACUAACAUUUUUUAUUUGACUUGAGAUCGUAUUAUUUCUAAGCUGAGGGCAUAUUUCUUUCAUCUUGGUGAGAGCAUGUGAUCUCACUUCUUUAUUAUUUUCUCUCAAUUACCAUUCAUUGGAGUGACUAUUGUUAUUGGGUUUAAUUUCUUUGUGAGAGUGUCACUACUUCCAGUGAGAUUUUGGGGUUUGACAUGUCAUUCUUGAAAGUAGCUAUAACAAAGUCUACUGGGCUGAUUCAUGUGGAUGGUUGAUGUGGGUGUGAUGUUUCUUUAGACUGGAGAUAAUGCUUAUACUUUUAUUUGAUUGCUAUCAUUAAUCUGAUUGAAUAAACACGAGUGUUUCUAUUAAAAAAAAAAAUCAUUUUGGAUUUGAAUUUCGUUUUCGCUUUAUUUGCUAGGGACUAGCAAUAAGCUGGUUGGGGGGUGUGUUGAGUGUUAGAAAAUGUAUAUUUAUAAAGGAGAAAAUCAUCAUUUUACAUUUCAAGUUUUACUAACAACCCUUACUUUUAUGUAUUUAAGCUUCUUGCAAUUUAAUUAUGUGUGUUUGAUUUUAAUUAAGUAUUUUAUGUAUUUUAGGGGCAUCAUGGUCAUUUCACAAUAAACGAGAGAUCAGACGGCAAAACGGACAUCACUUUUGAACUCAGGACGGUCGAAAACCUUAGGAGGAGCAUAAAAGGAAAAAUGGCACUAUUCACAUGUACGGUACUAUUCACGUGUACGGUACUGUCUACGUUACUGUUCAUGACACUGUUCACAUAGACGGAUUGAUGACGUGGCAUUGAUCGAUGAUGUGGCAUUGACUGAUGAGGUGUCACGAUCCUGUUGGGCUAAAAUUCUUAUGUACUGUUGAUGGUGACGUGGCAGCAUAUCAGUGGAUGAAAAAUCUCGCGUACGGUACAUGCAUCACACAAGAUUAUUUUCAACCAAACCGCGUCACUGUUCACCCGGGUCAAACCGUAUUACUGUUCAUCCACGUGGUCAAACCGCGUACUGUUGACUGAUGACGUGGCACAAUCCUGAGCGUCCAAACUGUUUUUAAUCCGAUGGCCAUGAUUUACUCCAUGUAUCUAUAAAAAGGGGGCUUCCCCCCCCCCCCCUAAUUUGAUAUCUCUGAAUCCAUUUUUGGACUCUAUUUUCUGUAAUUCCUUCUCCAUCUUGUAUUUUCUAUGUAUUUUAAUAAAUUUCUAUUUUGCCCUUAGUUCAAUUAUGAGUGGCUAAUUUUCUUUCAAGCUUGGGUUGAAGGUGAAGUCUCAACAUGUGUCAUAGGCUUUAUUUGGUAAAUUUAUUUUCUUUUCCCCUCUAGUUUUUGUAGAUGUUUUGACUUCUCGUCGAUAAAUAAUACUAAUCUUGUCUAGUACUGCCUUGGUUUCAUCGGCCCUCUAGUACAAGGUUAUUAUUAUUUGGCACAAUAAGCCCUUAGCACCAUAUUGAUUAGAGCGUGGUUCAUGAGGUGUGGAUUCCCCCCUCGUGAUUUAAUUGGCAUUAAUAAGGAUUAUUUAGCCCAUGGUGUAUGUUGAUACGGAUCCAGAUACCCAAGUAUGUCAUUUCAAUAGAAUUCUCUUCAAUUUAUUCUCGCCAUUUCAAUUCUAAUUUUAGAAUUUAUUCUCGCCAUUUUAAUUUAAGUUUUAGCAUAUUCCAAAUCAUUUCCACCACAAAUCUAAUCACCCAUUUACAAAAUUAAUUCUACACACAAUUAAAAUCCACCUUCUCGUGGGAUCGACACUCGUCACCAUUGAUCUAUACUACAAUAGAUUCGUGCACUUGCGAGUACAUUAAAAUUUGCACAACAACGCCCACCUUGAGAAUUUAUAUAUAUAUAGAGAGAGAGAGAGAGAGAGAGAGAGAGAGAGAGAGAGAGUAUCGAUCUAAUCUUGUAUCCUAAAUUUAUCAAAAAAAAAAAAAAAAGCUAUUAAGACAUAUGAUUUAAUAAUAUAAUACCAUUAUACUAUUAAAAUAUAUGACUUAAUAAUUUUUAAGACUUUAACGAAAUCCAGGAUCUUAAAUUCGAAUAUAUAUAUAUAUAUAUAUGCACACAUUACAUCUGUCCGGUUUAAACACGCAUUCUGCUUAAUGCUCUUGACCAAUUGUCCUCAAUUACCUUUUUUUUUUGGGGUGCUAAUUUUAGGGACUUACCAGGUGUAUUGGUUGAUAAAAAGAAUAAGGUUGGGCCGUAGGGUACUUAUAAUUAAUUAAAGUACCCCACACAUCCAGCAGAAUAAAGUCUCUGUACCCCAUUAAUUUCUUCCAACAAUUAACCUCGAUCCUAACUUAAGUCAUAAAUUAUUCACAAUUACAUUAAUUAAUGUUUUGCUAGAUGACAAGGAUAUAUUCGCGGAUUGCUAUCGACCUCUUGGGCCAAUUAAAGAGAGAUAAGUUACAAUUCAACAAUUUUGGCACUUAAUUAUCCUAUUGCCGCUGUUUCCGAUGAUACACGCUAUUUGAAAAAUAUAGACGUUAAUUCUAAUUAGUUAUGAAGAUCUUGGUUCUCGCCUGGGAGCUGCAACAAUUAGCUAACUAGGUAUAGAGUUUUGUUUAAUAAUAAUAUUAAUUCAAGAAGACAGAGAGCAUAAUUAAUUAGACUAAUAUGAAAAAUACCAUGCAAUUUCAUCUUUUUCUAUGGACGAAUGGAAUUAACACAUUGACACACAAUAAUUUUAUUAAUUAAGGAAGACAAAUUACAUGGACACAAAUUAAAAAAAAAAAUCCCUUGCAUAUCUCAAGAGAUCUUAGUAGUUCAAUUAACUAAACCAAAUUCGACACACUCACAAUUAACAGGCAGUAACAGUACCUAUUGUUUUACAUAAUUAAACACAACAUAAAAGAGUAACACUACACGCACUUAACCAGUAUAAUCAAGAUUUCUCCCAUAUUGAGGAACAACAAGAAGAUCAAGGUUGCCGUCAUUUACUUUCUCAUCAUCAUUCAAGCUUAUAAACGAAACAAUGAAGCCCUCCAACCAGACGUUACCUGAAAAUUUUCAUAUUAGAAAAUUUAUUUAUAAAGUAUAUAUUAAAAAUAAGAAUUAGAAAUGAAAUUGAGGGUUGGCCUACAACCUGCGCAGGGAGUUUCCAUAUUCUUCAAAUCAGAAAAGAUAUUGCUUGCUUCAGGUGAUGAACCGUAAUCAAAACUCAAAAGUAAGUUGCUUUUGCUUCCUGUUCGACAUAAUACACAUAUAUAUAGAACGAAGGUGGGAUGAUCGCAGCGUCGUUAAUGCAUGCAGUGUAUAUAAUGGAUCAACGACUGACGUUUCCUAAGUGCUGAUCAACAGCUGAAAUUUAAUUAAAAGAUGAGGGGAUCACAGCUGUUGAAUGUUGACGUUGAAUUUCCCACAUCGGUCAGAUCUCUGACAGAAAGAUUGAGUUUGAUUAAAAUAUCCCGAUGCGGACGGGGAUCAAGUUUGUAUCAAUUAAUAAUAAAAAUAAAUAAAAUAAGGGUAGAGUUGUUCACCCUCUAAAUUUCAUUCUGGACACUCUAAUUUUUAACAAAGAGUGAAGCCAUUGGCACUCUUCAUUAUCUUUAUAAAACCCACUUUAAAUAAAAUUACAUUUAGGGGCAAAUAAGAAUUGAGUACAUAUAGAAUUUUUUUCCAACAAAUUACUUUGUUUCGUAAGUAAUCCCUUUUUUUUUUAAUUUUCUACUUGUUACUUCUUAUCUAACUCAAAUAAAUUGUACAAAUUUAGAAUAAUCUAUUAUUCUUUUCAUAGUGUUCUUGUUGAUUAAAUAUUUAUGUACUUAACAUUGUUUCAAAUUAUAAUUUAAAAUAUGCGUAAUUUAAAUUACAGUACUGAAGUGUUUAUGAAACACUAAUUGUACUGACUUGAAAGUUAAGUUAACUUGAUCAAUUUCUUAUAUGAUAAAAAACCUAUAAUAUCAAACUUAUAAGUUUGUCAAGAUUAUUAUUUAAAAGUCACAUACUACAAAAAAAAAUUUAUAGUUACAUCUUUUUUUUUCAGAGCUUGUAACUUAAAAAGUUGCAGCAUCUUAAUACCAAACAUGGCUCAUCAAUUUAGACUGGGUUGGAACUAUUUAGAGAGGAAAACGGAUCUAAUUUUUGGGGAGAGGAAGUGUUUUACAAAAUUGUAAAAAAGAAAAUUAGGCGAUACAGAGAGAAAAACCCAUAACCGGCCGGACUACCGCACUGCAACCUGCUAUUCAAGUCAAUUAAUCUGCCCCCACAGCUCCACGUGCCGCGAGUAUAAUUGCUGUUACUUACGGCUGGUGUAACAUCGCAGGACCCUUAAUUAAAAGAUUACGGAUUAACAGCUGUUGAAUGUUGAUGUUGAAUUUCCACAUCGAUAUUGGAAUUUAAAAGAAGUGAAUUUUAUGUUGCUAUAUUGCCUGUAGGGGAAGACAGAAUAAAUUAAUUGAUAUUGCCAGCAAAUUCUUAAUUCGUAUCCAAGUACAGGGCUAGCUAUCGGAAUUAAUUAAGAUUAAUUGGUCAUCUUUCCGAAUUUUUAAUCCAUUCCCAUGUGAACCGAAAACAUGUUAAUUAAUGGAAAUCAAAUAUUAAAAAAAUAAUAGUAAUAACUUAACUAAUAAUUUAUAACUGUCAAAUUAAUUAAUAGUUUAUCUACAAUUAUUUUGUUUAUUUUUAUUAUUAGCCAAUAAUUUAUAACUAUCAAAAUAAUUGUAGAUAAACUAAUAAUUAAUUUGAUAGUUAUAAAUUAUUAUUAUUAUUUUAAUAUUUGAUUUCCAUUAAUUAAUAUGUUUUCAGUUCACAUGGGAAUGGAUUAAAAAUUCGGAAAGAUGAUCAAUUAAAUGAAGCGAGAAACCCUCCACAUCAACCCCUCUAUUCUCUUAUAAGCAAUUGGAACGAAACAUCUGUGAUGCCCCAAACGCUAGUCAUAUGUUCCAUCUGUUGUUGCUAAUUAAGACCUAGUCGAGGCUUGAUAUAUGUACAACUUUAAACUUUGUAAAUUAAUUUAAAGGUUAUAACUAUAAAAGUUUAGAAAAAGUAAGGAUAGUAGGGUAACUUAAUUAAGAGAAAAUAUCCACCGUCCACCCGUUUUUUCCAACUUUUUCAAAAAUAUAUAAUUCCUUCUUUUUUUGGCUGGAAUCCACCUAAAGUUAUAUUUUGUUUCACUUUUCCACUUCCGUUUGGAAUCCGCUAAGAAAAUAAACGGAAACUUUAAAAAAUGACCAUUUUACCUCCCAAAACGAAAAUUACAAUUUCACCUUAAAAGUUGCAAAAAAUAAUCAGAUUAAAUCUAAUUAUUUUCUCCAUCGGUCAAUAAAGAAAUUAAUUCCACAACAAUCAAAUGCAGGGUUUUUUUUUUAAUAUGUCUAUAAUUAGAAUACUAAAUUAUAACAGUAGUAUUAAAAAUAGCCCAAUCUCGCAAACCAUCAAUUGAAUUUAAGAUAAGUAGAGUUUUAUUAUUCAUUGAGUUAUAAUAUCUGGUAGUUAAGAUUUUUUUGUACUUCAUUAACAUACCAAUAAUGAUAUUCAUCAUAAAAUCUGAUUAUUUUUUACAUUUUUUAGGUGAAAUUUUAAUUUUCGUUUUGGGGGUAAAAUGGUUAUUUUUUAAGUUUCCGUUAGUUUUCUUAACAGAUUCCAAACAGAAGUGGAAAAGUGAAAUAAAAUGUAACUUUAUGUGGAUUCCAGCCAAAAAAAGAAAGAAUUAUGUAUUUUUAAAAAAGUUAGAAAAAAAGGGUGGACGGUGGAUAUUUUCCCCUACUUAACAACAGGAGUAUUUUAAAGUAUUUUUAAAAUAUAAGAACAAUCCAACCGCUUAACAUGAAAUAAAGGGAUGAAACAAAUAUUUUUCUUAUUAAUAAAAAGAAUAUGUAAUAAAAAAAAGCUCGUCUUAAUGAUUGGGAAAAAAAAUAUUUUUGAUAUAAUGAAAUAGGUCUAAUCGAUUGUAAAAUAUAAAAAUAUUUUUUUAAAUAUUGAAAUUAUUUUAAAAUGCAUAUAUUAUUACAUUUAUUUUAAUGCUAUAUUUUUAUUUAUUAUAAAAUUUUAGGGUCAAUUCUUUGGGUUAAUAGAGUCAAAUGAUAUUAUGGUAAAAAAAAGAGUCUUGGUGUCUCCUAUUAAAAACUUGAUGUCUUUGUGACAAUUUCUCCAAACCUUGAGGGUGUAAGCGUGCUUGGAAAAUUUAAGAUUGUCAAUCCAUUUGGGGUAAACUGAAGUUUACCCUUAAUGUAAAUAUAAAUAAUUUAUGACUUAUUACUAGUUUGGUAAGACUUAUCUAAGAAUGGCCUGUUUAAACCCUAAAAAAUGUUCAUUAGAUCUGGUUUUAAAUUAAAAUUUUAUUACCAAAACGUCCCUAACAUAAAUUAAUAUUAUAGCCUAAACAGUAUAAUUGAACAGAAAAAAAAAAAAAUGCUCCAUGCUACUCCAUCUUUAAUCCAUAUCUUUUUUUAAUGAAUUAGGGAAAGCAAAGCUACACCACCCAUAAUUUGGUCAAAUGGUCAUGUAGACAUCUAAAUUUUCAACAAUAGACAUCAAAAACCCUUCUUAAAAUGUUUUAAGACACCACAUUUCACUUUGGCUUUUUUUUUUUUUUUUUGGGAUAAGCUAACCGAGUUUGCCAAUAAUGUAAAAAAACCAAAUAAAUAAAAUGCCUUUGACUGAUCUGUUAUUAUAUAUAUAUAAUGGAUUCGUUUUAUUUUUCAUUUUCAGGUUAAUUAAAAUGUUUUAAAUUAAAUUAAAAACUCUGGAAAAACAGUCAAUAUAUCGUUCCAUGUAUAGAAGCAAGUGAUGACAUGAUAUGGGCAUAACUGUAAAUUAGUAUUUGACAUCCAAAUAAACGGCAAAAAUAGCAAGAGGGAGUCUUGGUAUCCAUUGUUAAAAUGUUUACAACAAUACCAUUUGUCUCAACUAACUGAAAAAAAAAAUUGAUUCCGAUGUUUUAUAAUAAAUAGAAAUAAAAAAUAAAUUAAAUGCAAUAAUAUAUAUAGUUUAAAAUAAUUUCAUUAUUUUAAAAACUAUUUUAAUACUUUACAACCUUAUAUUAUAUUAAGCUAAAUUUUAUAAUAAAUGGAACAUAACGUUAAAGUAAAUAUAUAAAAUUUUAAAUUAUUUUUCAAUAUGAUAUAGAAUAAUUUUAAUAUUAUUAAUAGACUAUAUAUAUUUUAUAUUAAUUGUAAAAUCUAUUUAACCCAAAGAUUUAUUAAAUUUUUUAUAAUAAAUACAUAUAUAUUAUUAAAAUAAAUAUAAUAAUUUACAUUUAGAAAUUAUUUUAUAUAUUAAAAAUUUUCUAAUAUCAAAUUAAAUUAUUUAAAUUAUAUUUUUAUUUAUCAAAAAAAUUUAAAGAUAACAUUUUAGUUACUAUUUACAAAAAGUAUUAUAGCCAAAAGGGGGUUUUAACAUUCCUUAUUAAAAAUCUGGGGUUCUACAUGACUAUUUUGCAAACCUUGGCGUAUAGGUAUCCUUUUCUAAAAAAAAAAAAAAAUUACUUAUUUAUAUUGUCUGUUGGGAAAUACAGAAUAAAUUAAUUGAUAUUGCCAGCAAAUUGUUGAUUCAUAUCCAAGUGAACGGACAGCUGUUGAAAUUAAUUAGGGUUUAAUUUAGAAAUUUUUAGGCAACCAUAUUCCCAGACGGAAUCGGAAUCUCAAAUCUUUUUUUUUUUUUUUUGCAGAGAAAUCUGAUCGAUGUAGGAAAUUCAACGUCAACAUUUAGCAACUGCGAGUUUCUUUAAUAUGCAUGUCUAUCACACCAGAACCAAGAACACACACAACUGGUAGCUACUUAAAUAAUAUGGAAGAAUAUGGAAGCUACUUUUGUAAACUUUUAAGAAGCAAUAUAAAAAUUAACAUAAUGAAAACAAAUUUCAUUCAUUCUCCAGCACAAAUGUUCAUUUAUAUAAGUAUUUAAAACAUGAAAAUAGAGGUGAUACAAUUAACAAAUUUAGAGAUAAUGAUUGAUUAACAAAAAUUGAGUUAAUCGAUAAUUCUUAAUGAAUAACUAAGAUAGAAACAAUCAAUCAUUUGAUUGAUUGUUUUGUUUCUAUUAAUAUUGUUGAUCCUUAUCAUUCUCCCUCAAGUUGGAGAGAAUUUUUUUGAACUUCUAGCUUGUCUUUAAAAAUCAUAUUUCCUUGAUUUUUAUUUAUAGUCUCAACCAAGUGUCAUGCAACAAAUAGGGAGUAUUCCUCUAAAACUUGUUUAGGAAAUCUUUUUGUUAUUUUCAUGUACACUUUUUUUAGACUAAGAAAAAUCAUAAGUAAUAAAUUAUUUUUAUUAAGGAAUUCUUUCAAUAUGAAAGUCGUUCCUUCAAUUAUUUUUAAGGAAAUCUUCACUCAAUGAUUUUAUCUUCACUCCUUUGAUAUUGUCAUGGAAUUCUUUCAUUUAGAAAGUCAUUCCACUGAUCUGGUCAAGGAAAACAUCAAUUUUCAGGAUUUCUUUUCAUUCCCCUUUUCUUUUGAGGUCAUUUCCUUUGUGAUGGUAGAAGUGUGGUGGUUAAUGAUGCAGUUGAACAACUUCUUCUUCUUCUUCUUCUUCUUCUUCCUUUUCUACGAAAUUGAAGAACAAUAAAAAAGGAACUCACAUCUCUCCUUUAGACCACCAUGCUCUAGAAACAUAUCAUCGACACCGUGGCUAAGCAUAAACCCACAAAUUUAAGGACUUUCAAACUUGUCUAAUACCAUGAAAAUUUUUAGAAAUAAAUUAAGAAGAUAAAUCUCACUCUUACUCAUAUAUGAGCACAAAAACUCAAUUCAUACAAUACUUGAAACAUGAAAAUGAAAAUGAUACAAUUAACAUAAUUUGAAAUAACGAUUGAUUAAUACUGAUAGAGUCAAUUAAAAUUUAUUUCGAUUUAUAAUCAAUCUUUCUAAAUCAAUAAUAUAGAGACAACCAAUCAUUUGAUUUAUUUCCAUUACUAUUGCUUGAUUUUUAUCAGCUUUUCAUGUACUUCAAGUUAGGACAAUUUCAUGUGAAUUCUAUUUCUAGUUUUUAUAUUAAUAAUAUGUCAUCUUUUAAUUAAUUUUCUAUAAUAAUUUUUUUAGGUAAGACUGAAUGGUUUGAGACGCUUAUUACAAAGAAGGGUGCUUUUUUUAGCCAAUGCUGGAUAUAAACUAACGACGUAGCGUUUGCCAAUCUCAAUCUUCUUGUAGUCUCUCAAUAUAUGAAAAACCCUAAUGAGGCUGGUUAAUUGAAUUAUAAAAUUGAUUUGUUUUCAUUUGAGUAAAUGUUAUACUUCUAAAAGUUUGUAUUUCAGAUACAAGUUAACAUUUGAUAAGAAUCAAACAAUAUUGAUAAAAAUAAAAUAAUUAUUUAUUUGAUUCAUUGUCUUCAUUUUAAUUAUUGACUAAGAAAGAUUGAUUGUGAAUUAAUAUAAAGAUUGAUCGACUCAAUAUUUGCUAAAUAUGAAUCAUUAUUCCUAAAUUAUGUUAAUUGUAUCAUUUCUUUUUAUAUUUCAAAUACUUAUAUAAACUGAGGAGUUGUGCUCAUUAAUUUUGUGCUCAUUAAUUUAUAAGAGAGAAAUUUAUCUUCUUUAUAUUAUUUUUGAAACAUUUUCAACAUUGCAUCACCUUAAAAUGCCCUUUCAAAUUACUUGUCAAUAUGUGUUAAUUUUACAGGCGUAGUAGGGAAAGCUGGUGGUCUCAACUGUCAUAAUAUCAAAUUUUUGGCUUAUUCGCUGACGUGACAGACGGCUGUCUCCUCUUUUGCAGCACGAGAUUUCCUCACCGAUUCCUUAUUUUUUGACACGUAUUCAACUUCAACCGAUCUUUUUGAGAUUCGGGGCCCACAUAUCUCUUGACAUUUUUACAAAGACUUUUUAUACCCUUACAUGGUGUACCUCAGGUACCCCACAGAGCAUCUGGGGUACCCGGUGUAAGCCAACCUUAUUUUGGUGACUCUGGCUAAUAAACUCUAUAUUGAUAGAGGCGUUUCUCAUGACUGACUCUUUGGAGACUUUUCUUUGACCGUUUUGCGUCUGAUUUGUGGUACCCUUCGUACCUUCUUAAUCUCCAGCUGUACCUCGGGUACCGGGUUUAUAGUGUAGGUUGGGUAUCUCGGGUACCAAGGUUAUAGUGUAAGUCGGGUAACCGAGCUUAUAGUGAAUGUCGAGUACCGAGUUUAUUGUGUAGGCUAGGUAUCUUAGGUACUGAGCUAAUGGUGUAGAUCAGGUACCUCGGGUACCGAGUUUAUAGUGUAGGUCGGGUAACCAAGCUUAUAGUGAAUGUCGGGUACUGAGCUAAUGGUGUAGAUCGGGUAACCGAGCUUAUAAUGUAGUGCAAGUCGGGUAUCUCGAGUACUGAGUUUAUAAUGUAGGUCGAGUCCCUCGGGUACCGAGUUUAUAGUGUAGGUCGGGUAUCUCGAGUAUCCCGAGUACCAAAUUUUAUGGGGUAGGUUAGGUAUCCUGGAGGAUAACUAAUAAUUACAUAACCUUUGCAUCGACACGUGGCGCUUUAUUUUCAAUACUCUAUUUAUCCCCAAACAAUCUGCAAUUAUUAGUUAGUCCAAGGGACCCAUGCAUGCUCCCACGUAAUUCGCCCAAUUGAAUUAUAGCCAUAAACCACAUCGGCCACUUGUGUUAAUAUGUGUGUGUGUGUGUCUAUAUAUAUAUAUUAUAUAUAGAUACACACAUAUGUAUAUAUAUUUGCAUAUUGUUAAACCAGAAGAUAGCAAGAACUCACAAAAGCAACUUACUUUGCAUUACGGUUCACCAGAAGCUUUGAAGGAUAUGGAAACUCCUUGCGCAGGUUUCUAGGGCAACUUCGAUUUAAAUAUCAUUUAUUAUAAUUUUAAUUUUAAUUUUUUUGAUAUUAAUCACGAGGUAUCCUGGGGAGAGCCCCAACUGUGGGAGGCACUUUUAAGCCCGUACCACAACCCAGACUAGAAGUCCCCGCUCGAACCGGGAGGCACAGAUUCUCCCAACAAAUGCGACUUCCCUGCGACUCGAACUGGGGAGCAAACCUAGUCAAGCCACUUAAGGGGACUCCAUUGCCAGUGGAGCCAACACUUUGUUGGUUUAUAAUUUUAAUUUUAAUACAUGAGUUUAUCGGAAAAAAAAAAUUGAAUAUGAAUUUUUCAGGUUAAAACGAUUGGUCGGAGGAUGACUGCAAGUUUUCAUGGCAUGUAAAUAUUGCUAAUGAGGAGAUUAACGAUGAUAGUCUUGAUCUUCUUGUUGUCUCUUAAUAUAUGAAAAAUAUUAUCUACACUGAUUAAAUACAGUGUGACUCUUUUGUUUUUUUAACUAAAUAAAAUGAUGAGUAUAGGUGUUACCUGUCAAUCAUGUGAGUGACAUAAUUUGGUUUAGCUCAAUUUAUAAAAUCUUUUGAGAUAAACAAGAGAUCUUAUUUGUUUACUAUUGUGUACUAUGUUUUCCUGAAAAAGAUAAAUUAAUGAAAGUUCUUUUGUGCGUCAAUCUAUACAUAUCAGCUGGAACCCCAUCUACUUGCUAUCCAAAAAGACACGACCUCUUUCGAUCGUAUAAAAAAUUGGUUACGUUUUGCUAAUUUACCCACAAUGCCCUCCCGAUCCUCCAAAAAGGAUGGUCUGAACAAUUACUCCCAUCUCUACGAUAUCCAGUAUUGUUACUUGUAGCUUAUAGCUUUACGAGGCAAAAAAGCAUCAUCAACAAUUCAACAUAAACUAAUGUUUUAAAAAUAAGUUGCAUGAUUAUUUUUCUGCGUAUUUUGCUAGAACUUAGUCAUAAUUUUUAAUAAGAAUGGCUACUUUCGCCGUUUCCGGAACUACAAGCAAGAGGCCUUAAUUAACUAUUGCUUCUAUCAUUGGAAUCUGAAAAGAAACGUUUGACUGACUUACUCAUCGGUUAAUCCGAAUAGAAGGUCAACUAGAAUCUGUUUUAGUUAAAGAUUGAAAUUGAUAAUGUUUGGAAGCUAAGAAAAUGAAAGAAAGCUGAAGAAAAUAACAACUGGAUCUAAGAAGCUUCUAGAUCAUUUCUUAUUAUUCAACAGUACUGUACUGAAAGAGCUUAAGCUGAUCAUCACAUGCGCAAGCGAUUACAUAACCACCAGGUGCCAUCUGGCAAUCCAUGUCAUCAACUUGUAACCGUAUGCAACAGCUGCUGUAAUUCUCUGUUUUGUUGACCAUGCUGCAAAUGUGAGCUUCCUUAGCAGUUUUUCUGUUUGUUCAGUCAUGACGAAUAGAAGGCCUCUUUGUUCGGUAAGCAUUCUGAAGCUCUCAAUGCCUCUUGCUGCUGCUUAUUUCCUAUUUUCCUUUCUUCCUUUCGACUUGGCGAGAGAAUAAUGUCUCUGGAACAUGACCGCCUAUUUCUCAAUGCAGAUCUGAUGCUUAUGCAUGCACGGAUGGAUGAUUUUAACCAUAACUGAUCCACUCAUGCACAGAUCUAAAUAUAGUUGAGCUAGUUCAAAGUUAUAGCAUGAUUUAAUCAGCAAAGAUUAAAGCAAAACGGACACUGUAAUGUCUUUCUUAUUUAUUCGUACGCUGAUUUUCCUGUUAAAAUUCCAACACCAAUUUCACGAUCCAAAUCCAAUUACAUUUGUCCAAUCCCAAUUUCAAAGCUCAAUCCAUAGAAAAUUCAAAAAUUGUGUACAAAUGAUAGAUGUCUCUAAUCUAAAACUAUCAAAUGGUGGUGAAAAUAUCUUAGUCUCAAAAUAUCUUGAAUAAUUGGUGAUUUUUGUAAAAUGUAGUUGUCAUAUUUUUAUAAUUCAAUGUUUCUGUGGCUAGUAUUAGUUUUAUGUUACUAUAAAUACCAUUGGACUCUUUGAUGGAGGCAUCAAGUGAAAUUUGAAGAAUAAGAGAGAAAUAAGAAGUGUGAGCCGUGAGUUUUAUGCGUAGUGUCCCUUGUGAAAUAUUUAUAAAGUCCUUUAAAUGUUUGUAAAUUUUGGUAUUACCCAAAUAGUUCCGAUUUUGUUCAGUUUAAUCCUAUUCAUUUUUUCAAAGAUUCCAAGGUGGUGUUUGGUUGGGAGUAGAAAAUGUAGGAGAGGAAAGUAAUUUAAAUUCUCUUUUUAUUUUUAUUGUUUGAUUUGAGAAAAUAUAUAAGAAUUUAAUUUCCAUUAGUAUUUAAUAUCCAUCAUAAUGUAGAAUUUGAAUUCCAAACUUAGUGAAGAAUUUAAAUUCCUCUUAUAUUAGAAACUAAAGUUUCUAAAAUUACCCUUCAAUUUUUUAACUUAUUUAAUGCCAUUAAUAAUUAUUAUUUAUAAUUUUAUUUUAAUGACUUAAUAUUAUAAAUGGACCUCCACCGGAAAGUCAUCGGACCACCGUCGGACCUCGCCGGAAGAUCGUCGGACCUAGCCAGAAUGUCGCCGAACCACCGUUGGACCUAGCCGGAAGUCGCCUGACCACCGUCGGACUUCGCCAGAAGUCGCUGGACCUCUGCCGCCGGCCAUUGGACCGCCAUUUUAUUUUAUAUAUAUAUAUAUUAUUAAUAUAAAUAGUUUAAUAUUUAAGGUAAAUGAUAAAUUUGUCUAAAGAAAAAAUUAUAAUUCAUUUCCUUAUCAAAUUUUAUAUCAAACCAAACAACAAAAUUUAAUUUCAAUACUCUUCUCCAUUCAUUUCUUCUCCCUUCCUCUCCAUUCCACUCUUUUCCUCUCCCUUUUCUUCAAACCAAACAUGACCCAAGGGACUAUGCCGGAUCAGAAAAUUAACCAAGGAUCAGCGAAUUCAAACGAAAUAAAUUGUACAGACAGACUGGCUCAUAUAUCGAGUGAUUCGUAUCCAAGUUUCAGGAUUUUACACGACAUGCACAAAAAAAAAAAAAUAAAUAUCCAACUUUGUGUUGAGAACUAGUUUUCUAGAAUCUACUUGUAUAUAUAAUUACUCUAUUAGAACUCCUUGAUUUAUCACUAACAUUUACAAGAUUAUUAUUGAUAAGAGCAUACUUACAUGACUAAAAAAAAGCAAAGUUAGAAUUCUAAAUACAGAACGGACGUCAAUUAAGAUAGCAAAUAACGACAAAUAAUUUUAGUCUUAACGACUUCGUCACUACACUCUUGAUGGAGUAGAAAAAUUAUGAAAUUUUGACUGCGCAAAGCUUAAUAUGCAAUUAUAAAAUCUUAAAAAAUUUCAUGCUUAAAAUUUGGCAAUUUUAAGAUAUAUAUGUAUAAAAAAAAUAACAAAGAAGCUAUGUCAUAAUUUAUCAACUCAAAUGUCAUCCUAACAAUAAAAUAGGACUACUAAACUUUUGAAAUAAUAAUUAUAAUAGUAAAAUCAUAAAUCUUAUAAUAGUAACUAAUUGAAUUAAAUUAAGAGUACUAAUAUUUUCAUGUAGAGGCUAAUGUUUUUGUGGCCAAGUUUUUUUCUUUUUUCUUCACAAAUCAUGGGCCAUAAAAACGGGCAGUAGGGGUUCUUUUGAUAUAGGAUGGUUGUGUAGGAUGAACAAGAUAUAUUUUUAGGGCCAUGACUUUUGUUAAAAGUGUCCAUUUUAAUCUCAUAAUAUAUUGUUUCGAAGCUUACAAAAGAUAGAUGUAGACAUAUAGAAAGGAUGAAUAGAAUAAUUUAAGAGAGGGUCAGGUUUAUGUUUUCUGAUACUAAACUUCCUAAAUCUUUCUAGGCGGAGGCUAUGCGUACUGCAGUUGACUUGAUUAACCUUUCUCCUUCAGCUCCAUUAGAUGGCGAUGUACCUGAGAGAGUUUACACUAGGAAAGAUGUUUCUUACAAACACUUGAGAGUGUUUGGUUGCAGACUAUAUGUUCACAUCCUAAAAGAUGAGAGAUCAAAGCUUGAUGAUAAAGUCAAGGAAUGCAUUUUCUUAGGCUAUGGGCAUGAAGAAUUUAGGUACAUAUUAUGAGAUCCAGUGGUAAGAAAAUUGAUCAGAAAUAGAGAUGUUGUAUUCCUUGAAGAUUAGUUAGUUGGUGAUGCAGAGAAAAGUGAUGAGCCUUAGUUAUCUCCAGAGAUUCCCAUUAUUCCAACUUCAAUUUCUCCACUUGUAGUUCAUAAUGAUCAUAAGGGAACUGGAGAAGAUAAUAACGAUGGUCCAGCAAAACCAGUUGACGAGGCACCUCCAAAACCACCUACACCACCAGUUGAGCCAGAAUUUUGGAGAUCCACCAUAGAACGACGACCUUCCAUUAGAUAUCCUCCACAUGAGUAUGUAAUGCUUACAUAUGAAGGGGAGCCAGAAUGUUUUGACAAAGCCAUGUCUCAUCAGCAUAAAAGUGAGUGAGUUAAAGCUAUGCAAGAGGAGAUGAAAUCCUUGAAUGAGAACCAUACUUAUGACUUAGUAAAGCUUCUUAAAGGAAAGAUGGCACUGAAGAACAAAUAUGUUUAUAGGUUAAAGACUAAAAAUAACUCACAACAGCAGUACAAGGCUAGAUUGGUUGUGAAGAGUUUUGGUCAAAAGAAAUGUAUUGAUUUUGAAGAAAUAUUUUCUCCUAUGGUGAAGAUAUCAUCUAUCCGAGUUGUUCUGGGAUUAGCAGCUAGCUUGAACUUGGAGAUUGAACAGCUUGAUGUAAAGAGAACUUUCUUUCAUAGUGACUUAGAGGAAGAAAUAUAUAUGGAGCAACCUAAAGGGAUCAAUGUUAAAGGUAAAGAAGAACUUGUGUGCAAGUUGUAGAAAAGUUUGUAUGAGCUUAAACAGGCACCAAGGCAAUGGUACAAGAAGUUUGAUUCUUUUAUGGAGAAUCAUGGUUUUAACAAGACAAUGUGUGAUCAUUGUGUUUUUGUGAAGAAGUUUGGUGAUAAUGAUUUCAUCAUUCUUUUUACUUUAUGUGGAUGACAUGUUGAUGUUGGUCAGGAUGCUAAUAAUAUUUACAAUCUGAAGAGGGAGCUUAGCAAGUCUUUUGCAAUGAAAGACUUGGGACCGGCGAAACAAAUUCUUGGCAUGAAGAUUUCCCGCGAUAGAAAAGUUGGGAAGUUAUGGUUAUCUUUAGAAGCAUAUGUUGAAAGGGUUCUUGAAAGAUUUAACAUGGUUAAGGCAAAAUCUAUUUGUUCUCCACUUGCAGGCCAUUUCAAGCUUACUUAUGAACAUUAUCCUACAAGUGAGAAAGAGAAGCAAGAGAUGAGAGGAGUUCCUUAUGCUUCAGCGGUUAGUAGUUUGAUGUACGUCAUGGUUUGUACAAUACCAUAUAUUGCUCGUGCAGUUGGUGUAGUUAGUCGGUUUCUCUUCAAUCUGGGUAACGAAUACUGAACAUCAGUAAAUUGGAUUCUCAGAUAUUUCAAAGGUACUUAUGAGGCAUGUUUAUGCUUUGGUGGUGACAAACAUGUAUUACAAGUGUACAUGGAUGCAGAUAUGGCAGGAGAUGUUGAUUCAAGAAAAUUUCUAUCAGGAUAUUUGCUCACCUUUGCAGGGGGAGCAGUCUCAUGGCAGUCCAGACUUUAGGAGUGUGUUGUCUUGUCUACCACAGAAGCACAGUAUAUUGCAAUUACUAAAAGUUGCAAAUAAACCUUGUGGAUGAAGAAUUUCCUACAAGAGUUGGGUGUGAAGCAAGACAAAUUUAUUGUGUACUACGACAGUCAGAGUGUCAUUCACUUGGCAAAGAAUUCAAAAUACCAUUCAAAAUCCAAGCAUAUUGAUGUGAAGUAUCAUUGGAUACGAAACGUGCUUGAAAAGAAACAAUUGCAGGUUUAGAAGAUACACACAACGGAGAAUAUGUUAGAUAUGACGACAAAGUCAUUGCCCAAGGAGAAGCUAAAAAGCUAUAUGCAAAAAGCGGGCUUGGUGGUGCCCCCACAUGAUCUGGAGGGAGAGAUUUGUUAGGUGCAUCUCAUUUGGGUGGCUCAAGCCUAAAGUUUAAUAAGUUUGGGUAAAUAAGUAAUUAAAAGAAACUUAAAGGACAAAUGAAAUUUACCAUGAAAUUUAGCUACAUAAACAAGCAUAAGUGGAGGUGGCAGUAACCUUUUAAGAGAAGAAAAAGGCAAGAGAGAAAGGAAGAGACAGUAGAGUUGAGACUAUUUGGGUGCAAGAUUUUCAAUUUUUAAUUGGGCGAUCGGAAGGCGAAAUUAACUUCCGUUUCCCUCAACUUUUGAGGGUAAGUUCCUAGUAUCGCCCUCUACAAUUCUACUAGUCUUGAUUUUUAUUUUAUCCUCUCUUUGACUAUUAUUUGAGAUACCCACUUGUUAGAGAGAUAAUUAUUAAGCUGUUACCGUAAGGCAAAAAUAUUGAGAUUCUUGAUAUUGGUAUCUUCUAGUAUUAUCUAGAGAAGAAUUAGUGCUGCAAUCCUAUUAAUAUAAUGGAAGAUUAUAUCGGACUACGGUUCCAUACUUUUUCUCGCUUUGGGUUUUCCAUAUAAAAUCUGUCUCUUGUGGUUGGUUUUUGCUUUGGAUUUUGUUGGUUUAUUUUUUUGCCUAUUUAUUUAUGGUACACAUCCGAUUUUAAUCACACAAAGAGGGAAAAAAUUUUGUUUCCGCUUAAUUUACAGCUACUUUUGUGAGUCCCUUUCCCAACAGCUUAAAUGUACUUAUACACCCCCCAAGAUUUUAAAUGUCACACUAACUCCUUUCUAAAAUAAAGUAUUUUUAAUACAAUCUGUCCAAGUAGGAAAUUUAACUGGAGAAAAUAAAAAUAAGUUAUGAAGGUUAAAGGGGAGCAAAUAAAGCAGGAGAAAACAAAGAAGCUUAGAAAGUAAAAACUGGAAACCAAGAAGCAAAAAUAAAGAUUUUGAGUAAUCUAUAAUUUCGGAAGGCCCCACCGUAACUACCACUAAAAAUAGCUUCAUGAAUUGAAGAAGGGGAACAUCGAACUUAGCAGCCAUAUUAUCUUAAUUUAUCAAAGAUUUAUGAACAAGUAUUAAAACGAAAUCAUAUCAGAGAUAAUUGCUUUACGAUUCAACAACUUAUUCUUAAUAUGAGAACGAGUAAAACAAGAACAGCCUGAAUUGAGCAACCAAGAAAUAGUUCCAUCCCAUGGAUAUUAAAUUCUAAUAGAAAUUAAAUUCUUAUAUAUUUUGUCCAACUAAACAAUGGAAAUAAAGAUUGAAUUUAAAUUAUUUUCCUCUCCUUCAAUCUCUCCUCCCAUCCAAACACCACGUAAAUGUUAGCUCUUUCAACUUACAAUCCACAUGUGUCAUGAUGUGUGCAUGUUGGAAUGGUCUAGUAACAUUCAUCAGAUAAUCAUAUGAAAUAAAAUGGAUGAAUAAAAGCUAUUAGAGAAAAGGACUUACAAAUUUAAUUUUUUUGAAGAGAAAAGAACAAAAAUAGCUUUUAUUAAAAAAAUACAAAAUAGAGAAAAUGAUGCAUUUCUUUUGUUCUCCUAAUUUGCCAUCUUUAAAAAAACCUGUUUAGCUAGAAAAAAUAUAAUUUUUUUUAAAGUAAAACAAACAUAAUAUUUUUUUUAAAAACAAGCAAAUACACAAAAGCAUGUUAUAUGAGCUAUCCCCUCCCCUUAACCAGAUCGAGGCAUUGUCCUCAAUGUCUAAAGAAAAAGAGAUAAAGUUUACAGGGCUGCACCUAAUAAUGUGAAAGGAACAUCAUCAAAAGACCAUAGUAAUGAUUUAUAUCCAAUGGUCUAAUAGGUUGUUGGUGGAUGCCCAUGAUGCAAUUGUGAAAAUUUCUUCUAAGAUGCCUAGUCCACUUGGUAAAGCAAUAAAAGCAUCAACAUGUUCAAUCUUUACAAUGAGACAUUCAUGUAUACAUAUAACAAUGAGUUCUUCUCCAUUUGUUUUCCCGAUCAUAUUUCCUCUAGUUUAAGGUUUUUGGGACUAUACACAAAACUUGACUUCCUUUAGUGUUUGCAGUUAGCGAGAUGGUUUGUGAAAUCUCUAAUGUUAUGGGUGUCAAUGUGUAAGUGUACACGAUAAGUAAUAUACUGAUGAGUAUUCAAAUUGUCUCAACAGGGAUUGAUGCUAUCAAAUUUGCUACAAUAAUCUUAACAGUGUAGUUUUGUUUUAAAUGAAAAUAAAGCAACUAAUGAAACUAACAAACAAAUCAAAGUAAAAAUGCAGUAAAUAAAAUAAAAUAAAGGAAAUUCUCACGUCAAAUAUAAGGAUGUAACUAAUGGGAAUUGAGUAGUUGAGUGCAUAAACUCACUUAAUAGCAUUAACUAUUUUUUCAAUUAUAGUACCAUUGGUACAACAUCUACUACAGCACUGGGCAGAAUCCCUCAUGCAUCCUCAGUUGUCGCCUGUUUGAUAUCUUAUAUCUAAUGCAACCUAACAGUGACCAAUUGUUACGCCAAUAUUAAAUAUACCAUUAAACGAUCUAGGUUUUGUUUACCCUACAAGAUGAAUACAUAUAUCUAAUUCAUCACAAAUUUUAGAUCAAGCAUGACCCUAUUCAAAUUAAGAUUAACUCAACUUGAAAAACCCAAUCUAAAACCAAGUAUUAUCUUAAUGAGAUCCACUGAAUCAGACCUUUUUUAGGCUCUUUCUUAGCUAGUAUCGUUAAAUGGGUGGUCAGCCGAAAUAGAGAAUAAAAUAAAUGCAAAUAAGACAAAAUGUUAUAGCAAACACAGAGAAACAUGCGUAUAUUAGUCAAACAUCCAUUAAGUUCGUUUAUUACUCAACUACAAUCAAAUUCAGUUCAUGAUUUGUGAUAGAAAAAUAAACAAAAGAGUUUCAGCCAUCAAAUAGAUCUCCAUGAAUAAAUAGAAAACAAGAAAAUAAGAAGAAUGGCUGAUUUCUAUUUUAUUUCUGCAGUUUCUCCUCUGUCGGCCUUCAAUCUCUCUCUUGAAUUUUUUUUUCUUGUUGUUUCUUUACGAUUUUUUCUCCUUGGGUGAUGGCUUUCCCUUUUUCUCUGUGUGUGCGCUCAUUUUAUAGCUUAAAAUUAAGGAAACCAUAAGUCUAGAGCGCGCAUAUUCUAGUUUUGGAAACUCCAUAUCGCAAUCUUCUAAGUAUCUCGCGUGAAAUCUUCUCUAUCAAUGCUUCAGGAUUGCUACAACAAAAGUGCUACAGCAACGGUUACUACAUGUUCCUUAAAAUUUAAGCUUCCGAACACUUACAAUUAUGCAUAAGAUCUAAGCAAUCUAAAACAAACUAAAUUUAUUAAAAAUAAACAAAAAUUGAUGUUCAUACAAAAUAUAACUAAAAUGCUAUAAAAACAUGUCAUUUACUCUCUAAAUAAUUUUGAUUUAAGUCUAAAAGUACUAUGAUAACUCAAUUUCAUAGAGUUAUCACGAGACAACCCUUAUUAAUCUAAAAUCACCAUCUCCACAUAUUAAAUGUAUUUUUCUCACAGACAAUAUCCCCUCGAGGUCUUUGACAGCCUCAACGAAAUUUAGAGUAUGUCCAAAAGUUGAUCUAGAGAAUACAAAAAUAUUUUUAAGUUGUCGAAAUGGAAUUACUGGCAUUAUGAUUUUCUUGCUGUUAAAAAAUUUAUAUGUAUUUACAAAUCCAGGAAAGACAAUCCAUUAAUGAUAAUAAAUUCGGAGGUUGGCAAUUGUUAAACAGAGUGUCAGAAAUAGUUAAAAUGAUAAUCAGUUAAAUGCUAUAGGAAAUUUUAAAUAAAUAAGUCAAUAAAGUUAGAGCAAAGUAAUAAUAGAAAAUGAAAAUGAUAUGUACUAAUAGUUGUGAUUGUGGCUCACGACUUCUUUUAGUUUUACAUCCAGUAAUGGCUUGAAUGCUUUCUAUGGAUCGGGGAUAGGAUUCCCAACCAAUUUUCUUAUAAAUUAGUGUUGGGUUAUUUCUAUUACUAUGGGUGUUAAUGUACAAGUGUACACAACAAGUAAUCUAUCAAUGUACAAGCCAAGUAGCCACACCAGCAUUCACCUCAGCAGGUGCAUUUUGAACAAUAGCCGCAUUCUCAACAGCAGGCAUCGUUUUAGUGGUAGGUUCUGAUCGUACUGGUAGCAUGUACACAACAAGUAAUGUAUCAAUGUACAAGUGUACACAACAAGUAAUAUACUGAUAAGUAUUCAGAUCGUCUCCACAAGGAUUGAUGUUAUCAGAUUUGCUACAACAAUCUUAACAGUGCAGUUUAAUUCUAAAUUAAAAUAUGACAAUUUAUGAAACUAAUAAAUUAAUUAAAAAUGCAAUAGAUAAAAUUCUCACGUCAAACACAAGGAUGUAACUAAUGGGAAUAGAGUAGUUGAGUGAUUAAACUCACUUAAUAGUGUUGAUUGCUCCUCUAAUUAAAACCCUAUUGCUACAACAUCUAUUACAGCACUGAGCAAAAUCCCUUAUGCAUCCUCAGAUGUCGUAUGUUGGAUAUCUUAUAUCUAAAUGCAACAUAACAGUGAUCAAUUGUUAUGCUAACAUUAGAUAUAGAAUUAAAUGUUCUAGGUUUCAUUUGCCCUACAAGGUCAAUCCCCACGUCCAGUUCUUCACUAAUUUUAUAUUAAGCAUUACCCUAUUCAAAUUGAGAUUCACUCAACUUGGGAAACCCAAUCUAAAACCCAGUAUUGUCUUAAUUUGUUCCACUAAGUUGGCCAUUUUCAAGGCUCUUUAUUAGCUAGUAUCCAUUAAAAGUGUGAUCAGCCAAAAUAGAGAAUUGAAAUAAAUACAAUUAAGACAAAAUGCUAUAACAAAUACAGAGCAACACACAUAUGUCAGUCAAACAGAUCGUUUAUCACUCAACCACAACAAAUUCAAUUCGUGAUUUGCGAUAGAACAGUAAAUAAAAUUGUUUCAGCCAUCAAAUACAUCCCCAUAAUUAAAUAGACAACAAGAAGAUAAGAAGAAGAACUGAAGUAUGCUCGAUCUUAGUGAUAUCUUCUUUAUUUCCUCUUUGAAUCUUCUGUUACAUCCUUCGAUUUAUCUCUUAAUGUUUUGUUUUCUUAUUGUUUCUUUUCGGUAUUCCCCUUAGGUGAUGGCUCUUUACUUUUUCUUUUCUUUUCAUGUGUGCUCAUUUUAUAAAUUAGAAUUAAGGCAACUGAAAGUGUGUGACGCAUAUCCUCCAUUUUUAGAAACUUUAUAUCGCAAUAUUUUAGUUAUUGCGCAUGAAAUCCAGUCUGUCAUUGCUCCAGGAUUGCUACAGCAACUGCUAUAGCAUCUUCAGUGUUCCAGACUUAUUUCAAUUCCUCUGCAGUCAAGAUAUUUUGUCACUUUUGCAAGUCUGUUGCAGCAACAUUUCAUCCCUAAAACUUGAGCUUUUCCGUCACCUACAAUUAUGCACAUAAUAUAAGCACAAAAUAAUCUAAAAAAACUCAAUUUAUUAAAAAUAAAUUAAAAUGGAUGCUUAUGCCAAAUGUAACUAAUAUGCCAUAAAAAUACAUCAUUUACUUUCUAAGUAAUAUUGAUUUAAGUCUAAAAGUAUCAUGAUAACUUUCAGUUCAUAAAGUUAUCAAUUAGCAAAUUGAGUAAUUUGAAAUUGGCUUCCCAAGACUAAAUUGUUUACCUUCUUUUAGGAAUUAUCUCUAUAAAUUGUGAAUCUCGCAUUGCACAUAGUCACUUGGAUGCAUCUUAAGAGAUCGCAAGAUAUCAUCUAAUGCUUGUUUACAUGGACCAUCCUCAAUGAAUUUAAUUUUAUCUUCACGAUUUUAAAAACCAUUCCUAAAGUUGUACAAUACGCUUCACAGGAAAGUCUUUCACAUUUAUGAUAUUUAGAGCCAAUUCGUUUAGCUCUUCUUUUUUUAGCAAAUGAUAUCAUAUAAGUCCAAUGAACCAAUUAACACAUACAAUGCAUUCUUCUUUUCACCUUUCAUCACAAUAGAACCCUCCUUAGUCACUUUUAUGCCAUCAUUAUCUAACUUAAAUGAAUAUCUAGAGCUGUCCAAUAUGCCUAAAGAGAUCAAAUUUCCCUUUAACUCAGGAGCAUGUCUAAGCCUAUGUAAAGUUCUGAUGAUCCCAUUAAAUAUUUUAAUCUUGACAAACCUUAUUCCAACAAUUUAACACUUAUUGGUGUUUCCCACAAAAACUCUACCACCAUCAAUAAACUCAUAUUGAUGAAAAAGUGACUUAUUAGGCAUAUGUGAAAAGAACAACCCAAGUUUAAUACCCACUGACCUUCUAAGUUGCCUUUUGAGGUUAUAAAUAGAUCAGCACUAUAAUAACCAUCAUCAAAGGAGAUAUUUAAAGCCACAGCCACACCUCCUAACUUUUAUUGACUUUCCUUCUUCUUUUUCUCUGCACUCUCUCUGAUGUAAUGCAUUUGUUUCCUACAAAAAAAGCAUUUCCUCUUGUUUUUCUUUUUUUUUUUGCAUUCUCUUGGUUCUUUCCUUACCCCUUUCUUUGAUUCUUGUUCUACUGUUCCUUCUUUUUUCGGUUCUGGCAAUCAGCCAUUCACCAUUACUUACUCCAUGGCCAUCAUGCUUUUCAAUCUCUUUUGAGCUUAGUGAUGUCGUGACAUCUUCCAAAGUCAAGGUUUUCUUCUAUACAACAUUGUAUCCACAAAACCUUCAUAUGAUUGUGGCAAUGAACUUAAAAAGAAAAUGAUUUUGUCUUCAUCUCUAAUCUUCACAUUUUCAACCUCUUCAAGAUCAAGAAUGAUCUUGUUGAAAGUGUCAAUCUGUUCUUAAAUAGACCCCCCUUAUAUCAUUGAAAAAGUGUACAACUAUUUCUUCAAGAACAACUUGUGAGCCAAAGAUUUCUUCAUACAAAGGCCUCCACCUUAUUCUAUAUCCCAAGGUAUGUUUUUGUUUAGAGAUUUCCCUCAAGAUUGAGUCACUAAGACUCAAAAUUAGGGUUUUGAAGGCUCUAUUUUAAAUAUGUUUCUUCUUUUCAUCAGGUUUAAAGCUUGUUUCCUUAUCAAGAUCUUCUUCUUCUAAGACGGAUUCAAGGCCCUGAUGCACAAGUAGAGCCCUCAUCUUCAUCUUCCAAAGUGAGAAAUCACCACUGAGCUUCGCAAUUUCUGGUUUUAAAAGUGACAUGGUCAAGGUUCACUAAGUCUCUGAUACCAAUUAUUGUAAUUAAUAGUUAACAAUCAAGAACUCAACCAAUCUUCCGAGCUUUAAUCAAACAAGAUUAAUUCAAAUCAAAAUUGAAGAAAAACAUAACAAGAACAAAGAAAUAGAACUCAAUCACAAAGAACAAGCUUCUCUGUUUGAAGGGGAAAACUAGCACACUUUUACUAAUCAAGCUUAUCACAAAUUGAUCACACAUUACAAAAGAGGUUGCAAGCUUUAGAAAUAAACAAAAAGCACAUAAUUUGGUUAAGAAACAAGAGAGAAAAGGUUCACACAUUAGAGGUUGUGCACUAGCCUAUUUAUUUUGGAAAUUUUCAAAAACCAUCUAACAACCUUCAACGAACUAUAGCCAUGUCAGCAAAAAUUUACAAAACGACCCUAAGCUAAAGUUGAUUUGUACAAUGGCCCAACAAAUCUCCUUCAUUUUACUUCAAUCCCAAAAAACAGAAUAUAUAUCUUCACAUUUAUAAUGGUUGGCUUAAAAGAAAAUAUAGAGAUUGUAUAUAAAAUAAAAAAUACUAAACUGUAAAAAUGAAAAAUAGGCAAACUCAAAAAAUAAUAAUAAUAAUAGGUUCAAAAACUCGCUUCAAACUUAUUAUGACAUAUACAUUCGUUCAAAUAACUUAAUCAAUUUCACUCAUCAAAUCUCUCAAUUCAUAGUUGUCACUAACAUCAUCAUGCAAAGUUGCUAACGUGGUGUAGCAUAACUCAAAACCAAAGAUAAUAUAAGUCAUCAUGUCAUCCAAUGUCAAAUGAUCAUACAAGAUGCCUAGAAAACUUUAAUAAUCUUUUUAAUUUUUUUUUAUAAAAAUACCUCACCCUCAAACUUAUUCUAAACAUUAUCCUUAAUGUUUCUUAUUCUAAAGAAGUGCAUGUCAAUGUGUAAAAAUACAAAGAAGAUAUGAAUGCCAAUAGUAAGAGAAAUAAGUAGGAGAGAUUGCACUUAAAUUGGCGAUCGCUCUUAAAUUAGUCGCAAAAUAUUCUACAAAAAAAUCUAAAGAAAACAUUAAAAUAAAUAUAAAGAAUAAAUACAAAAAGCAAAAUAUUAGAGUUUUUUAUCUAUAAAAGGAUAAUGGUAGUGAUACUCUUUAAUGUUAUAUAGCUUAGGCCACAUCUGUCUUAAGCUUAUCUGAAAGUUAUCUAAAAUACUAUAAAAUGAUAACAAUUUGAGCACUUCAGAUCUUACUACUUUAUUCAUGUCAAAAUGUGACUUAUCUUGUGCUGCUUUAGGAAGUAGCUCUAGUUUGAAUGGUUUUUCUUCAAGAGGAAAUAGCUUAAUCUUUUCUUUCCCCUUAGUUAAAACCAUGAUAGGGGCAAAUAAAGUAAAAUAUUAACUUCUAGGAAAAUGAUCAUUCGUAUACUUUAAAUUUGUACUUUUAUCAAAAAUACUACAACAUUUUAAGGGUGUAAAAGAUGUAUCAAUUGUCCACCUUAAAUUGACAAACGUUAUCUACCGACCACUAAACCUCUAGCUGUCGUUUGAAAGUUAAUGGAACUAUAGUGAAUUGACGAUUUUACUUUUGAAAAUUAUCACUUGUAUACUCUUAAAAUCUCUUAUUAUCAUUUAGAUACCCUUAAAUUAUCACUUGUAUCAUAUGAGAAUACCAGACUACCCUUCUAAUGUCAUCAUAUUUAAACAGCAACUAACGGUUUGGUGGACGGUAGAUAUAUUUUGUCAACUUAUGGUGGACGAUUGAUAUACCCUAAAAGUGUUGUAGUAAAUUUGAUAAAAGAGUAAACUAAGGGUAUACGAUUGAUAAUUUUCCUUUCUAAAAUAGCACUAUCAACAUCAAAAGAUAAAACAAAGUGAAUUAAGUAUGUCUUUAGAAAAAUACACUGGAGAGUUAAUUUGGCCAUACAUUGGUUGUAGAAGAAUACACUGGUUGUAGAAGAAUCUAUGCAUGUUACAUUUGAUGAGUCUAACCCCUCCUCUGCGGAGAAAGGAAUAAAUUAUGAUGAUGCAAAUGGAGAGUUACAAGAAGAACCAUCAAAGGAUAAUCAAGAAAAUGCACUACAAAGAAAUCAAGAGGAUGAACAAGAAGAGCGAACAAAUAUGGAGCAACAUGAAGGUACUUUUCAAACACUCCCCAAGGAGUGGAGGUAUGUUUCUUCUCACCCUAAAGAUGUAAUCUUAGGAGAUCCAUCACGAGGCGUUACAACUAGAUCAUCACUUAGGAAUACUUGUGAGCAUAAUGCAUUCAUUUAUCAAAUUGAACCCAAAUCCUUUGCGGAUGCGGAAAAUGAUGAAUCUUGGAUUAUGGCAAUGCAAGAGGAGUUAAAUCAAUUCAAAAGAAACAAUGUGUGGGAAUUAGUCCCUAAACCGGAACAUCAAUCCGUCAUAGGUACUACAUGGAUAUUUAGAAAUAAGAUGGAUGAAUCCGGUGUGAUUGUAAGAAACAAAGCUAGAUUAGUGGCUCAAGGUUACAACCAAGAAGAAGGAAUUGAUUUUGAUGCAACAUUUGCUCCCGUUGCUAGACUAUAAUCAAUUAGAAUGUUGUUGGCAUUUGCAUGUCAUAAAGAUUUCAUCUUAUUUCAAAUGGAUGUGAAAAGUGCUUUCUUAAAUGGGUAUAUUAUGGAAGAAGUAUAUGUAAAACAACCCCCUGAUUUUGAAAAUGAAAAACUUCCAAAUCAUGUUUAUAAGUUGUUUAAAACCUUGUAUGGAUUAAAACAAGCACCUAGAGCAUGGUAUGAUAGGCUUAAAAACUUGUUAGAAAAUUAUUUUUCCAUGGGUAAAGCGGAUACUACUCUCUUUGUUAAACAUAAGGACAAAGACAUACUUGUUGUUCAAAUUUAUGUUGAUGAUAUUAUUUUUUGUUCUACUAAUGAAUUGUUGUGUCAAUAAUUUUCAUCUUGCAUGAGUAAUGAAUUUGAAAUGAGUAUGAUGGGAGAGUUGAAGUACUUCCUUGGGCUACAAAUAAAACAAAAUGAGGAAGGAAUUUUCAUAAAUCAAGCCAAGUAUGUAAAAGAUCUACUCAAAAGAUUCGGCAUUGAUGACUCAAAGACCACAAAUACACCAAUGAGCACAACAACCAAGCUCGACAAAGAUGAAAAAGGCAAAGAAGUGGAUAUCAAAAUGUAUCGAGGUAUGAUCGGAUCUUUACUUUAUUUAACUGCAAGUAGAUCCGAUAUCAUGUUUAGCGUAUGCUUGUGCGCAAGAUUUCAAUCAUGUCCCAAGGAAUCCCAUUUGCUUGCUGUUAAAAGAAUUUUUCGUUAUUUGUGUGGAACCAUAGAUAUUGGACUUUGGUAUCCUAGGGGAACUCAUAUAGAUUUAACAUGCUAUUCGGAUGCGGAUUUUGCCGGUUAUAAAAUUGAUAGGAAAAGCACUAGUGGAACUUGCUAUAUCCUAGGUCACUCACUUGUUUCAUGGUUUAGCAAGAAACAAAAUUCUGUUGCACUCUCAACCACCGAGGCCGAAUAUAUAGCUGCAGGAAGUUGUUGUGCACAAGCUCUUUGGAUGAAACAAACACUUAGAGACUAUGGUAUUAACCUAGAACAAAUUCUCAUUAAGUGUGAUAAUACUAGUGCUAUAAAUCUUUCAAAGAAUCCCAUUCAACACUCUAGAACCAAGCAUAUAGAAAUAAGACAUCAUUUCUUGAGAGAUCAUGUUCAAAAGGGAGAUAUUGCAUUAGAGUUUAUUUCUACAAAAAAACAACUCGCCGAUAUUUUUACCAAACCCCUUGGCGAAGAACAAUUUUUGAAAAUUCGGCAUGAACUUGGGAUGAUGAAAUUUUCGCAUUAACGUCUCUAUUCAUGCUAUUGAGUGUACUGAAUUGAUUGACUUAUUGGUGAUUUAAUAUUUAUGAAAUGCUUAAGCUUGAUAUUCAAAUGAUGUAUUUGCUUUGUUAAUUCUUGAUUGAUUAUAUGAAUUAAUUGCUUGAAUACAUGUUCAUGAAUCAUGCAUUAAAAUGGCUCAUAAAACAUUUUUAGAUCAAUCAAAUGAUCUUGGAAUGUAUUAUUUGCUGGCCAAAAAUUAAAUCAAAUGUGCGAAAUUAUAGAUAAAAUAAACGGUGCACCGUUUCCAAUAAACGGUGCACCGUUUUAUUCCAGAAACGAGAUUUUUUGUCUGUCUUUUUACCCUUUCACUGUUUGAUGCAAUCGGUAAACCGUUUAAAAACAAAGAGUCCUCUAACAGUUACCCCUUAACCGUUUAAAUAAAUGGUUAACCGUUUUCGUGAAUAUAAAAUUGUUCAAAGGUUUUCUUCUUCCUCUUAAGUUGCCCUUUCACCGUUUCAGCCAUAGUUGUGCAGUCGACGCCUCCUCUGUCCCCAAAUCUUCAUUUUCCUUGCUUCUCUUGCCAAAUCAAACCUACAACAUCAUUUCUUAUCUCCUUUAGAACACUUUCACCGAUUCAAAUCUUCAAAUCAAGCCCAAAAUUGAAAAAUCCCAAAUCUAAACCCUAACUGCCGCCGUUCGGGUUUCUUCGUUUUUAACUCGAUUCUUCCCCUUCUUCAACCAAAUUGAGUAUCAAAAUCAUAUCCUCUACUCAUUCCUCAGCAAAUAAUCGGUUCAUUUUCUUCUCAUCACAUCUCUCCCGCAUUUUUCAAACUCUGUUGUGCUUCACCAUGGCUGCACCCCCUCGGAGAAAUCUCAGGCGAAAAUCUAUGCCUCCAAGGAACCCUAUACCACCACGAGAAGUCUCUGAAUUCGCAAGAAUUCAUUUCCCCAUGCCUUCCUUGGCGAAGCGGUUCGAGGAUCGUUUCAAUGGUCGAAAGGUACUUGACUCUUCUUAUGUUGAAAUAGAUGAUUUCAGUACCUUAGUUGUAUGUGGUAGAAGCGUUAGGGAUAUGCUUAAGCCUUGGGAGUCUGCCAUUGACUUUGAUGACCGAGUUUAUCCCAACUUAGUGCGAGUCUUUUAUUCGAACAUGGAAAUCUCCGCAACUCGCCUAAAUAGGAUAGUUACUCAAGUCGGCGGUGUGCCUAUUGAAUUUGAUGAUGCAGAUCUAGCUAACUUUCUUGGUAUCUCUAGUGAGGGUCAUGAUAUUUACACCUCUAGGAAAGCCUUUGACUUUGACAGUUUUUGUCAUAUGGAUGGAGUCCGUAAUAUUUGUCGUCGUCGAGACUUGUCUGAUGAGAUCUAUCUGCUACCUUUUCGGGCUCAACUUUUACCUCUCCAAGUUCGCAUUCUUCACUCUAUCUUACAGCACAUAGUGACACCUAGGAAGGGUCACUCGGAUGAGGUUACGAGGUUGGACGUUGGCCUCUUAGAUAGCCUCAUUUCAGGCCGUCCCAUUAACCUCGGCCAUGUUAUUGUGCGGCACAUGUUGAGUACUCCCGUUGUUAACUACCUUUUGCUUCCAUAUGGCAGUAUCAUUACGAAGAUACUGCGACACUUUGAAGUGCCUCUUCUCGAUACCGGUUAUAUGGAGACUAAACGGACUGGUCCCGAGGCCAUGACUAGUAUCGGCUUUUCUAGGAAGAAUGGAGAGUGGAUACAGACCAACAACUCCAAAAACCAGGAUACCUUGAUUUCUCCGGUGGAUGAUCGGAUGCUCAAGGAUGUCUAUCCUCCCGAUAAGCUUCCCGAUUUUAGAUUAGGAGCUCAUCCUCAUCCUCAUCCUCCGCGUCGCUGUUUUGUCCCUCGGCCUCCAGCUGACUCUGACUCUGAGGAGCGUGCGAUGGGUGCUGACAUUCCCUCCUCUUCCGAGCCGCCUCUCGCUCCCAAGCAGCCUCCUGCUCCUGAGCCAUCUGUUGUUCCUGAGCAGCCAUCUGCCUCUGUGCCACCUCCAGCUCCAGUUCAGCCCCCUGCUUCAGACGUUGUGCAACAGUUGAUUGCUGAUGUUCACCAGAUUUCAGAGCGCCAGCAGUUGAUUCUUGAUCGGUUGGACACUUUCUCCCGUGACCACCAGCAGCUACGUUCUGACUUUCAGACCUUCCAGCAGCAGAGCAUUGAUCAGCAGCUUGAGCUUAUCGCUAGACAGUGUACUCUUCUCCGCUAUUUCGGUUAUGAUCCGGGGAGCACAUCUUCUCCACCUCCAUAGUUUCCGAGUUCUAUUUUCGCACAUACAUUUCAUAUUUUGGUUGUUUGUGUAUUGCCAUUUAUAUUUUUUAUACACUGCUACCUCUAUAUGCUCUUUAUGGAUUUUGAUGACAUGGUUUUGUGAUGUUCUUGAUGUUGGAUGACUUGAUAUUGGUUGAUGAAAUUGUUGGUUUGUUUGUUCAUGGCGUUGUUGGAUGAUGGAGUUGUUGUUAAUAUAUUUUGGAAGUGUUUUAAUCUCAUUUUGUAUUAAUGGUUUUGCUUCAUUUUAAAGGGAAACUCUGCCAAAAUUUUCGCUCGCCAAAACCGAGUAACUUUUUUAACGGAUUUGCGGCUUUCCUUUCUCUCUUUUCUUUUUGAUGAUGAAGGGGGAGAUAAUUAUGGGGAGUUUUAAAAUAAAUUUAAAAAUGUUUUCUUGAGCAAAAAUCUUUUUAAUAAUUAUGGGGAGUUUUAAAAUAAAUUUAAAAAUGUUCUCUUGAGCAAAAAUCUUUUUAAUUGGUCAUUUCUUAAUUUGGCCAUACAUUUAGGGGGAGCAUAUAUUAAGGGGAAGCAAAAUAUUGAAUGAAGUUUGUCAUCAUCAAAAAGGGAGAGAUUGUUAACAUGAAUAUGUUAAUAAUAUUGAUUUUGAUGAUAACAAACUUUAAAUAGUUUUUGAUUAAAAUGUUGGAGCUAUUCCUUAAUAAAUGAAAGCCUUAUAAUCAUUCCAAUCAUAUUCAUAAAAGAUGGACUUUCAAAUUAGAAAAUGACUCUCUGCAAAAUCUGGUUUAAAAUAUAAUUCUGGAAAUAAACGGUGAACCGUUUUCUUUCAAACGGUUAAUCGAUUAAAACCAGAGAGCGACAUAUUGCCUAAGCUCUAACUGAUUAAGAAAAACGGAAAACACAAAAAGCUGGGAAGGCUACUGGAAUUCAACGGUGAACCGUUUAUUUAAACGGUGAACCAUUUAUUUAAAUGGUUAACCGAUAAAAUCCAGAAUUGAAGGUUGUACUCUUCUGGCACCGUUUAAUAAAACCGGAUAAGGCUAAAUUGUUUUGCAGGUUACUGGAAACAAACGGCGAACCGUUUAUUACAAACGGUUAACUAAUAAUAUCCAGAGAAGUCACUUCAUGCAAAUACUUAACCGUUUAAUGUAAACGGAUAACUGAUGUUCAUCUUGUAGGUCUCUGGAAUUUAACGGUGAAAGGGUAAUCCUAAACGGCAAACCAUUUAUUUGAAAUUUGGCCCAACGGUAACUUUUGACCAACCUAAACGGUCCGUUAAUGGUUAACGGCGAACCAUUUUCGGGCCGACAGUUUGUAACGACUAGUUUUUUCAGCUCCAAAUAUAAAUAAGCUCAUUCAAAUUCAAACAAUAUUGAUCACAACACGACUAUUGAGCUUAUACUCGAGAAUACAAUCUUCAUAGAGCUUUGAACACAUUCUUGCUUCAUCUAUUUACAUAAUCUUAAUUAUUGUGAGAGGCAAAACAAAUUUGUAAUCUUUUGUUUUGAGUGAUUGUAAGUGUUGGGAUACACUUGGGUUAAAGAGAUUGGGAUAAUCUCUUGUUGUAAAGGUUAUUGACACCUUGGAAGUCAAGUGUAAGCAUUUGAAGCCUUUGAGGCUUGCUUAGUGGAAUCCUCAAGCCCGGAAAGCUUAGAGGCGUGGACGUAGGCGAGGUUGGCCGAACCACGUAAAAAUUUCUGUGUUUGAAUCUCUCUUCCCUUAUCUUUUUAUAUUGUGAUCACCUUAUUUGUUAUUGCUUUGAAUUUGUUUUAUAUUUGCAUUAAGUUUUUCUUUAUAAAUUGAAUAAUUUUUAGAAUUCCAAUUCACCCCCCCUCUUGGGUUGCAUAACUAGAAUUUCAGUAGGCAAUUAAAAACUUAGAAUUAACAACCUAAUUAAUUUUUGAAAAUACUAUUCACCGUUACUGUUCACGGUUAUGGUUCAUCUGCAUAAAAAAUAUUAAUUUUCCAAAAACACAAUAAAUUACAGAAACGAAAUGACACGAAGAUUUUUACAUGGUCUGGAUUAAUCAAUCCUACAUCCACGAGGACAGACCCAGAUGAAAAGUAAUUCACUAAGUUGAGAUAUUACAACUUAUAUAUUUACCAAACUUAAGACUCUCACUUACAGUUUAUCACCAUAUAGCUUAUUCAACCUUAGACUGAAUAUGCUUCUCUUGAAUAAUUGAUACACCUCUUUAUCCAUGAUCCUUAAGGCACUUCGUAAAGUGAUCAAUAGUAAUUCUUCAAUUUUUCAAUGUCUAGUGAUCCGACUCCACAUAGACGCUCCAUAGAGAUGAAAAGAAUAUAAGAAAACAAAUCAACACAACAAUAUGUGCCAAAUCUGGAUUCUCUAGGGAGGAGGCCAAAUUUUGCUUCUCUGCUUUAUGUUCUGUGUUGUGUGCUUUCAAUUGUGAAAUACCUCUCUUUAUAUAGGCACUAGGGUUUCACAAAAAUAGCAGGUCUUAAAAGACUUGGAUUCUUUCCAAAUAAGAGUUUUUUUCCUCUUAUAAUUUCUAUGAAUCUGAAUACAAAUAAAUCUGAUCUUCUUACCUUACUUGUCUCCCAAGAAAUAUCUGGAGUAUUUAAUAUGUUUCUUAUUUAAACCAACUUCUUACUCUAAAUAGAUCUCAUGCGCCAAUUAUAAAAUCUCAUCAUUAAUUGACUUAUUAAAUUAGACAUCUAAUUAAACUAGGAAACAAAUAUUCAUAAAAAAUUGGAAUCUCCCUAAAUUAGGGAAUUAAAAACUCUGGAAAAACAAUCAAUAUCUCAUUCCAUGUAUAGAAGCAAGUGAUGACAUGCUAUGGGCAUAACUAUAAAUUUAGUAUUUUACAUCCAAUUAAACAGGAAAAAUAACAAUAAAGAGUCUUGGUAUCCAUUGUUAAAAUGUUGACAACAAUGCCAUUUGUCUCUACUAACUUAACAAACUUGAUUCAGUUGUUUUAUAAUAAUAGGAAUAAAAAAUAAAUUAAAUGCAUUAACAUAUAUAGUUUAAAAUAAUUUUAGUAUUUUAAAAACUAUUUAAUAAUUUACAAUCUUAUAUUAUAUUAAACUAAAUUUUAUAAUAAAUGGAACAUAACAUUAAAAUAAAUAUAUAAUUUUAAAUUAUUUUUCAAUAUGAUAUAAAAUAAUUUUAAUAUUAUUAAUAGACUCUAUAUAUUUUAUUAAUGGUAAAAUCUAUUUAACCCAAAGAUUUAUUAAAUUUUUUAUAAUAAAUACAUAUAUAUUAUUAAAAUAAAUAUAAUAAUUUACAUUUAGAAAUUAUUUAUAUAUUAAAAAUUUUCUAAUAUAAAAUUAAAUUAUUUAAAUUAUAUUUGUAUUUAUCAAAAAUAUUUAAAGAUAAAAUUUUAGUUACUAUUUACAAAAAAUAUUAUAGCCAAAAGGGGGUCUUAACAUCCCUUAUUAAAAAUCUGGAGGUCUACAUGACUAUUAAAAAUAUGGAAGCUACUUUUGUAAACUUUUAAGAAACAAUAUAAAGAAAACAAAUCUCAUUAAUUCUCGAGCACAAAUGCUCAUUUAUAUAAGUAUUUGAAACAUGAAAAUAGAAAUCAUACAAUUAACGUAAUUUAGAGAUAUUGAUUGAUUAACAAAAAUUGAGUUAAUCGAUCUUUCCUAUCAAUAAUUAAGAUAAAGACAUCAUUUGAUUGAUUGUUUUGUUUCUAUUAAUAUUGUUUGAUCCUUAUCAUUCUCCCUCAAGUUGGAGAAGAUUUUUUUGAACUUCUAGUUUGUCUUUAAAAAUCAUGUUUCCUUGAUUUUUAUCUAUAGUCGCAACCAAGUGUCAUGCAACAAACGGGGAGUACUCCUCUAAAACUUGUCUAGGAAAUCUUUUUGUUAUUUUCAUGUACACUUUUUUUAGACUAAGAAAAAUCAUAAGUAAUAAAUUCUUUUGAUCAAGGAAUUCUUUCAAUAUGAAAGUCGUUCCUCCAAUUAUUUUUAAGGAAAUCUUCACUCAAUGAUUUUAUCUUCACUCCUUUGAUAUUGCCAUGGAAUUAUUUAAUUUAGAACGUCAUUCCAUUGAUCUGGUCAAGGAAAACAUCAAUUUUUAGGAUUCCUUUUCAUUCCCCUUUACUUUUGAUAUCAUUUCCUUUGUGAUGGUAGAAGUGUGGUGGUUAAUGAUGCAGUUGAACAACUUCUUUUUCUUCUUCUUCUUUUGAAGAAAUUGAAGAACAAUAAAAAAGGAACUCACAUCUCUCCUUUAGACCACCAUGCUCCAGAAACACAUCAUCAACACGGUGGCUAAGCAUAAACCCACAAAUUUAAGGACUUUCAAACUCGUCUAAUACCAUGAAAAGUUUUAGAAAUAAAUUAAGAAGAUAAAUCUCACUCUUACUCAUACAUGAGCAAAAAAACUCAAUUCAUACAAGUACUUGAAAAAUGAAAAUGAUACACCUAACAUAAUUUGAGAAUAAUGAUUUAUUAACACUGAUAUAGACAAUUAAACUUUAUUUCGAUUUAUAAUCAAUCUUUCUAAAUCAAUAAUAUAGGGACAAUAAGUCAUUUGAUUUAUUUCCAUCAUUAUUGCUUGAUUUUUAUCAGUUUUUUCAGGUGCUUCAAUUUUGGACAAUUUCAUGUGAAUUCUAUUCUUAUAUUAGUAAUAUGUCAUCUUUUAAUUAAUUUUCUAUUAUAAAAUUUUCAGGUAAGACUAAAUGGUUUGAGACGCUUAUUACAAAGAAGGGUGCGUUUUUUAGCCAAUGCCAGAUAUAAACUGAUGAUGUAGCGUAUGGCAAUCUCAAUCUUCUUGUAGUCUCUCAAUACGUGGAAAACCCUCAUGAGCCUGGUUAAUUGAAUUGUAAAAUUGAUUUGUUUUCAUUUGAGUAAAUGUUAUACUUCUGAAAGUUUGUAUUUCGGAUACAAGUUGACAUUUGAUAAGAAUAAAAAAAUAUUGAUAAAAACAAAAUAAUUAUUUAUUUGAUUGAUUGUCUUCCUCUUAAUUAUUGACUAAGAAAGAUUGAUUGUAAAUUAAUAUAAAGAUUGAUUGACUCAAUAUUUGCUAAAUAUGAAUCAUUAUUCCUAAAUUAUGUUAAUUGUAUCAUUUCUUUUUAUAUUUCAAAUACUUAUAUAAACUGAAGAGUUGUUGUGCUCAUUAAUUUAUAAGAGUGAAAUUUAUCUUCUUUAUAUUGCUUUUGAAAAGUUUUCAACAUUGUGUCACCUCAAAAUGCCCUUUCAAAUGACUUUGUCAAUACGUGUUAGGAUUUUUAUUAUUAGCAUUGUUGUGUAAAUAAUAUUGUAAUUUCUUUAUUUCUCUUUAUUAGGGAUUUGUCUAGCCUUGGGAAUUAAUCAGAUUAGUUUUUGUGCAAUCUUGAAGAACAUUUUUGGAGGCACAAUAAAGCAAAUUGGUGUGUAAGUAGGGUUACAUUAUAAUCGAGUUCCAAUUAAAGAUGACUACUACAUUGUAAGUAUCAAGUACUUAUGGAAUAUUGGACUCUUAAGGAAGUAUAUCAUAGUACUCCUCUAAUAGGGUUUGGGUGAAAUACUACACCUAAAAGUAUUUCACACAUUGAAGACGGUGAAGAAGACAUGUUGUAUUUUAUAUCAAAGAAGCAGCCAAAGUAGAGAACAAAAAGAAACCCUAUUUGGCCGCAUAUGAUGUUUCAUCUCUCUAUGAUGUUUUAAUCUUCUUCAUUGAGUCUUCUUCAUAUCAAGUCUUUUAUUAUACAUUUGUUAUUAAUACUCUGGUCUCUUCAAGAUGAAAGGGUCGUUUGUUGUGUUGAGGGAAUCUUAAGGGAGCAGCAAACAUAAUUGAAGACAAAUAAUGCUCGCUAUGCAAGGUUGAAGGUGAAGGUGAAGGUGAAAGAAAGAGGGAGUCUGAAAUUGAUAAGAAUUUAAUAGGUUAUAAUCUUUUCAUUACUUAAUGAAUUACUUAUUUUCUUGGCGUGGCCCCGUAGAUGUAGAAUUGUGAUCCGAACCACAUAAAAAUCUCAUGUGCGCAUUACUUUCUACAAUUUACUUUUUCUAGCGUAUUUGAUAGAUCUAGGAUGAAUAAGCAGUGACAUAAAUAGUAACUAUGAACAAUAACUUGUAUACAGUAUCAUAUAAAACAGUAACUAUGAAUAAUGUCGUAUGAAUAGUGAAUCAUUAAUAGUAAUUUCAGGAUUACUUAAUUAGGGAAAUUAAUUUCUCUAGUGUUUUAAUUUGCCUAUAGUUGUUAAAAUAUAUCUAAAUUAUUAACAAUUCAGAGUAUUGACUUCACAAGUGUACUGUUGCACUUUUACUCUGUGUUUAAAUAAGUAAAAUAACAAGGUACGAUUGAUGAAAAGAUUGAAGAGAUAGUGUAGGUUUAGAAAUAUUCAAGUUUGAAGCAAUUAGGCUUUGAUACCACAAACAAUUUUGAUAUUAUAAGAUGAAAACUGAAUUAGUUUUUCUUAACUUAUUGAAUCUUUACAAAGGGGAAUAUAUACAUGACAUGGACAAGGAUUUAGUGCUGAACUGAGUAUUUAUUCAGAACUAAAUCAAUGGUUAUUACGAAAAAAAAGAUUACAAAAGAUUAAAAUGAAAAAUAAAUUAUGAUCAUUCAUUCAAUGCUCUGCCAAAACUCAACUCAGAAUCUUGACUUUAUAAACAUAUGUACUCAAACUGAAUAGAUUAUAAAGACAAUAUUCACUAGUCGUUAGAGAUCAAUAUAUAAGCUAGCUGUUUUUAAAUUUAUGGUCAUUGAUGCUUUAAUUGUGAGAGGCCAUGGUGCUGCAAUUUCUUGCCUUGUGUGUCAAAAUUGGACUAUUGGUACCCCUUCUAAUACCUCUUAAAAUCCUUUCAAGCAUUUGACUACUUUAACCUUCAUUAAAAUUACAUGAAAGGAAAAAAUUAUAUCUAAUUAAACUUACAAAUUAAAUAUCUAAUUAAAACCUUAAUCUCAGCUAAGCACCUUUCCUGUCCUACAAGCUAGAUGUUUGACUAUGAAGGAACCCUAAAAUAGAAUGCAAAUCUUAAGAUUCUAACCCAAAUAGGAAAGCAUUACUUCCUACCAAUAAAAGAGGAAAGAAUUCUCAAAUCCUACCUUAUACAUAGUGAUUCAUGCCAGCUUCUAUGAAUAAGACUCCUAGGCCUUAUUAACUAGCUUUUCUCUCAAAACCCAUACAUAAGCACCAUAAGGAGUGAUCAACUAGUUGUUGACACCACGACAACCUACCUUUUAGCAAUCCAGCAACCGUUGUAGCAAUCUCCAAACAUUCACCCUUGCAACUAGCUAUCAUCUUUGUUUAAGAAACAAUCUUCUUAUUGAACAAAGACUUAAUUUAGGUUAUUUCUCAGGCCCUUCCUACGAUGAUUGUUUAAGCCGCAGUAAAUGCUUCUAGAAUUGCUACCGCAUCACAAUAGUGUCAUUAAACCUUAAUUUUAAUUACGGUUUUGUAAUAGUGUAGCAAUCGUAUUAGAUAUUGAUAUAAUAUCCCAAAUCUGGUUCUCUAUUAUUCAUUAGAGUAUCACAACUAACAGCAGAUGCCUUAUCAUUUGACGAUAAAGUCACCAUCCGAUAAGUCAACAAUAGUCAAAGCUUCAACAUGAGUUUAUCUAGGCUGGAUCGACGCCCACGCAAUGUUGCACAAGUGUGAGGUUGAGCAAUUACUAAUAUUAUAGUGACUAUAACUUCUAGAGAAAUAUAAAUGUGGUGUAAACAAAUGUAAAAAAAAAACACAAUAAAUUUUACGUUGUUCGGCGUAAUGCCUACGUCCACGGGUAAAGACUGGAAGAUAAUUUUAUUAAUAAUGGAAAUUUACAAAAGUGAAAAACUCUCAAAAACUCAAUACCUAAUACACCCAAAUUCCCUUAGCACCUAAGGAAAUUCUCUACCAAAAUUCACUUGGAAAUCUCACCAAUUUGGAUGCACUAACAAAUGAGGAAUUGCCUUCUAUUUAUAGAAAAUAUGGGGUGCACUUUUGCACCAACCCCAACAUAAUUGUCAACAAAAAUUAGGCACCUACCUUAGGAAUUUGUCUUUAAAUUUGCCUCUCCAAAGUUGAGUGCAUACAUGUGUAUUUGAAUUCCAAUUUUGAAAUUUUCAACAAUUCUCCACCUCGACGAAGAUUUUAUCUAAAUCUAAGUCGACUAUCAACAAACCAUCCUCUAGCCUUUGCCUUCUCCGACUGCUUUCAAACUUGUAGGAUAUUGAUCAAGUUCAGACAAUACUCAAACUUGAUCGCUAUCACCACCUUGGUCAACAUAUAUGCGGGAUUCUCUGCAGUCUUAAUUUUUUGAAGAAGAAUCUUCCCUUCAUCAAUAAUUUCCCAUACAAAGUGAAAUCGUACAUCAAUAUGCUUCGUACGUGCAUGAUAAACCUGGUUCUUUUUUAAGUGAAUAACAUUUUGACUAUCACAAUAUACAUUAAUUUGCUCUUGUAUCAAUCCCAAGUUUUCAACCAAGCCUUGUAACAAAAUAGCCUCUUUAACAGCCUCUGUAAUUGCCAUGUACUCGGCUUCUGUGGUCGACAAUACAAUUGUAGACUGUAGUGUAGACUUCCAACUGAUUGGCCCUCCAACAAAAGUAAAUACAUAUCCGGUGGUUGAUCAUCGUUUGUCUAAAUCACCAGUAUAAUCAGAAUCAACGUACCCGAUCACACUUUGACCAAGUGUAUCAUUUUGGUCAAACAGUAAACCAACAUCCACGGUCUUAUGAAUGUACCGUAGAAUUCAUUUCACAACUUGCUAAUGUCCUUUACCAUGAUUAUGCAUGUACCUACUCACUAUACUAACUGCAUGUGAAAUGUCAGGCCUUGUACACACCAUUGCAUACAUCAAGCGACCCACUGUAUUUGAGUACGAAACUUGUAACAUGUAUUCUCGUUCCACAUCUGUUGAAGGAGAUAAUUUUGCAGAAAGCUUGAAAUGAGAAGCCAACGGGGUACUCACAGGUUUUGUCUGCUAUGUCAUGCUAAACUGCUGUAGUACAUUUUUCAAAUAUUGCUUCUGAGAAAAGUUUACUUUGCCAUGAGCUCUAUCUCUGCAUAUCUCCAUGCCAAGAAUCUUCUUAGCUUCACUUAUAUCUUUCAUUUCAGAUUCUUGAUUGAGUUGAGUCUUUAACUUCUCAAUCUCAUCUUUACUCUUGGAUGCUAUUAGCAUAUCAUCGACAUACAAUAGCAAAUAAAUGAAAGAUCCUUCUUGUAGCUUGCGAAAAUACACACAAUGAUCAAAUUUAUUUCUUGUGUACCUUUGCCCUUUCAUAAAUCGAUCAAAUCGCUUGUACCACUGUCUCAUAGAUUGUUUCAAUCCAUAAAGCGACUUUGUCAAUUUGCAAACCCAAUUUUCUUUUCCAGCAACCUUCAAUCCAUAUGGCUGAGUCAUGUAGAUUUCCUCUUCCAAAUCACCGUGUAAAAAUACAGUUUUUACAUUAAGUUGAACUAGUUCAAGAUCAAAUUGCUCAACCAUGGCUAGCAAAAUUCGAAUAGAUGAGUGUUUCACAACUGGAGAAAAUACAUCAUUGUAGUCUAUUCCUUCCUUCUGAGCGUAGCCCUUCGCUACCAAUCUAGCCUUGUAUCGAAUUUCAUUUUUACGAGAAAAUCCUUUAUUUUUUGCAUAUACCCAUUUGCACCCAAUUGCCUUAUUUUCCUUGGGCAGUGUAACUAACUCCUAAGUUUAAUUUUUGUGAAGAGACUGCAUUUCUUCGUUCAUUGCUUUCUUCCACUGUAUACUUUUUGGGUUACUUACUGCUUUUCUGUAAGUGAAAGGAACAUCAUCAUCUACAAUUGGAAGUGCAUAGGCCACCAUAUCAACAAAGCGAGCAAGUCUGUGAAUCUCUCUCUAUGGCCUUCUAUAUGCAAUUGAAUCUUGUGGAUGUGAAGGUUCCUGGGUCAGAACCUCUUCAUCAUCUUCAGUCGAUGGAGAAUCAUUAUUCGUCUCAUCGACACCAGCUGGAUCAUAUUUAACUUUUUCAAACUCCACCUGCUGCAAAGUGCUACUGGUCUUGUCAUCCUCUUGAGAAUCUUUUUGUUUCAACAUGGCUGAUUCAUCAAAAGUUACAUCUCUGCUUAAAAUAAUCUUCUUCGUAACAGGACACUAGAGACGAUAUUUUUUUACUCCACCAGUUAUACCCAUGAACAAUGCUUUCUUUGCUCUUGGGUCUAACUUAGAUUCCUUUACAUGGUAAUAAGCACUGAAACCAAAAACAUAUAAAGAAUUAUAAUCAGUAGCGGGAUUACCAAUCCACAUCUCUAUGGGUGUUUUGCCCUCAAUUGCAGCUGAUGAUAAACGAUUGAUCCGAUGGCACGUAUAUACAACUACCUCAGCCCAAAACUCUUUGCCCAAUCCAGCAUUGGAUAACAUACACCGAACUUUCUCCAGUAUAGUCUGGUUCAUGCAUUCUGCCGCCUCAUUCUGCUGUAGUGUAUCUCGAAUAGUGACGUAUGGCACAAUGCCCUCAUCUUGACAUAUUUGAAUAAAUGGAUCAUUCUUGUACUCACCACCAUUGUCUAAGCGAAGUCUUUUGACAUUUCGACCAGUCUGAGUUUCGACCAUUUUCUUCCAUUUUAGAAAUAUGCCCAAAACUUCAUUCUUAUUCUUCAUCAAAUACACCCACACUUUUCUUGAAUAAUCAUCAAUAAAAGUAACAAAAUAGUGCAUACCUCCCAAAGAAACUAUUUUGGUAAGUCCCCACACAUCACUGUGAACAUAGUCCAGAAUUCCUUUUGUAUCGUGAAUUGCUGAACCAAGCUUUACCCUUGUCUGCUUGCCCAGAACACAAUAUUCACAAAAUUUUAAUUUGCAAGAAUUUGUACAUUUCAAUAAGUCUUCCUUCACCAAAGUCUGCAAAGCUUUUUCACCAAUAGGUCCCACACGCAUAUGCCACAACUUGGUUGCUUCUGAAUCUGCAUUUUUUCCAAAAACUGUUGAUGCUGAUCCAAUAAUUGUACUUCCUUGGAAAUAAUACAAGUUAUUUCUUCUUGUACUUUUCCUCACCGUCAGUGCCUUAGCUACUACCUUCAACAAUCCAUUUUUCAAAGUGAUUGUAAGCCCUUUAGAUUCUAAGACUCCUAAUGAGAUGAGAUUUUUCUUCAAACUUCGUACAUAGCGAACAUCCGUCACGACUUGGAUUGAGUCAUCAUGAUUCUUUAAUUGGAUUGUACCUAUUCCUAUGUUUUACAAGCAUUGUCAUUACCCAUAAAAACAACUCCACCAUCUAGCUCUUUGAAACUAGAAAACCAACCCUUGUUAAGACACAUAUGAUAAGCACAACCCGAAUCCAAAAUUCACUCAUCUGAGUGACAUAUCAACGUCAUGCCAACCAGACUAAAGUAUGACUCCUCAUCAUGCUCUGCUACACAUGCAUCAGAAGUAGCCUUGCCCUUUUGUAACUUAGGACAAUUCUUUUUCCAAUGCCCUUUCUCGCGACAAAAAGCACACUCAUCUUUGGCAGGUCUCCCUUUAAACUUGCUUCUUUUUCCAAGUUUACGGCCUUGUAAACGACCUCUCACUGUCAAUGCUUCUGUAAUUGUAUCUCUGUGAUUCUUUCUGUCUUUCUUUCUGGUCUCAGGGUUGUACAAUGCACUGCAUACAACAUCGAAUAUGACAUUGUCCUUCCCAUGAAGCAAAGUGGUGGUGAGAUGAUCAUAUUCAUCAGGAAGGGAAUUCAACAACAACAAUGCCUUAUCUUUAUCUUCAAAUUUCUCAUCCAAAUUUAGCAAAUCUGCCAAUAUUUUGUUAAAUGAAUUCACAUGGUCAUUCAUUGACAUGCCAGGUGUAUAUGUGAAUCGAUAGAAUUUCUUCUUCAUAUAAAGCCUAUUUUCAAGGCUUUUCUCCAUAUACUUUUCUUCCAGUGUCUCCCACAAUUUCUUUGCCGAUGUCUCCCUCAUGACAGAGUAUUUCUGAUAUUUAGCCAAACAUAGACGAAUAGUACCACAUACAUGUCUAUUGAUCUUUAUCCACUCAUUGUCAUUCAUCAUGUCAUGCUUUUCUUCAAAAGCAACUUCCAACUCUUGUUGGCAUAAGACAUCCAAUACCUCACAUUGCCACAUCCAAUACCUCAUGACAAAGUAUUUCUGAUAUUUAGCCAAACAUAGACGAAUAGUACCACAUGCAUGUCUAUUGAUCUUUAUCCACUCCUUGUCAUUCAUCAUGUCAGGCUUUUCUUCAAAAGCAACUUCCAACUCUUCUUGGCAUAAGACAUCCGAUACCUCACAUUGCCAUAUACCAAAAUUAUUGGUACCAUCAAAUUUCUCCAUUUCAAACUUUGCAUUAGUUACAGUAGUCCUCGCUGAUGAAGACGACAACAAUGCAUCUGCCACAUUUUUUAUCUCAAAUUAUCAGUUUCUUCAACAACUAUUUACACUUGAAAAACAACCUCUAUGAUGUUUAUUUCGCGUAAAUAAGUGCACCAGGAAAGUUUCUAGGAGAAUGGAGGGGUCACAACGGUCCCAUUUAAAACUCAGACUCCUUAGGCUCCUAUCGCCUUGUUGACAGAACUUUCCUAGAUAUGCAAAAAUACACACUACUUACAAUAGACUGUCUCUCAAGUAUAAAUGGCAGUCUCCACCGUAUCAAUGAACAGUACCGUAUACAUGAACAGUGUCGUAUGCCCCAAGCACAACCCUUCUGCUUUGAUACCAAUUGUUGCGGAAGCACGAGGUUGAGCAAUUACUAAUAUUACAAUGACUGUAACUUCUGGAGAAAUAUAAAUAUGGUGUAAACAAAUGCAAAGAAGAAAACACAAUAAAUUUUAUGUGGUUCGGCAUAAUACCUACGUCCACGGGCAAAGACUGGAAGAUAAUUUUAUUAAUAAUGGAAAUUUACGAAAGUGAAAAACUCUCAAAAACCCAAUACCCAAUACACUCAAAUUCCCUUAGCACCUAAGGAAAUUCUCUACCAAAACUCACUUGGAAAUCUCACAAAUUUAGAUGCACUAACAAAUGAGGAAUUGCCUUCUAUUUAUAGAAAAAAUGGGGUGCACUAUUGCACCAACCCCAACAUAAUGGUCAACAAAAAUUAGGCACCUAUUUUAGGAAUUUGUCUUCAAAUUUGCCUCUCCAAUGUGUAUGCAAGUUGAUCAAUUGAUGUUAGGAAUUUUUCUUCAAAUUUGCCUCUCCAAAGUUGAAUGCAUACAUGUGUAUUUAAAUUCCAAUUUUGAAUUUUUCAACAUGCAAUCUUGUGGACCUUACUCCUCAUAUCACAUAUAGAAUGGCGGGUUUGCAGACCACGUCUGGUUCAAGUCACAAAUCAUUCCCAAAUCCCAUUCUAUAUUGAAGAAUGAUUGUCUUUAGCCAAUUCGGCAAGGACAUGUGGACGAAUUGAGGUCCCGCCCAAAUAAUAAGUAGUUUCUUUCUUCUCAUAUAUGAUUUGUAAACACUAUUAGGUGUGACUUGGAGAGUAACGCUGAUGAUAAAGCUUAGAAGAUAGGAGAGCCAUGAAAAGUUUUUUUUAAUUUAAUUUAAUUUGGUGUAUCUCUAUCUUUCUUUAACAAGCAAUAACAAGAGAUUGCAGAUUAAAAAGCAUAUAAUAAAUUCAUUAAUUUAAAAGUUCCAUCCUUUAAGAUAAACAUGCAACUUCAAAGACAAAAACCAUCCGAAGUUUUGUGGCCGGCAGAAGCACCGUUGUCGGUGAAAUGAUUUGUCUCAAAUUCCAAGGAUAAGCCUAGUUAGUUUCACCUAUCAUAACAAAAUAAAUUUCAUUAUUAAGAAUUUUUUUAUAUUUUCUAUCUCCUACAAAGUUUCCGCAAAAUGACCAUUAUUGGUGAAACACCUAAGAUAGUAAAUUGAAUUUUGUUUUGGGGGUAAUCUCAAUGGUAUGAGGAGAGCUUUAUUGAUAAAUUAAAAGAAAAAUGACACCUAAUUAGAGGGACAUAGUAAUACUUUUCCCCUAAAAAGAAACUAAUUUCAAGCAAACAGAUAGCAAAAGGAAAAAAAUGCAAGGAUACGACAUACAAAGAAGACAAUAAAUAGAUCAAAAUCUCAAACCUAAGCCUUAACUGAAUUUGUUGGAGGCAUAACCAUUUAGAUAAUUACUUUCUGUACAAAUCCAGAAAUAAUCACAAGUUUUUCUCUCUAUAUCCCCAAGUUUUCUUUUUUAUAAUUUUGUAAAACACUUUCUCUCCCCCAAAAUUAGAUCAGUUUUCCCCUCUCUAAAUAGUUCCAAUCCAAUCUAUACCGAUGAGCGCUGUUUUGUAUUGAACUACUGUAACUUUUUAAGCUACAAGCUCUGAAAAAAAGAAAAAAAAAAAGAAGAUAUAACUAUGAAAUUUUUUUUGCAGUAUGAGACUUUUAAAUAAUAAUCUUAACAAACUUAUAAGUUUGAUAUUAUAGGUUUUUCAUCAUAUAAGAGGUUGAUCAAAUCAACUUAACUUUCAAGUCACUACAGUUAGUGUUUCAUAAACACUUUAGUACUGUAAUUUAAAUUACACAUAUUCUAAAUUAUAAUUUGAAACAAUGUUAAGUAUAAAAAUAUUUAAUCAACAAAAACUAUGAAAGGAAUAAUAGAUUAUUCCAAAUUUGUAGAAUUUAUUUUAGUUAGAUAGGAAGUAAAAAAUUAAAAAAAAAAAGCGAUUAGUUACGAAACAAAGUAAAAUUGCGUGGUAUUUUUCAUAUUAGUCUAAUUAAUUAUGCUCUCUGUUUUCUUGAAUUAAUAUUAUUAUUAAACAAACUCUAUACAUAGUUAGCUAAUUGUUGCAGCUCCCAGGGGAACCAAGAUUUUCAUAACUAAUUAGAAUUAACGUCUAUAUUUUUCAAAUAGCCUGUAUCAUCGGAAACAGCGGCAAUAGGAUACUUAAGUGCCAAAAAUUUUGAAUUGUAACUUAUCUCUCUUUAAUUGGCCGAACAGGUCGAUAGCACUCCGCGAAUAUAUCCUUGUCAUCUAGUAAAACAUUAAUUAAUGUAAUUAUAAAUAAUUUAUGACUUAAGUUAGGAUCGAGGUUAAUUGUUGGAAGAAAUUAAUGUGGUACAGAUACUUUAAUCUGCUGGAUAGGGGGGGCAAUGGGGAAGGGAGGGGAGGGGAUCAAUCUCCCCGUACCCAUCCCCAAUAUUUUACGUAUGUCUCCGUCCCCAUCAGAAUUAUUUGAAAGAAUCAUCAUCUCCUCCCCGAAUAAUAACAGGGGAUUCCGGAGGGUCUCCGAUCCCCGAAUAACUAAUACAUUUUUUUUGUUUUUGAUUUUGAGUUAAUUAUAUUAAAAUAAAAAAUUCAAAUAAAAGUAAAGUUCGAAAUAUAUCUUACAUUAACAUUGAUCCAUUACAAAAGUCACAUGCAAAAUAGAAAUUAUCAAAAUAAUGAUCUUUGUCAAUCUUCAUAAUCCUACAAUAAAAGGAAAAAAAAUUUACUUUUAUAUUGACAAAAAAAUAAAUGAAACAAAUGUAGAUACUUAAUUAAUAUUUUUUGGGCUCAUAGAAUCUACCUGGCCUUUUUAAUGUCCUAAAUGGAAAUUUAAAACUUUAAUUAGUUAAUUAGGCCUAAAAGUUUAAUAAUAUAAAUAUUUUGAUAUAUUUUUUUUUUUACCAAAAUUUAUAAUUUUAUAAUAGAAUUCAAAUUUUAUUAUUUAUUUACUAGUAAUUUUAAAAAUUAAAAUUAAAAUUAAAAUGGGGAAAUGAGGAUAAAAAAAUUGGAUAAAAAAACUGGAUAAAAAAAUUUCUUCGUCCCUUCCCUGAACAAGAAAUCAGGUAUAAAAUUAUCUCCGUACCCUCUCCGAAUGGGGGAUAUUCCCGAGGGUACCCGUCCCCGUGGAGAUUUUUGCCAUCCCUACCGCUGGAUGUGUGGGGUACUUUAAUUCAUUAUAAGCACCCACUUUAUUCUUUUUAUCAAGCAAUCCACCUGGUAAGUCCCUAAAAUUAGCACCCCAAAAACAAAAGGUAAUUGAGGACAAUUAGUCAAGAGCGCUAAGCAGAAUGUGUGUUUGAACGGGACAGAUGUAAUGUGUGCAUAUAUAUGUUAGAAAUAUUCAAAUCUAGGAUCCUGGAUUUCGUUAAAGUCCUAAAAGUUAUUAAGUCAUAUGUUUUAAUAGUAUAAUGGCAUGAUAUUAUUGAACCAUAUGGCUUAAUAGCUUUUCCCGAUUUUAAUAAAUCUAGAAUACAAGAUUAGAUCAGUCCUCUCUCGCUCUUUCUCUUUAUAUGUAUAUAUAUAUAUAUAUAUAUAAAUUCUCAAGUGUGGGCGCUCUCAUUUUUUUUUAUGUAAACCCGCUAUUAAGUCACAUGGUUUAACAAAGUCAAUAUUCAAUUCACUAUAAAACUAUAAGCCUCAAAUUGUGUAUCUGCGCUGACUCUAUUAAACCAUAUGACUUAAUAGCACAUCCACAUGAAAAAUAAAAAAAAAUGAGGGCAUCCACACCUAAGAAUGAUUCAUACAUAUGAUAAUAUCAUAUCAAUUUUAUCUCUAUAUAUUUUGAUCUAUGGGAAAAGUGAUUUUACAAAAAUAAUUUUUUCCCAAUCAUUAAGACGAGCUUUUUUUUAGUACAUAUCCUUUUUAUUAAUAAGAAACAUAUUUGUCUCAUCUCUAUAUUUCAGGUUAACCGUUUAGAUUGUUCUUAUAUUUUAAAAAAUACUUUAAAAUACUCCUGUUGUUAAUUAAGUUACUCUACUAUCCUUACUUUUUCUAAACUUUUAUAGUUAUAACCUUUAAAUUAAUUUACAAAGUUUAAAGUUGUACAUAUAUCAAGCCUCGCCUAGGUCUUAAUUAGCAACAACAGAUGGAACGUAUGACUAGCGUUUGGGGCAUCACAGAUGUUUCGUUCCAAUUGCUUAUAAGAGAAUAGAGGGGUUGAUGUGGAGGGUUUCUCGCUUCAUUUAAUUGAUCAUCUUUCCGAAUUUUUAAUCCAUUCCCAUGUGAACUGAAAACAUAUUAAUUAAUGGAAAUCAAAUAUUAAAAUAAUAAUAAUAAUAACUUAGCUAAUAAUUUAUAACUAUCAAAUUAAUUAUUAGUUUAUCUACAAUUAUUUUGAUAGUUAUAAAUUAUUGGCUAAUAAUAAAAAUAAACAAAAUAAUUGUAGAUAAACUAUUAAUUAAUUUGACAGUUAUAAAUUAUUAGUUAAGUUAUUACUAUUAUUUUUUUAAUAUUUGAUUUCCAUUAAUUAACAUGUUUUCGGUUCACAUGGGAAUGGAUUAAAAAUUCGGAAAGAUGACCAAUUAAUCUUAAUUAAUUCCGAUAGCUAGCCCUGUACUUGGAUACGAAUUAAUAAUUUGCUGGCAAUAUCAAUUAAUUUAUUCUGUCUUCCCCUACAGGCAAUAUAGCUACAUAAAAUUCAUUUCUUUUAAAUUCCAAUAUCGAUGUGGAAAUUCAACAUCAACAUUCAACAGCAGUUAAUCCGUAAUCUUUUAAUUAAGGCUCCUGCGAUGUUACACCAGCCGUAAGUAACAGUAAUUAUAUAUCAAGUUAAGCCACGUACUCGCGGCACGUGGAGCUGCGGGGGCCGAUUAAUUGACUUAAAUAGCAGGUUGCAGUGCGGUAGUCCGGCCGGUUAUGGGUUUUUCUCUCUGUAUCCAAUGGCGGAUUUAGAAAAAUAAUUUACCGGGGGCUAAAUUAGAUAAUAAUAAAAUAUAAAAAUUAAAAUUUUAAAUAUAUAAAAUAUUUGCUAGUACAUUUAUAAUUAUUCUCUGCGCAUUUUUAUAUUUUAAAAAUGUUAUACAAUUGACUCAUUAUCAAUAUUAUUAAAUUUAUUGUUUCGUAUAUAAACAAUCAAACUAUCAUUUAUCCUAUAUGAUUCCAAAAAUGAUUUUUCAUGAGUUUCAUUACUGAAAACGUUCGCUCUAGUAUUAUUAUAGAGACUGGAAGAAUUAAUCUUAUUUUUUAGAAUUGAAAAUAUUUUGAGUGGUGACCUAUCAUUAUUUUAAUUAAACUAUAAGUUUUUAUAAUUCUUAAAAGUUAAAAUUUAAAUUUUAUGGGGAUUUAUAAUUUAUAGUGAUUAUUUUAAUAAAUUUUUUAUGGGGGCUAAUUAAAAAACUAAAAUAUUUUUCUUUUUUAAUUUUAGUUUUUUUUUUUUUUGCCAGUGGGGGCUUGAGCCCCCACUAGUCACAUGCUAGAUCCGCCCCUGUCUGUAUCCCCUAAUUUUCUUUUGUACAAUUUUGUAAAACACUUUCUCUCCCCCAAAAAUUAGAUCCGUUUUCCUCUCUCUAAAUAGUUCCAACCAAAUCUAAAUCGAUGAGCUAUGUUUGGUAUGGAGGUGCUGCAACUUUUUAAGUUACAAGCUCUGAAAAAAAAAAAAUGUAAGUUGGAAAUUUUUUUUGUAGUAUGUGACUUUUAAAUAAUAAUCUUGACAAACUUAUACGUUUUUCAUCAUAUAAAAAGUUGAUCAAAUUAACUUGACUUUCAAGUCAGUACAGUUAGUGUUUCAUAAAAAUUAACUUAACUUUCAAGUCAGUACAGUUAGUGUUUCAUAAACACUUCAGUACUGUAAUUUAAAUUACACAUAUUCUAAAUUAUAAUUUGAAACAAUGUUAAAUACAGAAAUAUUUAAUCAACAAGAAACACUAUGAAAGGAAUAAUAGAUUAUUUCAAAUUUAUACAAUUUAUUUUAGUUAGAUAGGAAGUAAUAAGUAGAAAAUUAAAAAAAGGGAUUAAUUACGAAACAAAGUAAUUUGUUGGAAAAAAAUUCUAUAUGUACUCAAUUCUUAUUUGUUCUUAAAUGUAAUUUUAUUUAAAGUGGGUUUUAUAAGGAUAAUGAAGAGUGCUAAUAGCUUCACUCUUUGUUAAAAAUUAGAGUGCUCAGACUGAAAUUUAGAGGGCGAACAACUCUACCCUUAUUUUAUUUAUUUUUAUUAUUAAUUGAUACAAACUUGAUCCCCGUCCGCAUCGGGAUAUUUUAAUCAAACUCAAUCUUUCUGUCAGAGAUCCGAUCGAUGUAGGAAAUUCAAGGUCAACAUUCAACAGCUGUGAUCCCCUCAUCUUUUAAUUAAAUUUCAGCUGUUGAUCAGCACUUAGGAAACGUCAGCCGUUGAUCCAUUAUAUACACUGCAUGCAUUAACGACGCUGCGAUCAUCCCACCUUCGUUCUAUAUAUAUGUGUAUUAUGUCAAACAGGAAGCAAAAGCAACUUACUUUUGAGUUUUGAUUACAGUUCAUCACCUGAAGCAAGCAAGAUCUUUUCUGAUUUGAAGAAUAUGGAAACUCCCUGCGCAGGUUGUAGGCCAACCCUCAAUUUCAUUUCUAAUUCUUCUUUUUAAUAUAUACUUUAUAAAUAAAUUUUCCAAUAUGAAAAUUUUCAGGUAACGCCUGGUUGGAGGGAUUCAUUGUUUCGUUUAUAAGCUUGAAUGAUGAUGAGAAAGUGAAUGACAGCAACCUUGAUCUUAUUGUUGUUCCUCAAUAUGGGAGAAAUCUUGAUUACACUGGUUAAAUGUGUGCAGUGUUACUCUUUUAUGUUGUGUUUAAUUAAAUAAAACAAUAGGUACUGUUACUACCUGUUAAUUAUGAGUGUGUCGAAUUUGGUUUAGUUAAUUGAACUACUAAGAUCUCUUGAGAUAUGCAAGAGAUUUUUUUUUUUUUUUAUUUGUGUCCAUGUAAUUUGUCUUCCUUAAUUAAUAAAAUUAUUGUGUGUUAAUUCCAUUAGUCCAUAGAAAAAGAUAAAAUUGCAUGGUAUUUUCAUAUUAGUCUAAUUCAUUAUGCUCUCUGUCUUCUUGAAUUAAUAUUAUUAUCAAACAAACUCUGUACAUAGUUAGCUAAUUGUUGCAGCUCCCAGGCGAACCAAGAUCUUCAUAACUAAUUAGACUUAACGUCUAUAUUUUUCAAAUAGCGUGUAUCAUCGGAAACAGCGGCAAUAGGAUAAUUAAGUGCCAAAAUUGUUGAAUUGUAACUUAUCUCUCUUUAUUUGGCCCAAGAGGUCGAUAGCAAUCCGCGAAUAUAUCAUUGUCAUCUAGCAAAACAUUAAUUAAUGUAAUUGUAAAUAAUUUAUGACUUAAGUUAGGAUCGACAUUAAUUGUUGGAAGAAAUUAAUGGGGUACAGAGACUUUAUUCUGCUGGAUGUGUGGGGUACUUUAAUUAAUUAUAAGUACCCUACGGCCCAACCUUAUUCUUUUUAUCAACCAAUACACCUGGUAAGUCCCUAAAAUUAGCACCCCAAAAACAAAAGGUAAUUGAGGACAAUUAAUCAAGAGCACUAAGCAGAAUGCGUGUUUAAACGGGACAGACGUAAUGUGUGCAUAUAUAUAUAUAUAUAUAUGUGUGUGUGUUAGAAAUAUUCGAAUCUAGGAUCUUGGAUUUCGCUAAAGUCCGAAAAGUUAUAAAAUCAUAUGUUUUAAUAGUAUAAUGACAUUAUAUUAUUAAACCAUAUGCCUUAAUAUCUUUUUCCGGAUUUAAUAAAUUUAGAAUACAAGAUUAGAUAUGUACUCACUCUCUCACUCUCUCUCUCUAUAUAUAAAUUCUCAAAUGUCGGCACCCUCAUUUUUUUUAUGCGAACCCGCUAUUAAGCCACAUGGUUUAAUAAAGUCAGUAUUCAAUUCACUGUAAAGCCAUAACCCUCAAAUUGUUAAUCUGCGCUGAUUCUAUUAAAUCAUAUAACUUAAUAGCACAUCCGCAUGAAAAACAAAAAAAUGAGUGCAUCCGCACCUAAGAAUGACUCAUAUAUAUAAUAACAUCAGAUCAGUUUUAUCUCUAUAUAUUUUGGUUUUACAAAAAUAAUUUUUUCCCAAUCAUUAAGACGAGCAUUUUUUUGAGUAUAUAUCCUUGUUAUUAAUAAGAAAAAUAUUUAUUUCAUCCCUAUAUUUCAAGUUAACCGUUUGGAUUGUUCUUAUAUUUUAAAAAUACUUUAAGAUACUCAUGUUGUUAAUUAAGUUACUCUCCUAUCCUUACUUUUUCUAUAGUUAUAACCUUUAAAUUAAUUUACAAAGUUUAAAGUUGUACAUAUAUCAAGCCUUGACUAGGUCUUAAUUGCAUAUGAAUAGUGUUUGGAGCAUCACAGAUGUUUCGUUUCAAUUGCUUAUAGGAGAAUAGAGGGGUUGAUGUGGAGGAUUUCUCGCUCCAAUUCGUUGUGGUGGUCCGAUGAAUUUUGUACGUUUUGUGAAUAAGUUUUAUAAUUUGAUACUUACUCGUUGCUUAUACUUCAAAAGCCGGUAUAUUAUAUGAUGUUGCAGUGAUAUCAGUCUCCACUCUCCAUUCUCCCUCAAUCCUUGAUUUUCAAACAAGACAAAUUAUCAUCUUAAAUCUGACUUAAGAAGCCUUAACUAAUAGCAACACAAAUUUUGAGAGUAGACGAGAGAGAGAGAAAAAAAAAAAACAAAUUUAUUUAAAAAUAUUCGCACUCAAAUUUUUUAGAUAUUCAAUUUCUUGAAGUUUAAUCACUGUCAAUCAGCCACAUGAUGGAUAAAGAUAUAAAAACAAAUUUUAUUUAUUUAUGUUGCCUGUAGGGAAAAACAGAAUAAAUUAAUUGAUAUUGCCAGCAAAUUAUUGAUUCAUACCCAAGUAAACAGAUAGCUGUUGAAAUUAAUUAUGAUUUAAUCUAUAAAUUUGUAGCCAACCAUCGUCCCAGACCGAAUCGGAAUCUCAAUCAUUUUUCAUCAGAGAAAUCCGAUCGAUGUAGGAAAUCUAAUGUCAACUUUUAACAGACGCGUGCUACUUGAAUGUGUAUAAUGUAACUCUCCUUACACACCAAUUUGCUUCAUUGUGACUCCAAAAAUAUUCUUAAAUAUUGCACAAAAACUAAUCUGAUUAAUUCCCACGGCUAGACAAAUCCCUAAUAAAAAGAACUAAAGAAAUACAAUAUUAUUUACACAACAAUGCUAAUAAUAAAAAUCCUAACACGAAUUGACAAAGUCAUUUGAAAGGGCAUUUUGAGGUGACACAAUGUUGAAAACUUUUCGAAAGUAAUAUAAAGAAGAUAAAUUUCACUCUUAUAAAUUAAAGAGCACAAAAUUAAUAAGCAUAACGACUCCUCAGUUUAUAUAAGUAUUUCAAAUAUAAAAAGAAAUGAUACAAUUAACAUAAUUUAGGAAUAAUGAUUCAUAUUUAGCAAAUAUUCAGUCAAUCAAUCUUUAUAUUAAUUUACAAUCAAUCUUUCUUAGUCAAUAAUUAAGAUGAAGACAAUCAAUCAAAUAAAUAAUUAUUUUGUUUUUAUCAAUAUUGUUUGAUUCUUAUCAAAUGUCAACUUGUAUCCGAAAUACAAACUUUCAGAAGUAUAACAUUUACUCAAAUGAAAACAAAUACAAUUCAAUUAACUAGGCUCAUGGGGGGUUUUUCAUGUAUUGAGAGACUACAAGAAGAUUGAGAUUGUCAUAUGCUGCGUCAUCAGUUUAUAUCUGGCAUUGGCUAAAAAACGCACCCUUCUUUGUAAUAAACGUCUCAAACCAUUCAGUCUUACCUGAAAAUUUUAUAAUAGAAAAUUAAUUAAAAGAUGACAUAUUAUUAGUAUAAGAAUUAGAAAUAGAAUUCACAUGAAAUUGUCCUAAAUUGAAGUACCUGAAAAAACUGAUAAAAAUCAAGCAAUAAUGAUGGAAAUAAAUCAAAUGACUUAUUGUCCCUAUAUUAUUGAUUUAGAAAGAUUGAUUAUAAAUCGAAAUAAAGUUUAAUUGACUAUAUCAGUGUUAAUCAAUCGUUAUUAUCAAAUUAUGUUAGUUGUAUCAUUUUCAUUUUCAUUUUCAUUUUUCAAGUACUUGUAUGAAUUGAGUUUUUGUGCUUAUGUAUGAGUAAGAGUGAGAUUUAUCUUCUUAAUUUAUUUCAUCAGAGAAAUCUGAAUCGGAAUCUCAAUCAUUUUUCAUCAGAGAAAUCCGAUCGUGGUAGGAAAUCUAAUGUCAACUUUUAACAGACGCGUGCUACUUGAAUGUGUAUAUCAUACCAGAAUCAAGAACUCACACAACUACUAGCAAAUUGAAUAAUUUUGAAGAAUAUGGAAGCUACUUUUGCAGGUACUUCAAUUUAGGAAAAGUUCAUGUUAAUUCCAUUUCCACUUCUUAUAUUAAUAAUAUAUGUCAUAUGUUUUAAAAAGUUUUCUAUAAUGAAUUUCAGGCAAGAUUGAAUGGUUUGAGACACUUGUUACAAAGAAGGAUGCACUUUUUGAGCCAAACUAGCGAUGAGGUAGUUUCUGAUAAUUUUGUUCUUCUUGUAGUCCCUCAAUAUGCGAGAAAUCCAAAUGAGAUCGGUAACUAGAUAAUAAAUUUGAUUUGUUUACAGUUAAGCAAAUGCUAUGCUUCUCAAAGUUUGCAUUUCGGAUAUAAAGUGAUGUGGUACCUCAAAAUGACCUUUCAUAUCAUUUUGUCAAUACGGAAUACAAAUUUUAUAAGUGCAAUGCUCAUGGGCAUGGAUUAUUGAUGAAAAGAUUGAAGAGAUAGUGCAGGUUCCGAAAUAUUCGAGCUUACUGAAGCCUUAAUACCUUAAACAAUUUUACUAUUGUAAGAUGAAAACUGAAUUAGUUUUCCUUCUCUUAUUCAAUCGUUACAGAGGUGAAAAUAUACCUGGACAUACGUACUCAGAAAUGAAAGAUUGUAAAGACAAUAUUCACUAUCUGUUAGAGAUCAAUUUAUAAGCUAGCCGUUGGAGCAAGUCAAGGUGUGAUUUAAUUGUGAGGACGAGGUACUGCGAUCUUCUAGCCUUUUGUGUUGCUAAUUUGGUUUCCUAUCAAUUAUUGCGGUCCGCGAUCUAUUAUGUGAGUGUUUGGUUUGACUAACAAUAAGAUUUUAUUUGUUCACAUCCCUGUACAAUUAUAUUCCUUAAAAUUAUAUUUAAAAAAUUUAUUGUGUGUCAAUGUGUUGAUUGAUUUAUUUAUUUUUGAAACCUCAACGGCAGCAGGAAAUUUUAUUGAAGAAAUAGAAGCAAAGGGUAUUAUGGCCAAAAGGAGAUUUUGGUGUCCGUUAUUGAAAACUUAGAGAUCUUGAUAAUUAUUUCUCCAAACUCUAGCGUAUAGAUAUCCUUCUCCCUUUGAGAAAAGAAUACAAGUUACAGCGCUAAAGGAAAGCAAAUAAAUCAGGAAUGUAGAUUGUCAAUGAUAAAUAAUAAUCUUUAAGUUUAAUAAUUGUUACAAAUAUCGCAUAAUUGUUACAAAUAUCGCAUAAUUGAUGAACACGAAGUAAAAACAAAUUAAUAGCAGUAAUGAAGGGGUUGGAUUAACCAUUUUCCGGGAAAGCAAUCAGCGCAAAUAUGCCCCGGCCAUUUCAAGCAACGUUUUAGAAUAUUUUAAGGUGCCUAAUAGAGAAAAGUAAUGGGUUCCUUGACAUGAUUGAGAAGAAAUGACGUUGCCGGUUGCGAUCUUUCGAGAUAGAAAAAUUUCCUUGGCAAAGUACAAUAGAGACGAGUCGUAUUGAGAAUUUACACCAUUUCUAGAUAAACUGUGAGUUCAAAAAAUUUCGUUCCCACAAUUUUGAAGUAAAUGAUAAAAUUCACAUGUUGAUUCUAAAAAAUCAUAUGUAAUCUUGAAAAUUCUCUACAGGGUGAUCCUGAUCCUUCUCCAUUUAUUACAUGAUGUUGCAGUGCAAGGGACAGUAUUAUUUUAUCGAUUGAGAAUGAAUAUAGGGUUAAGUAAAUAAAGAUUGGACAACUCUAAACUAUUAAUUUUGAGUAUGAAUUACGCUCAUGAGCUUGUAUGCACCACUAUCUUCUAGCGUAGAGAUAUGAUUGAUAAUCCUGUUAGGGAGUUAAUCUCACAUUUUCUGACAUUAGCUAGUUCCUGUGCUAAGUAGAUUAGCUUAAGGAAACCGUUUGAAAUCCAAAGCAUCACACACAUAUUACUAAAGAAAUUCAGCGCAUACGUUAGUCGAUCUAUACUUCAGAAUGCAGUACUGAAUUUAACUUUUUUUUUUAAUUGGUUUCGGAAGUACGGGUUGCAUGAUGAUUUAUGGUUAGUGGAGAUGUUUUGAUGGUCAUUUGUAUUUUGUACCCAUACAAUUUCUCACUGUAUCCAUUAUCCCAGUUCGCUCUUCUUCAAAAUGUACUGUAAAAUUCCAGAAAUGACAUACGCACACGUGUAUAUAUAUAGAAUAAUUUUACAAUAAGUGAAUCUUUUACUUUAACAAAAUAAGGGUUAAAGUAAGGGUCAAGAUAAAAGAAAAGACAUAUUUCAAUGCAUUAAAGACAAAUUACAUUGUAUUGGAAUAUGUGUUUUUUUUUAACCUUUUAAAUUGUCUUCAAUUUUAUUAAGCAAGUGAUUCUCUUUAGGGAUGGCAAUGGAUUAGAUCUGAUCCAAGAUCCACGUGAUUCAAAUCCAAUCGGAUCGGAUUUGGAUUGGUUUAAAAUAAAUUUGAAUUGGAUUUGGAUAUCGAUGUGCGGAUCUAAGACGGAUCUGGAGCAGAUCUGGAUCUAUCUUAAUAUCUAAAUCCAUAUCCAUAUCCACUCAUCUUUUAAUUUUAUUUUAUUUUAAAAGUUUCUUAACAAUUGUGAAAUUAUAAUGAUAAUAAAUUUUAUUCAUAACAUAUUAGUAGUAUUUACCAUGCAUUUAAACUCUUAAAACUUAAAGGUUAGUUUUGUAAAUUUAAAGGUCAGCCAACCCCAAAGCAUGUACAUGCAAUAUUCAAAUUGCAAGACAAGUAAUAUAACCUGGUAAUUUAUUUUAUUAUAUUGGCCAAAUAAUUUUUAAGGAAUAUAAUUAUUCAUAUAUUUAGUCAAAUAUGGUCAUAAUAAAAAUAAUAAAGAACUGAAUAUAAAUCAUAUUUAAUUUAUAUGUUAUUAUCUAAUGUUGUAGGAAUGAAGAUAGGUGUAUCGUAGAUAUUAGAAUGAUGAAUGAGACAAUAGAAUAUUAGAUUGAUCUUACUCCUGCAAUUACUUCGGAAUGAUAUUUUAUUAUCUUUCUUAUUUGUUGUUUUGGUGUAAAAGUAUAAGCUACAAUAUUUAUUAUAUUUUUGAGAUAAAUUAUAUAAUUUAUUUGUUAUCAAUACAUUUUAGCCUUCAAUUUUCAAUCAAAAAAUUAUUACUUUUUUAUUACUGAAUUUUAGAAUUCAUGACGGAUCUGGAGCAGAUUUGGAUUUUAAUUUUUUUUUUUCGGAUUUGGAGCAGAUAUAGAUAUUUAUUUCUUUUUUGGAUCUGGAUAUGAAACGAAAAAUAUGGAUUCAUGACGGAUCUGGAGCAGAUACGGAUCUUAAUUUUUAUUAUGGAUUUGGAUCUGGAGCAGAGUAGAUCCAACCCAUAUCUGCCCCAUUGUCAUCCCUAAUUCUCUUAUUGUAAAAUUGCUGGGUACACAUACAAAUAUCCCAAAAUUCUUAAGGAAAAAUGUAAGUUCACAAUGAAAUUUAGCUUUUUUUUUUUUCUUUUUCUUCCUUAAAUUAAGGAUGAAAGUUGUAUAUUCACCUAAAUGGUGAAAUCCAGCAUUUUUUCUUUUCUUCCUCCCCCCCCCCCCCCCCCCCUUCUUCUCGCGGCCGCAAAUUAAAGAUGAAAUCAAUCUCAGCUCCUCAUUUAAUUAUAAAUUCACUUUGCUUUAUUUUAGUCUUUUUCGUUCUAGGAUUUUGAAGUUUUUCGACCGGUCGGGAGUACCGUACUGCAACCUGCUAUUCAAGUCAAUUAAUCUGCCCCCGCAGCUCCACGUGCCGCGAGUACGUGGCUUAACUUGACAAGUUGACAUAUAAUUGCUGUUACUUACGGCUGGUGUAACAUCGCAGGACCCUUAAUUAAAAGAUUACGGAUUAACAGCUGUUGAAUGUUGAUGUUGAAUUUCCAGAUCGAUAUUGGAAUUUAAAAGAAAUGAAUUUUAUGUAGCUAUAUUGCCUGUAGGGGAAGACAGAAUAAAUUAAUUGAUAUUGCCAGCAAAUUAUUAAUUCGUAUCCAAGUACAGGGCUAGCUAUCGGAAUUAAUUAAGAUUAAUUGGUCAUCUUUCCGAAUUUUUAAUCCAUUCCCAUGUGAACCGAAAACAUAUUAAUUAAUGGAAAUCAAAUAUUAAAAAAAUAAUAGUAAUAACUUAACUAAUAAUUUAUAACUGUCAAAUUAAUUAAUAGUUUAUCUACAAUUAUUUUGUUUAUUUUUAUUAUUAGCCAAUAAUUUAUAACUAUCAAAAUAAUUGUAGAUAAACUAAUAAUUAAUUUGAUAGUUAUAAAUUAUUAGCUAAGUUAUUAUUAUUAUUAUUUUAAUAUUUGAUUCCAUUAAUUAAUAUGUUUUCGGUUCACAUGGGAAUGGAUUAAAAAAUCGGAAAGAUGAUCAAUUAAAUGAAGCGAGAAACCCUCCACAUCAACCCCUCUAUUCUCUUAUAAGCAAUUGGAACGAAACAUCUGUGAUGCUCCAAACACUAUUCAUAUGUUCCAUCUGUUGUUGCUAAUUAGGACCUAGUCGAGGCUUGAUAUAUGUGCAACUUUAAACUUUGUAAAUUAAUUUAAAGGUUAUCACUAUAAAAGUUUAGAAAAAGUAAGGAUAGGAAGGUAACUUAAUUAACAACAGGAGUAUUUUAAAGUAUUUUUAAAAUAUAAGAACAAUCCAAACGCUUAACAUGAAAUAUAGGGAUGGAACAAAUAUUUUUCUUAUUAAUAAAAAGGAUAUGUACUCAAAAAAAGCUCGUCUUAAUGAUUGGGAAAAAAAAUAUUUUUGAUAUAAUAGAAUAGGUCUAAUCGAUUGUAAAAUAUAAAAAUAUUUUUUUUAAAUAUUGAAAUUAUUUUAAAAUGCAUAUAUUAUUACCUUUAUUUUAAUCCUAUAUUUUUAUUUAUUAUAAAAUUUUAAGGUCAAUUUUUUGGGUUAAUAGAGUCAAAUGAUAUUAUGGUAAAAAAAGAGUCUUGGUGUCUCCUAUUAAAAACUCGAUGUCUUUGUGACAAUUUCUCCAAACCUUGAGGGUGUAAGCGUGCUUGGAAAAUUUAAGAUUGUCAAUCCAUUUGGGGUAAACUGAAGUUGACCCUUAAUGUAAAUAUAAAUAAUUUAUGACUUAUUAGUAGUUUGGUAAGACUUAUCUAAGAAUGGCCUGUUUAAACCCUAAAAAAUGGUCAUUAGAUCUGGUUUUAAAUUAAAAUUUUAUUACUAAAACGUCCCUAACAUAAAUUAAUAUUAUAGCCUAAACAGUAUAAUUGAACAGAAAAAAAAAAAAAAUGGUCCAUGCUACUCCAUCUUUAACCCAUAUCUUUUUUUAAUGAAUUAGGGAAAGCAAAGCUACACCACCCAUAAUUUGGCUAAAUGGUCAUGUAGACAUCCAAAUUUUCAACAAUAGACACCAAAAACCCUUCUUAAAAUGUUUUAAGAUACCACAUGUCACUUUGGCUUUUUUUUUUUUUUUUUUUUUGGGAUAAGCUAACCCAGUUUGCCAAAAAUGUAAAAAAACCAAAUAAAUAAAAUGCCUUUGACUGAUCUGUUAUUAUAUAUAUAAAAUGAUGUGUUUUAUUUUUUAUUUUCAGGUUAAUUAAAAUGUUUUAAAUUAAAUUAAAAACUCUGGAAAAACAGUCAAUAUAUCUUUCCAUGUAUAGAAGCAAGUGAUGACAUGAUAUGGGCAUAACUGUAAAUUUAGUAUUUGACAUCCAAAUAAAUGGCAAAAAUAGCAAGAGGGAGUCUUGGUAUCCAUUGUUAAAAUGUUGACAACAAUACCAUUUGUCUCUACUAACUGAAAAAAAAAAUUGAUUCCGAUGUUUUAUAAUAAAUAGAAAUAAAAAAUAAAUUAAAUGUAAUAAUAUAUAGUUUAAAUAAUUUCAUUAUUUUAAAAACUAUUUUAAUACUUUACAACCUUAUAUUAUAUUAAGCUAAAUUUUAUAAUAAAUGGAACAUAACGUUAAAGUAAAUAUAUAAAAUUUUAAAUUAUUUUUCAAUAUGAUAUAGAAUAAUUUUACUAUUAUUAAUAGACUAUAUAUUUUAUAUUAAUUGUAAAAUCUAUUUAACCCAAAGAUUUAUUAAUUUUUUAAUAAUAAAUAUAUAUAUAUUAUAAAAUAAAUAUAGUAAUUUACAUUUAGAAAUUAUUUUUUAUAUAAAAAAUUUUCUAAUAUCAAAUUAAAUUAUUUAAAUUAUAUUUUUAUUUAUCAAAAAAUUUUAAGAUAAAAUUUUAGUUACAAUUUACAAAAAGUAUUAUAGUCAAAAUGAGGUUUUAACAUCCCUUAUUAAAAAUUUGGGGUUUUACAUGACUAUUUUUUCAAACCUUAACGUAUAGGUAUCCUUUUAAAAAAAUAAAAUAAACAAAAAUUAUUUAUUUAUAUUGCCUGUUGGAAAAUACAGAAUAAAUUAAUUGAUAUUGCCAGCAAAUUGUUGAUUCAUAUCCAAGUGAACGGACAGCUGUUGAAAUUAAUUAGGGUUUAAUUUAGAAAUUUUUAGUCAACCAUAUUCCCAGACGGAAUCGGAAUCUCAAUCUUUUUUUUUUUUUUUUUGCAGAGAAAUCGAUCGAUGUAGGAAAUUCAACGACAACAUUUAACAACUGCGGGUUUCUUUAAUAUGCAUGUGUAUCAUACCAGAACUAAGAACACACACAACUGAUAGCUACUUAAAUAAUAUGGAAGAAUAUGGAAGCUACUUUUGUAAACUUUUAAGAAACAAUAUAAAAAACAACAUAAUGAAAACAAAUUUCAUUAAUUCUCCAGCACAAAUGUUCAUUUAUAUAAGUAUUUAAAACAUGAAAAUAGAGGUGAUACAAUUAACAAAUUUAGAGAUAAUGAUUGAUUAACAAAAAUUGAGUUAAUCGAUAUUUCUUAAUCAAUAACUAAGAUAGAGACAAUCAAUCAUUUGAUUGAUUGUUUUGUUUCUAUUAAUAUUGUUGAUCCUUAUCAUUCUCCCUCAAGUUGAAGAGAAUUUUUUUGAACUUCUAGCUUGUCUUUAAAAAUCGUAUCUCCUUGAUUUUUAUUUAUAGUCUCAACCAAGUGUCAUGCAACAAAUAGGGAGUAUUCCUCUAAAACUUGUCUAGGAAAUCUUUUUGUUAUUUUCAUGUACACUUUUUUUAGACUAAGAAAAAUCAUAAGUAAUAAAUUCUUUUUAUCAAGGAAUUCUUUCAAUAUGAAAGUCGUUCCUUCAAUUAUUUUUAAGGAAAUCUUCACUCAAUGAUUUUAUCUUCACUCCUUUGAUAUUGUCAUGAAAUUCUUUCAUUUAGAAAGUCAUUCCAUUGAUCUGGUCAAGGAAAACAUCAAUUUUCAGGAUUCCUUUUCAUUCCCCUUUUCUUUUGGGAUCAUUUCCUUUGUGAUGGUAGAAGUGUGGUGGUUAAUGAUGCAAUUGAACAACUUCUUCUUCUUCUUCUUCUUUUUCUACGAAAUUGAAGAACAAUAAAAAAGGAACUCACAUCUCUCCUUUAGACCACCAUGCUCUAGAAACAUAUCAUCGACACGGUGGCUAAGUAUAAACCCACAAAUUUAAGGACUUUCAAACUUGUCUAAUACCAUGAAAAUUUUUAGAAAUAAAUUAAGAAGAUAAAUUUCACUCUUACUCAUACAUGAGCACAAAAACUCAAUUCAUACAAUACUUGAAACAUGAAAAUGAAAAUGAUACAAUUAACAUAAUUUGAAAUCACGAUUGAUUAAUACUGAUAGAGUCAAUUAAACUUUAUUUUGAUUUAUAAUCAAUCUUUCUAAAUCAAUAAUAUAGAGACAACCAAUCAUUUGAUUUAUUUCCAUUACUAUUGCUUGAUUUUUAUCGGCUUUUUAGGUACUUCAAGUUAGGACAAUUUCAUGUGAAUUUUAUUUCUAGUUCUUAUAUUAAUAAUAUGUCACCUUUUAAUUUAUUUUUCUAUAAUAAAUUUUUUAGGUAAGACUGAAUGGUUUGAGACGCUUAUUACAAAGAAGGGUGUUUUUUUUAGCCAAUGCUGGAUAUAAACUGAUGACGUAGCAUAUGGCAAUCUCAAUCUUCUUGUAGUCUCUAAAUACAUGAAAAAUCCUAAUGAGGCUGGUUAAUUGAAUUAUAAAAUUGAUUUGUUUUCAUUUGAGUAAAUGUUAUACUUCUGAAAGUUUUUAUUUCAGAUACAAGUUAACAUUUGAUAAGAAUAAAAAAAUAUUGAUAAAAAAAAAUAAUUAUUUAUUUGAUUGAUUGUCUUCAUCUUAAUUAUUGACUGAGAAAGAUUGAUUGUGAAUUAAUAUAAAGAUUGAUUGACUUAAUAUUUGCUAAAUAUGAAUCAUUAUUCCUAAAUUAUGUUAAUUGUAUCAUUUCUUUUUAUAUUUCAAAUACUUAUAUAAACUGAGGAGUCGUUGUGCUCAUUAAUUUAUAAGAGAGAAAUUUAUCUUCUUUAUAUUAUUUUUGAAAAAUUUUCAACAUUGCGUCACCUUAAAAUGCCCUUUCAAAUGACUUGUCAAUAUGUGUUAGGAUUUUUAUUAGUAGCAUCAUUGUGUAAAUAAUAUUGUAAUUCAUUUAUUUCUUUUUAUUAGGGAUUUGUCUAGCCUUGGGAAUUAAUUAGAUUAGUUUUUGUGCAAUAUUGAAGAAUAUUUUUGGAGUCACAAAGAAGCAAAUUGGUGUGUAAAUAAGAUUACAUUAUAAUAGAGUUCCAAAUAAAGAUGACUACUAAAUUGGUAAGUAUAUCAAUAUCAAGUAUUUAUGAAAUAUUGGACUCUUAAGGAAGUAUAUCAUAGUAGUCCUCUAAUAGGGUUUGGGUGAAAUACUACACCUUGAAGUAUUUCACACAUUGAAGACAAUGAAGAAGACAUAUUGUAUUUUAUAUUAGAGAAGCAGUCAAAGUAGAGAACAAAAAGAAACCCUAUUUGGCCGCAUAUGAUGUUUCAUCUCUCUAUGAUGUUUUAAUCUUCUUCAUCAAGUAUUCUUCAUAUCAAGUCUUUUAUUACACAUUUGUUAUUAAUACUCUGCUCUCUUUAGGACGAAAGGGUCGUUUGUUGUGUUGAGUGAAUCUUAAGGAAGCAGCAAACAUAAUUGAAGACAAAUAAUGCUUGCUAAGAAAGGUCGACUAGGUUAGCUCCAAUAAGGUGAAGUGAGAGAAAGAGGGAGUCUGAAAUUGGUAAGAAUUAAAUUUAUUAAUAUGAAUAUUUAGGUAAUGAGUAGUGGAUGUCAUUUCAUUGUAGAAGAUUGUCAAAUUCCUCCCUAUUGAAUUAAUAUAUGAAAUUUUUUCAAAAACAAUUUAAAGAAUACAAAUUUUACUCUUAUUGAUUCAUGAGCAUGAAAGGUCAUUUUAUACAAGUAUUUAAAACAUGAAAAAGGAAAUGAUACAAUAAACGUAAUUUGGGAAUAAUGAUUGAUAAUAAUACAAUUAACAUAAUUUGGAAAUAAUAAUUGAUUAGCAAAGACUAAGUCAAUCAAUAUCUUUAUGUUGAUUGACAUUCAAUCUUUCUUAAUUUCUAAUUAAGAUGGAGACAAUCAUUCGAUUGAUUGUUUUGAUUCCAUUAAUAUUGCUUCAUUCUUAUCAUUCUUUCUCAACCUGACAAAGAAACUUUUUGAACUCCUAACUUGUCUUUGAAAAAUUUAAAUCCUUCAUUUUGAUUUAUGGUUUCAUCCAAAUGUCAUGCAAUAAUUCAGAAAGCAUUUCUUUGAAGUUUAUCUAGGAAAUCUUCCAAUUGUUUCCAUAUGCAAUUUUCUUUUGGCUCAUUAAAAGUCAUAUGUAAAUUCCUUUGAUUAAGGAAUUUUUCUAAUAUGAAAGUUAUUGCUUUGAUCUUUUUUAAAGAAAUCUUCACUCAAGGAUUUUAUCUUCAUUCACUUUUUCUUUUUACAUCAUUUCCUUUGUUAUAGCGGAAGUGGAUGGUUGAUAAUGAGGUUGAAAACCCUUCCCCUCAACCCCUCCACCCCCCCCCCCCCCCCCCCCCCCCAACAAAAAAAGAAAAAAAGAAAUGAAGAACAAUUAAGAACGAAUUCAUAUCUCUCUCUCCCUUAGACUCACGAUGCUUUGGGAACCUAUAUUAGACAUGGUGGCUAAGCCUAAACUCAUGAAUUUGAAGACUCUCAAAGCCGCUCUGAUACCAUAAAAAAUUUUCAAAGCAAUAUAAAGAAUAUAAAUUUCACUCUUAUUAAUUCAUGACCAUAAAAACUCAAUUUAUACAAGUAUUUGAAAUAAGGAAAGGAAAUAAUACAAUUAACAUAAUUUCGAAUAAUGAUUGACUUAAAACCUAGAAAAAAUGAUACAAUUAAUAUAAUUUGGGAAUACUGAUUGAUUAGCAAAGAUUGAGUCAAUCAAUCUUCAUGUUCAUUGACAAUCAAUCUUUUUUAAUCACUAACUAAGAUGGAGUCAAUCAAUCAUUUGAUUGAUUGUUUUGAUUCCAUCAAUAUUGCUUGAUUCCUAUCAAUAUACACCACUUAUUCUUCACAGUUUUGAUAAUGGGUAAUAACCUUCUUAGCAGUAUAACUUUACGAUAUUACCCUUAUUUUUAAAUGUAGUUUUAUUCAUAUUUGUUAUAAAUUAAAUAAACCAUAUAAAUAGAAAUUAAAAUAAAAAAUUUAAAAAUUAAGAAUCAAAAACUUUUUUCAAUUAUUAUCUGCAUGUGUGUACAAUUCUGCUUUUAUCUGCAAUUAUUAGUUAGUCCAAGGGACCCAUGCAUGCUCCCACGUAAUUCGCACAAUUGAAUUAGAGCUAUAAACCACAUCGGCUUCUUGUGUUAAUAUGUGUGUGUGUGUCUAUAUAUAUAUAUUAUAUAUAUACACACGUACGUAUAUAUAUCUGCAUAUUGUAAAACCAGAAGAUAGCAAGAACUCACAAAAGCAACUUACUUUGCAUUACGGUUCACCAGAAGCUUUGAAGGAUAUGGAAACUCCUUGCGCAGGUUUCUAGGGCAACUUCGAUUUAAAUAUCAUUUAUUAUAAUUUUAAUUUUAAUACAUGAGUUUAUCGAAAAAAAAAUUGAAUAUGAAUUUUUCAGUUUAAAACGAUUGGUCGGAGGAUGACUUCAAGUUUUCAUGGCAUGUAAAUAUUCCUAAUGAGGAGAUUAACGAUGAUAGUCUUGAUCUUCUUGUUGUCUCUCAAUAUAUUAAAAAUAUUAUCCACACUGAUUAAAUACAGUGUUAUUCUUUUGUUUUUUUUUUAACUAAAUAAAAUGAUGAGUAUAGGUAUUACCUAUCAAUCAUGUGAGUGGCAUAGUUUGGUUUAACUCAAUUUAUAAAAUCUUUUGAGAUAAACAAGAGAUCUUAUUUGUUUACUAUUGUGUACUAUGUUUUCCUGAAAAAGAUAAAUUAAUAAAAGUUCUUUUGUGCGUCAAUCUAUUGAUUAAGUUAAUCUAUACAUAUCAGCUGGAACCCCAUCUACUUGCUAUCCAAAAAGACACGAUCUCUUUCGAUCGUAUAAAAAAUUGGUUACGUUUUGCUAAUUUACCCACAAUGCCCUCCUGAUCCUCCAAAAAGGAUGGUCUGAACAAUUACUCCCAUCUCUACGAUAUCCAGUAUUGUUACUUGUAGCUUAUAGCUUUACGAGGCAAAAAAGCAUUAUCAACAAUUCAACAUAAACUAAUUUUUUUAAAAUAAGUUGCAUGAUUAUUUUUCUGCGUAUUUUGCUAGAACUUAGUCAUAAUUUUUAAUAAGAAUGGCUACUUUCGCCGUUUCCGGAACUACAAGCAAGAGGCCUUAAUUAACUAUUGCCUCUAUCAUUGGAAUCUGAAAAGAAACGUUUGACUGACUUACUCAUCGGUUAAUCCGAAUAGAAGGUCAACUAGAAUCUGUUUUAGUUAAAGAUUGAAAUUGAUAAUGUUUGGAAGCUAAGAAAAUGAAAGAAAGCUGAAGAAAAUAACAACUGGAUCUAAGAAGCUUCGAGAUCAUUUCUUAUUAUUCAACAGUACUGUACUGAAAGAGCUUAAGCUGAUCAUCACAUGCGCAAGCGAUUACAUAACCACCAGGUGCCAUCUGGCAAUCCAUGUCAUCAACUUGUAACCGUAUGCAACAGCUGCUGUAAUUCUCUGUUUUGUUGACCAUGCUGCAAAUGUGAGCUUCCUUAGCAGUUUUUCUGUUUGUUCAGUCAUGACGAAUAGAAGGCCUCUUUGUUCGGUAAGCAUUCUGAAGCUCUCAAUGCCUCUUGCUGCUGCUUAUUUCCUAUUUUCCUUUCUUCCUUUCGACUUGGCGAGAGAAUAAUGUCUCUGGAACAUGACCGCCUAUUUCUCAAUGCAGAUCUGAUGCUUAUGCAUGCACGGAUGGAUGAUUUUAACCAUAACUGAUCCACUCAUGCACAGAUCUAAAUAUAGUUGAGCUAGUUCAAAGUUAUAGCAUGAUUUAAUCAGCAAAGAUUAAAGCAAAACGGACACUGUAAUGUCUUUCUUAUUUAUUCGUACGCUGAUUUUCCUGUUAAAAUUCCAACACCAAUUUCACGAUCCAAAUCCAAUUACAUUUGUCCAAUCCCAAUUUCAAAGCUCAAUCCAUAGAAAAUUCAAAAAUUGUGUACAGAAUGAUAGAUGUUUCUAAUCUAAAACUAUCAAAUGGUGGUGAAAAUAUCUUAGUCUCAAAAUAUCUUGAAUAAUUGGUGAUUUUUGUAAAAUGUAGUUGUCAUAUUUUUAUAAUUCAAUGUUUCUGUGGCUUGUAUUAGUUUUAUGUUACUAUAAAUACCAUUGGACUCUUUGAUGGAGGCAUCAAGUGAAAUUUGAAGAAUAAGAGAGAAAUAAGAAGUGUGAGCCGUGAGUUUUAUGCCUAGUGUCCCUUGUGAAAUAUUUAUAAAGUCCUUUAAAUGUUUGUAACUUUUGGUAUUACCCAAAUAGUUCCGAUUUUGUUCAGUUUAAUCCUAUUCAUUUUUUCAAAGAUUCUAAGGUGGUGUUUGGUUGGGAGUAGAAAAUGUAGGAGAGGAAAGUAAUUUAAAUUCUCUUUUUAUUUUCAUUGUUUGGUUUGACAAAAUAUAUAAGAAUUUAAUUUCCAUUAGUAUUUAAUAUCCAUCAUAAUGUAGAAUUUGAAUUCCACACUAAGUAGUGAAGAAUUUAAAUUCCUCUUAUAUUAGAAACUAAAGUUUCCAAAAUUACCCUUCAAUUUUUUAACUUAUUUAUUGCCAUUAAUAAUUAUUAUUUAUAAUUUUAUUUUAAUGACUUAAUAUUAUAAAUGGACCUCCACCGGAAAGUCACCGGACCACCGCCGGACCUCGCCGGAAGAUCGUCAGACCUCCGCUAAAACUCGCCGGAAUGUCGCCGGACCUCACCGGAAGAUCGUCAGACCACCGUCGGACCUAGCCGGAAGUCGCCUGACCACCGUCGGACUUCGCCGGAAGUCGCUAGACCUCUGCCGCCGGCCACUGGACCGCCAUUUUAUUAUAUAUAUAUAUAUAUUAUUAAUAUAAAUAGUUUAAUAUUUAAGGUAAAUGAUAAAUUUGUCUAAAGAAAAAAUUAUAAUUUAUAUCAAACCAACUAACAAAAUUUAAUUUCACUACUCUUCUCCAUUCAUUUCUUCUCCCUUCCUCUCCAUUCCACUCUUUUCCUCUCCCUUUUCUUCAAACCAAACAUGACCCAAGGGGCUAUGCCGGAUCAGAAAAUUAACCAAGGAUCAACGAAUUCAAACGAAAUAAAUUGUACAGACAGACUGGCUCAUAUAUCGAGUGAUUUGUAUCCAAGUUUCAGGAUUUUACACGACAUGCACAAAAAAAAAAUAAAUAAAUAUCCAACUUUGUGUUGAGAACUAAUUUUCUAGAAUCUACUUGCAUAUAUAAUUACUCUAUUAGAACUCCUUGAUUUAUCACUAACAUUUACAAGAUUAUUAUUGAUAAGAGCAUACUUACAUGACUAAAAAAAAGCCAAGUUGGAAUUCUAAAUACAGAACAGAUGUCAAUUAAGAUAGCAAAUAACGACAAAUAAUUUUAGUCUUAACGACUUCAUCACUACACUCUUGAUGGAGUAGAAAAAUUAUGAAAUUUUGACUGCACAAAGCUUAAUAUGCAAUUAUAAAAUCUUAAAAAAAUUCAUGCUUAAAAUUUGGCAAUUUUAAGAUAUAUAUGUAUAAAAAAAAUAACAAAGAAGCUAUGUCAUAAUUUAUCAACUCAAAUGUCAUCCUAACAAUAAAAUAGGACUACUAAACUUUUGAAAUAAUAAUUAAACUAUAAAUAAAAUCACAAAUCUUAUAAUAGUAACUAAUUGAAUUAAAUUAAGAGUACUGAUAUUUUCAUGUAGAGGCUAAUGUUUUUGUGGCCAAGUUUUUUUCUUUUUUUCUUCACAAAUCAUGGGCCACAAAAACGGGCAGUAGGGGUUCUUUUGAUAUAGGAUGGUUGUGUAGGAUGAACAAGAUAUCUUUUUAGGGCCAUGACUUUUGUUAAAAGUGUCCAUUUUAAUCUCAUAAUAUAUUGUUUCGAAGCUUACAAAAGAUAGACGUAGACAUACAGAAAUGAUGAAUAGAAUAAUUUAAUAGAGGGUCAGGUGUAUGUUUUCUAAUACUAAACUUCCUAAAUCUUUCUAGGCGGAGGCUAUGCGUACUGCAGUUGACUUGAUUAACCUUUCUCCUUCAGCUCUAUUAGAUGGCGAUGUACCUGAGAGAGUUUACACUAGGAAAGAUGUUUCUUACAAACACUUGAGAGUGUUUGGUUGCAGACCAUAUGUUCACAUCCUAAAAGAUGAGAGAUCAAAGCUUGAUGAUAAAGUCUAGGAAUGCAUUUUCUUAGGCUAUGGGCAUGAAGAAUUUAGGUACAUAUUAUGAGAUCUAGUGAUAAGAAAAUUAAUCAGAAGUAGAGAUGUUGUAUUCCUUGAAGAUCAGUUAGUGGGUGAUGCAGAGAAAAGUGACGAGCCUUAGUUAUCUCCAGAGAUUCCCAUUAUUUCAACUUCAAUUUCUCCACUUGUAGUUCAUAAUGAUCAUAAGGGAACUGGAGAAGAUAAUAACGAUGGUCCAGCAGAACCAGUUGACCAGGCACCUCCAAAACCACCUACACUACCAGUUGAGCCAGAAUUUUGGAGAUCCACCAGAGAACGGCGACCUUCCAUUAGAUAUCCUCCACGUGAGUAUGUAAUGCUUACAGAUGAAAGGGAGCCAGAAUGUUUUGAAGAAGCCAUGUCUCAUCAGCAUAAAAGUGAGUGAGUUAAAGCUAUGCAAGAGGAGAUGAAAUCCUUGAAUGAGAACCACACUUAUGAUUUAGUAAGGCUUCUUAAAGGAAAGAAGGCACUGAAGAACAAAUAGGUUUACAGGUUAAAGACUGAAAAUAACUCACAACAGCAGUAUAGGGCUAGAUUGGUUGUGAAGAGUUUUGGUCAAAAGAAAUGUAUUGAUUUUGAAGAAAUAUUUUCUCCUGUGGUGAAGAUAUCGUCUAUCCGAGUUGUUCUGGGAUUAGCAGCUAGCUUGAACUUGGAGAUUAAAUAGCUUGAUGUAAAGACAACUUUCUUGCACAAUGACUUAGAGGAAGAAAUAUAUAUGGAGCAACCUGAAGGGAUCAAUGUUAAAGGUAAAUAAGAACUUGUGUGCAAGUUGUAGAAAAGUUUGUAUGAGCUUAAACAGGCACCAAGGCAGUGGUACAAGAAGUUUGAUUCUUUUAUGGAGAAUCAUGGUUUUAACAAGACAAUGUGUGAUCAUUGUGUUUUUGUAAAGAAGUUUGGUGAUAAUGAUUUCAUCAUUCUUUUACUUUAUGUGGAUGACAUGUUGAUUGUUGGUCAUGAUGCUAAUAAUAUUUACAAUCUGGAGAGGGAGCUGAGCAAGUCUUUUGCAAUGAAAGACUUGGGACCGGCGAAACAAAUUCUUGGCAUGAAGAUUUCCCUCGAUAGAAAAGUUGGGAAGUUAUGGUUAUCUUCAAAAGCAUAUGUUGAAAGGGUUCUUGAAAGAUUUAACAUGGGUAAGGCAAAAUAUGUUUGUUCUCCACUUGCAGGCCAUUUCAAGCUUACUUUUGAACAUUAUCCUACAAGUGAGAAAGAGAAGCAAGAGAUGAGAGGAGUUCCUUAUGCUUCAGCGGUUAGUAGUUUGAUGUACGUCAUGGUUUGUACAAUACCAUAUAUUGCUCGUGCAGUUGGUGUAGUUAGUCGGUUUCUCUCCAAUCCGGGUAACGAAUACUGGACAUCAGUAAAGUGGAUUCUCAGAUAUUUCAGAGGCACUUAUGAGGCAUGUUUAUGCUUUGGUGGUGACAAACAUGUAUUACAAGUGUACAUGGAUGUAGAUAUGGCAGGAGAUGUUGAUUCAAGAAAAUUUCUAUCAGGAUAUUUGCUCACCUUUGCAGGGGGAGCAGUCUCAUGGCAGUCCAGACUUUAGUAGUGUGUUGUCUUGUCUACCACAUAAGUAGAGUAUAUUGCAAUUACUAAAGGUUGCAAAUAAACCUUGUGGAUGAAGAAUUUCCUACAAGAGUUAGGUGUGAAGCAAGAUAAAUUUAUUGUGUACUACGACAGUCAGAGUGUCAUUCACUUGGCAAAAGAAUUCAACAUACCAUUCAAAAUCCAAGCAUAUUGAUGUGAAGUAUCAUUGGAUACGAAACGUGCAUGAGAAGAAACAAUUGCAGGUUUAGAAGAUACACACAACGGAGAAUAUGUUAGAUAUGACGACAAAGCCAUUGCCCAAGGAGAAGCUGAAAAGCUAUAUGGAAAAAGCGGGCUUGGUGGUGCCCCCACAUGAUCUGGAGGGAGAGAUUUGUUAGGUGCAUCUCAUUUGGGUGGCUCAAGCCUAAAGUUUAAUAAGUUUGGGUAAAUAAGUAAUUAAAAGAAACGUAAAGGGCAAAUGAAAUUUACCAUGAAAUUUGGCUACAUAAACAAGCAUAAAUGGAGGUGGCAGUAACCUUUUGAGAGAAGAGCAAGAGAGAAAGGAAGAGACAGUAGAGUUGAGACUAUUUGGGUGCAAGAUUUUCAAUUUUUAAUUGGGCGAUCGGAAGGCGAAAUUAACUUCCUUUUUUCUCAAAUUUUGAGGGUAAGUUCCUAGUAUCGCCCUCUACAACUCUACUAGUCUUGAUUUUUAUUUUAUCUUCUCUUUGACUAUUAUUUGAGAUACCCACUUGUUAGAGAGAUCAUUAUUAAGUUGUUACCGUAAGGCAAAAAUAUUGAGAUUCUUGAUAUUGAUAUCUUCUAGUAUUAUCUAGAGAAGAAUUAGUGCUGCAAUCCUAUUAAUAUAGUGGAAGAUUAUAUCGGACUACGGUCCCAUACUUUUUCUCGCUUUGGGUUUUCCAUAUAAAAUCUAUGUCUCUUGUGGUUGGUUUUUGCUUUGGAUUUUGUUGAUUUAUUUUUCUGCCUAUUUAUUUAUGGUACACAUCCGAUUUUAAUCACACAAAGAGGGAAAAAAAUUUGUUUCCGCUUAAUUUACAGCUACUUUUGUGAGUCCCUUUCCCAACAGCUUAAAUGUACAUAUACACCCCCCAAGAUUUUAAAUGUCACACUAACUCCUUUCUAAAAUAAAGUAUUUUUAAUAGAAUCUGUCCAAGUAGGAAAUUUAACUGGAGAAAAUAAAAAUAAGUUAUGAAGGUCAAAGGGGAGCAAAUAAAGCAGGAGAAAACAAAGAAGCUUACCAAAGUAAAAACUGGAAACCAAGAAGCAAAAAUAAAGAUUUUGAGUAAUCUAUAAUUUCGGAAGGCCCCGCCGUAACUACCACUGAAAAUAGCUUCAUGAAUUGAAGAAGGGGAACAUCGAACUUAGCAGCCAUGUUAUCUUAAUUUAUCAAAGAUGUAUGAACAAGAAUUAAAACGAAAUCAUAUUAGAGAUAAUUGCUUUACGAUUCAACAACUUAUUCUUAAUAUGAGAACGAGUAAAACAAGAACAGCCUGAAUUGACCAAGCAAGAAAUAGUUCCAGCCCAUGGAUAUUAAAUUCUAAUGGAAAUUAAAUUUUUAUAUAUUUUGUCCAACUAAACAAUGGAAAUAAAGAUUGAAUUUAAAUUAUUUUCCUCUCCUUCAAUCUCUCCUCCCAUCCAAACACCACGUAAAUGUUAGCUAUUUCAACUUACAAUCCACAUGUGUCAUGAUGUGUGCGUGUUGGAAUGGUCUAGUAACAUUCAUCAGAUAAUCAUAUGAAAUAAAAUGGAUAAAUAAAAGCUAUUAGAGAGAAGGACUUACAAAUUUAUUUUUUUUGAAGAGAAAAGAACAAAAAUAGUUUUUAUUAAAAAAAUACAAAAUAGAGAAAAUGAUGCAUUUCUUUUGUUCUCCUAAUUGGCCAUCUUUAAAAAAAUCUGUUUAGUUAGAAAAAAAUAAUUUUUUUAAAGUAAAAUAAACAUAAUAUUUUUUUUAAAACAAGCAAACACACAAAAGCAUGUUAUAUGAGCUAUCCCCUCCCCUUCACCAGAUCAAGGCAUUGUCCUCAAUGUCUAAAGAAAAAGAGAUAAAGUUUACAGGGCUGCACCUGAUAAUGUGAAAGGAACAUCAUCAAAAGACCAUAGUAAUGAUUUAUAUCCAAUGGCCUAAUAGGUUGUUGGUGGAUGUUCAGUUGUGCCCAUGAUGCAAUUGUGAAAAUUUCUUCUAAGAUGCCUAGUCCACUUGGUAAAGCAAUAAAAGCAUCAACAUGUUCAAUCUUUACAAUGAGACAUUCAUGUAUACAUAUAACAAUGAGAUCUUCUCCAUUUGUUUUCCCGAUGAUAUUUCCUCUAGUUUAAGGUUUUUGGGACUAUACACAAAACUUGACUUCCUUUAGUGUUUGCAGCUAGCGAGAUGGUAUGUGAAAUCUCUAAUGCUAUGGGUGUCAAUGUGUAAGUGUACACGAUAAGUAAUAUACUGAUGAGUAUUCAAAUUGUCUCAACAGGGAUUGAUGUUAUCAAAUUUGCUACAGUAAUCUUAACAGUGUAGUUUUGUUUUAAAUGAAAAUAAAGCAACUAAUGAAACUAACAAACGAAUCAAAGUAAAAAUGCAGUAAAUAAAAUAAAAUAAAGGAAAUUCUCACGUCAAAUAUAAGGAUGUAACCAAUGGGAAUUGAGUAGUUGAGUGCAUAAACUCACUUAAUAGCAUUAACUAUUUUUUCAAUUAUAGUACCAUUGGUACAGCAUCUACUACAGCGCUGGGCAGAAUCCCUCAUUCAUCCUCAGUUGUCGCAUGUUUGAUAUCUUAUAUCUAAUGCAACCUAACAGUGACCAAUUGUUACGCCAAUAUUAAAUAUACCAUUAAACGAUCUAGGUUCUGUUUACCCUACAAGAUGAAUACAUAUAUCUAAUUCAUCACUAAUUUUAGAUCAAGCAUGACCUUAUUCAAAUUGAGAUUAACUCAACUUGAAAAACCCAAUCUAAAACCAAGUAUUAUCUUAAUGAGAUCCACUGAAUCAGACGUUUUUUAGACUCUUUCUUAGCUAGUAUCUUUAAAUGGGUGGUCAGUCGAAAUAGAGAAUAAAAUAAAUACAAAUAAGACAAAAUGUUAUAGCAAACACAGAGCAACAUGCGUAUAUCAGUCAAACAUCCAUUAAGUUCGUUUAUUACUCAACUACAAUCAAAUUCAGUUCAUGAUUUGCGAUAGAAAAAUAAACAAAAGAGUUUCAGCCAUCAAAUAGAUCCCCAUGAAUAAAUAGAAAACAAGAAAAUAAGAAGAAUGGCUAAUUUCUAUUUUAUUUCUGCAGUUUCUCCUCUGUCGGCCUUCAAUCUCUCUCUUGAAUUUUGUUUUCUUGUUGUUUCUUUGCGAUUUUUUCUCCUUGGGUGAUGGCUUUCCCUUUUUCUCUGUGUGUGUGCUCAUUUAAUAGCUUAAAAUUCAGGAAACUAUAAGUCUAGAGCACGCAUAUUCCAGUUUUGGAAACUCCAUAUCGCAAUCUUCUAAGUAUCUCGCGCGAAAUUUUCUCUAUCAAUGCUUCAAGAUUGCUAUAGCAAAAGUGCUACAGCAACGGUUACUACAUGUUACUUAAAAUUUAAGCUUCCGAACACCUACAAUUAUGCAUAUGAUCUAAGCACAAAUUAAUCUAAAACAAACUAAAUUUAUUAAAAAUAAACAAAAACUGAUGUUCAUACAAAAUAUAACUAAAAUGCUAUAAAAACAUGUCAUUUACUCUCUAAAUAAUUUUGAUUUAAGUCUAAAAGUACCAUGAUAACUCCAUUUCAUAAAGUUAUCAUGAGACAACCCUUAUUAAUCUAAAAUCACCAUCUCCACAUAUUAAAUGUAUUUUUCUCAUAGACAAUAUCCCCUCGAGGUCUUUGACAGCCUCAACGAAAUUUAGAGUAUGUCCAAAAGUUGAUCCAGAGAAUAGAAAAAUAUUUUUAAGUUGUCAAAAUGGAAUUACUGGCAUUAUGAUUUUCUUUCUGUUAAAAAUUAUAUAUGUAUUUACAAAUCCAGGAAAGGCAAUCCAUUAAUGAUAAUAAAUUCGGAGGUUGGCAAUUGUUAAACAGAGUGUCAGAAAUAGUUAAAAUGAUAAUCAGUUAAAUGCUAUAGGAAAUUUCAAAUAAAUAAGUUAAUAAAGUUAGAGCAAAGUAAUAAUAGAAAAUGAAAAUGAUAUGUACUGAUAGUUGUGAUUGUGGCUCACGACUUCUUUUAGUUUUACAUCCAUUAAUGGCUUGAAUGCUUUCUAUGGAUCGGGGAUAGGAUUCCCAACCAAUUUUCUUAUAAAUUAGUGGUGGGUUAUUUCUAUUACUAUGGGUGUUAAUGUAUAAGUGUACACAACAAGUAAUGUAUCAAUGUACAAGCCAAGUAGCCACACCAGAAUUCACCUCAGCAGGUACAUUUUGAACAAUAGCCGCAUUCUCAACAAAAGGCAUCGUUUUAGUGGUAGGUUCUGAUCGUAUUGGUAGCAUGUACACAACAAGUAAUGUAUCAAUGUACAAGUGUACACAACAAGUAAUAUACUGAUAAGUAUUUAGAUCGUCUCCACAAGGAUUGAUGGUAUCAGAUUUGCUACAAUAAUCUUAACAGUGCAGUUUAAUUCCAAAUUAAAAUAUGACAAUUUAUGAAACUAAUAAACUAAUUAAAAAUGCAAUAAAGAAAAUUCUCACGUCAAACACAAGGAUAUAACUAAUGGGAAUAGAGUAGUUGAGUGAUUAAACUCACUUAAUAGCGUUGAUUGCUCCUCUAAUUAAAACCCUAUUGCUACAACAUCUAUUACAGCACUGGGCAAAAUCCCUUAUGCAUCCUCAGAUGUCGUCUGUUGGAUAUCUUAUAUUUAAAUGUAAUGUAACAGUGAUCAAUUGUUAUGCUAACAUUAGAUAUAGCAUUAAAUGUUCUAGGUUUCAUUUACCCUACAAGGUCAAUCCCCACGUCCAGUUCUUCAUUAAUUUUAUAUUAAGCAUUACCCUAUUCAAAUUGAGAUUCACUCAACUUGGGAAACCCAAUCUAAAACCCAGUAUUGUCUUAAUUUGUUCCACUAAGUUGGCCAUUUUCAAGGCUCUUUAUUAGCUAGUAUCCAUUAAAUGUGUGAUCAGCCAAAAUAGAGAAUUGAAAUAAAUACAAUUAAGACAAAAUGUUAUAACAAAUACAAAGCAACACACAUAUGUCAGUCAAACAGAUCGUUUAUCACUCAACCACAACAAAUUCAAUUCGUGAUUUGCGAUAGAACAGUAAAUAAAAUUGUUUCAGCGAUCAAAUACAUCCCUAUAAUUAAAUAGACAACAAGAAGAUAAGAAGAAGAACUGAAGUAUGCUCGAUCUUAGUGAUAUCUUCUUUAGUUCCUCUUUGAAUAUUCUAUUACAUCCUUUGAUUUAUCUCUUAAUGUUUUGUUUUCUUAUUGUUUCUUUUCAGUAUUCCCCUUAGGUGAUGGCUCUUUACUUUUUUUCUUUUCAUGUGUGCUCAUUUUAUAACUUAGAAUUAAGGCAACUGAAAGUGUGUGACGCGUAUCCUCCAUUUUUAGAAACUUUAUAUCGCAAUAUUUUAGUUAUUGCGCAUGAAAUCCAGUCUGUCAUUGCUCCAGGAUUGCUACAGCAACUGCUAUAGCAUCUUCAGUGUUCCAGACUUAUUUCAAUUCCUCUGCAGUCAAGAUAUUUUGUCACUUUUGCAAGUCUGUUGCAGCAAUAUUUCAUCCCUAAAACUUGAGCUUUUCGGUCACCUACAAUUAUGCACAUAAUCUAAGCAAAAAAUAAUCUAAAAAAACUCAAUUUAUUAAAAAUAAAUUAAAAUGGAUGCUUAUGCCAAAUGUAACUAAUAUGCCAUAGAAAUACAUCAUUUACUUUCUAAGUAAUAUUGAUUUAAGUCUAAAAGUAUCAUGAUAACUUUCAAUUCAUAAAGUUAUCAAUUAGCAAAUUGAGUAAUUUGAAAUUGGCUUCCUAAGACUAAAUUGUUUACCUUCUUUUAGGAAUUAUCUCUAUAAAUUGUGAAUCUCGCGUUGCACAUAGUCACUUGGAUGCAUCUUAAGAGAUCGCAAGAUAUCAUCUAAUGCUUGUUUACAUGGACCAUCCUUAAUGAAUUUAAUUUAUCUUCACGAUUUUAAAAACCAUUCCUAAAGUUGUACAAUACGCUUCACAAGAAAGUCUUUCACAUUUAUGAUAUUUAGAGCCAAUUCGUUUAGCUCUUCUUUUUUUAGCAAAUGAUAUCAUAUAAGUCCAAUGAACCAAUUAACACAUACAAUCCAUUCUUCUUUUCACCUUUCAUCACAAUAGAACCCUCCUUAGUCACUUUUAUGCCAUCACUAUCUAACUUGAAUGAAUAUCUAGAGUUGUCCAACAUGCCUAAAGAGAUUAAAUUUCCCUUUAACUCAGGAGCAUGUCUAAGCCUAUGUAAAGUUCUGAUGAUCCCAUCAAAUAUUUUAAUCUUGACAAACCUUAUUCCAACAAUUUAACACUUAUUGGUGUUUCCCACAAAAACUCUACCACCAUCAAUAAACUCAUAUUGAUGAAAAAGUGACUUAUUAGGCAUAUGUGUAAAGAACAACCCAAGUUUAAUACCCACUGACCUUCUAAGUUGCCUUUUGAGGUUAUAAAUAGAUCAGCACUAUAAUAACCAUCAUCAAAUGAGAUAUUUAAAGCCACAGCCACACCUCAUAACCUUUAUUGACUUUCCUUCUUUUUUUUCUAUGCACUCUCUAUGAUGUAAUGCAUUUGUUUCCUACAAAAAAAGCAUUUCCUCUUGUUUUUCUUCUUUUUGCAUUCUCAUGGUUCUUUCCUUACCCCUUUCUUUGAUUAUUGUUCUACUGUUCCUUCUUCUUUCGGUUCUGGCAAUCAGCCCUUCACCAUUACUUACUUCAUGGCCAUCAUGCUUUUCAAUCUCUUUUGAGCUUAGUGAUGUCGUGACAUCUUCCAAAGUCAAGGUUUUCUUCUAUACAACAUUGUAUCCACAAAACCUUCAUAUGAUUGUGGCAAUGAACUUAAAAAGAAAAUGAUUUUGUCUUCAUCUCUAAAUCUUCACAUUUUCAACCUCUUCAAGAUCAAGAAUGAUCUUGUUGAAAGUGUCAAUGUGUUCUUAAAUAGACACCCCUUAUAUCAUUGAAAAAGUGUACAACUAUUUCUUCAAGAAUAACUUGUGAGCCAAAGAUUUCUUUAUACAAAGGCCUCCACCUUAUUCUAUAUCCCAAGGUAUGUUUUUAUUUAGAGAUUGCCCUCAAGAUUGAGUCACUAAGACUCAAAAUUAGGGUUUUGAAGGCUCUAUUUUAAAUAUGUUUCUUCUUUUCAUCAGGUUUAAAGCUUGUUGGCUUAUCAGGAUCUUCUUCUUCUAAGACGGAUUCAAGGCCCUGAUGCACAAGUAGAGCCCUCAUAUUCAUCUUCCAAAGUGAGAAAUCACCACUGAGCUUCGCAAUUUCUAGUUUUAAAAGUGACAUGGUCAAGGUUCACUAAGUCUCUGAUACCAAUUAUUGUAAUUAAUGGUUAACAAUCAAGAACUCAACCAAACUUUCGAGCUUUAAUCAAACAAGAUUAAUUGAAAUCAAGAUUGAAGAAAAACAUAGCAAGAACAAAGAAAUAGAACUGGAUCACAAAGAACAAGAAAAUACAUCCACAAAUUUUUAUAAUUUAUUUCAUUAUUUCCAGCAAUUAAAAUUUAAAAAAAUCCUAACAAUUUAAAUAUAUAAAACACAUCUAGAAAUUGUCAUAAAUUUAAUCCAUUUUCAGCAAUUAAAAUAAAAAAAAUCCUAACAAUUUAAAUAUAUAAAACACAUCCAGAAAUUGUCAUAAAUUUAAUCCAUUACUUUCUAACAAUUUAAAUUAAAAAAUCCUAACAAUUUAAAUGUAAAAACGCAUCAAAUUUUUGUACAAAUUUAAUACAUUACUUUUUAUCAAUUCAAACUAAAAAAAAAUCAUAACAAUUCAUAACAAUUUAAACAUAUAAAACGCACGCAUCCAAGAAUUUUUACAAAUUUAAUCCUUCACUUUCUAACAAUUUAAACUGAAAAGAAAAAAUCUAACAAUUUAAAUAUAAACAACAGAACCAAAAGCUAAUUUUAUUUUAAUGUAAUGGGAAAGUGAAAGUUACCAAUUAUCCGGCUAAAAUUUCAUCAACGUUGUUGGUGUAGUCUUUGGCACCAAAUUCAUAUCUCUGAAUGCAGAUCUCCAGAUAAUAGCCGCUAGUUUUACUUCAAUUUUCUUCUGUUAAUGCAAAUGCAUAUCUGAGUUGGUUUGGUUUGGCUUCUUUGUCGGGUUUGAGGGAUAAUGGCAAUUUUAGUUUUUUGUCAUUACUUUCUUAUUUUGCCAUUUUCUUUUCGUUACUUUUGGUUUCCUUUUCAUUAUUUUAAUGUUUUCUUUUUAUUAUUUUAAUUUUAAAUGAAAAAAGCAACAAACAAAGGGACCCACAAAAAUGGCAGCAGGCAUUGCCGUUUUUGUCGUCCCUUUAUCGUCUGUUUGUUUAUUUAGCACUACUCUAAGGUAGUGUUUACUUGCUGAAGUGGGAGUGAGGAGUCUGGAUUCCUCCCACUCCAGUGUUUACUUACUAAUUUUAAGAGGGGAGUGGGAAUCCCACUCCGUGGGACUCACUUUUUUUUGGAGUGGGGAGUGGGAUUCUCACUCCCAUGGGGGGAGGUGGGAGUGAGAAUCCAGUCCCCUCUCUUCCAUUUUUAUCCUUACAUUUAAUCAAAUAAAAUAAUAUCAUAUUUAUUUAAAUAAUAUUAUUAUAUUAUUUUAUAAAUUAUACUUAUUAAAAAUAAUAAUUUAUAUUGAUUCUAAGUUAAAAUUACUUAAAAAUAAUAUUAUUAUACUCAUAAAGAAUUAAUAAUAUUACUAUAUACUUUUUUAUUUGAAAAUAUAAUAUUAUUAUAUUUAUUUAAAAAUCAUAGUAUUAUAUUUAUUUAAAAAUCAUAGUAUUAUAUUUAUUUAAUAUUAGUAAUUAAUAAUAAUAAUAUUUUAUUCUAAGAAAAUAUUAUUUUUGUAUUAUAUUAUUAAUAAUAAUGUUUCAUUUGUGUUGCUCUUAAUAAUAAUUUUUUAUUUACACAAUUAAAAUUAAUAAAAAAAUUAUUUACAUAAGUAAGAAUAUUAAUAAUUAUUAUUAUUUUACAAAUAUAAUAAAAUAAAUAUUUUAUUUUUCAAAUCUAUUUUUUAUUAAUUUUGUAACUAAAAACUAUAAUUCUUUAAAUAAUGAUAAAACUGUAAUUUAAAAUCAUUUAAUCUCAAUUCCAUGCUUUCAUUCCUGUUAGGGGUGGGCAAAAUCGGGUUCGGGUCAACCCGAUCGGGUAUCGGGUUAUUCGGGUUGGGCGAAUAUUGAUCUGAAUACAACCCUAACUUACAACCCAACCCGACCCGACCCGAUCCGAUCCGAUAUAUGUUCGGAUCAGUUCGGAUCGGGUUAAAAAAUCGGGUUGAUUUCGGGUCUUGGAACAAUAGAAUGCAGUUCGGGUCGAAUCUUAGAGCAGCAUAAUGCAGAUCGGGUUUUGGAGCAGCAGCAAAAUGCAGAUCGGAUUCGGGUCUUGGAGCAGCAGCAAAAUGCAUAUCGGAUUCGGGUCUUGGAGCAACAAAAUUCAGAUUGGGGCGGUGGCACUUGGCACUUGGAUGCAAAUCAGUGGCCACGGACGUGCAGCAGCAGACGGGAUGACGCACACUCACGCAGCAGCAGACGGGAUGAUGAACACUCGCUCAGCAGCAGCAAUCACGGACCAGCGAACUUGCAGCAACACCGAGCAGCAGUGAGCACAUAGGCGGACGCUUCUUGAGGUGUGGACUCCGUUGGCGACUUGCUGUUGGCCAUUGGGUGCAGUCCGUGGAUGUGUUUUGUGCGCAACAGCAGCCUUGUGUUUGUGUGUUUGUGCUGUGAGUGAAUCUGUGAUUUGUGUUGUGUUUGUGUGACUGUGUGUGCAGCAGCGUAUGUGUGUGUGGUUGUGUGCUGUGUGCAGUGUUAGCUUAGGUUUUUUUUUUUUUUUUUGGGAACCCGAUCGGGUAUUUGGAUCGGGUCGGGUUUGACCCGAACCGAUCACAACCCGAUCGGGUUUGUAAAUUUCAAUCCGAUCGGGUUUCAAUCCCGACCCGAACCGACCCGAACUCGAAAUUUAUCGGGUCGGGUCGGGUCGAAUCGGGUAAAAUGCCCACCCCUAAUUCCUGUUUAAGUAAACAACUUACUUCCACUCCCACUCCCACUCCACACUCCUAAUCCCAGAAUUCUCACUCCUCAUGAUUUCUAUUCCAAUCUAAAAUGUAAACGCAGCAUAAAUUUUAAUAGAGAGAAAUAUCGCAACCAACUCUGACUAGUGGUGCAAUUCGACAUAUAUACUACAACUCAUUUUUCCUUUUCACCAAAUGAGACAAACUAAUUUUCUAUGUUUAUUUUUUCCUUUCCAACCGUUGACAUGUGCUCACGACUAAAUUUUGAUUAUAGCUUUCAUUGCUAACCAUACUCAAAGUUCAGCUUUGGUGAGGGCCAAUUAUGGGAGUUUUCCAAAUAUAGUGUCAAAAUCAAAAGGAACAAACCAUAAAAAUGAAUGAUGUGGGAAAUAUUUGGUCAACACAAUUUUAUAAGACGAUGUAUGAAAUUUUAGCAAUAUCAGUAUGAUUCAAACGGCUCUAAGUUCGGUUUUGGUGAGGAGCAAUUUUUAGAGUCUUUCAAAUUUAAGUGAAUCUACAAAAUCGAACGAGAAAGCUAAUUCAAUAAAGUGUUUAGUGAUUUGAAUUCUUCCCCAUAGUAUUCUUAUUUUCCCCUUUCUGAAACCCUAAUUACACUAAUUUUUCCCUUUUUUUUUUUUGACACCUAAAAUAUGCGCUCAUCACUUUUCUUUUCCCUAUCUAAAAUUCAUUGUCCAUUACCUCAUUCUUUAAGAACUUUUUUUACAGGUUGCCCGCCUUUUGUUUAGAAUAAUUAUUUAACCAUUGUAUUUGUACCUUAUUUUACAUUAAAUUUGUUUCCAUCCGUUGGAUUUGAGAAAUGGCAAAUCCAAGAUCCAUAUCGUCAGGCUAUUUAUUUCUGCACUUGUAACAUAGGCGCUGCCAAAAUAAUCUCUCUUACACCUUAGUAAUUUGGUCAUUUCAAACUAGACAGGUUGUUAAUCAAGGACUAAUUUGAUAUAAAUAAAUAUAUUAUGUUAUUAUUUAAAAGAAAUAAAAAGGUAGGGAUGUAAAUGUUAUUAUACAUUCAGUUAUUAGCAAUAAUCCCCUCUGACUAGCGAUUUUCUUUCUAUUUUUAUUUUUUUAAUUGAAGCAAUUUACAAAUAUUUUAAAGUAUUAAAUACAACUUAGAAUUCUAUAUAGUUCAAAAAUCACCACAACUAGUGUCUAGCCAUCUAUUCCUGUGUUUAGGAUUAUAUAUACUCUUUUCCAUAAUUGUGAAAGAGAAAAUAAAUUGUGAAGUCCCCACAUCUUAUAUUGAGGAAGGUUUCUACCCUUUCUCACAAUAAGCCCACUUUACAGGGUCCAAUUACCCCAGGCUACAGCCUCGGUGCUAUUUCUAUUUUUGAACUAAUUUAUUUAUAAAGUUUUAGUCUUUAAAAAUAUAUGUUAAAAACAUAUAUAUAAGUUAUUAAAGAAAUAGCAGUGAUAUAACCACAAAUAAUUUUAUAAAUUAUGACAAAAAUAGAAAAAAAAAAGGAUAAAAUAGACUCAAUUUCAAGUUAUAAUGUAUUUAAUAGGGGUGGGCAAUUUCGGAUUUGGAUCGGAUUCGGAUAUAAUGUAUUUAAUAGGGGUGGGCAAUUUCGGAUUUGGAUUAGAUUCGGAUGAAUCCGAUCGGAUUUCGGAUGAAUCCGAUCGAAUUUCAGAUAAUUCGGAUUGAAAAAAAAUUCAUCCGAAUUCAAUUCGACUUUAAAUCCGAUCCGAAUAAUUCAGAUCGGAUGAAAAUUUCAGAUUACUCGGAUUCGGAUCGGAUCGGAUGAGUUUAGUUUUUGGAUUAUAUUUCGGAUUCGGAUUAUAUUUUGGAUUCAGAUUGAAAUCGGAUUUGGACAUUUUUAACAAUUCUCACAAAAAAAUUAUGAAAUAUAUAAUUAAUGAAAACUUACUAACCAUUAAAAAAAAAAACCAAAACAAAUUGACAAAUGACAAUGUAUUAUUUCCUUGACAAUAUGGCAUUGACAUAUACCAAGAAAACAAGCCGAUACAAAGUUUCCAUUCACAAAAAUAAAAAAAAUAUAAUCCAUUAAAAUGAAAAACAUUUAAAUAAUCAAAUCUAAUAAUCUAUAAUCAACGACCCAUUUAUAUUCUCAUAUGCAUUCAUUUUGUACAAACACUCCCAUUUAAUUUAAUUAGUAAUCCUCUUACAAGCUAGGUGCAUAAACAUUACUCCAAGUCCAAGCCUGCAAAUAAGCAACACAAAAUAAACAUUGCUCCAAGCCUCCAACUCUCCAAAGUCCAAAUGAAUAACACAAAAUAAACUUUGCUCCAACUCCAAUCUCCAAGUAAACAACACAAAAUAAACAUUACUCCAAGUCUCCAAACAAACAACACAAAAUAAACAAUCAACUAUUACUCAAAGCCUCCAAAUAAAUAAACAACACAAAAUCACAAAAUAAAUAUUAUCAUUAUAUCAUCCAACAAUAAAAUAAACCAAAAUAAAAAUUAUCAUCCAAAAACAUUUAGUCAUUUAGCUUAUUUUUUUAAUUUUCAGUUUUUUUUUGUUUACAGUGCAAAUCCGAUCGGAUGAUUCGGAUUGAUCCAAAUCCGAUCCGAUCCGAACCAAAUCCGAUCGGAUCCCACAAAUUUCAUCCAAUCGGAUUUGCCUUCAAAUCCGAAUCGGAUGCCCACCCCUAGCAUUUAAGUUGGAUACGGUGGUUGAAGAUGUAGUUGCCAUUGUACAUACAAGAUAAGAUAUUGCUUUAUCGAAGCGGUUCGAAAAAUACAAGCCUGAAAAUAAUUGUUUUAUAGGAAAAAUAGAAGAUCUUAUUCAAUCAUACUCUGAAUUACACAAUAACAAAUUUUUUCUUAAUAAAUCCACUCAUUAAAUUAAACUCAUAUAGAAAGGUUGUAAAAAGAUCCCAAACUAAUUAAAAUUUUUAAAAAUUACCCUACAUCAAAUUUUUUUUUUUGUACCAUAAAACAAAACGGAGUCCGCCUAUGUUACCACUGUGGUAAGGUACCAUACUUUUUGUCUCCAUCCUAAAUUGCCGUUGGAUGUAAACUGAAUGAAUCUAACGGUCGAAAAAGAAAAAUGGGUAAAGGCCUACUGCCGGUUGUUGAAAGAUAAUUUAAUAAUUAAACAAAGGAAAAAAAUAUUAAAUAAGCGUCCACCAGAGGCCUUCAUCAAAAGAUUUUUCACACCCCAGGAAGGAAUUAAGAUCAUCAAAAUCGUUUCCUCCCCUAGAAAAUCUGAUAAUUGAAUUCUUUUUCACCCCCAGAAAUGACGAUCAAUUUCCCCUAGAAAUUGCUAUUGUGAAGUUUAAAGUUUUGGUAUCUCUCAAUAAAGGCAGAAACGAUGCAGGUAAAAUUCACGGCGGAUACAUGACAACGAGAACCAACUGGAAAAGAUAUUGGGUGGUUGUGGAAAUUUAGCAAUUAGACACAUCAAUUUGCCUUAGAACAGAGUCAAUUUCUCACGUGCACUUGAUCUAUUGUUGUGCCGCUGGAACGGAGGCAGCAGGUAAUUAAAAAGAAAAAAAUUGUUUAUUUUUGUUUGCAACAGUAUGGCAAUGGUAAUUUGCUUAGGAGUGUCGGUCAUGUUUAUUUGUUAGAAUAAGUGAAGGCGAGAUUAGUAACAAGUACUGCUUGUUUAAUUUGAUUGCAAUAAGCACUACGUUGAAGGAGCGAGCGAGAGGGAAAUAAUUCCUUGGAGAAGAUAUUGUAGAAUGAUUGGGCUAUUAUCUUGCAAUCAACUGUGCAGGUACAUAUUUCUUUCUUUUUGUAAUGGUUAAAUGUAACCAUAUCGGUGAUUCAAUUAACCUUGCUUGGUUAUUAUUUUUAUUUUGUUUUGUUUUUUGUGUUAUCUGCUGGUGGCCAAUUAUAUAUGGAUGACAUUGGGGUUAUGAAUUGUUAAUUUAGUUUUGUGAAUAGGGUGCACGUAGCUGAGGAAAAAAAUGAGUUGCUUGGCUAUAAAAGCAAGCAUGUUCUUGCGCUUUGGGAAUGUACCCCCUUGAAAUGCUUUGUAUACUUGGUAUAAUAGGCUAUAUAUCUGUUGCAGAAAAUGAAUAAAUUUUCAUGUUGACCAUGUUCUUUAUGGGCCAUGAUUUGAUGUUCAUGAUUGUUUUAUAUUGUAGGACUGCUCAAUGGGGUUCUAUUAAGAGAAGGUCAGGCUCUACCAGGUAGUCACCUUAUGGCUCAACAUUUUUUUCAUAAUGUUCCCAUCACAUGAGUCUAUUUGGACAAGUUCUGCCUGUUCAACAUGUAGUGUCUCCGAAGUCUAUCUUACUGUUUGUGUGUGAGGUGUUGCCAUCUCCAUUAGUAGCAAGGAGCCAAGGACAGGGCUGUUUGCAGGUGUUCUUAAAUUAAGCAUGCAUUUGGAACAUGUAAAAUAGAGUGCCUUUCUCAUGGCAUGCAGAGGAAAACACCCAUGAGAAGAAUUUAGCAGUAAACAUAUUAUAAAGGGCAUCUGAUUUUGUUCUUGGAUGAUGAUAUGGUUCUCAGCUGUUUUUAUGAUUAUAUUCAUAAUAGUCUUAAUUCAUUUUUGAGUUUCUCUUUUUGUCUUCAAAAUGCUUAGAAAGUUUUAUCUUUUGAAGCCUUAAUUGCUUCCUGAUUUGAUGUGUAUACAUACUCCUGGAAUUAACGAACUUUCAGGGCAAGGAUCCUUGACAAUCUCAGGAGCACAACAUUUGGAUUUAGUCCAAGAGUUAGAUACUGUAACCAGGUCCUGCGUGGCUGGACAAUGUGUUGAAAACUUGCACAAUAACAUGGAGAUUGAGGUGAUCACUGAUAUGAAAAGUUUAAUUUUCAUCGAGUUACUUGUUUAAUUUCUUUAACUUUUAUAUUAAUUUUUAGUUACGUUUUAAUUGCACCAACUUCCAAUGAAUUUAAGGAACAAAUUUUGUAGGAGUCGAUGCUACGGCAGAAGCAUUGUGAACCGAUUAAAAAUUUGCCAGCCAUUACUAUUUGUGAUCGAAAAUGUUGUUCUUUUGUCAAUCAAGAGUUGCCAUUUAUUAAAAUAUGUCCUGAAAGAGGACGUUAUCGGGUUGGACCAUUUCUUAUGCCUAGCCCUUUUGGUAUUGAAGAGGAAAGUUUGAUUAACUUCUGCAUGGAUGAUGAUCUAAAAAAAGGGUAAGAUUAAUUUGAUAUUGUUAAAGUAAUACAGUUAUGUGCAUUAAUUAAUAUGAACAAUAAUUUCGAGAUUGAAAUACAUACAAUUCUUACUUGUUGAUCGAUUCUGUGGAUGUAUUGAAAGAAACUUCAUAAAUGAUGGUAUUUCUGUGGCAGGGAGAUGCUUUUCCAAACUAACUUCUAUGGGAUUACUAGGAAUGAUAUCAUGUCGCUGUCUCCCAGAAGUAUAAUCAAUAUGAAGGUACAAUCGUAACUUCUAUUAAAACUUGUAUGUCCGGCAAUAUUAUAUAUCGACAGCUUGGCCACUUUAAAUAUAGAGGCAUAUUGUAUUUUUGACUUUGGUAUUUCAAUAAUUAACUUCAUAUGUGCUGUCGAGAAGUCAUAAACAUUUAAAUUUCAGGUUGUGUCAGCUGUAUCGGAAUUGCUAUCUGCUCAAACAACUGUAAACGUCGGACAAAGUAAAUUCAACCUUUUUCUGCCUGCUUAUAACACUGUAAGCAAUAUAUUUUAUAAUAUGGCGUUGAUCUUUUGUGUUUAGAAUAGGUUAAAAUACAAGUUGGUGUGUGCUGCACUGUGAUGUAUUUGUUUAAGUGCAAAUGUUGGUGUAUAAAUAUAUCUUUAUCAUUGUAUUUACAAGUUGAGAUGAAACUUGAUUUUGUCAAAUAUGUGGCAUGGUCAAUGUUUGUACUGGAUAGAAGUUUCGGUUGCCAUGUGAUGACACAAACAACCAUUAUGUCCUUUCAGUUGCAGGAUCAUGUUGGUGGCGAGUAGGGAGACGCAAGUGUUGCUGUUGGAAAGUUUAUACCCUCUGAUUUGUAGGCAAAGAAUAUUCGUUCUUGGGAAAAAGUAAGUGAAACCAUAUAAUGGUUUUACAAAAGCUAUGUUAAUAUAAACCUUCGUCAUGAAGUAAUUUUUUUUUUUUUUUUUUGUGGCAAUGCAUCAUGCGUUAUAGAUUUUUGUCCCUGUCAAUUGUGGUCAUGGAUGCUGGUACAUGUUGGUUCUAGUAAUUUCUGAAAUGCGAGUAGAGAUAUUGGACCCGCUUCCUACUUCAAUGUGUAUGCAUUAUAAUAUUGCAAUAUGUAAACGACUGGUACGUAUUCUGUGUUAAUUAUUUCAUCAAAUGACUACUAACUUUAUUUAAAAUAGUACACAAGUAAACUUGUUGUCUUGAAAUUUUUGAUGAGGCAAGGUCACGUUGUUUUGGUUUUCUUUGAACUUUUUCACCUAUUGUCUGUUAUUUUACAGCUAAGAUCAAUUGAGAUGAUGUUGGAUCAUGGCGGUUCAAAUGUUAACUCUAGUAGUUUAAAGUUGAUGGGUUUUUCGGUUGACUAUACCCGACAGCCUUGCAUAUGCAGUGAAUAAGAUUGUGCACUGUAUAUAAUUCUGAUGAUGGAGAGACAUAAUAUGAGGUCAACCCUUAAUGACGCAGAGGUUUAGUGAUUUUAUGUUACCCACAAGAACACAUGUAUCUAAUAAACUUUUUAUUUCACUUGGCAUUGAAACCUUGGGAUAACCUUCUAUUUAAGCUGUGUGUACAUUGUUUUUCUUGAUCAAUUCCAGUCGGAUGCCGAAAGAGCACGAAUUGUCAUCAAACUCAUCACGUGUAGUUUCAACUUUUUGAAGGAUAAGGUUCGCUCAAGUGCUGAGAUGCAUCAAAGGCGAAUCGAUGUUGCCGAACAUAAUGCAGGAGAAGCCAUUCAGAAAAGAAGGUUACAUCAGCUUCGAAGGUCCAGACGCAUGGGGCAUGGUCCCCGCCGUUAGUCACGUUUGCAAUAUAAUUUUUAAUAUAUAUGCAUGGAUGUCCCUUGAGACAACAGUACAUGCCAAGAUUUGGAAGGUGCACGUGAUAAGCUUGUUUUUUACUAGAGCAGAGACUUAGGUAUCUGAACUUAUUAUUUUGCUGGUCUGUUCAAACAUAGAUUAAGUAUUCCCUACUUUUAGUAAUAUCAAGAUUUAAGCAUCUACUGGUUCUCCAUGUAUAAGUGAAAAAAAAAAAUUUGAAUUAAAGUGGAAGAGGUGACCACUGAUAAUUUAUAAAAUACAUGCUGCUGCUAUAACUAAUAAAAUACCAAUUACGUGAAAAAGUCUAUUCAACAAGUAAAAUUGGUAUGUACUCUAUGGCCCAACUCCUUGAGCUCCAUUAUUUAUAAUUGGACUAAAUAACAAUCUUCACUAAAUUCAAUCUUCACGAUACCAAACAUCAUGGGAAUGCUUCUCACCGUUAGUUAAAUAGUUGCUAACGUGCAACUUCUGAAGGAAUCUUCAAGAACGUCUCCAUUCAGAUGAUGACCUGCCAGGGAAAUUACAACGAAAGUUUAAAUGAGGGCAGCUAGGAGGGAAAGAGCUCAAACAAAAUUAUUUUUUUCUUUUUUUUUCGUGGGAAGGAUUUUAUUGAAAAAUAAUGCAGCAACACCAUUACAUGAUUAACUAUAAAAACUAUCUUAUUCAUCUGUUUCUCCUCUGCUCUCCAUUUUCGAGCAGGAACAAUCUCAUAAAUCUCCUUGACAGCCUGCCAACCAUUCAGAAACAAAAAAUUUUGAAAUGAGACAGCAUUCAUCUAAUCAGCAGAGGCAACGCCAUUUAUUAGAAUAAAGAAAAAUUUGCAUUCAUCGGUGAUUAAUAGCGCCAAUAACCAAUGAUGAAGAAUUUUCAAUUAAAUCGGAGGCUCCUUCCAACUGAAAUUUGUUUACAUUAAGCUUAACUAAUAUGAUUACAAACUUGAUUUCUACAUAGAUUUUAGAUAGCUCUCCGUUGAUUCUAAGGUAGCUUCCCAUUAAUUUCGGUGAAGAUUUCUUAAUAAUCUUGGGAAUCCAGAUUGUAUUUCGAGAAUUUAUCAAACUUUUUACUUUGCUAUGAAACCAUCCGAAUCUAUCUAUACAUUAAUCGAGAGGUCCCUGAAUACCAUUAACCAUUUCACAAUAAAGCUAACAACAGGAUUAAAUAAAUUAUUGAAAUUGUUGCCAUUUCUUCUUCCAACUACUACAUGUCUUGUUGCCAGAUUUUAACAAUCCAUAAAAGAGAAACUCAAAAAUGAAUUAAGACUAUUAUGAAUAUAAUCAUAAAAACAGCUGAGAACCAUAUCAUCAUCCAAGAACAAAAUCAGAUGCCCUUUAUAAUAUGUUUACUGCUAAAUUCUUCUCAUGGAUGUUUUCCUCUGCAUGCCAUGAGAAAGGCACUCUAUUUUACAUGUUCCAAAUGCAUGCUUAAUUUAAGAACACCUGCAAACAGCCCUGUCCUUGGCUCCUUGCUACUAAUGGAGAGGGCAACACCUCACACACAAACAGUAAGAUAGACUUCGGAGACACUACAUGUUGAACAUGCAGAACUUGUCCAAACAGACUCAUGUGAUGGGAAAAUUAUGAAAAAAAUGUUGAGCCAUAAGGUGACUACCUGGUAGAGCCUGACCUUCUCUUAACAGAACCCCACUGAGCAGUCCUACAAUAUAAAACAAUCAUGAACAUCAAAUCAUGGCCCAUAAAGAACAUGGUCAACAUGAAAAUUUAUUCAUUUUCUGCAACAGAUAUAUAGCCUAUUAUACCAAGUAUACAAAGCAUUUCAAGGGGGUACAUUCCCAAAGCGCAAGAACAUGCUUGCUUUUAUAGCCAAGCAACUCAUUUUUUUCCUCAGCUACGUGCACCCCAUUCACAAAACUAAAUUAACAAUUCAUAACCCCAAUGUCAUCCAUAUAUAAUUGGCCACCAGCAGAUAAUACAAAAAACAAAACAAAAUAAAAAUAAUAACCAAGCAAGGUUAAUUGAAUCACCGAUAUGGUUACAUUUAACCAUUACAAAAAGAAAGAAAUAUGUACAUGCACAGUUGAUUGCAAGAUAAUAGCCCAAUCAUUCUACAAUAUCUUCUCCAAGGAAUUAUUUCCCUCUCGCUCGCUCCUUCAACGUAGUGCUUAUUGCAAUCAAAUUAAACAAGCAGUACUUGUUACUAAUCUCGCCUUCACUUAUUCUAACAAAUAAACAUGACCGACACUCCUAAGCAAAUUACCAUUGCCAUACUGUUGCAAACAAAAAUAAACAUUUUUUUUCUUUUUAAUUACAUGCUGCCUCCGUUCCAGCGGCACAACAAUAGAUUAAGUGCACGUGAGAAAUUGACUCUGUUCUAAGGCAAAUUGAUGUGUCUAAUUGCUAAAUUUCCAUAACCACCCAAUAUCUUUUCCAGUUGGUUCCCGUUGUCAUGUAUCCGCCGUGAAUUUUACCUGCAUCGUUUCUGCCUUUAUCGAGAGAUACCAAAACUUUAAACUUCACAAUAGCAAUUUCUAGGGGAAAUUGAUCGUCAUUUCUGGGGGUGAAAAAGAAUUCAAUUAUUAGAUUUUUUGGGGGAGGAAACGAUUUUGAUGAUCUUAAUUCCUUCCUGGGGUGUGAAAAAUCUUUUGAUGAAGGCCUCUGGUGGACGCUUAUUUAACAUUUUUUUUCCUUUGUUUAAUUAUUAAAUUAUCUUUCAACAACCGGCAAUAGGCCUUUACCAUUUUUCUUUUUCGACCGUUAGAUUCAUUCAGUUUACAUCCAACGGCAAUUUAAGAUGGAGACAAAAAGUAUGGUACCUUACCACAGUGUAACAUAGGCGGACCCAACAAGACGAUAGUCGCAAACUUAUUUUGUACUAGGAGUAAUGAUUAUGUACAAAAAUGGGCACAGAAAGGUCUUUGGCUCUACAGUCUACUCGGUGAUUCGUGAAAUACUGAAAUGCUUUCAAAGGGGGGCAAAAAGAAAAAAGAAAAAAGAAAAAAGAAAAUAGAAUAUAUUCUAAUUUUUUUAAUUAAAAAAAAAAAACCCUACUAUGUACUUUUAUAAUAACUCCCUCGAGUGCAAUGUCUCAAAGGUUGUCUUCUUCGUCCCGCUGACAACCCAAAAGGCAGAAACGCAAUGUCGUCGCAUUCGAUGGAGUCAUUGAUUCUCCAACUCCACGAGAUCUCGGCGGUUAAAUUCGGAAACUUUAAGCUAAAAUCCGGCAUAUCGUCUCCCGUUUACAUCGACCUACGACUUAUCGUUUCUUACCCUUCCCUCCUCCGCCAAAUAUCCAAAACCAUCAUCUCCUCCCUCCCCUCCACAACCAAAUACGACCUCGUGUGCGGCGUUCCGUACACCGCCCUCCCAAUCGCCACCUGCGUCUCCGUCUCCAACGACGUCCCCAUGCUCAUGCGGCGCAAGGAAAUCAAAGACUACGGCACCGCCAAGGCCAUCGAAGGCAAUUUCAAGAAGGAAGAAAUCUGUCUGAUCAUCGAAGAUUUAGUCACCAGCGGCGCGUCGGUCCUCGAAACGGCGGUGCCAUUGAGAGCGGCGGGGCUGGUGGUGACGGACGCCGUCGUAUUGAUCGACAGAGAGCAGGGAGGGAGGGAGAAUCUGAAGGAGAACGGAAUUGAGUUGCAUGCGAUGAUAAAGCUGAGCGAAAUGGUUAGGGUUUUGAGGGAGAAAGGGAAGCUUGAUGAGGAAACGGAGAGAGUGGUGAUGAAGUUUUUGGAGGAGAACAAGAAAGUGGCGGCUUCGAAUUUAGGUGGGGUUAGGGUUAGGGUUAAGGGUUUGAAAUACGAAGAGAGGGCGAAUUUGAUGAAGAAUGAGACUGGGAGAAAAUUGUUUCAAGUGAUGGUGAAGAAGGAGAGUAAUUUGUGUUUGGCUGCUGAUGUUGCCACUGCUGCUGAGUUGCUUCAAAUUGCCGAGAAGGUUUCUUGUUUUAAGUUAUUCAAUUUUCAAUUUUUGUGCUUUAAACUGUAGGUACAAAUACUUACAGCAGAGUGUACAGCUACUUCACAGCAUAAAUUCUGUUGUGAAAUUAAUUCUUUUUUUUUAAUUUCUGUUUUAUAAAUUUCUUUUCCCUGAAAAUUGAGUUCAUUCCUUUCAUCCCCAUUAUUAGAAAUUAGAAACAUCCUAGGCUAGGUCUUGGACACGCGGCACACAUGUGGGUCAUGGCAGCCGCUGCUGGGCCUGAAGUUUAGGCCCAAUCUAUUAAUGGUUUUGUUGCUGGCAAUACCAUUUGUACAUUUUUUUUUUUUUUUGGGUUUGACCUUUGCCACCGAAAAAAUAAAAGAUGUUGAAUAUAUUAGAGUACUUUACUCUGCCUACUGCCUGUUGCCUGUGGUUUGGUUGUUGAUUUUGUGACAUUUGGAUGUAAUAAUGUAUAAGAAUGUCCAAUAUGAUCAUUCUGGAUUAUCUUUUAGAGUGCCAUUUGUUCUUUUGUAGUAGUUCAAUUUUUUCUCACGCAAUUUAAGGGAAAAAGAGGGAAAAAAAAAGAGGUAUAUGCAUAGGUGAUAAUAUUACUUAACUAAUUUAAUAUUGUUUUGUUAAUCAUUAAUAUUUCCUGAAUGAUUUACAUUCAUGUUUUUCACAGGGUUCAUGAUAGCACUGCACAUAAUACGAUGCUUUAUUCAUCUGAUUUUCAUAAGAAAGAUAGUUUGUUUGUUUUUUCUUCUCUCUAAUUCUCAUUUGAGAUUUUCAGGUUGGACCAGAGAUCUGCUUGUUGAAAACCCAUGUCGAUAUAUUGCCUGAUUUCACCCCAGAUUUUGGUUCCAAACUUCGUGCGGUAUAGCUCCUCAACCCAUUUUCUAGGGAAAUAAACUCUACUAUAUUCUGAUUUUGUGGAUUCUUAUGAAAUGUUAAUUAAGCAAUACUAGUUAUAGCUAAAAAAUUUUCAACUCUUGAAGAUUGCAGAAAAGCAUAACUUCCUAAUUUUUGAAGAUCGCAAGUUUGCGGACAUUGGUAACACUGUGACCAUGCAGGCUGAAGGGUAAGACUCUGCGCUUCUAUAUUUCUUAAUUUCUUUGUUCUUUGUGUCCUUGCUUCCUCUUGAGGGUUCCUGUCUCUGUGUCUGCAGUGGUAUAUUUUGUAUAUUGGAUUGGGCCGAUAUAAUAAAUGCUCACAUAAUCUCUGGACCGGGAAUUGUGGAUGGUCUGAAAUUAAAGGUUAGAAUCAACUAUUUGGUAUAACUUUUGUCUGCCUUGAAGUAAUCAACUAAUCUGUUUCUAAUGUUAUGCAUAGUAUUGAUUUACCAGGGAUUGCCUCGUGGUAGGGGUCUGUUGCUGCUGGCUGAGAUGAGCUCAGCUGGUAACCUAGCAAAGGGAGACUAUACAGCAGCAGCUGUGAAAAUUGCCGAGGAUCAUUCUGAUUUUGUCAUUGGAUUCAUCUCAGUUAAUCCAGCAUCAUGGCCAGGGGCACCAGUCAAUCCAGCCUUUAUUCAAGCAACCCCUGGAGUUCAAAUGGUAAGGGGAGGUGAUGAUCUAGGCCAACAAUAUAACACUCCAUACUCGGUAAGUUCUGUUCGUUCACUAGCUCCCCUCAACAUGUUUAUUUUUCUAGCAAUACUAUCCAUGAAAACUAUUAAUACAAACUUAUCUAUGCAAAUGAACAUGGGAAUACAAUUAUUAAGGUAAACGUUAAAAGAAAGUCAAUUUAAUUGCCACAUCACCCAUUUUCAUUUGUGGUUUUUUUUUUUUUUUUUUAUAAUCAAAUUUCAAUGUGCCAGGUUAGUUUAUAUUGGUUGAGUGUGUAUGUCUAGUAUUUUGAUAAAUUUGUCACAAGUUGUAAAAUAGAUGUAAACUUGAGUGAAGAAUUAGCAAUUGAACAACCAGCUCCAAUCGAAUUAGCAUUUUUGCCUUAUGUUCAAAUUUGAGAAGGCCUAACUGAAACAUUUUUUCUUAGGGUCCCAGGUGCAUUGAGCCAGCCGAUGGACUAAUGGGUGCUAGUUACUUAAUAUAAUCUAAGAAAUAAAAUCAGCAUUUUACAUGUAAUGGAAUUUUAGGCAUGUCAAUGAGGCAUAAGGGGAAGAAGUUUUGAUUGCAAAUUUGGGAGGCCAUCAAAAUGAUUUGUUUGGUGUGAUAACGAAAAAUUCUAAUGAAUAAACCCAAACCCUGGAAUGUUUUGCCAUAUAUCACUAGAUCCUCAAAAGGUUAGGAAAAUGAGGUAAAGAAGAUCCAUUUUCCUCCUGUUUUAUAUAUGUAGGAACUUUAUCUUUUCAUGGGUACAUCAUUGCUAUCACUAGAUCCCCAAGAGAUUAGGAAAAUAAGAUAGAAAAGAUCCAUUUCGUCCUUUUUUUUUUCACAUAUAGGAAUUUCAUCUUUACAUGGGUACUUCAUUUCUAUGGAGCCAAAGAUAUCAUUUGCUCUAGUUUCUGAAAUUGGGCUUCGUAUACCAUGCUUUCAAAUUGACCCUUGACUAGAGAGAAAAAAUUUUCGUUUAUGACCAGAAAUUUUCUGUAAAUUGAAAUGAGAAAAAGUUGGAGAGGAAAAGCUUGGGGUUUAUAAUUUGGUAACAUGGUUUAUCUUUUCUUCAGGCAGUAAACUUUGCUUAGCUGUGUCUAGAUAUCUUUUUGUCCUUGAUUGGCUGAAUUCCUAGAUAUUUCAUCCUAAAGACUUAUUCGUAUCCAUCUUUUCCCUCCAUACAUUGAACCAAUGUUGUAUCUUGUUUCAAAACAGGUAAUUUCUCCAACUUCAAAUUUAGCCUAGCCAACUAUAAUUUAACCAGGGAACAAGCUAGAAGGGGCAGAGUUAAUGAACUAAGGUUAACUGGUGUUUAAAAUAGUUGUAACUUGUACCUCAGUGAUUUUAUUCGAGAGCCUCACAGCCAUGUGAUAUUCCCUUUGUCACACAUAGUAUGACUAUUAAGAUGCUUCUUACAGGCUAACUAAUCAAACUUGUUACACCAACAAAACAAUAGCUGAGUGCUCAACUGCUCUAAACCUGUUCUAUUUGGUUGACACUGUUGCAGCUUUAAUAACUUUAACGUAAAAUUGUUCUCCAGGUCAUCUACGAUAGGGGUAGUGACAUAAUUAUUGUGGGUCGUGGAAUUAUAAAGGCAGCAGACCCUGCAUUGGCAGCCCGUGAGUACCGGCUUCAAGGAUGGGAGGCCUACUUGGCUAAGUGCAGCUGAUCCUCCAUUUAGGUCUGGACUUCUGCUCGCUUCAACGGUUGCGAUAAUGAACAGAUGAGUCAAGUUCUGUUUAAUAUACCAUGCAUUGGUAUGUCUUAUGAAACCGAGAGAGUUUGAAGCUUUUGGCUGCAUUGUACUUAUAGUAACUUCUCAAGUCUGGUAAUGCUGCUUGUCUGGUUUUCCCAAUGAAACAUGGUUGCAAGAUUUCUGAGUGUUGUGUUAUCAACAAUAUAUGAAAUUUAUGAACAUGGUGUUUGGAGUUGCCAACCAUCUCAUUCAAAAUUAUCAUAUUGAAUGAUUCGGAUGAUUCCUCUUUUGUGGUUUGGAUGGACACGUGGCAAGGCGCAGUAGAUGCCUGGGAAAUUGGUAUUGUGCAAUUAUCUUUAAAUGUUGAUAUGGUAAAAUGACCAGGAUUACUUUAUGUUUAGCAAAACGAAUCAUUUUCUCUCUAAUAUUUUAUAACCUACAAAUAAUAAUGUUAGAAUGUCAGUUUUUCCAAAAAAAAAUUGAUAGCAGAAUAUUAAAUAAAGGGAUAUUUUUUUUAGAAAAGGAAAAUAGUUAAUUUAGCCAAAUAGAAAGAAGAUACUCAUUUUCCCAAUGGUUUUUUUUGAACUCUCAUUUUCUCAAUAUAUAACUAAUAAUUUAACGGACCUGUCUAUGGUACAGAUUCUGUAACAAACAUCUCCCGUCAUCCCACCAUCCGAUUUUCUAUUGUUUAGUUUCUCACUCCACAUCCAACCACAUCCAACGGCUGAUGCUGCAGUCUGUACCUUACAGAUUCUGUAAGCUAGUCGAGUCCUAAUUUAACAAAGUGUUAUUAAUAUUUUAAAAUAUUUCUUAGGAUGAAUUGAUUUUUAAACGCGAGCGAGAGGAAAUUGACAAGAUUUAAUUAGUAACAUUAAGAUCGGUAAAUGAUAUAAUAUAAAACAAAACUAGUAAAGAACAAAAAGGGCCAACAUGAAGAAAACCCAGAAUUGAAAAAUGUCCUUUUUGUAUUUUCUCGAGAAAUUUCUCUCUCCGACUUACAGCUCAACGGCUUUAAUUUGAAAUUCUUCACACUCUUUCAAUUGUCUUUCAACGCGCACACUUCGUAUCCUUCGUUAUUAAUUGUUCACACACGCUCCCCCAACACCGAGCAGACUCUCUCUCUCUCUCUCUCUCUCUCUUCUGUCCGAAUUAGGGUUCUGUUGGGCUGUGAAACAUUAUAAUGCGCUUCUGAUUUCAAAUACUUUUCCAG